GAGGAGCAGAAAUUACCGGCGGGGGAUGGUAAUUGCAACCGUUCGAGAAUUUACAACUUGGUGUGGGGAAUGUGCGAUAUCAUAUGAUAGUCUUCUCCUCUGUAACGUUCUUCUAGAAUAGGACAUCCCCUAAUACUCAAUUCCUGCAGUGUCGUCGUUUGAAGAAGGUGAUCUGGCAGCACAUUUAAUUUGGGGCAGCAAUCAAUUUCCAAGGAAGAAAGACGCGGCAUGAUGGAGAUGUUUUCCUUCCUCGUAACCCUGUAAUUCCACUCUUCCAAUUCAUCCAAGUCCUCAAUUUUGAGUGAUUUCAAUUUGGGGAAGGCAAUAACUGAUGAAGAUGAAGAUGUGUCAUCAACACUACUCUCUUCUAUUCCCAAAAACUCAUCACCCACUCUUUUUACACUAAUCAAAUUGUAUAGGGUGAGUUUUUCCAGAAGCAAUUUUCCCAGUGGAGGCAAAUGCUCACAGUUAACGCACGAGAAGAGUUUUAGUUCCCUUAGAUUGGUUAGCAAAGUCAACCAUUUGGGAAAAAUGUUGCCUCCGUAGAAUAUAAUCCAUAAUUCCUCUACAUUCAAAGGCGGUUGUAAGGCUUCAAGAAGUUGUUUAUCUUUCUCAUUCUUCCUCCUCCCUUCUUCGCCUUCCCCAUCUACGACUCUACCAAACUCAAGAUGCAAACGAAGGAGGUUUUUCUUAUUGUAAAGUUGUAACCUCUCAGCCUCAUCUACAUGCGAUACAUUACUCAGCCCUUCUACUCUACAUUCACGAAGGAGUUGAAGAUUUUUCAGAGAUUCAAGCCUACACGUGCUGCCACCAUCAACACCUCCACCCACAACAAACUUUUCUAAUGUUCGAAGGCUGGUCAAUCUGGAAAUCCCUAUUGGCAGGUACUUCAGCUUUUCAGUUUGACCAUUCAUUAAACUCCUCAUGUUCAUUAACUUUCCAAUCCCCGCAGGCAAUUCUCUAAGAUUUGUACACCAUCUAACAGCUAGCUUUUGUAAAUUAUAUAAUUCACACAAAGUCUCAGGCAGUCUCUCUAUACAUAAUUCAGAUAAAUUAAGAUAUUUUAAAUGUAUCAAUUUUCCAAUAUUUUCUGGAAUUUCUCUAAUGAAAUUUUUGUCAUCUAAGGGUACGAACCAUUGCCUUAUAACUAGUGCCCUUAAACAUGCCACUUUACUAAAUAACUCCACAAGGAUGCUGCCAUUAAGAGACGGACUGUAAGGACUUAAAUCAUAAAUUAAGAGGGUACGCAAUCUAUUAAAUUCAGGAGUGGACAUAGGAAAUGAAGCUCCUCCUUCAAAGUUUAACCCUAAGUGACGGACUUUCUCACCAAAAGAGUUUAUGACUGAUUCUUUCCUACUGUUAAUUUCUACCCACAAACAUUCUUCUCUACUUACAAGUUGGGCAAAAUCAUGUACUAUGUCAUGCAUCUUGCAACUCAUAACAUUAUCAUCAUAAUCUUUCACAAACUCUUGAAAGAAAGAGCGUGUUGCUAAGAUGUUGAAAUACUCUUCUCCAAUAAUCUCCAUCUCUUCAUCUUCUUCUGAAUUAAGGUAACAUUGAGCCAUCCAUAGUGUAAUUAGUUCUUCUUUCCUUAUAUUGUAGUCUUUUGGAAAGACAGAACAGUAUGAGAAACAUCGUUUUACCAUAGAAUUGGAGGGCAAAUCAUUAUAGCUCAAUAACAAAGGAGGCAAAAGACCUUUCCCAAUCUCUUCCACCUUCCACAUUUCACUAUCUAAAAUUCUUUUCCACUCGCUUACUGUUCUUUUAGAGCGCAACAGAUUCCCUAUUACCUUUGCAGCAAGAGGCAAGCCUUUACACUUACAUGCAAUUUUUCGUCCGAUUGGUUCUAAUUUUUCACAAUCCUCAAAGGACCUACCUAGAAAUGCUACCUGCUUAAACAGUGACCAACAUUCCCCUUCACCCAACUCCUUGACAGAGAUAAUAUCUAUUGAUCCCAUUUGGAGUGCAACUGACCUAUCACGUGUGGUAAUUAGAAUUUUACUUUCAUGGUGGCCAUUCUUUAGACAAGAAAAGAACGGAUCCCAUUUUUUGUAAUCUCCAUCCCACACAUCAUCCAAAACAAGAAAAAAUUUCUUCUCCCUAAUAGAUUCCUGAAUCUGUUGCAUAAGAGAUUGGAAUUCGCCUAAACUAGAAGCAGAUUUGUCUAAAACCUCAAGAAUUGCUUUAGCAAUCCUAAUCUCCUCAAAAGCGUCUGAUACACACACCCAUAUAACUAUGUCAAACUUUCUUUUCACCCCCUCAUUGUUGAAGGCUAGUUGCGCAAGGGUUGUUUUACCUAUACCCCCUAACCCAAACAGUGAGAUGAUACGAAGGCCUUUUUGUUGUUCGCUACUCUCACCCAACAACUUGCUUAACAGCUCAUUUUUCUCGUCAAUUCUACCACAAAUCUCCCCCUCAUCAACCAAGGAGGUGGUUCGAACUCGCUCUGGCUUCUUGACAUUGUUACUCACAUUCUCAGCAAAUUUAAACCUAUCUUUUUGAGAGGUAAUAUCAUCCAGCGUUUUAUUGAUUUCUCUAAUCUUGACAGCAAUGUCAUGACGAAGACUGAGUUGUUUGAAACUACCGAAGCAGUUUGAGGCAGAAGGAAAGAAGGAACAUACCUUCUUCUUAUGAGCAGCAAGAGCAAGAGUAUUGUCAUCGUCAAGGCCCUCAAUCUGCAAUUUGAGCCUUGCAGUGGUCCACUCCUCCAACACAUCUUCCAUGUCGUAAGAUGCGUCUUUGAGCUGAUCCAGCCAAAAAGUAACAGCUUUGUCGUGCUGCAUUUGCCUUUUCUCUGCAUCUUCCAGCACAAGUUGAAUGGCUUGAAGAUUGCUGGUAAGCUUUUUCACUUCUUCUCGGACACCAGUCACAAGUCUCACCUGUUGUUUCACUUCAUCAGCCGCAACAGAGAUCAGCUGCUCCAGGAGAGAGGAAACGAUCGCAUCAACCAUUCUGACAAAGAAGACGAGAAUUCUGAAGAGUUAUUAGAUGUGCUUUUGUUGCGAUGAUACUGAAAGAAAAGGAGUUAUUGCAUUCUUUUAUAAUGCAUAGAAAAAGUUUAUGCUUAUCCCCACCCCACACGUCAAUGAUUGUAGAAUGUUUAAUUUCCCUGAUUCUACUCCACUAGUUAUGAUGCGCAAUUAUAAAUAUUCUCAAAUUAUUUAUGAAAUAGCACAAAUUUGGAUCUAGUAAUGAUUUAUAUGAUUUCUGUGUGUUCACUUUUCCGUAAUCUUCUACUAUAAGGGUUCAGAUUUAAUUACUAAUUUAAAAAAUAAGCACAAAAUAAUAUCAAGCAUUAAUGUUAUUAGUAAUACUCAAAUUCACAAAGGAAUAAAUAACGAAAAGAAAAAAGAUUGGAAAAAUCUUAUUGGUAAAUUAGCACAUUGUUUUUUUAAUAAUCUCAAUAAAAUUAGUAAUACUCAUAUUAGUCCCUAAAACAUUAUUAUGUAUAAGUUAAAAAAUCUUAUUAGUCUCCAUGAUCAAUAUUUAUGGAAAUAUUUUUGGCCUAGGCUGAGAAAAAAAUUCCUAGUUUCAUCACUAGUUAACCUCAAGUAUACAUCCCAUAUACACACACACACACACAUUCCUUCUCGAGUGCGGGCGCCGUCAUUUUUUUUUUUUAUAUGAACACACUUUUAAGCCACAUGGCUUAAUAGAGUUAAUUUUUUAAUGUUAUUAAACCACGCGACUUUAUAGUAUAUUGAAAAUUAACUCUAUUAAGUCGUAUGAUUUAACAGAGUGUCUGCAUUAAAAAAAGAAAAAAGAAAGAGGUUACAUAAAUAUGCGGGAAAGGUCUAAGAAAACUUUAAAACCUCACGAUUUUAAAAUUUUCUCAGACUUUUCUGUACUUUAAAAUUUUGAAUUAAAAAAUGUAUAUAUAUAUAUAUAUAUAUAUAAAGAGUAAUGAUAUAGCCACAAACUCUUGUACAAAUUUAUUUUGUACAAACUGAUGUAGCGUUAAUUUAUUGGUUGAAUUAAAUAUCACUUGGCCCACAUAAUUUAUUUAUAUUAUUUUAUAUUUUCAUUCAACUAAUAAAUUAAUGGCACAUCAGAUUGUAUAAUAUAAGUUUGCACAGUAGUUUAUGACUGUAUCAUCACUCAUAUAUAAAUUCUCUCCCGCAUACAUCCACGCAAAAUAGAGUCCGAUUUUGACAUUUCACAGUCUAAGAAAAUAACUUUCACCGCUGUAAAACUAUCAACGAUGGCUUAAAACACUAUGCUUACAUGUUUCAUGUGGAAAUCUAUGGAGAGAUAACGACUGUAUAUAUAUAUAUAUAAACAUAUCUUAAUUUCUAAUAAGAUAUUAGCCAAUAUUUAAUCAACAUUUAUGCAAAGGGGUCCCCCCUCUUUAUUUGGAGGAAUUUGGCACCAGAUGAAAAAUUUAUGCUUAUCCCCAACCCAUACGUUAGUAAUUGUAGUAGCAUCUUUUAAUUUCCCUGAUUCUACACCACUAGCUGUCGUACAUAAUUAUAAAUAUUCUCAAAUUUGUCGCAUCUUUAAAGUAUGAACACUGGUUUUGUCCAUGUCACUUUUUCUAUCUUAUUGCAAUAUGAGGUAGACGAAUUCAGUUUCUUCAAGAUAUGGGAAACGAUCGCAUCGGCCAUUCUAAUAUUAGAUUAAAUGCUAAAUGUUACAAUUGUUUUUGUUGCGAAAAUGCUCAAAAGAAAGUAGCUUUUAUGAAUUCUGUGAGAAUGCUCAUUCAAGCAUUUUUUAAUUCUUCUUAUACUACGUGAAACAUUUAAUUUUUACCCUUGAGUCAAUGUCAAUGAGAAUGCUUUUGUGCUGGAAAUCAAAGGAGUCCCCAAAGGAGUCAUCGUCUGGGGCUAGCUUUCUGCACCACCACGUCAAUAAUUGUCUAGAUCUCCCCUGUUUCUCUGAUUCAUAAUAAUUGUGCAGACUACUUUUCAUCAGCAUUCGUAAAAGUUCUUACUUUUCUAAUUAGUAACAAAAUAUUUGUAAGCUACAACAUAAAACUUAUAGCAAUCUAUCGAUGAAUCUUCUGAAUUCAUAUUUAAUAAAUUCGAUAUAAUAUAGUCAUUAGUUUUUUAUUAUAAACAUCAGUAUAUUUUUUAUAAUAUAACAUAUAUUGAUGAAACUAUAUAAAGCAAUUUCGCCCUAUUAUACAAAUUCAUUAUGAAUUUCAUCACAAAUUUGUAUGCGAUCGGGACCGUGCAAGUGAGAUUUCAGAUAAAAUCAUCUCCUGACAAUUUAUUUAAUAUUAUACUUUUCAAUUUAGCUUUAACGUAUGGCCGACAACUUUUGUUAUCCGGUAGGCCAAAUCAGUAUCAUAAAGUAGUGAAUCUGUUUUAGUCUACAGUCAAUACAUAACUUCAUUAUGUUUGCAUGUCAUGAUAAAAUGAGAAUUGUUAAAUAUAAUUAAUAUUAGUAAUAAAAUUACUAUAAUAAUAAUUACUAUUAUUAAUAUAAUGAUUAUAAAUAAUAUCAAUAAUAAAAAUUUUAUUAUUAUCAAUACUACUAUUAUUAUUAUAAUAAUAAAAUAAAAUAGUACUAAUUAUUUUGAUAAUAGUAAUAGUAAUUAAUAAUAAUAAUGGCAAUAAUAAAAAUUAUCAUCAUCAUCAUCAAUAAAUUUUUCAUAAUAAUAAUAAUAUAUAAAGAAGGAAAAAAUAAGAAUUUUAAAAUUUGAGUGGGAGUAAUAUUGUUACCUCAGGGAAUGGGAUUCCCAUUUGCACCUCCUCUCAUAGGAAUGUGAACUCUAGUAAUCACUCCUUAUUUUAGUUUGGGCCCAUCACUUUGAUUCAAAUUCCUUCUCUCAUUCAAGCAAGUAAACAGAUCAUUAAUUUAAUUCCGAUUACCAAUAAAUAAACACAUUUAUUAUAGUGGUGUGGCCUUUUUUUCCUAUAUAAAGACAAAUGCAAAUUCAUCGGAGUCAUUUUCAAAGAAGAGUUUCUAUAAUUAAUUUUUUUUUAAACUAAGAAAAGAUAGCAUAUUGUAACGGACCACUCAAAUUUACCACUAAAGGAGGCCAAACUAGCCUGCCAAGGUGAGCUCAAUAAAGACUGCCCAAACACGAAGUAUGCUAAGUAGCAAGGUGCGCUCAAUCCAAAACCCAAGGUAACCAAGUCCAAUCCAAUUUUAGAAAUCUCUACAAUACAAUAGCAACUGUAAAUAUCUAAAUAAUUCUACAGUUGCGUACUCUAGAACUUACUAGAUAACUAGGCAAGUUACGCAAGUUGCAUAGAACUCUCUAGAUCUAGGCAAGCCUCCCUAUAAAUAGGGCAUGGCAUCCACCAUUUUGCACGACACCACACACCAAGCAUAAGUAGAUCAAGCAUACUUGUAAUGCUCUCUUGUAUUCUCUCUUUCAAGUAAUAAAAUUCGUUUUGGCUACAUUGCUCUCUUCUCUCCAGCUUUUUUGCAAUCAUCUUUUCUUAGCUAGUUUGAGAAGUUCGAUAGGUUUAAUUAGCAACUUUUGUGCUAGAAGUUAUUUAAGUGUCACAUGGAUUGCUGUGCAAAUUAUUUAUGCCGUGACAAUAUGUUAUGAUUAUUAUGAAUUUUCCACCACUUUAUAUAAAAUCCUCUAAUUUAUUUAAAUUGUGAGUCAUAGAAGUAUAUUACCCAAAUUGUUCUAUUAUCAUAUUAAUAUAAUAUUUUUGUGUUGACACUUGUAAACAAUUGAAAAGUUUUGUUUUACUAUAAAUUGGUAGCAUCUCUGCAUGUAAUAUCAUCUCAUUUUUCCUCAAACAAUAUUACUAGCAAGAGAAAGGAAUUAGAAUUCUCCAUCUCAAAGUUUAAGUUGUUGGUUAUCAACACUUUCUUCAUGUUCUUUGUAUAGAUACUUCCUAAUUAGAUUUGCAACAUGUUAUCAAGACAACUUUACUUUGAUUCAAGAAAGUACUUAAUUUCCUAUGCUCUCAUUUCAUAUGUUUAUUUAACAACUCUAUACUUAUACGUAUGUUUUGUAGUCAAUAUUGAUUUAGAGUUACAUCAAAUAAAAAAAAAAAAAAAGGUAAGUGAUCUUCUAUUCUUUUAUGUAGGGACAUCAAUGGUGUGAGGUGGGGGUGGAGAGGCCUACCUCAUUACCCACCCCAUUAAAAUUUUUACCUCUAUUCCUCAUCUCAUUUCCCAAUAAAAUUCAGUGGAGUGGGGAUGAAGAAUUCUCAUGUGAAGAAUGAUUUCUCUAUCCCUACCCUAUUAUCUAUUUACUUAUUUUAUAAUAGGCAUAGAUAAAUGAUUUCAGUAAAUUAAAUAUUAGAAACUUAAAUAAAUUCAUUAUCAUAUUACAAAUUAUUUAAAUUGUUUUAAAAAAUCUCCAAAAGGUUGAAAUAAUAUCUUGAACUAAUAGUAAAAUUAAAAAAAAUGUUUGAAGAGAAUAGUAUCUUAAGAGGAAAAAGAAAACAUAAGAAUGCUUUAGGGUUAAAUAAGUAUUAUAAUGUAGGUUUUUCUUUUAGUUAUAACUUAUUUAUAUUAGGUAAAUAAAAAGAAAAUUUAUUAACCAACAUUUUAAUUGAUAAAAUAAAAUUAUUGAAUAAAAACUAAAAAAAUAUUCAUUUAUAAUAGGAAUUGGGGUGGGGAUGGGGUAGGAAGUACAAAACCAACCCCACCCCAUUAAGAAUUUGAGAAUUAUUUUUUCCUCAUUCUCUACCCAUUCUUAAAAAAUUAUUUAAAAUUCACCUCAUUUAAGGUGGAGUCUAUCCUAUCAGUACUUUCAUGGCACGAAAUUAUUAUGCUCAGUGAUGAUUAUUGAUUUGUCUAAUUUUAGAUGAGUUAUUAUUUUGGAGAUCAGUGCUUUUGCUGCUAUGCUGAAAGAAAAGGAGCUAGAUUAUUCUUCUUUAUACUGCAUGAUAAAAUAUUUACUAAUAGUCGAUAUUCUAUCAACAAUUAUGCAAAGGAGUCCCUACUGAAAAGCUGAAUUUAGAAUUCAAUGAAAGUUUUAAUCAUUGUAGCAUCUUUAAUUUUCCUGUUUCGACUUCAAACUUUGUGUUACAUAUUUGUUAACUAUAAUAUUCUCAAAUAAAUUUGCAGUGGUCGGGCCCGUGCCAGUCAAAAACAGAAAAAAUAAAACAAAAGUUGAAAAAUCAUGCAGCCGACCACUACAAAUUAAUUUUAAAAAAAGUAGUGGAAUAUUAGGUAGGCGAAUGCGGUUCAUCGUUCAUAGGUCAUUUAAGAAAGUAAUCUCUCCCUAAUUAAUUCUUUUCUUUUAUCUAAUCAAGAAAAGGUAGCAUAUUGUUUUUUUUUUUUUGAUUUGCAAUUCUUUAAAACAAAAAAAAAACAUGAAUGAUUGAUCGAUAAUAUUAAUUUUCUAAGUUAUUUUAAUUAUUAAAAAAAUAUUACAUAUUUUAUUUAUAAUAUUAUAUUCAUAUUUAUUAUAGAACUUUAUUUUAGGUAAAUUUUAGUUGUUGUGUUUGAAUGAAUAGAAACUUAUUUAAUUCUUAUAUUUUAAGUUAUAUUCACGUUUAAUCUUUAUAUUUAAAAAAAAAUAUGAUAGGACUCCCCUAAUGUUAAUAUCUUACACUCUCCUGUUCUUACCUUUUAUUUCCUUUUUAUAUAAAUAUGAUGUGGUAUUAUUAAAUAACAUAAUAAAAUUGAAAAUAACUAAAAAUACAUAAUACGAAUUUACACUUAUUUAUUAAUUAUUAUAGAUAUAAAAAUAAAAUAAAAGGUAGAAUAUAAUAUAAAUAGUAUUGUAAUAUAUUAUAAUUUUAUUAAAUUAUUAGUUCGAUUUUAUAUUAAUUAUCAAUAGCUUUUGCUCAUUUAUAUAGCAAAAGCUAAUGCGUCAAAUUGCGCAGUGCACUAACUCCAGCUCCCCCGGGUUUGUGUAAUGCACCAAAAUUUAUAAUGCGGGCAUUAUAGACAGCUCCACAACGAAACUUCGAAAUUUGCCAAACAUGGGUCGGUAACAAGUUUUGAAGCCCCAAAAAUUCAAUAAACAGUACCUCAGUGCUUGAAGCUCUAAGUUACCAAAAAUGAAAUCAAUUUUUAAGUCAUUGUUGUUGCAAAACAAAAGUGUAAAGGGAAAGUUGACGAGUGUUUCUUAAACACUACUAAUUGUCAAGUUAAAACUGUUUGGUAUGCUAUUUAGAACUUAUGCUUUAGUAAAUAGUUGUGGGCAAUAAUCGGUUACCUUGCCAAAACCAAAUUGCAAUUAUUUACUAAAACACUUAUCUUUGGCAGCAGAGUGACCAAAAAGCUCAUACAAACAGAGCCUCAAUCCAGCUGGGUUAAGGGUUCCAAUGAAAAGUAAAUUUUCUCUAACAGACACACUUUUCCGAAAACUAAGAUUUAUUCUGAAGAAAUCUCAAAAGAUUUAUUCUAGAUAAUGUAAAGCCGUAAAUGUGACACAGGCGUGUUUUAGAUUUACUCCAAGAGACAAGUACAAUCCAAGAUUAUCACUCCAAUUGUUUCAAUUGAUUGUAUUUUUCUAGACAUAAUUAAAUUACGUAUAAAAUAUAUAUUGUUAGAAAGGUGAAUAUGUCUAGUUUUUGAAGAAUUUUAUGGAAUUAAAUUCAAACUUCUGUUCUUAAAGAAAUUCACGACUUUGUCAAUGAAGGUCACAACUGUUAGGAAUUCUACACAUAGCAAAAAAGUUUUGAAUUUACUGGCAUUAAUGCAUCAAGAUCUAAUUAAGAAGCUUCAAAUCAGUGAAAAGCUUUUGAGUCAAGAGUUCAAUGAAUUUUACAUGUUUGAUUUGGAGUUUUCUACAUCAAGAUAUGAUUAAACGAGUGUUGACUGCUUACACUUGCGGUUGAAACUGACCUUGAUGUCAAAUUGUAUUUUUCUUUGUUUUCUUUCACCUCAUGAUAGCUAAGACCUGUUAUUCUAAUUUGAUUUGAAUUCUAAAUGAUAGAGAUCUUAUCCUAAGCUCGGAGGGAUGUUCCAAGUUGUCUAUACAAAAAAGUAUUACAUUGUAACUUUACAAAACAGGGUGAUUAUGAGAAUGUAACUUAGAAGAGUGUUCUUGUUAGGGUUUCUUCAUGCAACUCUAUAUCUCUUGGUUCGAUUCCUUAGAGUGGUGAGUUGAGAAGUGCGGUAUCUCUUGUAGGAUAUCAUUAGAUGGUGAAUAUCUAUAUCCUUUUGUAAUCCUCUUAAAUGGUGAGCUUUGGUAAGUUAGAGAGCCUUGUAUCUCUUGUAAGACAUCAUUGGGUGGUGAAUAUCCCAUUGUAAUGAGCUUUGCUCUUGCCUUAUCUACGUGUGUGUUUUACAUAAUAAUGAAGUUCAGUUUAUAAUUAGGCCAACAUCAAAAUGGCAUUAGAUGUUUGUUGUAUUCUUCGCUUUCCUUUGAGACAGUCCAAAAUUUGCUAAAGUUUUCACAACAAAAGUAUGAUGUGAUGUCCUUUAUAUGUUUUUGUUAGAAAGGAAACAGAAAAAAUGCAUUUAGCAUUGUCAAAGCAAGGAUAGAACAACGCAAAUUUUUUUGACAAAUAGAGCACCAUUUGAUUUGGAAGAAAAGUUGGAAUAAUAAACAAGCAGAGAUCAAAACUGAAAUCAACCCAAAAUCGAAGAAGAAAGGUGGAAAGGAUAACAAUGCAUUGGACAUUUGAAGAUACAUAGUCUGAAUGUCAGACUGAGUAUAAGUAACCUCCUAACCGAACUAAUGUUAUCAAUUGGUCAAUUUUAUUCUCUGUAGGUCCAUGUUUGAACAUAGGGAAGCUAAAUGCCCUUUUAACAAUACCUUCUUUAAUUCUGCCUGGAAAUUGUGAUAGGACUUUAGGCUAAAUUAGGGCUGACUUUUAUUGAUUAGAUAAAAAGAAAGAACAAUCCUGACCUACCUCUCCCAAAACUCCUAAUUAUUCCUACCACUAGACAAAACUCAACAUAAAUCCUAAAUGACUCCUUAAUCUCUUAUUUAUACCCGAGCCAAAAUUAACAAUAAAUAAAAUUACUAAACUGGUCCUAUCCCUAAAAUUACUAAGUUUUUCUCACCUUUUAUAUUUGCGGCUAACAUAAGUUUAAUUGGUUUAACAUUACUCCUCUCUUAAAAAUACACCUCGUCUUCAAGAUGAAAUCAAGGAAACUGUUGUUUUUUUCUUCCUUGGCUUCUUCCCUACCUUCCUUCUCAUCACAUGUAGUUAGGACUUGUAGUGAUUUAUCCUUACAUCAAUGACUCGAUGAAAAUUUCUCAUCGCAUCGAAAAAACAACCUCAUUGUCCUCUUAUCUUGAAUCUUUGUCUCUGUGAGGCAUUUGAAAGUCACCCCUAGUCGUGCCCAACUAACCUGAUCCCUUUAGGAAUCUCUUUAUAACCCCAUCAUUUGCAUUUUUUAGCCUUCUAAUGGUGUGCUUUGGAACUUUGGCUAAAACUCCAAAGUUUGGGUUUUCUGUCCUAUCAAUGGUGUGCUUUUUUAGUAUGAAAAACAGACUAAACUGCUCAUAUUACCCCAUUCUAUUGUGUUCUUAUCAUUAAUCAUUUGUGCCAGCUCCAUUGACUCCUCUAACCCUCUCUACCCUAACAGGUGUAGUGAGCUCAUAUUUCUGGCUUCAGUUCCUUCAUAAAAUUCCCUUCCAAUACUGCCUCUUGGAUUCCCCCAAAUACCCUGAUAGCAACUCAAACUUCUCCCUAUACUCCAUGAUUGGUCUUUCCUAGGUCAGAGCAAAAAACUAUUCAUACAAAUCUCCCUUUUGAGUGGCCUGAAGCUUUUCUAAUAGCCGGUCAUUGAAUUCACCCUAUAAAUCAAUGGUUGUCAUUGUUCUCGCCAUUGAAACCAUGCAAGGGCUUUUCUCUCCAAUCAUAACGCGGCCGCCGUCAGCUUUUUCCUUUUUAAGACUCCAUUGAUGGCGAAAGAGUGCUCUAUCUUAUACAUCCAUCCAUAGGCAUCCUCGCCUUCAAAAAUAGGCAUUAUCAGUUUCCUUACCCUAAAAUCUAUCCCAAAUUGAGUCUGUCCUGCCCGAUUUCGCACUAUUAGAGGCCUCUAACCUCUCGAAUCUACUUCAAUUUCACAAAUCCUCCUUGUCUAGCCCCAUAUUAGGCUGAAAUCCCUUGCCCAAUUGUUUUAUGGUAAAAACCGCUUUCUCUCACAUUGAAAACCCCUCUUCCCGCCCAUCCGGCCUUAAAUCCGAACUAUCCAGACCCAAAAUCGCCAUGCCUUGGCCCAAAGCAACCAUACCUGAUCUGUCCAGGCCCAAAAUAGCCUUGCCCAAGCUAUGCAUCACCCGCAAAUACCAUUGAGUCCUCAAGCCCGACCAUCUUCGACUCUUGUGCACCUUAUUCUGGUGCCAAAACACUGAUUCUUAACUUUUAGCCACCUCUUCCAGCCGUGUAACCCUUGAAUUCACUAAUCUAGCCACCUCUUUCAGCCACCUCUUUGAGCCACGUAACCCUCAGAUCCAUUACCCCUAGCUACGACCCAGCUUCUUUUGCCACCUCUGACACCGGAAAAGGCUCCUCCAAGGCGCAAUUCCCUUGGGCCGACCUCCUCGCCUCCAAAUUCGCUGUGACCUGUCCCCCCUGGCUGUGCUAGACUGGUGGUUUUUCAGUCCUCUGCCCUUUGUGCUGCCAUCAACUAUGGGUUCUGUACCACCAAAUCUUUCUGCCGUGACACUGUUGUGGCCCGUCGAUGUUGCCAGUGGUGGGUUAAGGUGGAGUUCCGUCAAUUUCAGCAACAUGGCUUCAAGGGGUGAAAAUUGUUGUUGAACGAUGUUAAAUCGCUCAUCAAUGGUGGCCUUGAGUGAUCCAACCUUUGCUUCCAAUUUCUCUUCAAGCGCGUCCACCUUCUUUGCUGCCAUUGUCCCUGGAUUUUUGCUCUAAUACCACUUUGAUAGGACUUAAGGCUACAUUAGGGCUAACUUUUAUUGAUUGAAUCAAAAGAAAGAACAAUCAUAGCCUACAAUUCGAGAGGUAGGUCAAUCUCUCGCAAAAUUUAUAAAAAAGGAAAAAACAAUUUCCCUCUCUUCUACUUUCUUCAUCUUCUUCGUUCUAUUCCCUGUUCAUCUUCUUCUUCGUUCAUUUUUUUCUUCUCUUUCACACACUUAACAAAUCCACAACCACUGUUAAUUUCAAAUCAACCCAGCAAAACCCAUGUCUAUUGCCAGGCAAAAGCCAUGGCCUCGCACUGCCAUGUCUAGCAAAACCCAUGGCUACGCUAGCAAAAUCAUGGCAGCUGGGCACGGGCAUUCCAAGCAAGCCCAUGGAUGCAUGUAGCCAUGCCAAGCAAACCCAUGGCUGUGCGCGGCCAAUCCAAGUGAGCCCAUAGCUACGCGUUGCGACCAUUCCAAGCAAUCCCAUAGCCAUCAACAACCAUUCCAAGUAAGCCCAUAGACGUGCGUAGCCAUGCCAAGCACACAUUGAUCCAAGCAAAUGGUUGUUAAUGUUGAGAGAUAAACCACAAAUCUAAGGUUGUGACUAUGUUCGACAUGUCGGUUAUUCAAUCUGGUAAUAGAUGAUUUGUCGGUUAUCUCUAGUAAGGAAGCCAUAUGACAAAGUUGUUCCGUCAGUUGAGUGAAUAAGUUGAGCAGGUGAUUGCAACACGUGCAUUACUUACUUAAAACGGUAGAUGAAGACAGCGUUUUUGAGGUGAUUGCAACACGUGUCCAAAAGUUAGUUUAAAUGGCUAGUAAAAGUUGUUGAAAGGCGCGAGAAAUUUCUAGGUUUGUUGCUAACAAACCCAGUAACGUUGAGCUGGCUUCUGGGAGUAUUUCUAAAAGCAAUUUCGUGUUGUAUGAAGCCUUGUGAGUUGUUAUAUGGGAUUAAUCCAGAGGGUGACAAUUUCUCAGCUUCUUUUGUAUCUUGUAAAGGCCAGAUUAGUAAAAAAGCUUGCUUUCCUUUUCACAAUGGAUGUAGGUCACUUGUGUGGCUAAACCACUAUAAUCCUUUUGAGUCCUUGUGUGUGUGUUUUUAGUUCUUUAUCUGAUUCGAUCUCUGAUUGUUUCAGUAUCUGUGUCUUCAUCAAGAUUGUGUUGAUUAUUAGCCAUUCUUAGGUCAAAGAGAUUUUGAGUGGAUCUUAGGGGAUCAAGAUCGGUUUCUUGCUGGUUUUGGUCCAGCAGUUAAUAUUUUUCAUGAUUAGUCUGGUUUUGGGGUUCACUAAUGAAUUUGGGAAGAAGCUAAGAUUUGUUGAAAAGGAGAUGAUGGGCCAAGACUUGGAAUAGUGGCGUUGCUGCACCAUCGCGCAACUCCAAACUUCACUGCAAGUUGCUGGCAUGGCUAUUGUGGCCUUAUGAUGCUUGGCGAGAUGAAGCGUGGAGAACAUGUAGAAAACGGUAAGAAAUUAAAAAAAAAAAAGGGAAAAUGAACUGAACAAGAUAAAGAAAUUAACCAGAAAAUAAAAAAAAGUUUAAAAAAAAAUUAUUUUUCUUAUUUUAAAAAGAAAUAAUUUUUUAUGCUUUUGCAGUUAAAAAAUUAACUAAUUAAAAAAUAAAAAUUUUAAAUUUGGGUACAAAGCGAAUUUUAUUGAAAUGUUUGAGUGUGCAUUGAAAUUUGUUGAAACAUUUGGGCCAAAUGGUUCUUAAGAAAGAGAACCGAAUGUGAAAUGAAUUUUGUAAUCGAAUCAAAAUAUUUCAAUUUGGUUCGAUUCGGUUCAAUUCUUAAGUUUAGUUCAGGUUCAAUUCUUAUUAUGCCAAUUUGGAAAACACUUCUAAGAAACAGAAACAAAAAUAGAAACAUCAUGAGAAUUCAAAAGGAAAGAAACUGAGAGAAAAGAAACGAAACUCCAUUGAGCCAAAGAACAUGAGGCGGGGGUCUAUGUGUAUAGAGAGAAUUCAAUCACACAAGAACAAGAAACAAAAGUGGAGACAUCAUGAGAAUUCAAUCACCGUGAGAUUGCGAGGGAGAGACCAAGAGAGCUUGUGUGCUGCUGCCGACCUUGAGAGAGAUGGCUGCCGAUUUAGGGUUAUCAAACAUUUAAGAUUAGGAAUUAAAAAAUGAAAAAAAAAAUUAUUUUAGGUAUUUAUAUUUUAAAAUAAAUAUAUUUUUUAAUUAAGUUGAAGCGAACUGAUCAGUUUGUCAGUUCAAACUAAACCGAAUACAAACCAAUUGGUUCGUUUGUUUUCAAACCAUUCGAUUUCUAACUUCUAAACCGAACCGUUGCCCGCCCCUACAUUUGGGUUUUGUGGAAAUUGCCUUAAAUGUUUUGACUUCUUAUCCAUGAGUUGACUCUUAAGAGAAUGUACAAAUAUAAUUUUAUGCUUUCAGUAGUUAAAUUUAAUGGGAAGAAAACAGUAUUUGGAGAUAAGUUGAAAUUUUUAUACUUUUAGGGGGUAAAUUGAAGUUUGUCGAUCUAAUAAGGGAUAGAAUACAAUUUACCCUUAUUUUUUACUCUAAAAUAACAAAUUAUUACUUAACUAAACAUAUUUCACUAAUGCUCCUUAUUUCCUACCAAACGGUGGGACUUGGCCUUGUGUCCAAAAUUCAUAAUAGCUAACACAUUAACAAAAAUUAAAAAUACUAGGUUACAAAAUACAAAUCCGAAUUUUGUGUGUGAGGGAAUUUAAAAAUGGAGAGACUAAAAAAAUGUGGUGACAAAUGACAUUUAUUACCAAAAUUGAAAAUACAAAGUUUAGGCAACUGAAAGCAUCUCUUCAAUUGCAUUCAACCAAUUACCACCAUCCAUAAUUAACCAAAAUCAAAUAAAUUAAAAAAAAAACACAAAAAAAUCACAACACUUUGAUCAUCCCUGCUUCUUUUUCUUAGCAUAGCUCUUGGAAUAAAAAUUAACAAAAAGUGCCAAAAGGGACGCAUUAAACACAGCGUUGAAACGCCAUCCCCAAAUCCCAGAGCAACCAAAACCCGUGAAAUGAUAAUACAGCAUCAAAACUGAAACAACAAAACCAAACACAAACUGAACAAUCUGACAAUCAGUGACCAAUCUCUUCCACUUUGGCCGCAACCCCAUCACACACAAUAGAUAGUACCCGUACAUGAUCACAUGCACACUUGCAUUGGUGACAAUUGCAAUAGGAAACAAAGACUGCUUCGUCUGUAACCAAAGGAAGCACAUUACAACGACGGUUGCAUGGUGGUAGACGUGGAGGAACGUGAGCCGUUGGAUGGAGUUUGACAAAAUAAUCAAAAGGGUGUCAAAGAAUUCGAGUAUUUUGGAGAGGUAGAAGAUGUAAGCGUAGAAGAAGAGAGGGCCAGACGGAGAAAUGGUAGGGGGGAAACAGAGGGUGUAACGGAGGUGGGGUAAAUGGAGGAUGAUGGAGAGAGUGCAACCAACGGCCAUGAUGAGGGAGAGGAUGAGGAGGGUGAGGUUAUGGACGGCUAUGAUGGGCUUGAGGAUGUGGGGUCCAAUGAGAGGUGAUGAUGGUGGUGAUGUUGAUGUCGAUGCGUGGUAGAGGAUGAAUGUGAGGGAGAGGUAAGUGAGGAUGGAGAGAAUGAGGAAGUGUGGGGAGGAAGCUAGUGUUUGGUUCGGAGUCCAUGUGAAGUUGAGGAUUUGGGGGUGGUUUACAAGCCAAUAUUGGAGUGUUGAGGUAAUUGAAUAUGAAGCCAUGGCUGGUUUUUGGGGGGAAGAAAGAUUUGGAAGAGAUGAUGUUGAGAGGAACGGGGGAGUUUAUAAAGUUUUGGGAUAAUGUGGAGGGUAUUUUGGACAUAUUGUUGUCUUAGCUUAAAUUUUGGGAAAAAGAUAGUCAAUAAUAAACUCUUUUUUCAUAUCAAUAUAUAACUCCGAGUGUGUUUCCAAAACUUGUUUUCCUUUUUCCAUUUUAGAUUUUAAAUCGUAAAUUUAGUAAAGGAAGUUAAAUCAAGUGAUCACUCUUUUCUUUUCUUUUCUUUUCUUUUUUUCAUGUAAAGCAAUUAAUCUUUUUUGUGAUUUAAGCAAAUAUUGAGUUGCGUACUUUAACGAUAUUAAUAUUUGAUUCGAAAUUUUGUCUACCGAAACUACAAAAAUUAAUAUUUUCUAUUAAAUCAAAACUAAAAUUAAAAGAUGAUUCAUUGUCUGCCAACUGUCAUUAAACGAAGCCAUCACUCACACAAAAAAAAAGUGAUAUAUUCAUUUUAAUGUAAUUUCAUACCAACAUGUCAUUCUUUUCUUUCAAACAAUGACCUCUUUAAUUAUAAAAUAUGGUAAAAGAGUAAAAAUACAGUAAUACAGCCACACACUCUUAUACAAAUUUAUGUGGCAUCAAUUCAUUGGUUAAAUUAAAUAUCUCUUGGUCCACAUGAUUUACUUUCAUUAUUUUGUAUUUUCAUUCAACCAAUGAAUUGAUGUCACAUUAGUUUGUACAAAAUAAGAUUGUAUAAGAGUUUGUGACUAUAUCAUCACUCAUGGUAAAAAGGGAUGGGUUCGAGGUAUGGCGUCCAGGCCUUUGUGACAACUGGCAUCUUUGGACGUGGGUGUCAUUAGAUUUUUUGCUAUUAUCAUAUCAUCAAUUUUUUUGGCUAUUUCUGCUCAAUCAAACUUGUGGAUUACAUGCACUCAACGUCGACAAUGGAAAUGGGAGAAAAUUAAGUUAAUAAAAUCAAGUAAGUCAAACAAGGUCCAGAAUAUACAAUUGCGUUUAGUGGCAGGAGGGUACGUAAAUACAUGGGAAAGAACUAUUUUUAGUCCAAUUUCAUGUUUGGAUGUUGAGGUUGAUGUGGAAAGGAUGUGGCUUCCCACAUAAAACCCGCCGUUUCGUUCUAAACUAAGUGAAUUUAUCUGGUGAGCUAAGUUGGUUUAGGACGUAACUCAAAUAAUUAAUUUUUUAUUAGUUUAGUAAUAAAAAUUUUGGAUUUUAUUUUAAAACUAUAAUUCAACAGAAAAAAAACUUAAUAAAAAUAACUGUUAUUUAACAUAUUAUAUUUUUUCAAUAAUAAAAUAAUUCAAAAUUUUAAUUAUUAUAACAAUAAAAUUUGUAAUAUAAUCCAUUCAUAUACUAGAUCACAUAAAAUAUAAAACAAGACCAAAUAUAAUCCUAUUACAUCUAAUCAUAUAAUAUUCUAUCACAUCAUAUACUAUCAUAUUCCAUCCGGCAUGCCAAACGUGCAAAGUUUGAGUCAGUUUUGUUAAAGUUGAGUAACAUCUCAUAUGGAAAGGAUGUGGCUCCCACAUAAAAAUAACCCACCGUUUCAUCCUACACUAAGUGAAUUUAUCUCGUGAAAUAAGUAGUUUAGGAGAUGACUCAAAUAAUUAAUUUUUUAUUAGUUUAAUAAUAAGAAUUUACAAUUAUAUUUUAAAUCAUUAAAAAAUACUUAAUAAAAAUAAUUGUUAUUUAAGAUAUUACAUUUUUACAAUAAUAAAAUAAUUCAAAAUUUUUUUAUUACAAUAAAAUUUGUAAUAUAAUUGAAUCAUACACUACGUCACAUAAAAUACAAAAUAGUACUAAAUGUAAUCCGUUUCGUUCUAAACAAAGUGAAUUUAUCUCGUGAGCUAAGUAGUUUAGGAGAUAACUCAAAUAACUAAUUUCUUAUUAGUUUAGUAAUAAGAAUUUUCGAUUAUAUUUUAAAAAGUAUAAUUCAUUGCAACAAAAAUACUUAAUAAAAAUAACUGUUAUUUAAGAUAUUAAAUUUUUACAAUAAUAAAAUAAUUCAAAUUUUUAAUUAGUAUAACACUAAAAGUUGUAAUAUAAUGCGUUCUACAUCACGUAAAAUAUAAACUAGUACUAAUUAUAAUCUUGUUACAACCAUUCCUAUUAUAUUCUAUCACAUCAUAUGCUAUCAUAUUUCAUCCAGCGUGUCAAACGUGCAAAGUUUAAGUAAGAUUUGUUAAAGUUGAGUAACAUCUCAUAUGGUCAAGCGCGUGGAGUAUGGACUUACAUAAUCGAGUGGGUACAACUAAAGUCGGGUAAAGUUUGGUAAAUCUUUAUAUAUAUUGUUGGGUUGGACAACUAUAUCUUUUAAGUCAUAUAAUUAAAUAGUUUUGGUAAACAUUUACUAUUGUGACUUAAAAAUUAAUUUGAUUUGAUCUCAUACUUUAUUAUAAAAAAAAACUUAUAAUAUCUUUAUUAUUUUUAUUAAAAUUAUUAUUUAAAAGUCAUACAUUUAUUACACAUUGUCAUUUUUUUUUUCACAACAACUAGUAAUAUCGAAUAAGAACUAAGUUGAGUAUGAUCAAAUAAUUUAAGUUUUGAUUUUUAUUGUACAAAAUAAUCAUUAGAACCAACAAAGUGUUGGCUCCACUGGCAAUGGAGUCCCCUUAAGUGGCUUGACUGUGUUUGCUCCCCAGUUCGAGUCGCAGGGAAGUCACCUUUGUUGGGAGAACCUGUGCCUCUCGGUUCGAGCGAGGACUUCUAGUCUGGGUUGUGGUACGGGCUUAAAGGUGCCUCCCACAGUUGGAGCCCUCCCCAGGAUACCUCGUGGUCAAAACCAAAAAAAAACAAAAUAAUCAUUAGAUAAUUAGUCUGUAAAGAAUAUCAGCUACUUCAAAUGGAAAUUUGUGAUCAAAAGUGUACCACAGAAGUGACAAAGACACUAUAUGAGAAAUCUGAAAUAGAAUUUAAUAUCUUAGAAUAUACGACGUUGCAUCACAUAUGGUAUUUAGGCAUCAAGAAAAGAAUCCCUCUAUCUAUGAACCACACUUGCCAGGAAAUUAACACCAGGGGAAUACCACCACCUCAUACUAUUUCUUAGGUGUCUCAGAGUUUGAUGAGGACUUCCAUGCUGUGUCUCUUCGACAGGCAGCAAAAUUGGGCAAUUGACUACAUCAACUCCAACAAAUUUAUGCAGACACCUUCCUCCAGACCAUCCUGUUUCUUCGCGCUUUAGUUGCCCCUAUUUCCCAUUAUCUUGUUUGACGCCAAGGAGCCCAAGCCCAGAAACAAUGGCAUUCUUUGGUAUCAACCACUUGGAGACUUUGGUAUCAAUCCUGUUGUGCAAGGCUUCUUCAAAAGGUCAUCCGUUGAUCUUUCUCCUAAUUAGACAUUCAAAACCCUGCAUGGAAUCCAUUUGAGAAGUUGGACAAUAGACAAACUCCAACACAUAUAGACAGUAAAGAAGAAUUCAGACCGCACUCACUGUAGCUGAACAAAUGGGCCUAUUAAGCCUAUUAAAAGUUGGAACCAUAUUCACCACUCGCAUUUCCUUAGAGAACUAUAUCAGAAUUCUGUAAAUUGAAAACUAUUCUUACAUAUUUAACUGUAAAACAAGAGAAAUUAUACUUCCGUAGCAAAGUCUCACUAUUGGUAAGUAUCUGGACUUGGAAAGGAUGCUAGUUGAUCAAGUAAAGGAAAAUUGACAUCAGACUUUGAUGUGAUAGAUAUAUACACUUCAAUAGGAACCACAUUAACAACUUAUGAGACAAACAAACAAAUUCCCCAGUCAAAGUUCAACAAACAAAACACUAAAACAAGAGUAAUUUGGUCCAUCAAUGUAUAUAUAGAGAUGUCGCUGAUUAGACAAAUACGUAAAAGAAGAGGGAAUGACCUCAAAUACGUAAACAGAACAAUCUUCUAAGUUUACUCUAUUUAUAACGAAUAAGUGAACAAAGGAAUGAAAAGGAUGUUUGGCGAAGAAUCUUGCAUCUUAUCAAGUGGGGAAAGCCUUCGCAACAAAGAUGCUGCUUGCUUUCAAGCAAUAAUAAUUUUCCAAUUCCAUAAGGUAGCUUAAUGCCUUUUAAGAAUAUCUGCACCAGCCUAACAAUUAAUCAUGGAAAUUCAAUUUGCAUUUAUCACCUUUAAUUUGCUCAUCUUUGUCUCGAGUAUUGUUUUUGCGUUAACUUAACUAGCUUGCAAACCACCUGCAAAUGGUUUUAAAUAAUGUGUGAGAUUGUGAGGUCGAACGAAUUAAUCAAAUAUGAUGACAGGAGAAACAAAAUUGAAAUAACCACAAGUAGAAGUAUACUUUUGUUAUAUUUAUAGCAUCUUCUACUGUCUUCUUUUCCUUUAGUAGCUCUGUUUCUGUGUGUGCUCAAUCGCGAUGCCUCAAUCUUUUGCAGCCAUAUGCAGACUUGAAACACCGGGGUGUCCCUAAGGAACUUGAAAAUUAGAAAAGUUUCAGUAUGAGUGACUAAAUAUGAUAAUCGAAACUAAUUUAAUAUACACACCUUGUAAAUCUGAAACUAAAUUACUCUGAAUGUAUAUGCCUCUUGGCAGCAAUUGCUCGUGGUGGAAAGUUUACUGCAAAGACUUCCUCAAACCUCUGAAGCUCACACUCUUCCUGGCAACAAAGAAACAGAGUCAAUAUACGAAGAUGAUUUUACUAACAAGUGAGAGCUUGCAAAUAUUGGAAGGAUAACGAUUACUCAUAACCCAAAUCCCCAAUACCUUCUAAUUUCUCACUCACGUGAGUUCAAGCUCCCAAAAUUCAUUACAGUGAAACUCUCACAACAAAAUUCUCUUCAAAGAUUCUCUACUGAAAUUUGAUGAUGAUAUCUAGCACUGAUCAAAUUGGCUUGUGAACAAUUAAGCUGCUUAGUAUCCUUAACCUGAUAAACUUACACAAACAAAAACAACUUGCCUAAAGUUUAAUAUUUAGAGGCAGAACAAUAAAGAAGAAGAUAUAUAUUGAUACUAAAAUUUGACCUGUAUUACCCUGAUGUCAAGCAUCACUGCAUCUCAUGUGGGUAAAAUCUUCACAAUACGAGAUGCUUGCAAAAUUGAAGCAGCAUCUUAUCACCUGUAAUUUAAUUAAGACAGUAACUUUCCCCAACUAUUUUAAUGCAUUAUUGGCAACUAAAUUCAGCGGGCGCUAAUUAAAUACCCUUUUAACAAUAUCUUCUUAUUCUUCUCCAAUCUAACAGUUAUUUGGAAAAUCUAAAUGAUAGUCAUGCAUCAAUGGCGUCAAAGUUUGGCUACAAAGCAGCCUGGAAAAGGCUUUACUCUCUGAGUGAGAGCAUGAAUUUGAAAAAUAUGAUGAAUGAAGAAACAAAGGCAUAAUACCACAAGAAGUCAAACUUUUCCCCAGAGCUCUGUUUCUGUUUGUGCUAAAGCCAAUGGAAACCGAAGGAAAUGAAUUUCUACGAAUUAGACAUAUCAGCCAAACAAGUACUCUAUACAAGCAAAGUAAAAGAGAGUUAAAAAAAUUUUAAGAUUGAUAUGAUAAUUAAAAUUUCAGUCACCAUAUAAUUAAUAGAAAACUUUGUACACAAUGAUUUAUGGCGUAAUAAGACUGCAUAUCUAAAUUUUAAUUGCGAUACAAAAUAUGAUAUUAGCAUUAGGAGACCGCACCAAAACGUACCGUAUUGAAUGUGCCUUUUCACAACCAUUGUACAAGCUUUGAAGCUUUGGCACAAAUGCUUUUUCAAACCCAUGAACAUGAUGCACCCGAGAGAUGCAAGAUAUGAAAUUGUUACUACAGCAGGGAUUGAAACAUUUGUUAAGAAAGGAAGUUUAUGAAAAUACGCUUAACAUUCAUUAGAUAAAUGCCUUCAGGAAUCAAUUCAUCUGUAGUAACAAUUUUCAAAGAGCAUCAACUGCUUUAAGUCCCUCAACAUCACAGACAUCUUCAAUUAAAAUAGCGCAGAUCCGGCCAUCACUAUUCCUUCUACUGCUCUUUUGCUUUAGAGAACGCUUCAAUUACAAAAUGCGUGUAAGGCUUUCUUGUUCAAGGUCCAGCGAUCAAACCUUGCACAAUAACAACAGAGGUAGUAGUUCCAUCGCCAGCCUAAUCCUUGGACUUCCCAACAUUCUCCACGAGUAGGAAAUCAACCUAAAAAAUAAGAAUGAGUUUGAAAAACAGUUUAUGGCCCUAAAGAACUUGAAAAUCAGAAAUGAUUAAGAAUGAGUGACUAAACAUUUUAAUCGACUAAACAUACAAAACUUGAAAACCCAAUAUUGAAGUACUCUGAAUGAAUGUGCAAUUGCACGAGCUGGUGACAACUGACUUUACUGCAAAGGCUCUUUCAAACCCUUGGAGAUGAUAACCUGAUAACACAAAGAAACACAAUGAAUAUUAAAGGAUAUUCUGACAACGCAAAUUUGUGCAAACUAUGAAGUGUGGUUACCUGCAUAAUGGUGUCAACACCAAAUUCCUGCCUCCAUUGACGCAUAUGAUAAUAUUAGCACAAUUCAAUAUGUUUAUAUAGGAUAAAUGAUUCUGAGAAUGAAGCAAGAUAGAAAUGAUGAUCUUAAUUGAAACAGAGCGAACCCGGCCAUCACUUCCUUCUUCAAAGUCCAGCAACCAAACGUUGCACAAUAACCACAGUGAUAAUCCUUGGUUACCCCAAUGUUCUCCAUAGAGUCUUCAACGUCAACUUAAAAAUGAAAUGAAAAUGCAAUGCAGGUGGAAAUGAAAAUUCUAUAAACAAAAUAAAAAAAAAAAAUGCAAUGCUUGACCUUGAGCUUGCUUUAAUAAUCAUAAUAAUCGAAUUUGGAUAUAUCUUUACUUCCCUGUGGUUCAAUCAUUUACUUCUCUGUUCUUGUUUAUUCACAACAAGAUAUCAAUAGAAGAAGAUGGAAAUGAAAUUCUACAAAAUAAAGCAAGUGAAUUACCAGCAGAACAUUUUAGCAAUCCUUUGGCUAAACUUUUCAUUUUCUUAGCAAACUCUCCUGCCUGCAUCAUUAAAACCAAAUUAGAUUGGACCUGUGGAUUGCUAGUGUGGUUCUGACAUUUCCUCGAAUCCCUGGUGAACAUAAUUAAACAAGUAUGAAAUAAAACAAAGUGGGCUAAUGUAGUAAAAACAAUAACACAAUUACUUUAAAGAAUUAAUGUCACGUAUAUUAUAUAUAAAAAAAUACGAUUAUCAUUAUAUAAGAUAAAAUUGAUAAUUUAGUUUUCAACAUUACUGGAAACGUAUCACAGAGAUUUUGUCUCUCAGCAAGUUACACAUAACAAAUUUUCGUACAUUAAAAAAUAAAUUACAUUGCAUGAAAUUUUACAAAAGAGCACAUAUUUUUUAAAAGUAAAUAUAGAAAUUUCAACAGACUACACUUGUUUUUUUUAUUUUUUAUUAUUUAAUCUUUAGAAAACAAGUUUAACAGAUUUGAUAACUAGGAAGUUUUACGUAUUUAUACCAAGAUUGAUUCUAUAUAGAAUUUUAAUUCAAAAUAUAAUUAUUUUUAUUAAUUUCAUUGCAAGCAACAACGAAGUAAAUCAGAGGAGGAGGAGAAAUUACCAGCGAGUGAUAUCUUACGGCUACCACUUGAUGUGGGGAAUGUGAGAUAUCUUAUGCCAGUCUUCUCCUUUCCCCUCUCUAUAACGGUUUUCCAGAAGAGGACAUAUGUGAAUAGUCAAUUCCUGCAGCGUCGACGUUCGAAGGAGGUAAUCCGGCAGCACCUUUAAUUUGGGGCAAUUCUGAAUAAACAAGAAAGAAAGACGCGGUAUGUCUGUUGUCCUGCGAUCUUCUAGAAUGGGCAGUUCUUCCAAAUUUUCACAAGAAUAAAUACUCAGUUCCUGCAGUGCCGUCGUUUGAAGAAGGUAAUCUGGCAGUACCUUUAAUUUGUUGCAAGACCAAAUCAUCAAGGAAGAAAGACGUGGCAUGAUGGAGAUGUUUUCCUUCCUCGUAAUCCUGUAAUUCCACUCUUCCAAUUCUUGCAUGUCCCAAAUUUUGAGAGAUUUCAAUUUGGUGAAGGCAGUAACUGAUGAUGAUGAUGAAGAUGAGGACGGCUCAUCAUCACUGCUUUCUUCUAUUCCCAAAAACUCAUUACCCACUCUUUUUACACUUGUCAAGUACUUUAGUUCGAGUUUUUCCAGAGGUAAUUUUCCCAAAGGAGGCAAAUGCUCACAGUUAAAACACAACGAAAGUUUUAGUUCCCUUAGAUUGGUUAGCGAAGUCAACCAUUUGGGAAAAAUGUUGCCUCCGUAGCAUUUAAUCCUUAACUCCUCUACAUUCACAGGCGGUUGUAAGGCUUCAAGAAGUUGUUUAUCUUUCUCAUUCUUCCUCCUCCCUUCUUCACCUUCCAUAUCUACGACUCCAAACAGAAGAUGCAAACGAAGGAGGUUUUUCUUAUUGUAAAGUUGUAACCUCUUAGCCUCAUCUACAUGCGAUACAUUACUCAGUUCUUCUACUCUACAUUCACGAAGGAGUUGAAGAUUUUUCAGAGAUUCAAGCCUACACGUGCUGCCGCCAUCAACACCUCCACCCACAACAAACCUUUCUAAUGUUCGAAGGCUGGUCAAUCUGGAAAUCCCUAUUGGCAGGUACUCCAACGAAGAAGUUUUAGCAUUCAGUAAACUCCUCAUGUUCAUUAACUUCCCAAUCCCCGCUGGCAAUUCUCUAAGAUUUCGGCACCGCCUAAUAUCUAGCUUUUGUAAAUUAUAUAAUUCACACAAAGUCUCAGGUUGUCUCUCUAUACACAGUCCAGACAAAUUAAGAUAUUUUAAAUGUAUCAAUUUUCCGACAUUUUCUGGAAUUUCUCUAAUCAAAUUUGGGUCAAAAUAAAAAGGAUAAAAAUAUACGAAUGAUUGCCUUAUAACUAAUGUCCUUAAACACGCCAAUUUACUAAAUAACUCCUGAAGGAUACUACUAUUAAGACUCAGAUUGGAAUAACUUUCAUCAUAAAUUAAGAGGCUACGCAAUCUAUCAAAUUCAAAAAAGGACGUAGGAAAUGAAGCACCUCUUUCAAAAUUUAACCCUAAGUGACGGACUUUCUCACCAAAAGAGUUUAUGACUGAUUCUUUGGUACCAUUAAUUUCUAGCCACAAACAUUCUUUGCUACUUACAAAUUGAGCAAAAUCAUGUACUAUGUCAUGCAUCUUGCAACUCAUAAUAUCAUCAUCAUCAUUUUUCUCAAACUCUUGAAAGAAAGAGCGUGCUGCUAAAAUGUUGAAACAUUCUUCCCCAGUAAUGUCCAUCUCUUCAUAUUCUUCUGCAUUAAGGUAACCUUGAGCCAUCCAUAGUGAAAUUAGUUCCUCUUUAUUCAUAUUGUAGUCUUUUGGAAAGACAGCACAAUAUGAGAAACACCGUUUUACCAUAGAAUUGGAGGGCAAAUCGUUAUAACUCAACAACAAAGGAGCUAAAAGACCUUGCCCAAUCUCUUCUACUUUCCACAUUUCACUCUUUAAAAUUCUUUGCCACUCAUUUACUGUAAUUUUAGAGCGCAAGAGAUUCCCUAUUACCUUUGCAGCAAGAGGCAGGCCUUUGCACUUCAGUGCAAUUUUUCGCCCAAUUGGUUCUAAUUUUUCACAAUCUUCGAAAGAGCGACUGGAAAAUGCCAACCGCUUGAACAACGACCAACAUUCCUCUUCAGCCAAUUGCUUAAUGAAGAUAAUAUUUGUUGAUCCCAUCAUACGUGCAACUGACUCAUUACGUGUGGUAACUAAAAUUUUACUUCCUUGGAGACCAUUCUUUAGACAAAGGAAGAAUGGUUCCCAUUUAUUUUAACUCCCAUCCCAUACAUCAUCUAAGACAAGAAAAAACUUUUUUCCUUCAAUUGAUCUAUGGAUAUGGCUCGUAAGAGAUUGGAAUUCGUUUAAACUAGGAGCUGACUCACCUAGACCUUCAAUGAUUGCUUUGACAACCCUAAUCUCCUCAAAAGUGUCUGAUACACACACCCAUAUAACUUUUUCAAAAUUUCUUUUCACCUCAUCAUUAUUAUAGGCUAGUUGUGCAAGAGUGGUUUUACCUAUACCCCCUAACCCAACUAGUGAGAUGACAUGAAGGCCUUUUUGUUGUUCACUACUUUCACACAACAACUUGCUUAAGAGCUCAUUUUUCUCAUCAACUCUACCGCAAACCUCUCCCUCAUCAAUCAAGGAGGUGGUUCGCACUCGCUCUGGUUUCUUAACAUUGUUGCUCACAUUCUCAACAAAUUUAAACGUAUCUUUUUGGGAGGCAAUAUCAUCUAGCUUUCCAUUGAUUUCCCUAAUCUUGACGGCAAUGUCAUGACGAAGACUAAGUUGUUUGAAACUACCAAAGCAGUUUGAUACAGCACAAAAGAAGGAGCGUACCUUCUUCUUAUGAGGAGCAAGAGCAAGAGCAUUGUCAUCAUCAACGCCCUCAAUCUGCAAUUUGAGCCUUGCAGUGGUCCACUCCUCCAACACGUCUUCCAUGUCGUAAGAUGCGUCUUUGAGCUGAUCCAGCCAAAAAGUAACAGCAUUGUCGCGCUGCAUUUGCCUUUUCUCUGCAUCUUCCAGCACAGCUCGAAUGGCUCGAAGAUUGCUGGUAAGCUUUUUCACUUCUUCUCGGACACCAGUCACAAGCCUCACGUGUUGUUUCACUUCAUCAGCCGCAACGGAGAUCAGCUGCUCCAGGAGAGAGGAAACGAUCGCAUCAACCAUUCUGACAAAGAAAACGAGAAUUUUGAUGAGUUAUUAGAUGUGCUUUUGUUGCGAAGAUAUGAAAGAAAAGGAGUUAUUGCGUUCUUUUAUACUGCAUAGAAAAAGCUUAUGCUUAUCCCCACCCCACACGUCAAUGAUUGUAGAAUGUUUAUUUUCCCUGAUUCUACUCCACUAGUUGUGAUGCGUAAUUAUAAAUAUUCUCAAGUUAUGUAUGAAAAUAGCACAAAUUUGGAUCUAGUAAUGAUUUUUAUGUACUUUUUCAUCAUCUUCUAAAAUACCAUCUCUGCAUGUGCACGAAAUAUGGAAUUGGGUGAAAAAAGUUAUGCUUAUCCCCACCCACACGUUAGUAAUUGUAGUAGCAUCUUUAAUUUCCAUGAUUCUACUCCACGGACGAACACAUUUUUUGUAGUAACAUCUUUAAAUUCCCACACGUUAGGAAUUUGGCACAUAUCUCAAACUCGUCGCAUCUUUAACGUAUGAAGUUGAUGAAUAAAUUCUUUUCUCAUGUCAAUUUAAAACUCCGAGAUUAUGUGCCAAAUUCCUAACGUGUGGGAAUUUUACCUCCUAAGUAAUCCGGCCCACUACCAAGUGCCAACUUUUUCUCUGUCGAGUUAAUGAUGUUGUUUUGUUUUCCUUGUUUUAAUUAAUGUUGCCGAGAGAAACAGAUCGAUGCAAAUGGCUAGCCAGGUUUUGCAGAAACCGUGAAUGGUCUUGCAUGUGACAUAAAGCUUAAUCAUGUAUAUAUGUGUGUUGACACUUGCCAGUUCAUUUUUGUUAUAAAGAUUAUUGAUACUCAUAAAUGUACUACUUACAAAUCAUAAAUUUUGAGUUUGACACUUUAGUUUCAUUUUGUAAUCCCUACACUCUUUAAAUAUUUGUAACAAUAUAUUUCAAACUUUAACUCAGACGUAAUGAAUGAAGGGGGAUCCUCUUCUUAUAUAAAUUUUUAUUUUUUAACGUUCAAGUUACAUUUGAUUACGUGUACUUAUUAUCUAGUUUUGACUAUCUAAUUACAUUUGAUUACGUGUACUUAUUAUAUAAUUUUUUUUUGAAAUGAUGGAUCUGGUGAGAUUUUUUACAUCUUGGAUCAGUAGGUCAAGAACAGGCAGGGCAGGGCCUUCUCUGAAGUCAAUCUUGUGAGCAACACCAGCUUUUUGGAUAAUUGGCAGCCCCAAUUCAUAAUUUUCUCUAUUGAUGUCCAUGGCCAAAAUCUGCAACCGAAGCUUAUUCUACUCUUAUUAAUCGAGAGAUAAUUUUACCUCUAACUAAUUUAAUUGGGAGGAAAAUCGAGAGAGAUAUCCACUUUGUCCUUAUUAAUUGAGAGAUAAUUUUACCCUUACCCAAUUUAAUUGGAAAGAAAAUCGAAUUCCAACAAUAACUAGGACUCGAAUCCAUGCACUUAAGCUAACUUUAUGCUUUUGGACGCAUGGUUAUAAUGUUCUUUAUUUAAAUCCUAACAAAUGGUGGGACUUGAACUUGUGCCUACAAACAUUGAGUGCUUAGGGGCUGCAAAAUUUCAUAACUUAAUUUUAGUUGAUGUGGCAUGUGCCCUAUCACAUCAAUGUAGAUAAUAAUAAUUAAUACAUUAACAAAAUGAAAAAUAUUAGUUUACAAAAUACAAAUCCAAAUUUUUUGUGUGAGAGGGGAUUUAAAAGGGAGAGACUAAACAAAUGUGGUGAAAAACGACAUGUAUUACUACAACUGAAAAUACGAAGUCUAGGCAAUUGAAAACAUCGGGUUUUUUAUUUAAAUAUCCCCAAUUUGUCCUUAAAUACCAAAUUUAUACCCUAUUAUAUACAUAUACCUCACGAAGAUAGGGAAAGUAAAAAAUAACCUAAAAAAAUCAGGAAUCCGCACAUUUCUUCCUCUUAGUUCAGAAAGAUGUCGAGUACGAAGUCGGGUAAGUCGAGAAUUUAGUCGAGCAAGAAUUGGAGAUAAGUAAGUCAAUUAGGAAGUUGAGUAAGCAUAUUAAGUGAGUCGAGUAUUAAGUGGUUGAGUAUUAAGUAAAAGUCAAGUAAAUUUUUUGAACAAGUCGAGUAAAAUUUAUGUAAUUUUUAAAGAGGUCGAGUAUUAAGUCGGGUAAGUACAUUGGGUCGAGUAUUAAUAUUUUUAAAGAAGUGAAGUCUGAUAAGUUGAGCAUUUAGUCGAGUAAGAAGUUAAGGCAAUUGAAUAAGUCGAGUAUCUAGUUGAGUACAAAGUCGGGUAAGUUGAGCAUUCAGUCGAAUAAGAAGUAAAGACAAUUGAAUAAGUCGAGUGUCUAGUCGAGUACGAAGUCGAGUAUGAAAUCUGGUAAGUUGAGCAUUCAGUCGAGUGAGAAGUGAAGGCAAUUGAAUAAGUCGAGUAUCUAGUCGAGAACGAAGUCGGGUAUGAAGUCUGGUAAGUUGAGCAUUUAGUCGAGUGAGAAGUGAAGACAAUUGAAUAAGUCGAGUAUCUAGUCGAGUACAAAGUCGGGUAUGAAGUAUGGUAAGUUGAGCAUUUAGUCGAGUAAGAAGUGAAGGCAAUUGAAUAAGUCGAAUAUCUAGUCGAGUACGAAGUCAGGUAUAAAGUAUGGUAAGUUGAGCAUUCAGUUGAGUAAGAAGUGAAAGUAAUUGAAUAAGUCGAGUAUCUAGUCGAGUAAUCAAACCAAUUUUCUCCAUAGAGUCUUCAAAGUCAACCUAAAAAUGAAAUGCAGGUGGAAAUGAAAAUUCUAUAAACUAAAUAAAAUAAAAUGCAAUUCUUGAGCUUGAGCUUGCUUUUACAUCAUCAUAAUAGUGAAUUUUGAUACAUCUUUACUUUUCUGUUCUUGUUUAUUCACAACAAGAUAUCAAUAAAAGAAGAUGGAAAUGAAAUUCUAUAAAAUAAAGCAAGUGAAUUACCAGAAGAACAUUUUAGCAAUCCUUUGGCUAAAAUUUUCAUUUUCUUAGCAUACUCUCCUGCCUGUGAAUUGCUAGUGUGGUUCUAACAUUUCCUCGAAUCCCUGGUGAACAUAAUUAAACUCGUAUGAAAUAAAACAAAGUGGGCUAAUGUACUACUAAAAACAAUUACACAAUUACUUUAAAGAAUUAGUGUCUGUUUGGUAUGGCUUAUUUAAGAGGCAUAAGUGCUUAUUUAAUCGUAUAAGCACUUUUUAAAAAUUUUUAUGGUGUUUGGUUAUUUUUUUUGCUUAAAUAAGGUAAUUUACCUCUACUAGCAAAAGUCCAAAAUUUGAGCUUUUGGGAGUAGAGGUUAUAGAGCUUUUCUAAAAAUAUAUAAUAUAAAAAAUAUCACACAGUUUAAUGGUUCAAAAGUGAUUUUUUUAUUGACAACCAAACACCCAAUGACUUUUUUGACCAAAAGCUUUAUUAGUAUAAGCUCUGCUGCUAUAAGCUCUACUGUUAUAAGCUCUAUUUAAUAAGCUGUACCAAACAGAGCCUUAAUGUCACAUAAAUUAUAUAUAAAAAAAUACGAUUAUCAUUAUACAAGAUAAAAUUGAUAAUUUAGUUUUCAACAUUACUGCAAAUGUAUCACAGACAUUUUGUCUCUCAGCGAGUUACACAUAACAAAUUUUCGUACAUUAAAAAAUAAAUUGCAUUGGGAUUUUCUAUGAUAUUGUAUGAAAUUUUACAAAAGAGCACAUAUUUUUUUAAAGUAAAUAAAUAUAGAAAUUUCAGCAGACUACACUUGUAUUUUUUUAUUAUUUAAUUUUUAGAAAACAAGUUCAACAGAUUUGAUCACUAGGAAGUUUUACAUAUUUAUACCAAGAUUGAUUCUAUAUAGAAUCUUAAUUCAAAAUAUAAUUAUUUUUAUUAAUUUCAUUGCAAGCAACAAUGAAGUAAAUCAGAGGAGGAGAAAUUACCAGCGAGUGAUAUCUUACGGCGACCAAUUGAUGUGGGGAAUGUGGGAUAUCUUAUGCCAGUCUUCUCCUUUCCCCUCUCUUAACCCCAAAUUGUCAAUGUCUGCAGUGUCGUUGUUUGAAGUAACAACAAAGUAAAAUACAGAGAAAUUACCGGUAGGUGAUAGUAAUUGCAACCAUUCGAGAAUUUACCACUCGAUGUGGGGAAUGUGAGAUAUCCUAUGCCAGUCUUCUCCUUUCCCCUCUCUAUAACGGUUUUCAAGAAGAGGACAUCCCUCAAUACUCAAUUCCUGCAGCGUCGUCGUCCGAAGAAGGUAAUCCGGCAGCACCUUUAAUUUGGGGCAAUACCAAAUCGUCAAGGAAGAAAGAUGUGGUAUGUCUGUUGUCCUGCGAUCUUCUAGAAUGGGCAGUUCUUCCAAAUUUUCACAAGCAUGAAUAACCAGUACCUGCAGUUCCGUCGUUUGAAGAAGGUAAUCCGGCAGCGCCUUUAAUUUGUUGCAAAAACCAACUUUUAAGGAAGAAAGAUGGGGCAUGAUGGAGAUGUUUUCCUUCCUCGUAAUCUUGUAAUUCCACUCUUCCAAUUCUUCCAAUGCUACAAUUUCGAGUGAUUUCAAUUUGGGGAAGGCAAUAACUGAUGAUGACGAUGAAGAUGAAGAUGGGCCAUCCUCACUGCUUUCUUCUAUUCCCAAAAACUCAUUACCCACUCUUUUUACACUUUUCAAGUGGAUGAUUACGAGUUUUUCCAGAGGUAAUUUUCCCAAAGGAGGCAAAUGCUCACAGUUAAAACACGAGGAAAGAUAUAAAUUCCUUAGAUUGGUUAGUGAAGUCAACCAUUUGGGAAAAAUGUUGCCUCGGUAGGAUUCAAUCUCUAAUUUCUCUAAAUUCACAGGCGGUUGUAAGGCUUCAAGAAGUUGUUUAUCUUUCUCAUUCUUCCUCCUCCCUUCUUCGCCUUCCCCAUCUACGACUCUACCAAACUCAAGAUGCAAACGAAGGAGGUUUUUCUUAUUGUCUCAUCUACAUGCGAUACAUUACUCAGCCCUUCUACUCUACAUUCACGAAGGAGUUGAAGAUUUUUCAGAGAUUCAAGCCUACACGUGCUGCCACCAUCAACACCUCCACCCACAACAAACUUUUCUAAUGUUCGAAGGCUGGUCAAUCUGGAAAUCCCUAUUGGCAUGUACUUCAACGAAUAAGUUUCACCAUUCAGUAAACUCCUCAUGUUCUUUAACUUCCCAAUCCUCGCAGGCAAUUCUCUAAGACUUGGGCACCGCCUAAUAUCUAGCUUUUGUAAAUUAUAUAAUUCACACAAAGUCUCAGGUAGUCUCUCUAUACAUAGUCCAGACAAAUUAAGAUAUUUUAAAUGUAUCAAUUUUCCAACAUUUUCUGGAAUUUCUGUAAUCAAAUUUGGAUCUGAACGCAAACGAAUGGACAAUUGGCUUAUAACUAAUGCCCUUAAACACGCCAAUUUUCUAAAUAACUCCCGAAGGAUGCUGCGAUUAAGACUCCUAUUGGAAUAACUUCUAUCAUAAAUUAAGAGGCUACGCAAUCUAUCAAAUUCAAAAAAGGACAUAGUAAAUGAAGCGCCUCCUUCAAACUUUAACCCUAAGUGACGGACUUUCUCACCAAAAGAGUUUAUGACUGAUUCCUUGGUACCAUUAAUUUCUAGCCACAAACAUUCUUGCCUACUUACAAAUUGAGCAAAAUCAUAUACUAUGUCAUGCAUCUUGCAACUCAUAAUAUCAUCAUCGUCAUAAUAUUUUUCAAACUCUUGAAAGAAAGAGCGUGUUGCUAAGAUGUUGAAAUACUCUUCUCCAAUCAUCUCCAUUUCUUCGUCUUCAUCUGCAUUAAGGUAACUUUGAGCCAUCCAUAGAUUAAUCAAUUCCCUUUUAUUCAUAUUGUAGUCUUUUGGAAAGACAGCACAAUAUGAGAAGCACCGUUUUACCAUAGAAUUAGAGGGCAAAUCGUUAUAACUCAACAACAAAGGAGCCAAAAUACCUUGCCCAAUCUCUUCUACUUUCCACAUUUCACUAUCUAAAAUUCUUUGCCACUCUUUUACUAUACUUUUAGAGCGCAAGAGAUUCCCUAUUACCUUUGCAGCAAGAGGCAGGCCUUUGCACUUACAUGCAAUUUUUCGCCAAAUUGGUUCUAAUUUUUCACAAUCCUCAAAGGACCUACGUAGAAAUGCUAUCUACUUAAACAGUAACCAACAUUCCCCUUCACCCAACUCCUUGACAGGGAUAAUAUUUAUUGAUCCCAACUGUAGUGCAACUGACUUAUCACGUGUGGUAAUCCGAAUUUUACUUUCAUGGUGGCCAUUCUUUAGACAAGAAAAGAAUGGGUCCCAUUCUUUAUAAUCUCCAUCCCACACAUCAUCUAAAACAAGAAAAAAUUUCUUCCCCGUAAUAUAUUCCUGAAUCUGUUUCAUAAGAGAUUCGAAUUCGCUUAAACCAGAAGCUGACACGCCUAGACCUUCAAUGAUUGCUUUGGCGACCCUAAUCUCCUCAAAAGUGUCUGAUACACACACCCAUAUAACUUUUUCAAAAUUUAUUUUCACCUCAUCAUUAUUAUAGGCCAGUUGUGCAAGAGUGGUUUUACCUAUACCCCCUAACCCAACUAGAGAGAUGACAUAAAGGCCUUGUUGUUGUUCACUACUUUCACACAACAACUUGCUUAAGAGCUCAUUUUUCUCAUCAACUCUACCGCAAACCUCUCCCUCAUCAAUCAAGGAGGUGGUUCGCACUCGCUCUGGUUUCUUAACAUUGUUGCUCACAUUCUCAACAAAUUUAAACGUAUCGUUUUGGGAGGCAAUAUCAUCUAGCUUUCCAUUGAUUUCCCUAAUCUUGACGGCAAUGUCAUGACGAAGACUAAGUUGUUUGAAACUACCAAAGCAGUUUGAUACAGCACAAAAGAAGGAGCGUACCUUCUUCUUAUGAGGAGCAAGAGCAAGAGCAUUGUCAUCAUCAACGCCCUCAAUCUGCAAUUUGAGCCUUGCAGUGGUCCACUCCUCCAACACGUCUUCCAUGUCGUAAGAUGCAUCUUUGAGCUGAUCCAGCCAAAAAGUAACAGCAUUGUCGCGCUGCAUUUGCCUUUUCUCUGAAUCUUCCAGCACAGCUCGAAUGGCUCGAAGAUUGCUGGCAAGCUUUUUCACUUCUUCUCCGAAACCAGUCACAAGCCUCACGUGUUGUUUCACUUCAUCAGCCGCAACGGAGAUCAGCUGCUCCAGGAGAGAGGAAACGAUCGCAUAAACCAUUCUGACAAAGAAAACGAGAAUUUUGAUGAGUUAUUAGAUGUGCUUUUGUUGCGAAGAUAUGAAAGAAAAGGAGUUAUUGCAUUCUUUUAUACUGCAUAGAAAAUGUUUAUGCUUAUCCCCACCCCACACGUCAAUGAUUGUAGAAUGUUUAAUUUCCCACACGUUAGGAAUUUGGGACAUAAUAAUAAAUAUUCUCAAAUUUGUCGCAUCUUUAACGUAUGAGCACGUGUUUUGUCUAUGUCACUUUUUUUCUAUCUUACUGCAAUAUCAGGUAGAGGAAUUCGAUCAGUUUCCCCAACAGAUGGGAAACGAUGUCAUCAGCCAAUUGAUGUUGGAUUAAAUGCUAAAUGUUACGAUUGCUUUUGUUGCGAAAAUGCUCAAAGAAAAGUGGCUUUUGUGUAUUCUGUGAGAAUGCUCAUUCAAGCAUUUUUGCAUUCUUCUUAUACUACGUGAGGUAUUUAAUUUUUACCCUUGAGUCAAUGUCAAUGUGAAAGCUUUUAUGCUGCAAAUUAAAGAAAUCCCAGACCAAUAAUUGUACAACAUCUGCCCUGUCUCUCUGAUUCAUAAUAAUUAUGCAGACUACUCAGCAUCGGCACUUGUAAAAUUUCUUACAUUAUAAGUAACGAAAUAUUUGUAAACUACCACAAAAAGCUUGGAGCAAUCUACUGAUGAACCUUCUGAAGUUACAUAAAAUAGAAUAAUCUUAGUGUUGGAACAAUUUUAAAAUAAAUGAUGUCUCAUUAUAAAGACAUAUCUAAUUAAUAUAGAAGAGUAAUCUUUUGAUAUUUAAUAAAUAUCAUACUAUGGUCUAUGACUUAGCUCAUACUACAAAGAAAAUAUGUGAAAGAUAAUUAAGGAAUAAAGCUUUCAACAACGAUUUAUAAAAUUGCUUUUGAUAAAACUGUUCUGAUGAAAUGAAAUUAUGUGAAAUUACUAAGAAUUUAAUUAGCCUCUCAAAAAGGUUCAUUGAUUGCUUGACUUCUCAAGUUUAAAAUUCGAAUGUCAAAACAGAUAAAACGUUAAAAAAUUAUUUUGAGUUUUAUCCACCCGUUUACCAUUUUAAUACAUAAAACUCUCCUAUUGCUUUAAAGUAUCAUUUUUUGUUUUAAACAAAAAAUGACACUUUAGUAUCAUAUGUUUGCAAGAUAUUCGGCCAUGAGUGUUGACGGAAAUUUCUUCAUCCUUGAGCGGAAAAUAAAAAGAAAAACAUAGUUCGCAAUUUUAGUAGCGAAACCAAUAUUUUGAUCCAUAUGGGGUAAAUCUUCAGGAGGCCCAACUUCAAACUUAAAAUGUUAGCUGAGGGUUUAAUUUUAGACUGUUUUUCUAUUUAUAGUUAUUAUAUAGUUGUUAGGAAUUUCGAAAUUUUAGAAUUUUGCUUGUAGCUACAGGCUGCAGCGAUUUUAUUUGGCGACUUUGAUUCAUAAUUGAAGUACUGUUGCAAGUAAAAACUAAAAAAAUAAUUAACAAAAUAAAAAUCAAAGACUUAGGCCCAAGUUUUUAUCAAAAUUUUAAUAAAAGGCUAUUUGUCACAUCGUCAUAAUGGAAAAAUAAUUAAUACAAUAAACAAAUCGAGUUACUUGAUUUUAUUUUAAUAAUAUAUAAAUAAAAUUUUUAUUAUAUGUAUAAAUUUUAUAUAUCAAGUUCUUAGGGGUCAAAUCAGUUUUUUUAUACCUAAUUUUUAAUAUUUCACUUCGAAACCUCAAAAUUUUUCAAAGCUUGUAGGGUCAUGAUCCUCACUAGGAGUGGGCAAAUUUGUGUUCAUAUUAACUUAAUCGGGUUUUAGGUUGAUUGGGUUAGAAUAUUCAGAUUGGAUUGUAUCAAAUCAAAAAUUCAAGUUUAGUUUGGAUUGCAUCAGGUUAUAAUUAUAUGGGGAUCAAGUUGGAGUUGGAUUAGCCAACUUGGAUUAAAAUCAAAUUUGGUCAGCUAGGAUGGAUUCAGAUAAUGUUGGGAUUAGGGGUGUUUUUGAGCCUAUUUUGUUUAUUUUCAGUUUUUUUUUAAAUUAUUUUAGUUCUUGAAGAUGGUUUUAUUGUAAUUAUCUCAUUUGAAUUUGUUUUUACCAAUUUUCAACCAAAAAAAAUGAAAACUACUACUAUAAAAUCAAAUGAAUAAAAAUUGAAAUGAACUACUACUAUUAGAUUGGAUCGGAUCCUCAUCUCUUGGCCUUCUUAUACAAUAAGGUAACUUUGAGCCAUCUAUAGUGUAGUUUUCAUUUUUUUUAUUGGUCAUUUAUAUUGUAAGAAUUUCCCUAUUAAUAUUGUUCCCAAUCUCUUCUACCUUCUACAUAUCACUAUCUAAAAUUCUUUUCCAUUCUUCUGUUGGUCAUUUAUAUUGUAAGAAUUUCCCUAUUGCCUUUGCAAUAAGAGGCAGGCCUUGCAUGCAAUUUUUUUUAUCAUUUGGUCACCAUCCUUAAAAAAUUGACCAAAAAAUGCUACUUGCUUAAACAAUGACCAACAUUCUUCUUCAGUUAAUUCCUUAAUAAAAAUAAUAUUUGUUAAUCUCAUCAUGCUUGCUAUUAUCUAAUGAUGUGUAGUAAUCAAAAAAUUGACUACUGUAGAGACCAUUCUUUAAACAAUAGAAGAAUGGUUCCCAUUGAUUGUAACUUCCAUCCCACACGUCAUCUAGGACAAGAAAAAAAAAAAUCUUUCCCUCAUUAGAUUUAUCAAUAUGGUUUACAAGAGAUAACCUAAUAUUUGUCUGUUGCCAUUCUUGCAUUAUAUGCAUACUCCAUGACUUACAAGAUUGCUUCUUUGACCAUCUAUCUGAUAACCUCCAAUGGCAAAGCUAGCAUCAUUUGUUUGGGUGGGCUAGAUUUAAAAAAAAUGAAAUUUACUUCUCAAAAAAUUUGUUUUAUAUAAAUGAAAUUAAGCACACUACAUAAGCAAAAAUUUAACCAUAAAACUAUAAAAAUACAAUGUAAAUAAGAAAAACAAUAUUGACGAAGAUGUGUCCUACGGUUCUUCAAAAAAGAAAAUUCAUCUACUAUCGCAUAUGAGUCAAUAUUGUCUGCAAUUUCUCUUUCCAUGUAAAUAACCAUACAAUCUGAAAGAAACUCAUUCUCCAUCUUGUUUCAAUGUGUUGUCUUAAUCAGUUUCAUGGCAGAAAAUGCUCUCAACUGUUGUUGCUGUUGAAACAAGAAGGGUUAACACUAAAUGAUUAACACUAAACAAGAAGGGUUAACAAGAAGGGUUAAUCUAUCCAACAAGAAAUAAAUCUAUGACUUUCUAGUCUCAACCAAUCUUCGACACAGUUUAGAAAGGGAAGUAAUAUUCUGAAACUCUUGAAGAGAGUGUAUAUCUAUCUCAAAGCACUCUAAUUGUCUUCUCAAAGCCUGUAACUCAAUCUUAGUGAAUCUUUAGGAUAAAAUCUUUCAGCAAGGCUGUAAAUAUCUUCAAUUUUAAAUGAUUUAAAUGCAUCAAUAGGAUUUAAAGCUGAACUAAGAGUGAGGAGUUCCAAAGUCUGUUAAGCAAAUCUAUUAUUCAACUCCAUCAAUUGAAAAUCUAUCACAGCAUUAAAUAUAUCAUAAUGAUAAUAAUGCUCAACUGUAAUAUAAUUAUUCUGCUGACAAGAACAUCCUCUGCCUUUCAUAUGGCGAGCUUUCAUAUCAGGCAUAUCUAUCUCAUUCUUUUCAUAAAAUAGAACUACGUUCUCAAUAAAAGUUUUCCAACCAUUGUCUCGCAGCCUUUGAAGAAGUUUUUUCGUAGUUGAGACUAAGUGCACAACAUUUAGAAUAUCUUGAGAUUUAACUUGUAAUGCUUGACAAAGUAAAUCACUCACCCCCAAAACUUUAUUUAAUAAAUGCAAAAUGAACACAAAUUUAAAAGAUGUCAUUGAUUCACAUGCACCUUUAGCCUCUCCACAUAUACUAUUGUUAGGUCCACACUCGACCAACUUCUCAAGAACUUUACGAACAACACUAAACAAAUCAAGCAACCUACUGAUAGAAUGGAAAUGAGAGCUUCACCAAGUAGCUCCAGGCCGUUGCAAAGUAUGAAUUUGAUUGGCCCCUGUACCAGUUUGAACUUCUCCUGAAGCUAUCAAAUCUAUUAUUUCUGCUUCCCAAACAAAUUUUAACUCAGAAAGUCGUUUAGCAGAUGAAGUCAGAACAUUUACAAUUGAACCCAAUGCUGAAAAGAAAAGCCAUACAUCUGGCACAUCAUUAGAUGCUGCAACUAAAGCAAGUAGUUGAUGUGCAAAACAGUGUAUAUUAUAUGCAUAUGGGCAAUCUUUCAAAAAUAAUGCUUGUAAUCCAUUCCAUGCAUCCCGCAUGUUACUAGCACCAUCAUACCCUUGCCCUCGGAUAUUUUCAACUAAAAGAUCAUAUCGUGCAAGAACAUUACAUAUUUCUUUUUUCAAUGUUACUGUUGUAGUUUCCAUGACAUUGACAACUUCAAAAAAACGUUCUCGAAUAUACCCAUCACAAUCAACAUACCUUAAAAUAAUAGCCAUUUGCUCUUUAUCAGAUUCCUCAAGUGCUUCGUCUACUAAAAUACAAAACUUACCAUCUCCAAUUUCCUUGCUUAUCUUGUUUUCGCACUUUGUUUGCAAGAAUAUUUAAAAGCUCUUUUUGAAUGUCAGACGAUGUAUACUUAGCAUACGAUGGAGCAUUUUCCAAGACAACUUGAGCAAUUUCUUUACUACACUCCGCUGAAUGCUUUAUCAACUCUAUGAAAUUUCCCCGAUUUCUUGAAUCAACUGGUUCAUCAUGACCUCUAAAAGCACAUGCUUGCUCUGCUAACCAUUUAACUGCAAUAAUUGAGGUCUUCAAUCGUAGCCUAUUCUCCAAAAGUUGUUGUGAAGUUUGGGCAUUAAUUAAUCUAUCAAUGUGUUGAAUUGGGUUCCUCAAACAACCCCAACUCUGCAUAUUCUUAUUAUGAUGAGAAGAUGGACCUCCUUCAUGCUGUAAAAAGGGACAUUUUUUUCCAUUGUUGACUCUCUUCCAACUAGAAAAUCCUUCAAUAACAAAUUUUGGGUUGUUUGAUGGAAUUUCAUCAAAAAGAAAGCAUGGAAAACAAAAUGCACGAUCUUUUACCUCAGAGUACUCAAGCCAUGGAAAUUUUUUAAACCAGUGACAGUGAAACCUACGUUCUUGCAUGCCAUCAUUAGUUAGUGGAUAAUCUCGUAGUUUAGGCUGAUAAGGUCCCAUUUUGAUGUACUCCCUUCUAAUAUCAUCACAUUGAUUUACUGAAUACGUCCCUAUUUGAUGACGUAAUCCAGGAUCACGCUCCAGAUAAGUAUUUCUAGUUUCUUCAACUUCAACCCUUUGAAACUUGGAAGUAUGUUGCUCACUGGAAUCUUGAGCAUUAACUUGACAUGGAGAUAAAGACUUGGUGGAUGAUUGAUUUUCACCUACUCUCUUAAAAAAAGAAAGUAGAGUUUUUCUUGGUUUAUUUAACAUUGAAUUUGUAAUAAAAUACAUUAAAAAUUUAGUAUUUAUUUUAUAAAAAAUUUGACAAAAUCGCAAGUUAAAAGCUAAUUAAAAAAGUCAGCAUUCAAAUUAAUUAUUUUACUAUUUUAUUCACUCAUUCUUUCAUGCCAUCAUUAUUUUAUAAUUACAAGAAGAUGAAUCAACACCUUUCACAGUUCCACUUUAUAUGCUAUCAUCACCGUUUUUCACAUUCUAUUAUUUUAUAAUUUUAAAAAGAUGAAUCACAGUUCACAAAAUCAACAACUUCCAGUCUUCCACAAUUCCACUUCGUGUGCCAACCAUCAUUAUCAUAAAAUCAUAUUAUAUUCUGUAAACUAAAGUUUAAAAGGCAAAGUGCUUUGUACCAAGGGCCGCAUCAAGAGACUGGGCAUUCGGCGUCGGCUCGGCAGUGAGAGAUUCAACCUAUGGGUGCGGGCCUUGCGGCAGUGGUUCGGCGUCACUCAUGAGGCAGCGGCUGGGCGUCAAUUCGAGCGCAGGAGACUGGGUAUUCAGCAGCGGUAAGAGACUUGAGCAAUUGAAUUUUGGUAAAUUUCAAAUUCGGAUUUAGUUAGAUACUGGUGAGUUUUAUGAAUUGUGAUUUAGGGAAAUAAAAGAUUCCUAUAAUUAUUGGGUUUGUUUUUAUUUUUCUAUAAAUACUAAUAAAAGUAAAUUUAUAAAUUAUAAAUAUUUUUUUUUCAAAAAGCUUACCCAGGCUGCAGCCCGGGUUAGCCUUCCCUAAGCUUUGCUCUGCCUCCACAGUCAUUGUCUACUUCCCUUGAAUGUCUUCGGGAUGGUUGUUCCUUUAUGUGGUCACAUCAUGAUAACAAGCAAACUUACUCUAAUACCAGCUGGCGAUGAGGAAACAUUAAAAGGCUAUUAGAUAAUAGAAACUAGGUUUUUAAAUAAUAAGUUAUAUUGCGAAUAAUUUGAACAAACAAAAUUGGGGUAUUGAACCACUUUUAUAGAAGCAUAAAUAUUAGGAAUUUACCAAAAUAGGCAAAUCCAAAAUAUUAUAUGAUAAUAAAAUCCUUCUAAUCUAAAUAAGAAAAGGAAAACAAAUGGAACUCAAAUCCAAUAUCUAGAAAAAAAGGAUAAAAAUCCUAAAAGAAUCACGACAAAUUAAAAAAAUAUCUUAAAACUGAAAAACAACAAAGAAAGAAGUGAAAUUUUUUGCUCAACCGCAGGGCAUGAUAGCAUAGACUGUUCUGCAUUUGGUUCAACUUAUUGCAAGCUUUGAAACGAUAUAUUAUACAUUCAAAAUGGAACGGAUAUCUGUAUCCUAAGUUAUGACCUUCGGAAGAUACCCUACUCAUUCUAUGCAACCAUCCUACGUCAACUUGCCUUUGCUAUGUAUCUUCGAGCAACUUGAAUGGCUUGAAGAUUUGUGGUAAGCUUUUUCACUUCUUGUUGGAGAAUAGUCACAAACCUCACCUGUUGUUUCACUUAUUCAUAAGCAGCAAAGGAGUUCAGUUGCCCAAGAAGAAGGGAAGCGAUCGCAUCCGCCAUUCUGACAAGGAAAAGGAGAAAUAAUUUGAUAAGAUGUUAAGUGUGCUUUUGUUAAGAAAAUACCAAAUCAAAGGAGCAGUUGCAUUCUUCUUACAUUGCAUGAAAAAAGUUAAUAGUUAUCCUCCCCCACCCCACACAUCCAUAAUUUUACCAUCUUUAAUUUUUAUGAUUCUACUCCACAACUAUGGUACAUAAUUGUAAAUAUUCUAAAAUUAAUUUGUACUGGUCGGGCCAGUGCCAUGUAAAACAAAAACAAAAACUCAAAAGAAAAAAAAAAGAAGAAAACAAAAGUUGUAAAAAGCAUGCCUCACGGAUAAUUUACUUAUAGUUAAAUUUCGUCCCACACCCUUAUUAGAUUGAAAUACUUUAAUUUACCCUCCAAAAGUAUAAAAACUUCAUUUUACCUGCCAAAUGCCAUUAUUUUUAAUAGUUAACUAAUGUUGACUUGAAAAAUACGAGAAUGCCCCUGACCCUAACUAAUUAACAGUUCAUUGAGUUAACAAGAAUAAUUUUAUUUUGCCCCUUAAGGUCUAUUAUAUUUCAAGUUAGACUACAAAAAAAAUUAUUAAUAAAAACUCCCUAUAGAAAAAAAAAAGUAAAAAAACCAUUAAAAGAUUAAUUUAACUUUUACUUAUAUCUUAAUCUAUAAAACAAGUAUGAUAAUCACAAAUUUAUGUUAUGAUAUCACCACAAUGAAAAUUUAAAAAAUAAUUUUGACCCUUCUCUUGAAUUUAAAUAUCUUAGGAAUAUCAAUAUUUAAUUAAUUAGUUGACUUUUACCAUUCAAAAUACCAUUUUACCUUUCAAAGUAUCUAAAAGACAAAUUAACGCACAAAAUUUAUUGACAUUCCAUUAAUAAUGUAAUUUGACGGGUUAAAAAUUAAAAAAAUAUAUAAAAUUUAGAGAAAUUCAAAGACUGAAGCCUUAACCCCUACUUAUAAUCCCAAAUUUUUAUCAGUUUCUUUCUUAUUAAUAUCAUUUGCUAUAAUUUUAAUCUUAUUUUUUUUAAUAAUAAUUCUUUUUAUUGAAAGCCAUUUUAGUAUUUUUUUUCCCCAAACAUCAAACUAAGGGGUAAAAUAGUAAAAUAAUUCAUAAUUUAUAAUAUUUCAGUAUAUCCAAUAUAUAUCAUUUUCAUAGAAUAAUAUUUAUCAUUUUUUUAGUAUUCUUAGGAAUCUUGAAUAGUAACACCUUUUUUUUUUUGGUGUGGACCAUGAAGUAUUCUGGGGAGAGCCCCAACUGUGGAAGGCACCUUUAAGCCCGUACUACAACCCAGACUAACAAUCCCCGCUCAAACCGGGAGACACAGGUUCUCCCAACAAAUGCGACUUCCCUGCGACUAAUAGUAACUCCUUUUUAAUUUAUGAUUAAAAUGUUAAAAAACAAAAAAGUUAUAAUCUUUUAAAAUUUGAAACGAGUUAUUGCAAAAUAAUAAUAAUAAUAAUAAUAAUUUUAUUCCUUAGUUGAGCUUUGAAAUAUAAUAAAUUACCAACAAUGGCAUCCACUACAAUUUAUCCUUAAUUAAAAUUUAAAAUUGCAAUCCAUUUUUUUGUUUUCCAAAUUAUUUUUUCUUUUAUUCUUGGUCUUCUUUAGUUUCCUUAUUUCUUUGUCUUGUACUCUUUUUUUUUUUUUAACCUCUGUUCCAUAUUUGAGGCUUUAUCUUAAUUCUUUGCAUUAAUUCUAUCAAGACUAUCCUUGAUAAUUCUAUUACGGUACAACUCAAAUUUCUACCAUCACAUAAUAUUAGAGAUAUAUAUUAUAUUCUUAUUAAUCAGAAGAUAAUUUUACUCCUAUCCAGUUUAAUUAAGAGGAAAAUCGAGAGAAAUAUCUACUUUAUUCUUGUUAAUAAAGAAAUAAUUUUAUCCCUAUCUAAUUUAAUUGAAAAGAAAAUUGACAAUAACCUAUGCACUCAAGCCAACUUUAAGUGCUUGGAUGCAUGGGUUGUAAUGUUUUUUAUUUAAAGGCUCAGGCUAGAACCAACUAAUAUCAGCCGUGUGAUUUUAAUCACUCAAUCCAACCGUCACGAUUACACUCAGUGGAUAAACAUUCCACAUAGUCCACAAACAUGAAGAGUAAAGGAUUGAUUGCAUAUGUAUCCUCUCAAGUUCUCAAGAACUUUUUCUUUAAAACACACUUUUAAAGCUAAUCUGCAGAUCUCUCCGAAAACUUUUCCUCUUCUAACUCCUCAUCUCUUCCUCACCAAAUCUUCGGAGGCAAAAAUCUUUCUUGCCUUCUCCAGUGGAUUCUUGAUUUCUUUUUUUCUUUUUUUUUUUCGGUUGCACCCACCUCUUCCUUAUGAUUUGAGGAUGUGUGUCUUGUUCUGGCCUUCUUCACCUUAAGGUGGUUGUUCUAUUUCAAUUUUCUCCUCCUUUGGUUUUGAGGAUGGCUGCUAUGCGUCCAUUCAGAUCUUGAUCUGUGAUGGUAAUAAUGUACCAGUUAUAGUGAUAAUUUUGGUUUAAUUUCUAUUUUCCAGUACAUAACCCUUCAACAUCUCUGUCAAAUGCAAUGAACCGAUCACAACCAUUCAUAAUUAACCCAAAAAAAAAAAAAAAAAAACACAGAGAACAAUCACAACGACGAUUUGUUUUGAUCAUCCCUGCUUUUUCUUAGCAUAGCUCUUGGAAUGAAAAUUAAUAAAAAGUGUCAAAAGGGAAGCAUUAAACACAGCAUUGAAGCACCAACCCAAGAUCCCAGAGCAUCCAAAUCCCGCAAAAUGAUAAUACAGCAUCAAAACUGAAACAACAAAACUAAACACGAACUGAACAAUCUGACAGUCAGUGACCAAUCUCUUCCACUUUGGCCGCAACCCCAUCACACACAAUAGAUAGUACCCGUACAUGAUCACGUGCACACUUGCAUUGGUGACAAGUGCGAUAGGAAACAAAGACUGCUUCGUCUGUAACCAAAGGUAGCACAUUACGACGACGGUUGCGUGGUGGUAGACGUGGAGGAACGUGAGCCGUUCGAUGGAGUUUGACAAAAUGAUCAAAAGGGUGUCUAGGAAUUCGAGUAUUUUGGAGAGGUAGAAGAUGUAAGCGUAGAAGAAGAGGGGACCGGAGGGAGAGAUGGUGGGGGGGAAACAGAGGGUGUGACGGAGGUCGGGUGAAUGGAGGACGAUGGAGAGAGUGCAACCAACGGCCAUGACGAGGGAGAGGAGGAGGAGGGUGAGGUUAUGGACGGCUGUGAUGGGCUUGAGGAUGUGGGGUCCAAUGAGAGGUGAUGAUGAUGGUGAUGUUGGCGUUAAUUUGUGGUAGAGUAUGAAUGUGAGGGAGAGGUAAGUGAGGAUGGAGAGAAUGAGGAAGUGUGGGGAGGAAGCUGGGGUUUGGUUUUGAGUCCAUGUGAAGUUGAGGAUUUGGGGGUGGUUUACAAGCCAAUAUUGGAGUGUUGAGGUGAUUGAAUUUGAAGCCAUGGCUGGUUUUUUGGAGGAGGAAAGAUUUGGAAGAGAUGAUGUUGAGAGGAGUGGGGGAGUUUAGAAAGUUUGGGAUAAUGUGAGGGGUAUUUUGGGCAUAUAAUGUUGUCUGAGCUUAAAUUUUUGUUAAAAAGAAAUAAUAAUAAUAAUAAAUUCUUUUCUCAUGUCAAUUUAAAACUCCGAGUGUGUUUCCAACAAUUGCUUUUCUUUUUCUAUUUUGGGAUUUUGAAUCAUUUUUUUUUCAAUUCAAUAAUGGCCUCUUCAAUUAUAAAAUAUGGUCAAAGGGGAUGGGGUGUAGUGUCUAGGCCUCCGCGACAACGGCAUCUUUGAACGUGGGUUUCAUCAGUUUUUUUUUUUUUGGCUAUUUCUGCUCAAAUCAAACUUGUGGAUUUCGUGCACUCAACGUGGAACCCUUUUGAAUGGACGCAAUGGUUUUGGUGGGAUCACACAAUCCGAAGAAGCAUGGAACUGGGACCAAUUUGUUGACAAAAAUUUAGGCAUAAAAUUUACAAAUCGAAGUCAGAGUAAGAUUUAAGUAAAAUUGAGUAACAUCUUGCACAUCGAGUAAGGAUUUCUACAAUCGGGCUAGAAAGUGCAACUAAAAUUUGGUAAGAGUUUCAUAGAGCAUAAUUUUUAAGAUACAACGUUAAGAGUAUUUAGUAGACACUUAUAAUAUUACUUGAAUUGAUUUAAUCUCAUACUCUAAUAUAAAAAAUUUAAAAUAUACUCUUAUAAUAUUACUUGAAUUGAUUUAAUCUCAUACUCUAAUAUAAAAAAAUUUAAAAUUUCUUUACUAAUUUUAUUGAAAGUAUUAUUUGACAAUCCUAUUUAUUACAUAAUAUCAACGUUUAUAUUAUAAUUACCGCUAAUACUAAAAGCUGAUCUCGUAAUUAAAAGCUAAACAAAAACUCGAGUACAAUCUAGUAAUUAAAAGCGCUAUGGUUUUUUGGCAUUACAAGAUGAUUCAAACUUGAACUUGCCAUCAAAAGUGUAUCAAAACAAUCACAGAGACACUCUGUUUGACAAAUCUGCAGUAGAAUUUGCACAAUUUAACUGGGUUACAGAGAGUGAAUAAGAUUCCAAAGCAACAGGCCAUUAUUAUUAAGAAAACAAUUCAUCGCUAGAACAAAAUUAACUUUUCUAACUUACUAGAAUUUAACUGGAGAAAAAUUGGAAUAUACGAAGUUGUAUCACAUAUAGUAUUUAGACAUCAAGAAAAGAAUCCCUCUAUCAGUGAACUAUACUUGCCAGGAAACACGGUGAAAUACCACCACCUCCCUACUAGUUCUUAGAUGUCUCAAAAGAGUUUGAUGACGACUUCCGUGUUGUAUCUCUUCGACAGGCAGCAAAAUUGGGCUAUUGACUAGAUUAACUCCCCAGAAAUUUAUGCGGUCACCUUCUUCCGGACUAUCCUCUUUCUUCGCACUUUAGGAGCCCUUGCUUCCCCUUCAACAGAGUCGACAUUCCCUUGUUUGAUGCCAAGGAGCCCAAGCCCAGAGACAAUGGCAUUCUUUGAUAUCAACCACUUUGGGGACUUUUGAGUUGAGCCAUUGACAUCCUGAGACGGCCUGUUGUAAGCCUUCUUCAAAAGGUCAUCUGACUGAAGUAGCGGAUCCGCUUCCACUCCUAACCAAGCAAGCCUUGAUCUUUCUCCUAAUUGGACAUUAAGAACCCUGCAUGGAAUCCAUUUGAGAAGUUGAACAAUAGACAAAGUCCAACACAUAUAGGCAGUAAAGAAUAAUUUGGACAACAAUUACUGAUUGUUUACGCACAGGGCUGAACAAAUGGGAAUAUUAAGGCACAUAAAAAUUGGAACCAUAUUCACCACUUGUACUUCCUUAGAGAAUUAUCUCAGAGUUCUGUUAAUUUAAAACCAUUCUUACACAUUUAACUGUAAAACUAGAGAAAUUGUACUUCUGUAGCGAAGUCUCACUAUUGUUAAGGAUUUGGACUUGGAGAGAAUGCAAGUUGAUUAAGCAAAGAAAAAUUGAAAUAAUAAUUGGUGAUAGAUCUAACACACUUCAAUAGAAACCACACUAACAUCAUAUCAGGCAAAUAAACAGAUUCCCCAGUCAAAAGUUUAACAAACAAAACAUUAAAACAAUAGUAAUUUGGUCCGACCAGAAUAGUCUAUCAAUGUAUAUAGAGAUGUAGAUCAAUAAACAAAUACGUAAAAGAGAGAGAGGGAGAGACCUCAAAGCAGUGCUUAAGAACAGUGCUACUCCAAUAACAUCAAAAUGGUUGAUGACCGCUCUAUCAAAUCCACACAAUAGCUGGUAUCUCAUGUUUGCACAUAGUCCAAGGAAAGCACCAUAACCAAGCGCAUUAGUACUCACAGAUGGGAUUGUCACAGAUAACCUGUCAGACAUUAAAGGUGGCCCAAAUUUAACAAAUGUUAAACUAGCUUAGACAGUAAACAGAACAAUUUUCUAAGUUUUCUUUAUUUGUGAUGAAUAAGUGAACGAGGAAUGAAAAGGAAGUUUUACAACCAUGUUUACCUGUCCUUUUUACCAGCAAGAUAGUUUGACAAAGAGCCUUGCACUGCUCCUGCAGUUAAUCCCACCAUACACAACUCUGCAGCCUUGUAAAAAAGGGAAUGGAUUCUCUUUUGCAAGUCAAAUUCUCGAAAUGGGCAACUCCGUUCUAAUAUAUUGUUUGGGAACGACAAGGAGCAAACAUUUAUUAGCUUAAUAUAUAAAAUAAAAAUAAAAAGCAAGUUCCUUUGUUGUGAAAAGAAAAAUAAAAACACGCCUAUCCUUACGAUUCUCCAGCUCCCACCAAACAGUGCAACCAAUUAUGGGAGCCUGCUCUACCAGAAGUUUAUACAAAAAAGCUGGAUCUGCCAGCAUCCUGGGGCAACAGCAGUUAAUACAUAAGAAAUCUGAAAAGAGGCCCAACAUUUUACAACCAAUCAAAAAUCACUGAACCAUUGGAAAGUGAUUUACGUAUAAUUUUUUUUCCAAACUUUGUCCAAAAUGAUAGAAUGAGAGAGGAUGAGAUAGGAUGACACAAGAAACAAAUGUAAAUUGACCGUGUUGGAGAAAAAUCAGUUUUUUAUACAAACUUUUAGGGCCGAUCUCAUACAAUAUAUAGGAAUACGGAAUCUAGAAAUCGUACCUUGAAAAUCUGAGAAGAUGAACAAUCUUUGCUUUUUCCGCUGAAGUGAUUUAGGCUCUCAGAUCACGAUCUGUUACCACCACUCCUGUUAGAUCACGAUCCGUCACCACCACGCCUAUUAGAUCACGAUCCAUCACCACUGAUCUUAUAGACUAUGACUCAGGUUUGAUCCGCACUUGACGUGUGGACGCCUUUAUCACCACUAUAAGCAACUAGAGAGAAAAAUUUUCUCUCAAAAUUAGAGAGAAAAAGUCUUUUUCUCUAAUAUGUAUAAUGUGGCUGCUCUGUCUCUUUUGGGAGAAAAUAAACCUUUUUAUAUCUCUAUUUAGUGGAAACCCUAUGCUCCAUAUUUAUUUAUUUAUUAAUUCUAUUAAAUCCCAUUUGAUUUAAAUUAAAAAAUAAUUAAAACAAAAGUGACGUUACUUGUUUUUGUGUUCUAGGGGCCCGCCUUGUAAAAUAACACAAGGCCCCUUACACACAGGCAUAUUACACUCCCACUAAAUAAUUUAUUUAGGCUUUUAACUCAAAUAGCUAGUUAUCUUGCUUAUUAAUCCAGUAGCAGCGUGGUCAAUUAAACAAGCUAACCCGGGGAUUAUAUGGGUACAUACAAUAGUGGCUACAAUAAUUAGACCUGUAAUUAAACUAGUCCAAUUAUUUAAUUCCAAAUCUACUCCACUAAAAUAUUGGAAUUGACCUCCAUAAUUGUAUGCUAUCUAGGAUAGUGUACUCGAAUAAUAAUUCGACCUAUGCCACAUUGAUUUCUUUACUGCAUAAUCAUUUGUACCACAUCAUUAAUUAAAUCAAUAUCUCAACUGUCCAAUCGAUUUAAUUACAUCUUGUUCCUUGAUACUUACUGGUUUUCUCUAAUGAUCAUUUUCAAACAUACUAAAUAUGUUGACACACUCUGGCCAGAGAAUUCUAUGAUCAAGUGCCGAAAACCCAUCAAGAAUUCUAUAUUGUUAAUUUAUAACUUCAAUACUCAUAAUUACUCCCACCAAGAUACCGGGUAAUCUUAACCACAAGUGUGUGUCGUGCCCAUUGGUAACUCAAAUGGAAUAACAAUUACAAUCAUGAAAUCAUAACUAACUCAAGAUUAAGAUUACAGUAAAAUCAAUGCCUAUGAGAUUUAAUAAGUCUGACAGUCAUUUCAAGGUUAAUUAAAUCUCAUAUGUGAUCCAGCUCAAUGUAGUCAAACUACGUCAGUAAAUUCAUAUAUGAUUAAGACAAGCCAUUCAAUGAAUUUACUACAGUCUAAACAUAAAUAGAACACCCAACUCUAUUUAUCAACUGCGAACUAAAUUUAUUUAAUCAUAAGAUAACUUGUAUUUAUGUCUUCUGUGAAUCCAUAUGAUGAUCACAUAAAUACAUAUAAUAUGAUUAAACAGACCUUAUUCGAUAUAUAUUUAUGCAAUUGAAAAUAUCUUAAAUAUUUUAUUAAUCAAAAAAUAAAUUAAUAUACUUUAAAAGAGCAUAUAAUCCCAACAGACAGCAAGUAGAAAUAUACUUCUGUUAUAUUUGCAACAUCUUCUAGUGUCAAUUUCUUUUCCUUGAGCUCUGUUUCUGCGUGUGCUCAAAUGCAACGCGCAUGACACAAGAUAUAAUUAUCAACAUGAAUUUUUGCCGCCACAUGCAGCACUUGGAAAACUGUUUAUGGUCAUACAGAACUGGAAAAUAAAAAAUCAUUAACAGCGAGAGAAAUCAUUUUAAUCGCAACCAAACAUACACACUAUGAAAAUCUAAAAUUGAAUUUCUCCCAAUGAAUGUGCCUCUUCACAGCAAUUUCACAAGCUAAUCCCAGCAGCCUGCGUCAUGGAGUUUCUCCCAAUGCGUGAGCGAGCCUUGAAUAGUGGCUCAAACUAAAAUGAACUUAUUGUGGACAUUUGAAUUAAAAAUACAUGUAAAAGCAGUUUUCUCAAAGCAAGGUCAAGAUAAGAGAUUAACUUUGCUCCUUAUUUACAUUAAAAAUAACAAACAAUGAAAAACAGAGCUAGAGACGAACUUACCUGUGUGCUGAGACAGAGCUAGAGGGGAAUAUGGGAUAUCUUCUUAGAUUUGGUUUGAGAAACUCCAUCUUCUUCUGAAAGUUCUGAUAGUUCCCUUAACCCAGGCCAAUACAAUUGCAACAGAAACUGCAUGCUUUAAGCAGCAUCUGAUCAUCUCUUGUUAUUUCAAGACAAUAAUAACUUAAUUGCAACACUGUGUGCUUCAACCAUUAACCUUUUCAAUUUCAACACUUCUUUUGUCCCCCGCCCGAUGCCCUUUUAACAAUUCUAUGAAUCAGAUAAAUCAGCCUUCUUCACAAAACUAUGACAAACUUUUCACGGUGUUCCACACAUUCCGGGAUCCGUAUUGAUAACAAACAUUUGAUGAAGACCCUGCCAAUUAAAAUUUAGGUCACAUGUAACAUAAUUUCUUAUUUUUCUUUUGUACACAAAUGCAGACACUUAAGCAAAUUAAGAUUUCAUACCUAAAGCAAAUUAGGAUUCUUUUGACCCUGCAAGUUACAAUUUCACUCCCCAUGUAAUAGUAAAAAUUUGUACACAUAUUUAUAGCAAAUUAAUAUUUCAUACCUCACAAUAUUUAUCAUAACCAUCAAUCUUUAGAAACCACAUGCAGACUUGUUAAACUGUUUAUGGCGCAAAAUAACAGGGAAAUUAGAACAGAUUUUUAAGAAUGAGCGACUAAAUAUUUCAAUGGCAACUAAAAUUACACAUCUUGGAAAUCUGAAACUCAAGUACUCAGAAUGAAUGUGCCUCUUCACAACAAUUAAACAAGCUGGGAACUUUAGUGCAAAUGCUUUUUCAUAAUCUUCAAUUGCAUAAGUCAGUUAGAAUCAAUCUUUCUUAAUCUUUCAAUUCACAUAUGACAGCCUGAUAACACAAGGAAACACUAUUAGUGAAUUGUCAACUGCGACAAAUUUUGGGUAAAAAAUAUCAACUGUAGUUAUCUGCAUAACAUAUAGUGUCAACACCAAAUUCCUUCUUGAUCCGUGGAAGCAUUUCAGCCCACAGACGGUUUGCUUUGUCAAUAUAUAUCAAGCUUUGUAGCUUUUAAGAAAUUGCAGGUGAAAGACUUGGAAUUUUCGAUAGCAACUCAGGAUUCUAUAUUUAAACGAUGGUGUUUGAUGACUUGCUGAUACAAAAGACAUUGCCCCAAGCACUUUUUUACAGGAGCUAAAAUCAAGCCAGUCACUUCCAUUUGUUGCAGUUUUAAUGCAGAAAGAAAAAAAGGGGGGGGGGGAAUCUGCAAGAUAACACUUGUAGUACCGCAUGUUCGCAGAAGCAGAGUUAAAUAUGCUUAAUUUCUCACUCACUCCAAGAACUUUCAUUCUCCCAUAAUUCACUCAAAUGAAACUUUCAUUGGAAGGUCCAAUUAUUAAGGAUUUAGCAUCACUUCAUAUGCUCAACAAUUCAAAUUUAAGGAUGUUAUUUCACAAAAUGGAGGACUCUAUUUGGCUUGUGAACAAUCUUCCUCACCAUCAUCAUCAUUGUCGUACCAGUUGCACUGAACAAUCCUCAUUCUGACAUUUGCCCCAAUUAUCUGAUUACACAAGAAUCCGAAACAACUGUUAGAAAUUUUAAUCUUGAUAUAUAGCCAAAAUGGUGAAUAAGAUGAUGUACUUGAUAAUAAAAACUUGAUUUAAUAAAUAAUUAAGGGGCCGAUAACAAGCACAGAAUCUCAUCGUGUGGGGAAAGCCUUGACAACAGAAGAUGGUGCUUUCAUUCAAGCCGAUAACAAGCCACUAUAUAUGCAGUUAUCAUCUUCAAUUUGCUCAUCUUUGUCUACAGUAUUGCUUCUGCGUUAACUUAAUUAGCGUGCAAGCCACCUGAAAAUGGUUUUAAAUACUGAGAAAAAGUUUGAAUUCGAACAAGUUAAUCAAAUAUGAUGACAGAAAACACAAAAGUAAAAUAACCAAAAGAAGUAGAAAUAUACUUUUGUUAGAUUUAGAGCAUAAUUCUUCUGUCAAGUUCAUUUCCAUUAGCCUUGUUUCUGUGAGUGCUCAAAUGCAAUUCCUCAACGCUCAAGAUAGUUUCCGCGGACCUGAAAAACUAGUUGUGGCCAUAAGGAACUUCAAAAUUAGAAAAGAUUCAGAAUGAGUGACUAAAUAUUUUAAUCAAAACUAUUUAAACAUACACUAAUAUACCUCUACGCAACCAAGGAUGUAUCGGAUUAAACUUGCACUCUUCGAGUGAGUGUUGACUCCAAAAAUAGAAAGAUCAGAGAUGAAUAUUAAGAAUGGAAAGACAGGUUGUGAAAGAGAGAAGAGCCAAGAGAAAUAGAAAGAGAUAUUUUAUUUCUUCAUACCCCACACGAAUUCGUUCUGCUCUACAUAUAUUCCUCUGUCUAAGACGUUAGCAAAAAUAUUACAGCUCAACAACUUCUAACAGAAAAUAUGACAAUAAAAACAAACCAGCAAUCAUAAGGUACUAGCAAUUUCAUUACACGACAUAAUCCUUAAACCACCCAAGGGCUCUUCUAACUCGUUUGCUUGCGUACCGUUCCUCAUGAGCUAAUUCUUCCUCAACCUGUGAUGUGGCUUCCUUCAUGGGCUGUUCAUAAUUGGACUCGUUGUUGGGCUGCCAUUCUUGUAAGUAAUCUGGUUGAUCCGAAUGAAUGUGGAAGGUUGUAUCAUUCCCUCCAUCUUCAAAACUCACCUUGUCCUCAAGGUGAAAAUCGGGAUAAAGUUUACAGAAUGUUUCAAACUCUUCCCAAGUAGAAUUCUCAGGGGAAUUGUCUUGCCACUGGACCAGAACUUGACAGCAUUGCUUUCCUUGGUUAAGCACGGUUCGAAUAGCACAAACUGGAGCAGGUAAAUAUAAUGGCUAAUUAUGCAUACUUGUUGAUGGCAAGGAAUGGGAAGCAGGGUUUUGAGAAUCAAGGAAGGGUUUGAGAAGUGAAAUAUGAAACACUAGGUGGAUCUUAGAACCCCUGGGCAAGUCAAGUUUAUAAGCUCCUGGACCAACUCGAGCUAGCUCAUGGAAAGGGCCAUAAUACCGUUUAGCUAGCUUUUGACAAGAACGAGUUGCCACUGUAUUUUGGCAGUAUGGCUGAAGCUUCACUAGAACUUGGUCCCCAACAGCAAACUGAGCUUCAUGUCUAUGAGCAUUAGCUUUUUGAAUCAUGCGAUGUUGAGCUUGGCGUAAAUUCUCUUUCAAAGAACGGAGUAAUGCAUCCCGUUCACUUAAUGCUUCAUCAAGAGCUUGGAUUGAAGUAGAGCCCUUUGAGUAAGGAGGGAUGGAAGGAGGUGGUCGCCCAAAAAGAGCCUGAAAGGGAGACAUCUUGAUGCUGCUGUGAUAGGAAGAAUUGUAAGAAAAUUCAGCCCACCCAAGUAGAGAUGCCCAUGAGCUUGGUUUUUCUUGAGUGAAAGCGCGAAGAUACUGCUCCAAGCCACGAUUGACUACCUCCGAUUGCCCAUUUGUUUGUGGGUGAUAGGCUGUACUGUGACGAAGGGUAGUGCCACUUAACUCAAAUAACUUCUUCUGAAAAUUGCUUAAGAACAUAGGGUCGCGAUCAGAAAUAAUAGAGGUAGGAAACCCAUGAAUUUUUAUAACCAUAUCCAUGAAUAAUUCGGCUGUCUUUACAGCAGUAAAUUAAGUGGGAAGGGAUCCGAAGUGUGCCGAUUUAGUAAGGCGAUCAACAACUACCAAUAUCACUGAAAAACCUCGCGAAACGGGAAGGCCAGUAAUGAAGUCCAUAGUGAGUUCGUCCCAAACUAAAGUAGGGAUAAGAAGAGGUUGCAGUGGACCCGCUGGUGCUUGAGUAGAGUAUUUGGUCUGUUGACACACAAGACAUUCGGCUACAAACCGCUCAACAUCCAUACACAUUUUAGGCUAGAAAAAAGUAAAUGCUAAGCGGACCAGCGUGCGUUUGAUGCCUACAUGCCCCGCAAGUGGAGUAGAGUGGAAUUCAGCCAAUAGAACUUCUUUCAAAGAUGAUGAUGAGUUGAUAUAAUAGCAAUUGCGGUAAAAAAGAAAUCCAUUAUAUAGCGAAUAAUCCCUUGAAAGAGUUCCCGCAGCAAAUUGUUGAUGAAGGGCAAUCAUAUCCGAGAGAGUGGAAUUUUCUAAGUUUAGAGUUGCUAACAACUCAAACAAAGGACGACUAAGAAGAGGCAAACAAGAAGCAGUCACGGUUGAUGUGUCCGCACCAGCUUCCUCAUGAACUCGUGAUAAAGCAUCGGCUGCAAGAUUGGUACAGCCCGGUUUAUAUUCAAUGCGGAAGUGAUAGCCUAAUAAUUUUCUGAUGUAGAUUUGCUGAUCUGGAGUUUGAACUACCUGCUGUAGAAGUUCUUUAAUGCUUUUAUGGUCAGUUCGGAUGACAAAAAAUCUGCCCAAUAAGUAUUGUCGCCACUUGUGCACUGCCUCAACAAUAGCAGUUAAUUCCUUGAUGUAGGUAGAAGAAGCACGAAGUCGAGGGCCUAAUUUCUUAUUGAAGUAAGAUAUGGGGUGCCCGGAUUGCAUAAGCACAGCCCCUAUACCCACAUUAGAUGCAUCAGUUUCAAGGAUAAAGUCAGCAUCAAAAUCUGGUAGCCGUAGCACAGGGGCUUCCACCAUUGCCUUCUUAAGAGCGUCAAACGCUUCAGCUGCUGUUUGUGUCCACUGGAAGGCAUCUUUACAAAGUAAAUCAGUAAGGGGGGCUGCUAAAGACGCAUAUCCAUGAAUAAAUCACCGGUAAUAACCCGUUAAACCCAAAAAACCUCGAAGUUGUUUUGUAGUCUGAGGAGUCUGCCAAUAAACCAUAGCUUCAAUUUUCUAAGGGUCUGCCCGCACACCAGAGGCCGAAACAAUGUGGCCCAAGUAAUCAAUCUUUUCUUGGCAAAACAAGCAUUUGGAGAGCUUGACAAAGAACUGGUGAAAAUGAAGGCACACCAAUACUUGUUGAAGAUGCCACAACUGGUCCUCUGCUGUAGCACUGUAAACCAAAAUGUCAUAAAAAAAAACAAUCACGAAUUUACACAAAAAAGAAGCGAAAAUCUAGUUCAUAGUAGCUUGGAAGGUAGAAGGUGCGUUUGUUAAACCAAAUGGCAUGACAAGGAACUCGUAGUGGCCCUCAUGAGUGCGAAAGGCCGUUUUAUAAAUGUCGCGGUGGUGCACGUGAAUUUGAUGGUAACCAGCCUGUAAAUCCAACUUGCUGAAAACUGCUGCCCCGCCUAACUCAUCAAAUAAUUCGUCGAUAGUCGAAAUGGGAAAUUUAUCUUUGAUUGUCACGGCAUUUAAAGCUCUGUAAUCAACACAGAAGUGAUAAGUUCCAUCUUUUUUUUUAACCAACAAGACCGGUGGCGAAAAUGGACUAUGACUCGCUUGAAUGAUGCCUUGUUCUAACAUUUAACGGACAAGUUUUUCCAUCUCAUUUUUUUUUUGGAAAUAAGGGUAGCGAUAAGCGUGGACAUUUAUUGGAGUGGUAUUUGGGAGGAGAUGGAUUUUAUGAUCAAUUGUGCGAUGCGGCGGCAGUGUAGUAGGUGGAAAAAAUAAGUUGCGGUAGCUGUGUAGGAGGUCGAUGAAGGGUUAAGUUAAAUUUGCACGUAAUUCGAAGGAAGAACUCUCUGGAUUACUUGCCGAUUCCUCCCCAAAUGCAGGUACCUAUUGCAGAGCAAACACGCUAUAAAUAUCCGCAUGGUGGACUAAAGAUUGCAACUGAUUAAAGGUGAUUAGGGAGGGAGUAGUGGCUAAAUCGCCUCGAAGAGUCACUGGUGCCCCAUUCCAACAAAAUUCCAUAGAUAGGGCAGAGUAAUCAUGCGAGACACGGCCCAAGAGUUGCAGCCAUUGGAUUCCCAGCACCACAUCAGGCCCUUCAAUUGGCAGAACAAAGAGAUCUAAGGUGAACACAGUCCCCUGCAACGUGAGAGCAACUUGAGGGCAAAAGUAUUUGCACACCAAAAAAUCCCCAUUGCCAAUAUAAACACGGAAGGGUGCUGUUGGUUGUAUCGGUAAGCCCAUACUCUCUGCCAUUGUUAGUUUGAUAAAGUUAUGGGUACUCCCACUAUCGAUCAACACUUGAAAACUGUGAGAACCAACUUCACCAAUCAAAUGGAGUGAGCAGGGAUUGAUCUGACCCGCCAAAGCAUUCAAACUGGAAAUAUCCCCUGUUAUGACCUCUUCAACCGACUCUGGUGGCAACUCUUGCUCAAAAGAAGUAGGUUCAUUAUCAUCCGUACCUAUAAGGAGCAAAAAGUUACUGCGACAGUGAUGAUUAGCGCUAUAUUUCUGAUCACAGUUAUAACACAAGCCUUUUUCACGCUUGUCACGGAGCUCCGCUGGAGUGAGGCGACGAAUUGGUAAGUUGGGUGUGGGAAGAAAUGGUGGUAACGUGUUUAGUUUAGGGGGUGGAGGAGUAUUUUGUGAAUGAGAUGGUACGUGGACCAUACCAACUGAAUGAUUCGGUUGUGUUGAAGCAAGAGGAUACAGUUGAGGCUGAAAUUUGUGUGACGGGGAGUUUGUGGUAGGUGUGGGUGCUGUGUUGUUCCAUUUUGUCAAAAAGCGGUGUCCUUGUUUGGCCUCUUUAGCACGUGCUUCAUAGGCCCGAGCUAAUGCAAAUGCUUCAAUCAGAGAAGAGGGCCGAGCAAAAAGCAACUCACGACGAAUAUUGGGUUUCAAUCCCGUGAUAAAAAAACUUAUCAGAAGUGGCUCGGAGAUUCUAGUCACUCGAUUCAUUAAAUCUUCAAAGGCGGUCUGAAAUUCAGUCACCGUUGUAGUUUGGGAUAACUUGGAUAAAUUUCCUUGAGGAUCUUCAUAGAGAGAGGCACUAAAACGAUGUUUAAGAUUCUGUAAAAAUGCUUUCCAGGUUGUAAGCAAAUUAUUCAUCUUCAUUCAUUGAUACCACGCUGCUGCUCAUCCUUCCAUAUGAAAAGAAACAAUCCACAAUUGAAGAGUUUCUGGUGUACCAUGAAAAUCAAAGAACUCCUCAAUUCGGAAAACCCACCCGUUUGGGUCAGAUCCAUCAAACUUAGGAACCUCCAUCUUCAUAGAACGGAGCACUGGGGAUAUCUCAACACCACUGGAAUUUGCCUCAGUAGAAGAAGAUAUUGGGUGUGGUUGAUUAGGAGCUCGACCCGUGUUAUUUGAAGACCCCUGGAUCUGUGAACGCAAAUCGUCAAGGCGAGAAUCUACUGUUGCCAUAUAUUGUUGCAGCGUUUGAUGCAACGACAAUGUUUGGCUCUCGAACUAUUCUUGAAUUGUUUUUAACAGUUCAGAGUCCGUCAUGAUGAUAGCAAUGAACAAUGAAAGCACCAAUGAUACACCUCUACGCAACUAAGGAUCUAUCGGAUUAAACUUGCACUCUUCGAGUGAGUGUUGACUCCAAAAAUAUAAAGAUCAGAGAUAAAUAUUAAGAAUGGAAAGACAGGUUGUGAAAGAGAGAAGAGCCAAGAGAAAUAGAAAGAGAUAUUUUAUUUCUUCAUACCCCACACGAAUUCGUUUUGCUCUACAUAUAUUCCUCUAUCUAAGACGUUAGCAAAAAUAUUACAGCUCAGCAACUUCUAACAGAAAAUAUGACAACAAAAACAAACCAGCAAUCAUAAGGUACUAGCAAUUUCAUUACACGACAUAAUCCUUAAACCACCCAGGGGCUCUUCUAACUCGUGUGCUUGCGUACCGUUCCUCAUGAGCUGAUUCUUCCUCAACCUAUGAUGUGGCUUUCUUCAUGGGCUGUUCAUAAUUGGACUCUGUUAGAGUGCAAUUUAUGCACUAGUUUUGCAUUGUUUACUUCCCUUAAUAUCGAUGUUUUGCACUUAAUAAUAAUGAUUUACUUGUGUUUUACUUUUGUAGGUGCAAUUCUAUUGAUUCGUGAUAAAAUUGAGUUAUAAGAUGAUGUUUAAAGAUGAUUGUUCUCUUGGAGAAAUUAAGAGAGUCAGAAGAACUUUAUUGAUAAGGCAUGGGCGCGUGCUAUCAACUGCGGACCUGCGGCUUUUAGUUUAACGUGUUUUGUAUUUUUGGCUAUUUUUGUAAUUACGAAUUUAAUAUUUAAGAUAUUAGUAUUUUAUUUUAAAUAGAACUCUAAAAGAGAAGAGAGAGAGAGAUUUUAAGGAGGAAUCUAUUGUGAAAGAGGGGGAUUUUUGGAUUGGAGAAAAAGAAACCCUAGAUCUAAUUUUUCUCUUCUCUCUAUGAGGAACUAAACCCAUUUUUCUGGUUGAAGGUUAAUGAAGCUUUGAUUCAUCACUACUGUGAGAUCUUUCUUGUGCUUUAAUUGUUUUAUUACUUUUUGGGUAUUUGUUUAUUCUCUAAAUUAUUUUCAUGAUUAUGUUUGUUAAUUAGGUAAUUGGCCACUAUUUAAUUAUCAACUUAAUCUAUUGUCAAUUAAAGGAUUCAUCGUAUGAAGAAUUUGAUGUUUGUGACAAAUAACAUAGCAGAGAGUUGUGUUGUGAGAAUAAACAAUCUAAUUUAAAUGAAUCAUCAUAUGUGUUGAUUAGGAUUUGGGUCUCUCUGGUUUCUUAGGCUGUCAAUUGAUUAAAUUCUAUGAUCGUAUCUAGGGUUGUCUAUUGAUUAGGGAAAUAACCAACGGUCGUACCUUGGUUAUCGACUAGUUAAGGAGAGAUUGGCUAUUAGAGGGUCUCAGUAGCUAUAACCGAUCUAUUCAUAAGUAAUAAUAAUAAUCUAUAUUUGAAUCAAUGAUCAGUAGUCGAAUCAAGCUGAGUUAAUUCCUUCAACCAGAGCUUUCUCCAAUUUGAAUUACAACUUUAAUUUGCAUUCUUGUUUAUUUCAAUUUGAUUUUUAUUAUUGUCAACAAUUCCCCCAUUUUACGUUUUAUGUUUCAAAAGGAUUUAAAUAAUUACCGAUCUCUGUGGACACGACCCUGCUCAAUCACUAUACACAAUUUAUUUAGAGUAUGAAUUUAUUUUUGUUGGCUUCGACAUCCAUCAGACUCGUUGUUGGGCUGCCCUUCUUGUAAGUAAUCUAGUUGAUCCGACUGAAUGUGGAAGGUUGUAUCAUACACGCCCUGAAAAUCUGAAACUGAAUUACUCAAAUGAAUAUGCCUCUUCACAGCAAUUGGUUGAAACUUUACUGCAAAGACUUUUUGAAACCCUUGAAGAUGAUACUCUACCUGAUAACACAAGGAAACACAAUCAAUAUAAGAAGAUGAUUUUACGAAAAAAUGAAAGCUUGCCGUUAUUGGCAGAGCUCUACUCAAAUUUAAUGAGAUAUCUCUUAGGAGGGAGAGCUCUAAUAAUAUAUAAAGCCAAAAAUCUGAAAAUGUCUAACACUCAUCAAAUUGGCUUGUGAAGAAUUAAUCUUCCUUGCCAUCAUACAUGCCAGGUGUGGUGAACAAUCUUCAUUCUGACAUUUGCUUUAAUAAGCUGCUUAGUAUCCUUAACUUGAUAACUUACACAAACAAAAACUGUGAAAAUAGGUAGAGAAAAAGGUUAUGGAAUAAUUCUCUAUUUCAUAUCUUCAUGAGACUGUACGCAGAAUAUUACACACUGAUUUCUAGGAAGCAAUAACUUUAUAUUUACACCAAAUAUACACCUAAAUAUAUAAGGAAAACCAAAUCAAUUUGAUUGGGUCAACCUUUCAACACUCCCCCUCAAGCUGGUCUAAAAAUGUCUUUCAUGGCCAGCUUGCAAACCAAUUUCUCAAAAUGUUUCUUAGGUAGUCCCUUGGUGAAUAUAUCAGCAAUCUGCUCAUUUGUAGGAAUAUAGGGCAUGCAGACCAAACCACUGUCUAGUUUUUCUUUUAUGAAGUGUUUGUCCACUUCAACAUGUUUAGUUCGGUCGUGGAGUACUGGAUUAUGUGCUAUUGCAAUGGUAGAUUUGUUGUCACAAUAUACUUUCAUAGGUAGUGAAUUACUUGCCUUAAGUUCUUCAAGAAUUUUUUUGAUCCAAAAACCUCACAAAUUCCUAGAGCUACUGCUCUAUAUUCUGCCUCUACACUACUUUUUGCUACCACAGUUUGUUUCUUGCUGCGCCAAGUGACCAAAUUUCCUCCAACAAAGGUGCAGUAACCAGAAGUGGAUCUUCUAUCGGUUACACUACCAGCCCAGUCAGCAUCAGUGUAGACUUCUACUUGUAGGUGCCCGUUUUUUCUGAACAAAAGACCUUUACCCGGAGAUCCUUUUAAGUAUCUAAGGAUUCUAUAUACAGUUUCAAAGUGUUCUGGUCUUGGAGCAUGCAUAAACUGGCUGACUAAGCUCACUGCAAAGGCUAUGUCCGGGCGUGUAUGUGAAAGGUAGAUUAAUCUACCUACAAGGCGUUGGUACCGAUCUAUGUUGGUCACAUCUUCAAUUUUAGCUGGCUGUAAUUUCGUAUUAGGAUCUAUGGGUGUCUCGGCUGCUUUACAUCCGAGUAGACUUGUCUCUUCAAGCAAAUCAAGAACAUACUUGCGUUGAGACAUAACAAUCCCAUCUUUUGAUCUAGCAAACUCCAUGCCCAAAAAAUACUUCAGGUUGCCUAAGUCUUUGAUUUCAAAGUCACGUGCAAGCACUUUCUUUAAUCUGCAAAUCUCAACUAAGUCAUCACCAGCCAAAAUUAUAUCAUCUACAUAUACAAUUAACACGGCUAAUUUCCCUUCAAUAGAAUGUUUGUAAAACAUUGUAUCAUCUGCCUGACUUUGGGAGUAGUCGUGUCCCUUUAUAACAUUACCAAAGCGUUCAAACCAUGCUCUAGGAGACUAUUUAAGCCCAUACAAAGACUUAUGUAGUUUACACACUUUAUUGCUGCCGUGAUUUCCCUCAAAACCUGGUGGUAAAUCCAUAAAGACUUCUUCUUCUAGCUUCCCAUUCAGAAAAGCAUUUUUAACAUCUAACUGGUAUAGAUUCCAAUCAGAAUGUACAUCCAAUGAGAUAAGGACCCGGAUGGAAUUUAUCUUUGCAACGGGGACAAAGGUUUCUUGAUAAUCAAUUCCAUAGGUUUGAGUGAACCCUUUUGCUACAAGCCUUGCCUUAUAUCUCUCAACACUCCCAUCAGCAUUACAUUUAAGUGUAAACACCCACUUACAACCCACAGUUUUCUUUUCUUUUGGUAAAUCCACAAUCUCCCACGUACCAUUCUUCUUUAGAGCAUUCAUUUCCUCUAAAACUGCUAACUUCCAAUCUGGGUGGUCUAGGGCUUCUUUUAUGGUUUUAGGAAUUGGUAUCUGAGAGAUUUUUGUGGUAAAGGCUCUUUGUUUAUUGGACAACUUUUCAUAGGAAACAUAUCUAGCAAUGGGGUGCUUAGUACAGGUUUGGGUUCUUUUCCUAUGUGUUAUAGGUAAGUCAAGAUCAGGAAAAAAAGUGCUGGAAUGUUUAGGAGAAGAAAUGUUACCUGAAUUUUCUGAGGAAUCAGUGCUUGGAGGCGACGAUUGAGGCUGUACCAAGUUUAUGAGAGGGUCUUUACUGCUGUGAUGAUACUUUCGAGUAUAAACACGAAGCUCUGGUGGUGGAAUUUUAUCUUGUAGUAUUUCUCCCCCUGUCUCGGGUACAUUAACACUUGGUUCCUGUAGUUCAAGGUUUCCUAGGUUUUCAUUAUUAGAAAUAUCAGUUUUUUGAGUUUGAGUUGAAGUGCCCAGAUCAGGUAAAAACAUAUUAGGCAUAGGUGUAGAAGUAUGCCAAAAAUGAUCUUCACUAUUUUCUUUCUCCCCCUGAAGAGAAUUUGGGCCAAAAAAAGGUUGAUUUUCAAGAAAUAUAACAUCCAUACUGACAUGGAAUUUCUUUGUUUAAGGAUUGAAACAUUUGUAACCUUUUUUAUUAGGAGCAUAGCCCAAGAAAACACAUUUUUCAGAUCUAGGAUCCAAUUUAGAUCUAAGAUGGUUAGGAACAUGAACAAAUACAGUGCACCCAAAGACUUUUAACUGAAUAUUGGAGGUAAUCCUACUAGAAGGAUAUAUAAGUGUGAAGUAUUCUAAAGGUGAUUGAUACUUUAAAACACGGGUAGGCAUCCUAUUAAUCAAAUAACAUGCUGUUAAAACAACAUCACCCCACAAAUAUUUAGGAACAUGCAUAGAGAGCAUGAUAGCCUGACUAACUUCAAGUAAAUGGCGGUUUUUUCGUUCCGCAAUUCCAUUUUGUUGUGGAGUAUCACGACAAGUGGAUGUGUGAAUUAUACCCUUUUCCUUACAAAACACCUCUAGAUAAUUAUUAAAAUAUUCAGUACCAUUAUCUGUAUAGAGUAGGCUUAUUUUUGUUUGAAAUUGAUUUUCAACCAUGUUAUAAAAAUCUUUGAAUAACCCCUCAACUUCAGAUUUUUCUCUCAUUAAAUAAACCCAACAAAGCCGAGUAUGAUCAUCUAUGAAUGUUACAAACCAUUUUUUUUCCAAUUAAAGUGUUGAUUUUUGAGGGUCCCCAAACAUCACUAUGAAUUAAAUAAAAAGGUUUUGAGGCACGAUAAGUAAGUGCUUUAUAUGAAACUCGAUGACUUUUAGAUAAAAAACAACUUUCACACUGAAAAGUAGUACAAUCAACAUUUUUAAAUAAAUCUGGAAACAAAUAUUUCAAAUAAGGAAAGCUAGGGUGUCCUAGUCUAAGGUGCCAAAGCAUUAUUUGAUCCCUAGCAGAGUUUGAACUAAUACUACUGCUCAAACCUUGAGCUUGUUUAUUCAUUGAUAAGUAGUCAUCAAAAUAGUAAAGACCUUCUCGCAAACUAGCACUGCCAAUCAUCGUCCCCAAGUCCCUGUCCUGAAAUUCACAAUAGGAGUAAAAAAAGACAGCACAACAAUUAAAAUCUUUGGUUAAUUUACUGCCAGAUAACAAAUUGCAAGAAAGUUUAGGGACAUGUAGCACAUUUUUAAGCUCAAUGGUUCCAGAGAUUUUUAUUGAUCCUUUUCCAGCUAUGGAAGAUAAGCUUCCAUCAGCAACUCUUACCUUUUUGUUACCAGGGCAAGGAUAAUAGGAAUCAAAUAAACUAGAAAUGCUAGUCAUAUGAUCAGAAGCACCCAAAUCAAUAAUCCAUGGUGCAGUAGUUGAGUGGCUAAAUAGAGCAUUAAUAAUACUACCUGUUUGGGCUAGUGAACCACUAGGAGUACUAGGUGGAGGAUUAGAAGUGAGCAACUUUAUGAGAUGGUCAAUUUGCUCCUUGCUGAGAUUUUUUUCUAGAUUCUCCACUUCAUUGGCAGACGCACGGCUAUGCUUGCUGUUUUUCCAGUUUGCAGGCUUUUCGUGGAGUUUCCAGCAAGCCUCCCGAGUAUAGCGUGGUUUAUUACAGUAAUCACACCAUACUCGAGGUUUUUGUUGCUGUUGAGUGAUGGAGCGGGUAGCAUUAGCAUCUGCUGUAACAAGGGCAGAUUUUUCCACAGAGACAACGGAGUUCGUUUUUCCCAACAUAACACCUCGACGACUUUCUUCUCUCCUUACUUCAGAGAAAACAUCCUCAAGAGUAGGAAGUGGCUUUCUCCCAAUAAUUCUUCCUCUUACCUCAUCAAAUUCAACAUUGAGCCCAGCCAGGAACUUGAAGAUUCGCUCAUUAUUGACAAUUUGUUUGUGGUGUUUAAAAUCUUCCAUUCUCUCCCACUCGUAGUCAUUGAAUAAGUCCAGAUCUUGCCACAAUCUCUUUAGAGUAUUGAAGUAUUUUGUUAUACUAUAAUCUCCUUGACGAAUAUCUCUAAGAGCAAGCUGCAACUCAUAGAUCUGGGACUAAUUUCCAUAGUCAGAGUACAUCUGACUCACAUUAUCCCAGUGUUCUUUUGCAGUAGAGUAGCACAUAUAAUUUGCACUAAUGUCUUCAUCCAUGGAGUUGACUAACCACGCCAUAAUCAUGGAGUUUUCGGCAUCCCAAACACCAUAAGAGGGAUCAGAUAUUUCAGGAGCCUUAACAUCUCCGGUAAGAUAACCAAUCUUCCCUCUUCCCCUAAUAUACAUUCUAACCGACUGAGACCAUCUUUGAAAAUUUCCUUCAUUCAGCUGGAUAGUUGUAAUCUGGACAGAAAGAGAUUCAGAAUGGGAAAUUUUUUGUUCUAGUCUUUUUGAGGUGACUGUGGUUUCAGAAGAUUGGUCAGACAUGGUAGGGAAGAGAUUAGAAAGAAAGGGAGCCUAACUCUGAUACCAUGUGAAAAUAGGUAGAGGAAAAGGUUAUGGAAUAAUUCUCUAUUUCAUAUCUUCAUGAGACUGUACACAGUCUUAAUAUAGGGAUACAAGAGACUAAGAAAGGAAAGAAAAAAUUAAAGCAGAAUAUUACACACUGAUUUCUAGGAAGCAAUAACUCUAUAUUUACACCAAAUAUACACCUAAAUAUAUAAGGAAAACCAAAUCAAUUUGAUUGGGUCAACCUUUCAACAAAAGCAACUUUACUAAAGUUUAUUCCUUAAAGGCAAAAUAGUAAAGAAGAUGAUAUAUGCUGAUACAAUAAAUUGACCUGAGUUAUCCUGAUGUCAAGAAUCACAGCACCUCAUGUGGGCAAAAUCAUCGCAAUACAAGAUGCUGAAUUCAAGCAACAUCUUAUCACCUGUAAUUUAAUUAAGACAAUAACUUUCCUCAACUAUUACCCUUCUCAAUUUCAAUGUAUUAUUGGCAACUAAAUUCAUAGGGGACGUAGCUAAUUAAAUGCCCUUUUAACAAUAUCUUCCCCACCUAACAAUUAUUUGGAAAAUCUAAAUGAGAAUCAUGCAUUGAUGGCAUAAAAAAUUGGCCACAAAGCUGCCUAGAAAAAGGCUUUAAAUUCUUAAUGAGACAACGAAUUCGAACAAAUAUGGUGAAUGAAGAGACAAAGGCAUAACACCUCAAGAAGCAAAGCUCUGUUUCUGUAUGUGCUGAAACCAUUGGAAACCCAUGGAAAUGAAUUUCUACGAAUUAGACAUGUCAGCCAAAACAGGUGCUCUGUACGAGCAAAGUAAAAGAGAGUUACAAAAAAUUUUAAGAUAAUUAAACUUUUAAUCACCAUAUAAUUAAUAGAAAACUUUGUACACAAUGAUUUAUUGGAGAUUAAGAUUGUAUACCUAAGUUUUAAUUUCAAACUAAAUAUGCACAACAUGACAUUAGCAUUAGAAGACCGCACCAAAACGUACCGAAUUGAAUGUACCUCUUCGCGGCCAUUGUACAAGCAUUGAAACUUUACCGCAAAAGCUGUUUCAAACGUGAUGCACCUUAGAGAUGCAAGAUAAGAAAUUGUUAUUACAACUAGCAUUGAAACAUGUGUGGAACUGUUAAUGGACCUAAAUAACCUGAAAAUCAGAAAAGAUUAGGAAUGAGUGACUAAGCCUGCUAAUCGCAACUAAACAUACAAACCUUGAAAAUCCAAAAUUGUACUCGAUGAAUGUGCAAUUGCUCGAGCAGGUAACUGUGCAAUUGCUCGAGCAGGUAACUUUACUACAAAGGCUCUUACAAACCCUCAAAGAUGAUAAUCUACAUACCAUGGUAACCUGAAUAAUAAAAAGAAACACAGUGAAUAUUAAAGGGCAUUCUGACAAUGCAAAUUUGUGCAAAUUAACAACUGCGGUUACUUGUAUAAUAGUGUCGAUACCGAAUUCCUUCCUCCAUGGAAGCAUAUGAUCACCCCACAUGUGCUUUGCUCUGUAGCUUUUGAGUACCUGAAAUUGUUAUUACAACCAACCGUGAAAAUUGGGUGAAAAAAUGGUAAUAUUAGCAUAAUUGAAUUUGCUUAUAGAGGAUAAACCGAUCAAAGGAAAAAACAAGAUAGAAAUGAUGAUCUUAGUACCUUAAUAUCAUGUAAUAAUAAUCACCAUGCCUUCCAGGCAGCUAUCCAUCCUCAAUUGAAACAGAGCAGACCUGGCCAUCACUUUCUUCUUCAAAGUCCAGCAACUGAACGUUGCACACAACACCACAGUGGAAGUAGUUCCAACACCAGCCUAAUCCUUGAUUACCCCAAUGUUCUCCAUAGGGUCUUCAAAGUCAACCUAAAAAUAAAAAUGAAAAUGCAAUGCAUUAUUAUUAAGGAUCUAGUGCUUGAGCUUGCUUUGAUAUCAUGGUAUUAGCAAAUUCUGAUAUAGCCAAAAUGGUGAAUAAGAUGAUGUACUUGAUGAGAAAAACUUGAUUUAACAAAUAAUUAAGGAGCCGGUAACAAUCACAGAAUCUCAUCAUGUGGGGAACGCCUUGGCAACAGAAGAUGGUGCUUUCAUACAAGCAAUAGCAACUUUCCAAUUUCAUAAGGUAGUUUAAUGGCACUUUUAAGAACAUUUGUACCAGCCUAACAAUUAUUCAUGGAAAUUAAAAUUCAGAAUCAUGUUAGACUGAGAGAUGAAAUAUAAUAAGCGAUUUGGCCACCAUAUAUGCAUUUAUCACCUUCAAUUUGCUCAUCUUUGUCUAGUGUAUUGCUUCUGCAUUAACUUAAUUAGCUUGCAAGCCACCUUAAAAUGGUUUUAAAUAAAGUGUAAGAGCUCAAAUUCGAACGAAUUAAUCAAAUAUGCUGACAGGAGAAACAAAAGUAAAAUAACCACAAGAAGUAUAAAUAUACUUUUGUUAUAUUCGGAGCAUCUUCUAGCGUCAAGUUCUUUUCCUUUAGCUCUGUUUCUGUUUGUGCUCAAACGCAAUGGCUAAAGGGUCAAGAUAAUUUUAUGACCAUCAAUCUUUUUGCAGCCACAUGCAGACUUGAAAAACUGGUCGUGGCCCUAAGGAACUUGAAAAUUAGAAAAGAUUCAGAAUGAGUGACUAAAUAUUAUAAUCGAAACUAAUUAAACAUACACGCCUAGAAAAUCUGAAACUGAAUUCCUCAAAUGUAUAUGCCUCUUCGCAGCAAUUGCUUGUGGUGGAAACUUUACUGCAAAGACUUUCUCAAACCCUUGAAGAUCACACUCUACCUGAUAACAAAGAAACAGAGUCAAUAUACGAAGAUGAUUUUACUAACAAGUGAGAGCUUACACAUGUUGGAAGGAUAAUGAUUACUCAUAACCCAAAUCCCCAAUACUCCCUAAUAUCUCACUCAAGUGAGUUCGAGCUCCCAGAAUUCACUACUGUGAAACUCUCACAACAAAAUUCUCUUCAAAGAUUCUCUACUCAAAUUUGAUGAUGAUAUCUCUCGAAGGAAGGCAAAAGAAUCUAACACUGAUAAAAUUGGCUUGUGAAGAAUUAAUCUUCCUCGCCAUCAUUCAUACCAGGUGCGGUAACAAUCUUCAUUCUGACAUUUGCCUUAAUAAGCUGCUUUGUAACCUUAACCUGAUAACUCACACAAACAAAAACAACUUGCCUAAAGUUUAAUAUUUAGAGCAGAACAGUAAAGAAGAUGAUAUAUAUGAUACAAAAAUUUCACCUGUGUUACCCUGAUGUCAAGAAUCAUAGCAUCUCAUGUGGGCAAAAUCUUCGCAACACGAGAUGCUUGCAAAAUUGGAGCAGCAUCUUAUCACCUGUAAUUUAAUUGAGAGAAUAACUUUCCCCAACCAUUUCAAUGCAUUAUUGGCAACUAAAUUCAGAGGGUGCUAAUUAAAUACCCUUUUAAAAAUAUCUUCUUAUUCUUCUUCAAUCUAACAAUUAUUUGGAAAAUCUAAAUGACAAUCAUGCAUUGAUGGCAUCAAUAUUUGGCUACAAAGCAGCCUGGAAAGGGCUUUACUCUCUGAAUGAGAGCAUGAAUUCGAAACAAAUAUGAUGAAUGAAAAAACAAAGGCAUAAUACCACAAAAAGUAAAACUUUUUCCCAGGGCUCUCUGUUUCUGUUUGAGCUAAAACCAAUGGAAACCGAUGGAAAUGAAUUUCUAUGAAUUAGACAUAUCAGCCAAAACAGGUAUUCUGUACAAGCAAAGUAAAAUAGGGUUACAAAAAAUUUUAAGAUUGAUAUGAUAAUUAAAAUUGUAAUUAAAAUUUCAGUCACCAUAUAAUUAAUAGAAAACUUUGGACACAAUGAUUUAUUGCAUAUUAAGAUUGCUAUACAAAAUAUAAUAUUAGCAUUACGAGACCGCACCAAAGCAUACCGAAUUGAAUGUGCCUUUUCACAGCCAUUUUACAAGCUUUGAAGCUUUACCACAAAUGCUUUUUCCAACCCGUGAACAUGAUGCACCCGGGAGAUGCAAGCUACGAAAUUGGUACUACAGCAAGCGUUGGAACAUUUGUUAAAAAUGGAAGUUUAAGAAAAUAUGCCAUUGGAUACCUGUCUUCAGGAAUCAAUUCAUCCGUAAUAAUAAUUUUCAAGAAGUAUCAACUGCUUUAAGCUCAUCGACAUCACAGAGAUCUUCAACUAAAAUAGAGCAGAUCCGGCCAUCACUAUCCCUUCUACUGCUCUUUUCCUUUAGAGAAUGCUUGAAUUACAGAAUGCGUGUAAGGCAUUCUUCUUCAAGGUCCAAUGAUCAAACUGUUGGGGAAAAUUAGUUUUUUAAAUUUUUUAUAAAACCUUUUGAAGAUCGCUCUCAUAUAAUAUAUAAGAAUUUGUAUUCUAGAAAUCGUACCUUGAAAAUCCGAGUUGGCUUUUUCCGCUGAAGUGAUUUAGGCUCCUAGAUCAUGAUCCGCCACCACCACUCCUGUUAGAUCACGAUCCAUCACCACCACGCUUGUUAGAUCACGAACUGUCACCACCACGCUUGUUAGAUCACGAACUGUCACCAAUGAUCUUCCAGGUUAUGACUCAGGUUCGAUCUGCACUUGACGUGUGGGCGCCUUUAUCACUACCAAAGCAACUAGCACGAGAAAAAAAUUUUCUCAACAAUAGAGAGAAAAAAAUUUUCUCAACGAUCUUAUUCUCAGAUCUGUAUAAAGUGGCUUCACUCUUUUCUUUAGAGAAAAUAAGUCUUUUAUAUCACCCUUUAGUGAAAACCCUAGGCUCCAAAUAAUCAAAAAACAAAACCCACGUUAUUUGCUUUUUCAAUAGGGGACCCACCUUGUAAAAUAACAUAAGGCCCCUUACACAAAAGCUAAUUAAAUGGAGCCUCCCACUAAAUGAUAUAUUUAGGCUUUUGACCCAAAUAGCUAGUUAUCUUACUUAUUAGUCCAGUAGUGGUGCAGUCAAUUAAAUGAGCUAACCCGGGGAUCAUUUGGGAACAUACAAUAGUGGCUACAAUAAUUAGGCCUAUAAUUAAACUAGCCCAAUUAUUUAAUUCCAAAUCUACUCCACUAAAAGAUUGGAAUUGACUUCCAUUUUUGUAUGCUCGAAUAAUAAUUCGUCCCAAGCCACAUUGAUUUCUUUAUUGCACAAUCAUUUGUACCACAUCGUUAAUUAAAUUGAUAUCUCAACUGUCCAAUCAAUUUAAUAACAUCUUAUUCCUUGAUACUUACUGGUUUUCUCUAAUGAUCAUUUUCAACAUACUAAAUAUGUUGACACACUCUGGCCAGAGAAUUCUAUGAUCAAGUGCCGAAAACCCAUCAAGAGAUGUGUUGUACAAAUUCUAUAUUGUUAAUCUAUAACUCCAAUACUCAUAAAUGCUCCCACCAAGAUACCGGGUAAUCUAGACUACAAGUAUGUGUCAUGCCCAUUGGUAACUCAAAUGGAAUAACAAUUACAAUCAUGAAAUCAUAAUUAACUCAAGAUUAAGAUUACAGUAAAAUCAAUGCCUAUGAGAUUUAAUAAGUCUGACAGUUAUUACAAAGUUAAUUAAAUCUCAUAUGUGAUCCUGUUCAAUGUAGUCGUACUACAUCAAUAAAUUCAUAUAUGAUUAAGACAAAUCAUUUAAUGAAUUUAUUACAGUCUAUACCUAAAUAAAGUGCCCAACUUUAUUUAUCAACUGCGAACAAAAUUUAUUUAAUCAUAAGAUAACUUGUAUUUAUGUCUUCUGUGAAUCCACAUGGUGAUCACAUAAAUACAUAUAAUAUGAUUAAAUGGACUUUAAUAAAAAUAUUAAUGCAAUUAAGAUAUUUGAAUAAAAUACCUCAUUAAUUUUAUUAAUCAGAAAAAAUAUUUAUUACAAUUAAAUAAACACAUAUGCUUUUAAAGAGCAUAUUUUCCCAACACAAACCUUUCACAAUAAAAACAGAGGUAGUAGUUCCUUCGCCAGCCUAAUCCUUGGUCUCAGGAAUGUCCUCAACAGAGUUCUCGAAAUCAAGCUAAAAAUUAAGAAUGAGUUGGAAAACUGUUUAUGGCCCUAAAGAACUUGAAAAUCAGAAAAGAUUAAGAAUGAGUGACUAAACAUUUUGAUCGCAACUAAACAUACAAACCUUGAAAAUCUAAUUUUGAAGUACUCUUAAAUGAAUGAGCAAUUGCAGGAGCUGGUGACAACUAAGGUUACUGUGAAGUGUCUUACAAAUCCUUAAAGAUGAUACUUUACAUACCACGAUAACCUGAUAACACAUAGGAACACAAGGAACAUUAAAGUGUAUUCUGACAAUGCAAAUUUGUGGAAAUUAUCAGCUGUGGUUACCUAGACAAUAUUGCCAACACCAAACUCCUUCCUCAAUUGAAACAUAUGAUCAGCCCACAAAUGCUUUGCUUUGUAGCUUUUGAGAGCCUGAAAUUGUUUUCACAACCAACAAUGAAAAUUGGGUGAAAAUUUUGAUAAUAUUAGCAUAAUUCCAUAUGUUUAUAUAGGAUAAACCGAUCAAAGAAUGAAACAAGAUAGAAAUGAUGAUCUUAGCACCUUAACAUCAUGCAAUAAUAAUCAUCAUGUCUUUCAGGCAGCUAUCCAUCCUCAAUUGAAACAGAGCGGACCCGCCCAUCACUUCCUUCUUCAAAGUCCAGCAACCAAACGUUGCACAAUAACCACAGUGAUAAUCCUUGGUUACCCCAAUGUUCUCCGUAGAGUCUUCAAAGUCAACCUAAAAAUGAAAUAAAAAUGCAAUGCAGAUGGAAAUUGAAAAUUCUAUAAAUUAAAUAAAAUAAAAAUGCAAUGCUUUAGCAUCAUCAUAAUAGUAAAUUUUUAUAUACCUUUACUUCUCUGUUCUUGUUUAUACACAACAAGAUAUCAAUAGAAGAAGAUGGAAAUGAAAUUCUAUAAAAUAAAGCAAGUGAAUUACCAGCAGAACAUUUUAGCAAUCCUUUGGCUAAACUUUUCAUUUUCAUAGUUUUGCUCUCCUGCCUGCAUCAUUAGAACCAAAUUAGCUUGGACCUGCGAAUUGCUAGUGUAGUUCUGACAUUUCCUCGAAUCCCUGGUGAACAUAAUUACACUCGUAUGAAAUAAAACAAAGUGGGCUAAUGUACUACCAAAAACAAUUAUACAAUUACUUUAAAGAAUUAAUGUCACAUAAAUUAUAUAUAUAAAAAAAAUAUGAUUAUCAUUAUACAAGAUAAAAUUGAUAAUUUAGUUUUCAACAUUACUGCAAAUGUAUCACAGAGAUUUUGUCUCUCAAGAAGUUACACAUAACAAAUUUUCGUACAUUAAAAAAUAAAUUACAUUGGGAUUUUCUAUGAUGUUGUAUGAAAUUUUACAAAAGACUGCAUAUUUUUUAGAAGAAAAUAUAAAAAUUUCAAUAGACUAUACUUUUUUUUUAAUUAUUAUUAUAUAACCUUGAUAAUACAAGUUUAAUAGAUUUGAUAACUAGGAAGUUUAAAUUUUAAAUAACUGAAAUUAAAAUAUUAUCUUAAUUAACUUUUGACUUUAUGAAUUAUUGAUUAACUCUAACAGUACAUAUAUAUACCAUGAUUGAUUUUAUAAUUUUUAUAACAGCAUCAUAGAGUGACCCAUUAAAUUAAUGGUUGAAGUAAACAAAAUUCAAUAUGCAAAUCAAAAUAUUAGAAAAAUAUUAUAUAUUCCUGUCAGACAUUGGCAAUAUAUAGAAUUUUAAUUCAAAAUAUAAUUAUUUUUAUUACCGGCGAGUGAUAUCUUACGCCGACAGAAUGAUGUGGGGAAUGUGAGAUAUUUUAUGCCACUUUUCUCCUUUCCCCUCUCUAUAAUGGUUUUCCAGAAGAGGACAUCUGUCAAUAGUCAAUUCCUGCAGCGUCGACGUUCGAAGGAGGUAAUCCGACAGCACCUUUAAUUUGGGGCAAUACCAAAUUCGUAAGGAAGAAAGAUGUGGUCCUGCGAUCUUCUAGAAUGGGCAGUUCUUCUAGAAGAUCACAAGAAUAAAUACUUAGUUCCUACAAAAUUUAACUUUAAGCGACGGACUUUGUCACCAAAAGAAUUUAUGACUGAUUCCUUAGUACCAUUAAUUUCUAGCCACAGGCAUUCUUUGCUACUUACAAACUGAGCAAAAUCAUGUACUAUGUCAUGCAUCUUGAAACUCAUAAUAUUUCUUAAACUCUUGAAAGAAAGAGCGUGCUGCUAAAAUGUUGAAAUACUCUUCUCCAAUCAUCUCCAUUUCUUCGUCUUCUUCUGCAUUAAGGUAAUCUUGAGCCAUCCACAGAUUAAUCAAUUCCUCUUUAUCCAUAUUGCAGUCUUUUGGAAAGACAGUACAAUAUGAGAAACACCGUUUUACCAUAGAAUUGGAGGGUAAAUCGUUAUAACUCAACAACAAAGGAGUCAAAAGACCUUGCCCAAUCUCUUGUACUUUCCACAUUUCACUCCCUAAAAUUCUUUGUCACUCUUUUACUGUACUUUUAGACCGCAAGAGAUUCCCUAUUACCUUUGCAGCAACAGGCAAGCCUUUGCACUUGUGUGCAAUUUUUCGCCCCAUUGGUUCUAAUUUUUCACGAUCCUCAAAAGAACGACCGAAAAAUGCUAACCGCUCGAGCAACGACCAGCAUUCCUCUUCAGCCAAUUGCUCAAUGAAGAUAAUAUUUGUUGAUCCCAUCAUAUGUGCAACUGACUCAUUACGUGUGGUAACCAAAAUUUUACUUCCGUGGAGACCAUUCUUUAGAUAAAGGAAAAAUGGUUCCCAUUUGUUGUAAUCCCCAUCCCAUACAUCAUCUAAAACCAGAAAAAACUUUUUUCCUUCGAUUGAUCUAUGGAUAUGGCUCAUAAGAGAUUGGAAUUCGCUUAAACUAGAAGCUAACUCGCCUAAACCUUCAAUGAUUGCUUUGGCAACCCUAAUCUCCUCAAAAGUGUCUGAUACACACACCCAUAUAACUUUUUCAAAAUUUCUUUUCACCUCAUCAUUAUUAUAGGCCAGUUGUGCAAGAAUAGUUUUACCUAUACCCCCUAAUCCAACUAGUGAGAUGACAUAAAGGCCUUGUUGUUGUUCACUACUUUCACACAACAACUUGCUUAAGAGCUCAUUUUUCUCAUCAACUCUACCGCAAACCUCCCCCUCAUCAAUCAAGGAGGUGGUUCGCACUCGCUCUGGUUUCUUAACAUUGUUGCUCACAUUCUCAACAAAUUUAAACGUAUCUUUUUGGGAGGCAAUAUCAUCUAGCUUUCCAUUGAUUUCCCUAAUCUUGACGGCAAUGUCAUGACGAAGACUAAGUUGUUUGAUACAGCACAAAAGAAGGAGCGUACCUUCUUCUUAUGAGGAGCAAGAGCAAGAGCAUUGUCAUCAUCAACGCCCUCAAUCUGCAAUUUGAGCCUUGCAGUGGUCCACUCCUCCAGCAUGUCUUCCAUGUCGUAAGAUGCGUCUUUGAGCUGAUCCAGCCAAAAAGUAACAGCUUUGUCUUGCUGCAUUUGCCUUUGCUCUGCAUCCUCCAGCACAGCUCGAAUGGCCUGAAGAUUUCUGGUAAGCUUUUUCACUUCUUCUCGGACACCAGUCAGAAGCCUCACCUGUUGUUUCACUUCAUCAGCCGCAACAGAGAUCAGCUGCUCCAGGAGAGAGGAAACGAUCGCAUCAACCAUUCUAACAAAGAAGACGAGAAUUCUAAAGAGUUAUUAGAUGUGCUUUUGUUGCGAUGAUACUGAAAAUGUUUAUACUGCAUAGAAAAUGUUUAUGCUUAUCCCCACCCCACACGUCAAUGAUUGUAGAAUGUUUAAUUUUCCUGAUUCUACUCCACUGGUUAUGAUGCGUAAUUAUAAAUAUUCUCAAGUUAUGUAUGAAAAUAGCACAAAUUUGGACCUACUAAUGAUUUUUAUGAUUUUUGUGUCUUUACUUUUUCAUAAUCUUCUACUGUAAGAGUUCAGAUUUAAUUACUACUUUAAAAACUGAGCAAAAAAAAAUAUCAAGCAUUAAUUAAAAUUCACAAAGGAAUAAAUAACGAAAGAAAAAAAGAUUGGAAAAGUCAUAGAUGUAAAAUAGCACAUUGUUUUUUUAAUAAUCUAAAUAAAAUUAUUAAUAUUCAUGUUAGUCCCUAAAAAAUUAAUAAAUAUAACUAAAAAAAUCUUAUUAGUCUCCAUGAUCAAAAUUUAUUGAAAUAUUUUUAGCCUGGGUUCAAAAAAAAAUAAAUUUCCCAACUUCACACUAGCUAAAUCUAAAAUACACGUUCAUAUAUAGAUAUAUUCUUUCUCGCAGACGUCCGUACAAAAUAAAGUGCGAAUACGACAUUUUCCAGUCUAUCAAAAUGAUUUUUAUUAUUGUAAAAAUAUUAAUAAUAAACUAAAAUAAUAUAUCUACACGUUAUUUCGUCCAGAAAUAUGUAGAGAGAAUAUCUUAAUUUCUAGGGCCCGGCUACGGUGCAACUGUGGUACCGUGCCAUAAUUGCAUCUUACCGUUGGAUGCACUUACAUGGAUGGGGUUCACUGACAUCCAACGGCUGGAUGCAACUAUGGCACGAUACCACAGUUCCACCACAGGUUUUCCCUAAUUUCUAGUAACAUCAUAGUCAAAAUUUUAUCAACAUUUAUGCGAAGGAGUCCCCACUCUCCACCUGGGGGAAUUUGGCAUUUGAUGAAAAAAGUUAUGCUUAUACCCACCCACACGUUAGUGGUUGUAGCAGCAUCUUUGAUUUCCCCGAUUCUACUCCGCCGAUGAACACAUGUUUUGUAGUAACAUCUUUAAAUUCCCACACGUUAGGAAUUUGGCACAUAAUCACAAACUUGUCGCAUCUUUAACGUAUGAGGUUGAUGAAUAUAUUCUUUUCUCAUGUCAAUUUAAAACUCCGAGUGUGUUUCCAACAAUUGCUUUUCUUUUUCUAUUUUUGGAUUUUUGAAUCAUAAUUUUUCAAUUCAAUAAUGGCCUCUUCAAUUAUAAAAUAUGGUAGAAGGGGAUGGGGUGUAGUGUCUAGGCCCCCGCGACAACGGCAUCUUUGGACGUGGGCUUCAUCAUUUCUCCUUUUUUAUUUAAAAAAAAAUUACUUCUUGCAUGAUCUAAUUGGUCUUGUUUCAAAAGAAACAAAAAAAUAAUAAUAAAAAUAACUAAAAUAAAAUAAAAUAAAUCAUAUUCUUUAUCUUAAUUGCUUUCAUUUGUGAUUGACAUGUACUCAUGCAUUGUGUUUUUGUAUAUUUUAUUGAUAUGUUUCCUUAAGGGAUAAACUAAUUAUGUAGCAAAAUUUUAUUAGAGCUAGGAUUAUUUAUAUGUGUUCUAAUACUUUGAACAUCUUACUAUACACUUGUCUAUCAAAUUUUAACAUUAAUUUUUCCUACUCAUUAAAAUAUCAAAAUAGUCAUUGAUAAACAUCUUUCAUUAUUAUUAUUUUUUUUUAUAUAUUGAUAUAUUACAAUUAAAAUUCUAUUCCAAAAUAGUCAUUAACUAGACAUCUUUUAUUAAUGUUCAUUUUUUUAUACACUCAUAUAUUACAAUUAGAAUUCUAUCAAGACUAUCCUUGAUAAUUCUAACAUAGUACAACCAAAAAAUUCUACCCUUGCAAGAUACUAGAGAGAUAUUUAUUCUACUCUUAUUAAUCGAGAGAUAAUUUUACCUCUACCUAAUUUAAUUGGGAGGAAAAUCGAGAGAGAUAUCUAUUCUAUCCUUAUUAAUUGAGAAAUAAUUUUAUCCUUACCCAAUUUAAUUGGUAAGAAAAUUGAAUUCCAACAAUAACUAGGACUCGAACCCAUGCACUUAAGCUAACGUUAAAUGCUUCGACGCAUGGUUAUAAUGUUCUUUAUUUAAAUCCUAAUAAGAGGUGGGACUUGAACUUGUGCCUACAAACAUUGAGUGCUCAGGGCUGCAAAAUUUCACAACUUAAUUUUAAUUCAUGUGGCAUGUGCCCUAUCACAUAAACGUAGAUAAUAAUAAUUAAUACAUUAACAAAAUGAAAAAUAUUAGUUUACAAAAUACAAAUCCUAAUUUUUUGUGUGUGAGAGGGAACCUAAAAAGGGAGAGACUAAACAAAUAUGGUGACAAAUGACAUGUAUUACCAAAACUAAAAACACGAAGUCUAGGCAACUGAAAACAUCUCUGUCAAUUGCAAUGAACAGAUCACAACCCUUCAUAAUUAAUCAAAAUUAAACUUUAAAAAAAAAAAUCACACACACACAAAACAAUCACAACACACUAUUUGUUCUGAUCAUCCCUGCUUUUUCUUAGCGUAGCUCUUGGAAUGAAAAUUAACAAAAAGUGUCAAGAGAGAAGCAUUAAACACAGCAUUGAAGCACCAACCCAAAAUCCCUGACCAUCCAAAUCCCGUAAAAUGAUAAUACAGCAUCAAAACCGAAACAACAAAACUAAACACAAAUUGAACAAUCUGACAAUCAUGAGUGACCAAUCUCUUCCACUUUGGCCGCAACUCCAUCACACACAAUAGAUAGUGCCCGUACAUGAUCACGUGCACACUUGCAUUGGUGACAAGUGCCAUACGAAACAAAGACUGCUUCGUCUGUAACCAAAGGUAGCACAUUACGACGACGGUUGCAUGGUGGUAGACGUGGAGGAACGUGAGCCGUUGGACGGAGUUUUAUUUGAAUCAAUAAGGUGUUUGGCACGAGAGAAAGUGAAAGAAAAUUAAGAAAGAAAAUUUGACUAUGAAGUUUCUGGAACAAUCACAGAUUCUUAUUGAUUAAAGCUGAAAUCAUACAUUAUGAGCGUACUAGUCACUAUUUAUAGUCACACUCAAACUGAUUACAGAAACAAAGCUCAAAGCUGCAAUAUUAACAAACUAAUUAGCCUUCCAAUCAUAACAAGCCAGCUGGACAAUUCGUUACAACUUAUUCAGUGCAAAUAACAGCCCAAUCCAGCUCAGCAACUUAGUUACAAAACAUCAGUCAACUCAGCACCUUCAGCACGUCACCAGCCAGCUCAGCAGCUUCAGCUUAUACUCUUAACAUCCCCCCUCAAGCUCAGCCUAGUGAAGUCAGGGUGAGCUUGUCUCUCAGAUAAUGAAAAGGGUGAUAAGCUAAAGCUUUAGUAAGGAUAUCAGCUGAGUUAUGAGAACUUGGAACAUAACUAACUUGGAAGCUUUUAUUAGAGUUAAAUUUAAGUUCUUGGAACAUAAAUAACCUUUUUCUCGCAAGAAAUGAACAUCAAGUUCUAUGUGUUUAGUUCGGGAGUGGAAUUUAGGAUUACUUGCUAAGGCAGCUGCACUUUGGUUAUCACACCAAAUCAAGAGAAAUGCCAAUUUCAGCCAACAAGGACUUGACUGUUUCUGUAUAAACAUCAAAUUCAGUAAAAAAAGUUGUUAUCUAAUGACAAAAGAAUUUGUCUAAAAUUCCAAUUGAACGCAUAUUAAGUAUUUAAUACCAAGUAAAAUCUGAGAUCAAAGGAAAUUCUAAUAUGACAUCUAAUAGCUAAGUAGAAAAUAAAUAUAUUUAAUGAGGGUAUCUGUGAGAAGAAAACUGAUUUUCUAUUCAGAUAUUUUAUCAUUUAGAUAAAAUUGAAGAGAUUUUACUUUUUCUAUUCAGAUAAAAAUGUCUUACAAUAAAACUCCACGUAAAUUUUUCAAUUUAGCGAUAGCAUAUGGAUCCGAUCCAUUUCUUGUCUAUAUGGCGGAUAAGUUUUAUUAUCGGGUAGACAAAAGCAAAAGCCAUUAUCUUACUAAUUCAUUUGGUCUAUUGAAACUCCAAGAUCUAAUUCAAAGAGCGCGACUCAAAUAAUGGCAAUUAGUAAUUUAUUACAUCUGCAGUUAGACACUUUGUUUGAGAAAAAAGAAUAAAAUCAGUUCCAUAAUGAUUUUAAUUACAAUAAAUAUCAUACUAUGGUCUAUGGACACGCCUCAUAUUACAAAGAAAAUACGUGAAAUAUGAUUAAGGGAUAAAGCUUUCGACAACCAUUUAUAAAAUUGCUUUUGAAAAAUUGUUCUGAUGAAAUGAAAUUAUAUGAAAUUACUAAGAAUUUAAUCUGCCUCUGAAGGAGGAUUAAUUUUAGAUGAUUUUUCUAUUUAUAGCUAUUAUGUAGUCGUUAGAAAUUUCAAAUUUUGAGAAUUUUGCUUGUAGCUACAGGUUGCAGUCAUUUUGAUUUGGAGACUGAUUGAUAAUUAAAGCUAAUGUUGCAAGUAAAAAACAAAAUGAAAAAUAAUUAAAAAAAUAAAAAUCAAGGAGUUAGGCCCAAACUUUAUUAAACUUUUAAUAAAGUCUAUUUCUCAUUUUGUCAUAAUGAAAAAUAAUUAAUAAAAAAUGAAACAACCAGUUUACUUUGACUUUAUUUCACAGAAUAUAAUGUCUGAAAUUUAUAUAUCAUGUAUUCUAGGGUCAAAUCAGUCUUUUUGCACAUAACAUUUAAUAUUUCAUUAAGAAACCGCAAAGAUUAUUUCAAAGCCUUUAGGGUCAUGGUCUCCUCCGGAAGUGGCAAAUUCAGGUUCGGAUCAACCCGAUCAAGUUUCAAUUUGAUUGGGUUGGAAUAUUUGGAUUGGAUCGUAUUGAAUUAAAAAUUCAGGUUGAGUUUGGAUAUGAUCGGAUUAUAAUUAUAUGCGGGCCAUGUCAAGUUUGGAUUAAAAUUAGAUUUGGGUCAAUUAGGCUGAAUUCGAAUAAUGUUCGGAUUAGGGGUAAAUUUUGAGCUUGUUUACUUUUAUUUAUAUUUUUUCAAAUUACUUUAGUCAUUGAAGAUUGUUUUAAUGUAAUCAUCUCAUUUUAGUUCGUUUUUACCAAUUUUCAGCAAAAAAUGAAAAAAAUUACUGCUAUGAAAUCAAAUGAAUAAAAAUUAAAAUAAACUACUAUUAUCGAAUCGAAUCUCCAUCUCUUUGCCCUCUUCUGCAUUAAGGUAACCUUGAGCCACUGAUAGUGUAAUUAGUUCGUCUUUAUACAUAUUGUGGUCUUUUGAAAAGCCUCACUUGUUCCCUUCAUCAGCAACAAAGGAGUUCAGCAGCUCCAGGAGAGGGGAAGCGAAUCAAGCGAUCAAAGAAAAGGAGAAAUAAUUUGAUGAGUUAUUAAGCGUGCUUUUGUUGCGAAAAUACCGAAAGAAAAGGAGUUGUCACAUUCUUUUUAUACUGCAUGAAAAAUGUUUACUCCUAUCCUCUUGUAUAUAAUAGUUUAAAUCUCCAAAAUUUUUCUUUAUUUGAGUUUUAAAAAAGUUAUGUGAAUUUACUGUAAUUAUUUCUUGGGAGUGGGGGUGGAUUUACAAAAAUUGCAGGGUGAAAAUAUCACUACCCUUUUUGUUUAUUAAUUAUUGUAAAAUGCACAUCUUUCAUAUGAACACAUGUUUUUUUUUUUUAAAUUUACCUCCUACUUAGAAUGACAGUCUUUAAUUUUUUUUUUAGAAACGUGAAACAUCAAUUUAAAUUGUUUACAUUAAGAAGACAAUAUGUAUGUGUGUGUGUGUGUAUUCCUUAUCUUUUGAACAAAUAUAAGGACAAAUUGAUGUUUUUACCCUUUAAGAAGUAAAUUAAAGUUUGUUAUUCUAGUUUGGCAUUAAAAGAAGCUUAGCCCUGUAAUAUAUAUCAUGUAGACCAAGGUGACUUCGUCGUGAAUUCUUGUAAUCAAUUUCUUUUGUUCUUUUAUCUAACUAGAAAAGAAAAUUAAGGGGAGCAUUGUCUAUCGAAUUGAGCUUCUCUCAAGAAAAAUACGUACGGAUGAUUUAUAUAUAACCAUUAAAUAUGUUAAGACAUUUUGUUAUUUUUUUAGUCCUAAAAGUAUGAGAGAAAUUAACAUUUUUUGAAUUUAUUUAUAUACCAUAAAUUAAAGAAUGAAAUUAUUUACAAAAUUAUUUCAACUUUCAUGAUUUAAACAAGCAAUCAUCAUUGAUUUCAAUACAAAGAAGUAUUUCGGGUAGAACCGAUUUCUUUACCAAGAUAUGAUGUACAUGUAUUUGGGACUUCUUACUCUAUUAGCUUAAAUAACUACAUAACAAAUAUGACAUAAUCUAAUUGGUCUUGUUAUUGACAUGUACUAAUGCAUUCUAUUUUUGUAUAUUUUAUUGAUAGGUUUCUCUUGAGGUUGAGGAUAAUAUUCACUGUGUGGCAAAAUUUUAUUAAAACUAAGAUUAUUUAUGUUCUAAUACUUUGAACAUCUUAAUAUACACUCAUCUAUAAUAUUUUAACACUAAUUUUUGGAUAAAUUAUAUUUUAACCCCUUAUGAGAUUUACAUAUUUUAAUUUACUCAAAAAUAAAAAAUAAAAACUUCAAUUUACUCUCUAAAAUCUGUUAAAUUUAACUAUCAACCAAUAUUGACUCACUAAAAUACGAUAAUACCCCUGUUAAUUAUAGAAUAACUUAUGUUACUGAUAUAUUUAUGUUGGAAAGAUAUAUCACUUAUAUCCCUACUAUUUCUAAAAUAUAACUAAUUCAAACUUUAUGUGUGUCAUUAAUGAAAAUCAUCCUCUAAUCUAUUUUUUAAAAAAUAAAACAAAACCUCAAUAAUAUAUUUCAUAAAACAAGCAUAUUUCGGAAAGAGCUUGCCUCUUUGGUUGUUUUAAAUAACCAACGUAAUCAGUAGUAGUGCUCUAAUAAUACAUAAACCCAUAGACAUGCCAAGUAUACAUUGAUCCAAGCAAAUGGUUGUUAAUAAUUUUAAUGAUUAGUCUGGUUUUGGGGUUCAUUGAUGAAUUUGGGAAGAAGCUAAAGACUGCUUCGUCUGUAACCAAAGGAAGCACAUAACGACGACGGUUGCAUGGUGGAAGACGUGGAGGAACGUGAGCCGUUGGUCGGAGUUUGACAAAAUGAUCAAAAGGGUGUCUAAGAAUUCGAGUAUUUUGGAGAGGUAGAAGAUGUAAGCGUAGAAGAAGAGGGGGCCAGACGGAGAAAUGGUAGGGGGGAAACAGAGGGUGCAAUCGAGGUGGGGUAAAUGGAGGAUGAUGGAGAGAGUGCAACCAACGGCCAUGAUGACGGACAGGAGGAGGAGGGUAAGGUUAUGGACGGCUGUGAUGGGCUUGAGGAUGUGGGGUCCAAUGAAAGGUGAUGAUGGUGGUGAUGUUGAUGUUGAUGUGUGGUAGAGGAUGAAUGUGAGGGAGAGGUAAGUGAGGAUGGAGAGAAUGAGGAAGUGAGGGGAGGAAGCUAGUGUUUGGUUCUGAGUCCAUGUGAAGUUGAGGAUUUGGGGGUGGUUUAUAGCCAAUAUUGGAGUGUUGCGGUAAUUGAAUAUGAAGCCAUGGCUGGUUUUUUGGGGGAGAAAGAUUUGGAAGAGAUGAUGUUGAGAGGAACGGGGGAGUUUAUAAAGUUUUGGGAUAAUGCGGAGGGUAUUUUGGACAUAUUGUUAUCUUAGCUUAAAUUUUCGGAAAAAGAUAAUCAAUAAUAAGCUCUUUUUUCAUGUCAAUUUAAAACUCCGAGUGUGACUCCAAAAAUUGUUUUCGUUUUUCUAUUUUGGAUUUUAAAUCGUAAAUUUAGUAAAGGAAGUUAAAUCAAGUGAUCACUUUUUUUUUUUAAUGUAAAGCAAUUAUUUUUUUUUAUGAUUUAAGCAAAUAUUGAGCUUCGUACUUUAACGAUAUUAAUAUUUGAUUCAAAAUUUCAUCUACUGAAACUACAAAAAUUAAUAUUUUCUAAUAAAUCAAAACUAAAAUUAAAAGAUGACUCAUUGUCUGCCAACUGUCAUUAAACGAAGCCAUCACCCACGCCAAAAAAAAAAAGUGAUAUAUGCAUUUUAACGUAAUUUCAUACCAACAAAUCAUUCUUUUCUUUCGAACAAUGAUCUCUUUAAUUAUCCAGGGCUUUGUGAUAACGGCAUCUUUGGAUGUGAGUGUCAUUAAACUUUUGGCUCAAUCAGACUUGUGGAUUACAUGCACUCAACGUUGAUAAUAUAGAAAUGGGAGAAAAUUAUGUCAGAAAAAUCAAGUCAGUCAAAUAAGAAUUGUGUAUUUUUGAAAAAGUUGAAAAAAAUGGAUUGACGGUGCAUAAUUUCCUAACUCACUAGAAUUUCCUAAAGUAGGAGUAAAAAAGACUCCAAAGGAACAUGGCAAUUAUUAUUAUCUAGGAAAUAAUUCAUAGCUAAAACAAAAUUAAAUUUCCUAACUCACUAGAAUUUAACUGGAGAAAAAUUGGAAUAUACAACGUUGUAUCACAUAUAGUACUUAGACAUCAAGAAAAGAAUCCAUGUAUCAGUGAACCAUACUUGCCAGGAAACACCAGGCGAAUACCACCACCUGGGGUUUUUAAAUAAAGAUGCCUUAAAAGUAGGGUAUUUAGUUAAAUAUACCCCAUGUUUGAAAAUUAUCUAGAUAUACCUUUUUCUAUGGUACAUUGUCUAAAAUAUCCCUAAAGAAAAAUAUAAAACACACACAACUCACCUCCAACACUCUUUACUUCUCACUCUUUUUAACUCCACACAACAAAAACUCACUCCACACUCAAAAUCACUCACGAACAGCCAAUGCACUGAGAUUUUAAUUUGCAGCUGGGUGCAUUAUUCAUCACAUGAAUAAGGUAUUUGAAACUUUAUUUUUAUUUUGUGUUAUUUAUUUAUUUUGUUGACAUUAUAUUAUUUUUAGGGUUUUGUUUGGUUUGUGAUAAACAAUAAAGCAACUCACAUUUUCAUUAUAUUUGCAUCAUAUGACUGUUAUUUGAUGGAUUUUAUAACUACAUUCGUUAAAACCUGAAGUUGCUGCCAAAAUUUUGUUCUGCACCCCGACAUACACGACAGCAGUCGUGUAUGUAUGGAUUUACACGACAACAGUCGUGUAUGUAUGGAUUUACACGACAACAGUCGUGUAUGUAUGGAUUUACACGACUGUAGUCGUGAAAAUGUGCAAAAGAUUCAAAUUAUUAUGACACCCUAUCAUUUUAUUGGUGCAAAAAAUAUAUUAUUUUCAUUAGAUAUAUCAUUUUACUAUUACUAGACUAUAGUAGUGUGUUUUAAUAAGUUACACGACUACUAUCGUGUACGUAUGAACUUACAUAUUAUAAUUGUACAUAUAUGUAAAAUGUUCCAACUAUUAUGAGAUCCCAACAUUUUAUCAGUGCAAGAAAAAUAUUUUUUAAAGAAGAAAUAUGUCAUUUGACUAUUUAUAGUCAUGUAUUUCUAUAACUUACACAACUGUCAUCAUGUAUGUAUGACUUUUGUCAUGUAUGUAUGUAUGAAUUUACACGAUAGCAGUUGUGCAAGAUUGAAAGAUAUAGUAGUUGUUAUGACACAUAGCAUUCUGUUAGUAUAAAGAUUACAUUUUUUUACUAAACAUAUUCUAUAACUGUUUACUAGACUAUAGUUGUGUAUUUUAGCAAGUUACACAACUAUUAUCGUGUAAACUAGCUAUUUACACGACAGCUGUCGUGUAAAUAGACAGAUAGUUCCACACUUCAUAAUAUACCUUGUUUGAUUUUUUUUUUGUAUAAUCAUCUGUUGUAUUAUUACAUGAAGUGACUUCAGUAUGUGUGCCUAUUAUUCUUUAGAAUCAUAAGAAAUUAUGAUAGCAUCACAAGGUGAAGAAAAGUUACGCCGUAAGUACUGUAGGUGUGGUUCUCAAUGAUAUAAUCGACUAACUUGCAAUGCACCAAUCUCAUUGUCUAACAAUGAGCCCGUAGUUAGACCGAAUGAAACAAAAACAAGCACACAUACUACUAUGAACCUUACAUACUUGUCAUUUUUGUUGUUUUAAUUUCUUUAAUAUCUAAAAUAGUUAGUUGAUAAAUUUCUACCUUUUUUGUCUUGCAGCUGGAUAAACAUGUUGUGUGGCUUAUGUUGUUUUCAAAAGGAGGCGAACGGGGCCUUAUAAUACAUGGGUCGAGUGUUUGGGUUGAGCAUGCAAAUAAUUAUGAUGAUUGUGCAGCAACUUCGAUUAUAUUACGACUUAUUUAUGAUUUGAACAUGUAUUGGAUCUAUGUUGUUUGAUGCACAAUUACUUUUGUUAUUUGUUAAAUUGAAGUAUAAUAUGUUAAAGUCUAUAUUGAUUUUGUUGUCAUUAUAAUGAAUGUUUUAGGUAAUUUUAUGUUCUAUGUCCACUUACCCAACUACAGUCGUGUAUUUUGGCUCUUACUCGACUAUUGUCGUGUAUAUCUGAUUGUACUCAACUAUAAAUGUGAAUCUAUUAAAUACUCGACUAUUGUCGUUUAUUUAUGAAAAUACCCGACUAAAGUUAUGUACCAAUGCAAAUACCAGCUGGUCAUGUAUGUUUGCAAAUGCUCGACUGCAGUCGAGUAUCUGUGAAAAUACUCGACUGCAGUUGUGUACCAAUCCAAAUACCACCAGGUUAUAUAUGUUUGGAAAUAUUCGACUGCAGUCGAGUAUCUGUGAAAAUACCCGACUGCAGUCGUGUACCAAUGUAAAUACCAGCUGGUUAUGUAUGUUUGUAAAUACUCAACUACAUUUGAGUAUCUGUGAAAAUACCCGACUGCAGUCGUGUACUAAUGCAAAUACCAGCUGGUCAUAUAUGUUUGAAAAUACUCGACUGCAGUCGAGUAUCUGUGACAGCUGGUCAUAUAUGUUUGAAAAUACUCGACUGCAGUCGAGUAUCUGUGAAAAUACCCAACUGCAGUCGUGUACCAAUGCAAAUACCAGCUGGUCAUGUAUGUUUGUAAAUACUCGACUGCAGUCGAGUAUCUGUGACAGCUGGUCAUAUAUGUUUGAAAAUACUCGACUGCAGUCGAGUAUCUGUGAAAAUACCCAACUGCAGUCGUGUACCAAUGCAAAUACCAGCUGGUCAUGUAUGUUUGUAAAUACUCGACUGCAGUCGAGUAUCUGUGAAAAUACCUGACUGUAGUCGUGAACCAAUGCAAAUACCAGCUGGUCAUGUAUGUUUGCAAAUACUCGACUGCGGUCGAGUAUCUGUGAAAAUACCUGACUACAGUCAUGUAUUUGGGUUGAGCAUUUCUUGAGCAUAUAUGACCAUUCUAUUACAUCACAUAUAUUAUAUAAAACUAUCUUCUCUGUCAUUAAUAUACUUAAUAAAAAAAACAUAUGUAUGAUGUCAAAUUAACUUUAAUGAUAUCAAAUAUCAACAACAUCCCAUUGUAAUCAUUACAUCUCAUGAUAAGUAAUCCAAAAAAUGACACAUCAAUGAAGUUUUUAAGAGUGGGAGACUACGUAGUUUUUUUUUUCCAAGACCUACUCCAAAAUAAUUUGACAGCCAAUGCUUUUUGAAAUUGUGCAACAUCAUCUUGUUGGCAAUAUAAAUUGACAUCAAGUCAGUGGGCCAGGACCUCCAAGAACUGCAACAAAAAUGCUCCACAAUCACCACUAAAAAAAUUCAUAUAAAUCAAUCGUUAAAUAUGACCAUUGUUGUUGUUAAGUCAAAAAAAUAUAAUUUCAGUUUGUAGUAAAAAUAAUACUUCAAACUUAUUAUCACUGUCGUAAUAUAUUAUCAAUCUAUUAAAUGAUCACACAACAUAAAAGCAACAGAUAUGAGAACGUUUUACAACUUAAAAAUGUUCUAUAUAUAAGACAACAUGACUUUCUUACAACUAGUAUCUACAGGAUCAGCAUAACUAUAUUAUUUCAAGAACAAACCCAUCAAAUUAAAAUAUAUUGCCAAUAACUAUGAACUCAAAUAAUUUUUAAAUGAGUUAUAAACAAAAAUAAGAAAUAAACCAUCACUGCCACAUGACAUAAAAAUCAAACUUUAUGUAUCAAGUAUGUUAACAAUUCCAAAUAAAGUAUAAAUAUUCAAAGAAAAUGUUGAAUUUUUCCAUAACACUCAAACAAUUAAUUUUCAUUAGUUCAAUCUGAUUAAUAAGCUAUUAAGUAUGUGUAUAAUUGUCAAAAACUAAAAACAAGUCUAGGAGGAGUGUAUUAAAGGGCAAUUCUCCAAUAGUUAACUAGUUGGAAAUAUAUACAACAACAUUUGCUGCACAAUAAUAUCAAAUCCUAAAUGCUAUGUGACUUCUUCAAUCAAUAGCCUCACAAUGAGACAAAUUAAUAAAAUGAUCGAACAUUGUUUCAAAAUUCACAAGUCGUUCAAAACACAUUUAUUAAUAGUGUACUAUCAAUAGUUUUAUGCUGAAACAAAUAACAAAUUGUUAAUAAAUUAGAAUUGCAAAAUAAAGGUUCUAUAGCAAAUAAUAGAGAAAACCCAGAUUGUAGCAUAAUGAAUGCAUACGCCGCUGAAGAAAAUUGAUAUAUAAUUCCCAUGGAUGAAGUUCAACUACAAACAACAAGUAAAAUUAUAUAAAGAUCUAAUGCAUAAACUAGUGUAGCCAUAACCGAGUAUUCAUAAGGAUAAUAUUUGUUUCAUCCAAUUCUCUAUGAAUAUUUAAUUAGGAACUCCCACAACCAUUAUUAAAGAGCCAUGAAAUCACUCUCUUCAAUUUCAAAUCCACAAGUUCAUUAAGAACAGUGGUACUCCAAUAACAUCAAAAUGGUUGGUGACCACUCUAUCAAAUCCACACAAUAGCUGAUAUCUCAUGUUUGCAUAUAGUCCAAUGAAAGCACCAUAGCCAGGCUCUUUAGUACUUACAGAUGGGAUUGUCACAGCUAACCUGUCAGACAUCAAAUAUGGCCUAAAUUUACAGAUGGGGUUGUCGCGUUAGUGCUUAGACAGUAAACAUUUGCUCUAGUAGCCUGAUUACACAAGAAAUCGAGACAAGUGUUCAAAAUUUUAAUCUUUAUAUAUAGCCAAAAUGAUAAUGUAUUUGAUAAUACUGACCUGAGUUAAUAAAUACGGGGCUGGUGACAAUCACAGCAUCUCAUCAUGUGGGCAAAGCCUUCGCAACAGAAGACGCUGCUUGCUUUGAAGCAAUAAUAACUUUCCAAUUCCAUAAGGUAGCUUAAUGCCCUUUUAGGAUAUCAGCACCAGCCUAACAAUUAUUCAUGGAAAUUCGAUUUGCAUUUAUCACCUUUAAUUUGCUCAUAUUUGCCUAGAGUAUUGUUUUUGCGUUAACUUAACAAGCUUGCAAGCCACCUACAAAUGGUUUUAAAUAAUGUGUGAGAGUGUGAAAUCGAACAAAUUAAUCAAAUAUGAUGACAGAAGAAACAAAAGCAAAACAACCACAAGACGUAGAAAUUCACUUUUGUUAUAUUUAGAGCAUCUUCUACCGUCUUCUUUUCCUUUAGCUCUGUUUCUGUGUGUGUUCAAACGCAAUGCCUCAAGGCUCAAGAUAACUUUUUGACCAUCAAUCUUUUGCAGCCAUGUGCAGACUUGAAACACUGUAGUGUCCCUAAGUAACUUGAAAAUUAGAAAGUUUCAGUAUGAGUGACUAAAUAUGAUAAUCGAAACUAAUUUAAUAUACACACCUUGUAAAUCUGAAACUAAAUUACUCAAAUGUAUAUGCCUCAUCGCAGCAAUUGCUUGUGGUGGAAAGUUUACUGCAAAGACUUCCUCAAACCCUUGAAGAUCACACUCUUCCUGGCAACAAAGAAACAGAGUUAAUGUACGAAGAUGAUUUUACUAACAAGUGAGAGCUUGCAAAUAUUGGAAGGAUAACGAUUACUCAUAACCCAAAUCCCCAAUACACUCUAUUAUCUCACUCAAGUGAGUUCAAGCUCCCAAAAUUCACUACAGUGAAACUCUCACAACAAAAUUCUAUUCAAAGAUUCUCUACUCAAAUUUGAUUAAGCUGCUUAGAAUCCUUAACCUGAUAACUUACACAAACAAAAACAACUUGCCUAAAGUUUAAUAUUUAGAGGCAGAACAGUAAAGAAGAAGAUAUAUAUUGAUACUAAAAUUUGACCUGUAUUGCCCUGAUGUCAAGAAUCACGGCAUCUUAUGUGGGCAAAAUCUUCACAAUACGAGAUGCUUGCAAAAUUGAAGCAGCAUCUUAUCACCUGUAAUUUAAUUAAGACAAUAACUUUCCCCAACUAUUUCAAUGCAUUAUUGGCAACUAAAUUCAGAGAGCGCUAAUUAAAUAUCCUUUUAAUAAUAUCUUCUUAUUCUUCUCCAAUCUAACAGUUAUUUGGAAAUCUGAAAAGAGGUUCAACAUUUUACAACCAAUCAAAAAUCACUGAACCAUUGGAAAGUGAUUUACGUAUAAUUUUUUUUUCCAAACUCUGCCCAAAAUGAUGAAUGAGAUAGGAUGACACAAGAAACAAAUGUAAAUUGACCGCAAGUAGAAAUAUACUUCUAUUAUAUUUGCAACAUCUUCUAGUGUCAAUUGCUUUUCCUUGAGCUCUGUUUCUGCAUGUGCUCUGUUAAGGAAGUCCAAUAUGCUGAGCUCACAGAGAGUAGGAGUAAGAAGGAGAAGAAGCUUCAGUCUCAGUCAGUCAAACAUUUCAGCAAUGCCAGCUCAUCAGAGUUAGUUAAGCAAGUUGCCAGAUCAGCACAAGAUGGUUAAGCUUGUUAUCAGUCAUUUCGUAUGUGUGUGUAACUGAAUGUAAUUAGCUUAAGCUGUAAUCUUGUGCGUGUAUAUAAGUUUAGUUGAUUCAAUUGCAAAGGUUAAGAAAAAUCAAUAAGAAAUAAAGUGAUCUUCUCUCUGAAAAUAAUUUUCCUAAAAAACAAACAACUCAUUUUCUCUUUCAUGGUAUCAGAGCCAUCCAUGGCUAGUUCCAGUACAAUAAAUCAAAAUUGUUCAAAUUUCAAUCAAAUGCAUUCCACACAAACUUCAUUUACCUUUGCCACAACAGUAAAACUCGAUCGAUCAAACUUCCUUCUCUGGCGCAAACAAGUGAUUACUUCAAUCAGAGGGAAUCGACUUGAAGGAUUAAUCUCAGAAAAACAAAAUGUUCCAGAGCAAUAUGUUUCUCAGUCCCAAGCUGAUGGAUCUGUGGAAAGGAUUGAAAAUCCAGCUUAUGUCAACUGGAGAGCUCAAGAUCAGACUCUACUUAGCUGGCUUCUAUCAACAAUCAGUGAAGGUAUCUUAAGCUUAGUUCUUAACCAUGAAACUUCUUUUGAUGUAUGGAGAUCUAUUGAAAAGCAAUUUGGAGUACAAUCUAAAGCAAAAAUAAUGCAACUUCGAUAUGAAUUAGAUACUCUGAGAAAAGAGUCAAUGUCCAUUGAAGAAUAUUGUUCGAAAAUGAAAAUGCUAGCUAAUAAACUUGCAUGUGCUGGAGAUAACAUAACUGAAAAGGAUUUGCUGAUAAGGACACUAAAUGGACUUGGAUCUGGCUAUCUAGAUCUGGCUUCAAUAAUCACAGCCAAUAAGAUGAGUUAUGAUGAUGCGUAUGCACUUUUACUGACACAUGAAGCUAGGCUGGAACAAAAUCAGAAUCCUCAGGCUAUGUUUAAUGCAAAUUAUAGUAUGAUGAAUACAAAUUAUUCACAUAUGAGAGGUGCUCCUAGGAGAAAUGCUUAUGGUAAUAGUAGUGCCAUUUAUGGACAAUCUGGAGGCAGAGGUCAGAUUUUUGGUCGAGGCAUGUUUUCUGCUUCUUAUCCUAGAGGAUUUCCAGCUGGUGGUAAUACUGCUAGUGGUUUUGGUAGAGGAAAUGUUGCAGGUUUUGGAAGAAAUCAGUUCAUGCAGUCUCAUAGGCACCACAAAUGAGGCAUAUGUUCACUCCUGCUAAUACUUCAAAUGUUUCUGAAUCAAGUGAGCCAUUACCUAUAUGUCAAAUAUGUCAUAAGCAAGGACAUACUGCUGAUGCAUGUUGGUAUAGGUAUGGUGAUGCUUAUUUUUCCUCACCUAAACAAUUUGGAAGAGGAAAAAUGAUGGGAUCUAAGACUGCAUAUAUGGCUAAUUUUGAGCCAUUUCCUUAUCAACCAUCUUCAUUUGAAGAUCCUUAUGAAAUCUCAGACUCUAGCUGUCAGUUCAUGAACUAUUCUCCUGUUUCCUCUUAUCCAUCAGAGGCUUUUACUCUGCCUGAAGCCUAUGUUGCAAAUGUUGAAGGCUCAACUGAUGAAGGGUGGUAUCUUGACAGUGGAGCUACACACCAUAUUACCAACAACAUGGCAAAUAUGCAUGUGAGAGAAGAAUUCAAAGGCUCAGACCAAUUGACCAUCGGCAAUGGACAAGGUUUGAUCAUUACUCAUAUUGGUGAUGCAUGCUUUAACCAUAAAAGUUUCAAAUCUGCCUACAAACACACACCUGUAGCACUCAAGGAUAUUUUGUUAGUUCCCUCAAUUACUAAGAAUUUGAUAAGCAUAUCCAAAUUGACCACUGAUAAUAAUCUUUCCAUUGAAUUUGUUGGCAAUAAUAAUCUUUCCAUUGAAUUUGUUGGCAAUGUGUGUUAUGUAAAGGAUUUACUGAAGGGACAAGUACUUCUGCAAGGUCUUGCUGAGAAAGGAUUGUAUAGGCUGCUGUUAAAAUCAUCAGAGUCAUCACAGUCUCCCUCUUCCUUCGUGUGUCAAGUUUCUUCAAAUCAGCCUCUGUCUAUGUUAUCAACAUGUCAUGUUUCUUUUCCUAUUUCAAAUAAUGUUCAGAAUAAACACUCAAGCUCUAAAGCUUGUUUUCAAACUGAUGUUUCCUCUUGUAAUUCAUUUGUCAAUAAAGUUGAUCUUCUUCAUAGAAGAUUUGGUCAUCCUCAUCAUAAUGUCUUCAUGCAUUUGCUUAAGAAUGAUCAAACUAUUAAUCUCUCAUCUUCUCUUAUUAACCAAGCUGCACAACAAAUAUGUGAUGCAUGUCAAAUGGGAAAAAGUCACAGGUUGCACUUCCCUGUCUCAGAAACCAAAACUUCUCAGGUGCUUGAACUAAUUCACACUGACUUAUGGGGCCCUUCACCUAUCCUUUCUAAAGCUGGUUAUGUCUAUUAUAUCAGCUUUGUUGAUGACUUCAGUAGAUACACCUGGAUUUAUCCAUUAAAAUUGAAAUCAGAAGCCCUACAAGUCUUCAAAUUGUUCAGAUUGCAAGCUGAAAAACAAUUUCAAAGUCCCAUUAAAAUGCUGCAAUCUGACUGGGGGGAGAGUAUAGAGCAUUUACUGAUUUUCUGAACCAAAAUGGAAUCAUGUUCAGACACUUGUGUCCCUAUACACAUCACCAAAAUGGGGUAGUUGAGAGGAAACAUAGGCAUGUUGUUGAGUUAGGACUCACACUUCUAGCUCAAGCUAAAUUACCUUUAAGUUUUUGGUGGGAAGCUUUUCAAACAGCAGUUUACCAUAUUAACAAGUUGCCUUCUACAACUCUGAAAUUCUUUACUCCAUAUGAAAAAUUGUUCAAACAUAAACCAGACUACAAAAUGCUUAAAUGUUUUGGCUGUGCAUGCUAUCCAUAUUUGAGAGAUUAUAACAAGCAUAAGUUUGGCUACCAUUCUAGCAAAUGUAUUUUCAUUGGGUACAACCCUUCUCAUAAAGGGUACAAGUGUUUGCAUCCAUCUGGUCAGGUUUAUAUAGCAAGACAUGUUGUCUUUGAUGAGUCUUCUUUUCCUUAUUCCUCAGAUUCUGCUUUUGCUUCUAAUAAAUCAAACUCAUGUCAAAACUUGUCUUUCACUCCUCAGCAAGUGUAUCAUCUAUCCACUUUGCCAUUAUUCUUAACUUCAGAUGAUAACAGCACUCAUAAUCCUAACUCUGCAAGCUCUACCAGUAGCAGUUCUCAUCAUUCAGUUUCUCCUAAUCAUAACAACAAUUCUCAUCUAUUGUCCCAAACAAACACAUUACCAAUCACUAAUACAGAGCCUAAUACAGAACUUCAUACUUCUUUACCAGUUCAGCCAAUCACCACCAACAGACCUCCCAUUUUUCAAACAUUACCUGAAACAAAUCAAAACACAUUAGCUCCAGAAAACACACAACAAUCCAAAACUCCUUUAAACACACGUCCUAUGACCACUAGAGGUAAGAUUGGCAUUUUCAAGCCUAAGCUCUACAAUGUAGCUCUUGUUCAUAAAGAGCCAGAAUCUGUAGAAGAAGCUAUGCAGAAUCCUAAAUGGUUUGAAGCUAUGAAUGAAGAAUAUAGUGCUCUGCUCAAGAACAAUACAUGGUAUUUAGUUCCAAGAUCUGAUGGUCAGAAGAUUGUUGGAAACAAGUGGGUAUAUCGAGUUAAGCAUAACUUAGAUGGAAGUCUGGCCAAGUACAAGGCCAGAUUAGUUACUAAGGGUUUUCAACAAAUUGCAGGGGUAAAUUACUUUGAAACUUUCAGUCCAGUGGUAAAAUUAGCUACUGUUAUAGUAGUGAUUAGUUUGGCUGUUAUGAAUCAGUGGCAAAAUCAGGCAGGUAGAUGUUAAUAAUGCCUUUCUUAAUGGGGAGUUAACAAAGAAGUUUUUAUGGAUCAGCCAGCAGGUUUGUUGACAGUCAAAAACCAAACUUUGUGUGUAAACUCCAUAAGUGGCCUCAAGCAAGCUCCACGAGCUUGGUAUGAAAAGUUAAGAAGUUGUUUGUUACAGUGGGACUUUGAAAACUCAAGAGCUGACACUUCUCUGUUCAUCAAGAAAACCAGCUCAUAUAUGAUAUUGGUACUGAUUUAUGUUGAUGACAUCUUAAUCACAGGACCAGAUAGUGCAGAACUAGAAUCUUUCAUUGCCAAAUUUAAUGCAGUUUUUGCACUAAAGGAUUUGGGUACUCUCUCUUAUUUUCUGGGCAUAGAAGUCUUAUAUGGUGCAGAUUGCAUUUAUAUGUCUCAAAGGAAAUACAUAAGAGAUCUAUUGACUAAGGUUCAGUUGCUUGAGUGUAAAGAGAUUGACACACCUUUGAGUACUGGAAUUAAGCUGCAAAAGGAAGCUCAAGGAUAUCUAGGCCAAUAUAUUGCUGAUGCUACACAUUACAGGAGCAUUGUAGGAGGGAUGCAAUAUUUGGUUUUAACAAGGCCAGAAAUUGCCUUUGCUGUAAACAAGUUAAGUCAGUAUGUUUCAAGUCCUACAAUGCAACAUCUUAUAGCCUGUAAGAGAGUGCUUAGAUACUUAAAGUCUACUCAAGAUUAUGGACUUAAGUUUGUUCAAAAUGGAGAAAUGAAGAUUACUGGAUUCACUGAUGCAGACUGAGCUUGUGAUUUAGAUGAUCGAAAAUCUGUUGGAGCCUAUUGCAUCUACUUAGGUAAUAAUUUGAUUUCAUGGUCAUCCAAGAAGCAAUCAGUCAUUGCUAGGUCUAGUGCUGAGAGUGAGUACAGGGCCUUAGCUUCAGCUAGUGCAGAGAUCAGCUGGUUACAAUAUUUAUUUUCUGAAAUUGGUUUGUGUUGUUCAGAGAUACCUACUGUCUGGUGUGACAAUACCAGUGCCACUGAGCUUAGCUCAUAAUCCUGUUUUCCAUUCUAGAACUAAACACAUCGAGCUUGACUUACACUUCAUCGGAAACAAAGUGAUUGCAGGGGAGUUAAAAAUUCAGUACAUUCCCAGUGAAGAACAGAUUGCUGAUAUCAUGACAAAACCUCUUUCGUUUGUUCAUUUUAACUAUCUGAGAUCAAAACUCAAUGUGCAGCCUUACCCCUUGAGUUUGAGGGGGGCUGUUAAGGAAGUCCAAUAUGCUGAGCUCACAGAGAGUAGGAGUAAGAAGGAGAAGAAGCUUCAGUCUCAGUCAGUCAAACAUUUCAGCAAUGCCAGCUCAUCAGAGUUAGUUAAGCAAGUUGCCAGAUCAGCACAAGAUGGUUAAGCUUAUUAUCAGUCAUUUCGUAUGUGUGUGUAACUGAAUGUAAUUAGCUUAAGCUGUAAUCUUGUGCGUGUAUAUAAGUUUAGUUGAUUCAAUUGUAAAGGUUAAGAAAAAUCAAUAAGAAAUAAAGUGAUAUUCUCUCUGAAAAUAAUUUUCCUCAGAAACAAACAACUUCAUUUUCUCUUUCAAAAUGCAACACACAUACCACAAGAUAUAAUUAUCAACAGGAUCUCCCUAAGUUACAUGCAUGUAACUUAGCAUUAGCCUUAUCAACAUGAAUCUUUUGCCGCCACAUGCAGCCCAAAACUGUUUAUGGCCAUAAAGAACGGGAUAAUCAGAAAUCAUUAACAACGAGAGAAAUCAUUUUAAUCGCAGCCAAACAUACACACUAAGAAAAUCUAAAAUUUAAUUUCUCCCAAUGAAUGUGCCUCUUCACAGCAAUUGCACUAGCUAAUCCCAGCAGCCUGCGUCAUGGAGCUUCUCCCAAUGAGUGAGUGAGCCUUCAACAAUUAUCACUUAGCUCAAACUAAAAUGAAAUUAUUGUGGACAUCUGAAUUAAAAAUACAUGUAAAAGCAGUUUUCUCAAAGCAAGGUCAAGAUAAGAGAUUAACUCUGCUCCUUAUUUACAUUAAAAAUAACAAACAAUGAAAAACAAAGCUAGAGAAGAACUUACCUGUGCAUUGAGACCAUGUGGGGAAUGUGAGAUGUCUUCUUAUAUUUGUUUUGAGAAACUCCAUCUUCUUCUGAAAGUUCUGACAGUUCUGACAGUUCCCUAAACCCAGGCCAAUACAAUUGCAACAGAAACUGCAUGCAUUAAGCAGCAUCUGAUCAUCUCCUGUUAUUUCAAGAUAAUAAUAACUUAAUUGCAACACUGCAUGCUUCAACCAUUAACCUUUUCAACUUCAACACUUCUUUUGUCCCCCUCCCGAUGCCCUUUUCACAAUUCUAUGAAUCAGAUAAAUCAGCCUUCUUCGCAAAACUAUGAAAAACUUUUCACCGUGUUCCACACAUUCCGGGAUUAGUAUUGAUAACAAACAUUUGAUGAAGACCCUGCCAAUUAAAAUUUCGGUCCCCAUGUAGCAGAAUUUCUUAUUUUUCCUUUGUACACAAAUGCAGACACUUACGCAAAUUAGGAUUUCUUUUGACCCUGCAAGUUACAAUUUCAGUCCCCAUGUAAUAGAAACAUUUUGUACACAUAUUUAUAGCAAACUAAUAUUUCAUACCUCACAAUAUUUAUCAUAACCAUCAAUCUUUAGAAACCACAUGCAGACUUUUUAACUGUUUAUGGCCCAAAAUAACAGGAAAAUUAGAACAGAUUUUUAAGAAUGAGCCACUACAUAUUUCAAUGGCAACUAAAAUUACACAUCUUGGAAAUCUAAAACUCAAGUACUCAGAAUGAAUGUGCCUCUUCACAGCAAUUAAACAAGCUGGGAACUUUAGUGCAAAUGCUUUUUCAUAAUCUUCAAUUGCAUAAGUCAGUAAGAAUCAAUCUUUCUUAAUCUUUCAAUUCACACAUGAGAGCCUGGUAACACAAGGAAACACUGUAAGUGAAUUGUCAACUCUGACAUAUUUUGGGUAAAAACUAUCAACUGUAGUUAUCCGCAUAACAUAUAGUGUCAACACCAAAUUCCUUCCUGAUUCGUGGAAGCAUUUCAGCCCACAGACGGUUUGGUUUGUCAAUAUAUAUCAAGCUUUGUAGCUUUUAAGAAACUGACAGGUGAAAGACCUGGAAUUUUCGAUAGCAACUCAGGAUUCUAUAUUUAAACUAUGAUGUUUGAUAACUUGCUGAUACAAAAGACAUUGCCCCAAGCACUUUUUUACAGGAGCUAAACUCAAGCAAGUCACUUCCAUUUGUUGCAGUUUUAACGCAGAAAGAAAAGGGAGAAAAAAAUCUGCAAGAUACCGCAUGUUCGCAGAAGCAGAGUUGAAUAAUUACAAAAUUACAUUCUUGAUUGCACAGAAAUGAUUACAAAAUUACUUUCCAAUUUCAUAAGGUAGCUUAAUGCCCUUUUAAGAAUAUCUACACCAGCCUGACAAUUAUUCAUGGAAAUUCAAAUUCAAAAUCAUGUUCCUAUGAGAGAUGAAAUGUAAUGAGCGACUUGGCCACUAUAUAUGCAUUUAUCAUCUUCAAUUUGCUCAUCUUUGUCUAGAGUAUUGCUUCUGCGUUAACUUAAUUAGCGUGCAAGCCACCUGAAAAUGGUUUUAAAUUAUGAGAAAGAGUCUGAAUUCGAAAGAAUCAAUCAAAUAUGAUGACAGAAAACACAAAAGUAAAAUAACCAAAAGAAGUAGAAAUAUACUUUUGUUAGAUUUAGAGCAUAAUUCUUCUGUCAAGUUCUUUUCCAUUAGCCUUGUUUCUGUGUGUGCUCAAACGCAAUUCCUCAACGCUCAAGAUAGUUCCUGCGGACCUGAAAAACUAGUUGUGGCCAUAAGGAACUUGAAAAUUAGAAAAGAUUCAGAAUGAGUGACUAAAUAUUUUAAUCAAAACUAAUUAAACCUACACUCCCUGAAAAUCUGAAACUGAAUUACUCAAAUGAAUAUGCCUCUUCACAGCAAUUGGUUGAAACUUUACUGCAAAGACUUUUUGAAACCCUUGAAGAUGAUACUCUACCUGAUAACACAAGGAAACACAAUCAAUAUAAGAAGAUGAUUUUACAAACAAAUGAAAGCUUGCAGUUAUUGGGAGAGCUCUACUCAAAUUUAAUGAGAUAUCUCUCAGGAGGGAGAGCUCUAAUAAUAUAUAAAGCCAAAAAUCUGAAAAUGUCUAACACUCAUCAAAUUGGCUUGUGAAGAAUUAAUCUUCCUUGCCAUCAUACAUGCCAGGUGUGGUGAACAAUCUUCAUUCUGACAUUUGCCUUAAUAAGCUGCUUAGUAUCCUUAACCUGAUAACAUACACAAACAAGAACAACUUUACUAAAGUUUAUUCUUUAAAGGCAAAACAGUAAAGAAGAUGAUAUAUGCUGAUACAAAAAAUUGACCUGAGUUAUCCUGAUGUCAAGAAUCACAGAACCUCAUGUGGGCAAAAUCAUCGCAAUACAAGAUGCUGAAUUCAAGCAACAUCUUAUCACCUGUAAUUUAAUUAAGACAAUAACUUUCCUCAACUAUUAUCCUUCUCAAUUUCAAUGUAUUAUUGGCAACUAAAUUCAUAGGGGACGUAGCUAAUUAAAUGCCCUUUUAACAAUAUCUUCCCCACCUAACAAUUAUUUGGAAAAUCUAAAUGACAAUCAUGCAUUGAUGGCAUAAAAAAUUGGCCACAAAGCUGCCUACAAAAAGGCUUUAAAUUCUUAAUGAGACAACGUAUUCGAACAAAUAUGGUGAAUGAAGAGACAAAGGCAUAACACCUCAAGAAGUAAAGCUCUGUUUCUGUAUGUGCUCAAACCAAUGGAAACCCAUGGAAAUGAAUUUCUACUAAUUAGACAUGUCAGCCAAAACAGGUACUCUGUACAAGCAAAGUAAAAGAGAGUUACAAAAAAAUUUUAAGAUAAUUAAACUUUCAGUCACCAUAUAAUUAAUAGAAAACUUUGUACACAAUGAUUUAUUGGAGAUUAAGAUUGUAUACCUAAGUUUUAAUUGCAAACUAAAUAUACACAACAUGAUAUUAGCAUUAGAAGACCGCACCAAAACGUACCGAAUUAAAUGUACAUCUUCACGGCCAUUGUACCAGCCUAAUCCUUGAUUACACCAAUGUUCUCCAUAGGGUCUUCAAAGUCAACCUAAAAAUAAAAUGAAAAUGCAAUGCAUUAUUAUUAGGGAUCUAGUGCUUGAGCUUGCUUUGACAUCAUGGUAUUAGCAAAUUCUGAUAUAGCCAAAAUGGUGAAUAAGAUGACGUACUUGAUAAGAAAAACCUGAUUUAACAAAUAAUUAAGGAGCAGGUAACAAUCACAGAAUCUCAUCAUGUGGGGAACGCCUUGGCAACAGAAGAUGGUGCUUUCAUUCAAGCAAUAGCAACUUUCCAAUUUCAUAAGGUAGUUUAAUGGCCCUUUUAAGAACAUCUGCACCAGCCUAAUAAUUAUUCAUGGAAAUUAAUAAUCAGAAUCAUGUUAGAUUGAGAGAUGAAACAUAAUAAGCGAUUUGGCCACCAUAUAUGCAUUUAUCACCUUCAAUUUGCUCAUCUUUGUCUAGAGUAUUGCUUCUGCAUUAACUUAAUUAGCUUGCAAGCCACCUGAACAUGGUUUUAAAUGAAGUGUAAGAGCUCGAAUUCGAACGAAUUAAUCAAAUAUGCUGACAGGAGAAACAAAAGUAAAAUAACCACAAGAAGUAGAAAUAUACUUUUGUUAUAUUCAGAGCAUCUUCUAGUGUCAAGUAAAAUAAACGCAAUGGCUCAAGGGUCAAGAUAAUUUUAUGACCAUCAAUCUUUUUGCAGCCACAUGCAGACUUGAAAAACUGGUCGUGGCACUAGGGAACUUGAAAAUUAGAAAAGAUUCAGAAUGAUUGACUAAAUAUUAUAAUCGAAACUAAUUAAACAUACAUGCCUAGAAAAUCUGAAACUGAAUUUCUCAAAUGUAUAUGCCUCUUCGCAGCAAUUGCUUGUGGUGGAAACUUUACUGCAAAGACUUUCUCAAACCCUUGAAGAUCACACUCUACCUGAUAACAAAGAAAGAGUCAAUAUACGAAGAUGAUUUUACUAACAAGUGAGAGCUUACACAUACUGGAAGGAUAAUGAUUACUCAUAACCCAAAUCCCCAAUACUCCCUAAUAUCUCACUCAAGAGAGUUCGAGCUCCCAGAAUUCACUACUGUGAAACUCUCACAACAAAAUUCUCUUCAAAGAUUCUCUACUCAAAUUUGAUGAUGAUGUCCCUCGAAAGGAGGCAAAAAAUCUAACACUGAUCAAAUUGGCUUGUGAACAAUUAAUCUUCCUGGCCAUCAUGCAUACCAGGUGUGGUGAGCAAUCUUCAUUCUGACAUUUGCCUUAAUAAGCGGCUUAGUAUCCUUAACCUGAUAACUUACACAAACAAAAACAACUUGAUUAAAGUUUAAUAUUUAGAGGCAGAACAGUAAAGAAGAUGAUAUAUAUUGAUACUAAAAUUUGACCUGUGUUAUCCUGACGUCAAGAAUCACAGCAUCUCAUGUGGGCAGAAUCUUCGCAGUACAAGAUGCUUGCAAAAUUGAAGCCGCAUCUUAUCACCUGUAAUUUAAUUAAGACAAUAACUUUCCCCAACCAUUUCAAUGCAUUAUUGCCAACUAAAUUCAGAGGGUGCUAAUUAAAUAGCCUUUGAACAAUAUAUUCUUAUUCUUCUCCAAUCUAACAAUUAUUUGGAAAAUCUAAAUGACAAUCAUGCAUCGAUGGCAUCAAAAUUUGGCUACAAAGCAGCCUGGAAAAGGCUUUACUCUCUGAAUGAGAGCAUGAAUUCGAAACAAAUAUCAUGAAUGAAGAAACAAAGGCAUAAUACCACAAAAAGUAAAACUUUUUCCCAGGGCUCUCUGUUUCUGUUUGAACUAAAACCAAUGGAAACCGAUCGAAAUGAAUUUCUAGGAAUUUGACAUAUUAGCCAAAACAGGUGCUCUGUACAAGCAAAGUAAAACAGGGUUACAAAAAAUUUUAAGAUUGAUAUGAUAAUUAAAAUUUCAGUCACCAUAUAAUUAAUAGAAAACUUUGGACACAAUGAUUUAUUGCAUAUUAAGAUUGCUAUAUAAAAUAUAAUAUUAGCAUUAGGAGACCGCACCAAAGCAUACCGAAUUGAAUGUGCCUUUUCACAGCCAUUUUACAAGCUUUGAAGCUUUACCACAAAUGCUUUUUCCAACCCGUGAACAUGAUGCACCCGAGAGAUGCAAGCUAUGAAAUUGUUACUACAGCAAGCCAUUUUACAAGGAAGUUUAUGAAAAUAUGCCUUUGGAAACCCGUCUUCAGGAAUGAAUUCAUCCGCAAUAACAAUUUUCAAGACGUAUCAACUGCUUCAAGCUCAUCCAAUAGAGCAGAUCCCGCCUGACGAACAAGGAGGGCUAUUCUGAUUUUUUCUUGAAUCCCUGGUGAACAUAAUUAAACUCGUAUGAAAUAAAACAAAGUGGGCUAAUGUACUACUAAAAACAAUUACACAAUUACUUUAAAGAAUUAAUGUCACAUAAAUUAUAUAUAAAAAAAUACGAUUAUCAUUAUACAAGAUAAAAUUGAUGAUUUAGUUUUCAACAUUUCUGCAAAUGUAUCACAGAGAUUUUGUCUCUCAGGAAGUUGCACAUAACAAAUUUUCGUGCAUUAAAAAAUAAAAUAUAUUAGGAUUUUCUAUGAUGUUGUAUGAAAUUUUACAAAAGACUACAUUUUUUUUUUAAAGAAAAUAUAGAAAUUUCAUCAGACUACACUUGUUUUUUUUAUUUAAUCUUUAGAAAACAAGUUUAACUGAUUUGAUAACUAGGAAGUUUAAAUUUUAAAUAAUUAAAAUUAAAAUAUUAUCCUAACUAACUUUUAAUUUUUUGAACUAUUGAUUAAAUCUAACAGUAAAUAUUUAUACCAUGAUUGAUUUUAUAAUUUUUAUAACAAUAUCAUAAAGUGACCUAUUAAAUUAAUGGUUCAAGUAAAUAAUUGAAUUCAAUACGCAAAUCAAAAUAUUAGAAAAUAUUAUAUAUUCCCAUCAGACAUUGGCAAUAUACAGAAUUUUAAUUCAAAAUAUAAAUAUUUUUAUUAAUUUCAUUGCAAGCAACAACAGGGUAAAUCAGAGGAGGAGAAAUUACCGUCGGGUGACAUCUGGAUGUGGGGAAUGUGAGAUAUCUUAUGCCGUGACAUCUGGAUGUGGGGAAUGUGAGAUAUCUUAUGCCUGUCUUCUCCUUUCCCCUCUCUAUAACGGUUUUCCAGAAUGGGACAUCCCCAAAUUUUCAAUUCCUGCAGUGCCGUCGUCUGAAGAAGGUAAUCCGGCAGCGCCUUCAAUUUGGGGCAAGACUCAAUCGACAAGAGAGAAAGACGUGGCAUGACGGAGAUGUUUUCCUUCCUCGUAAUCCUGUAAUUCCACUCUUCCAGUUCUGUCAUGACGCUAAUUUCGAGUGAUUUCAAAUUGGGGAAGGCAAUAACUGAUGAUGACGAUGAAGAUGAAGAUGGAUCAUCCUCAGUGCUUUCUUCUAUUCCCAAAAACUCAUUACCCACUCUUUUUACACUUUUCAAAUUGUAUAGGGUGAGUUUUUCCAGAGGUAAUUUUCCCAAAGGAGGCAAAUGCUCACAGUCAAUGCACGAGAGAAGUCUUAAUUCGCUUAGAUUGGUUAGUGAAGUCAACCAUUUGGGAAAAAUGUUGCCUCCGUAGAAUCUAAUCCUUAACUCCUCUACAUUCAAAGGCGGUUGUAAGGCUUCAAGAAGUUGUUCAUCUUUCUCAUUCUUCCUCCUCCCUUCUUCGCCUUCCCCAUCUACAACUCUACCAAACUGAAGACCCAAACGAAGGAGGUUUUUCUUAUUGUAAAGUUGUAACCUCUCAGCCUCAUCUACAUGCGAUACAUUACUUAGCCCUUGUACUCUACAUUCACGAAGGAGUUGAAGAUUUUUCAGAGAUUCAAGCCUACACGUGCUGCCACCAUCAACACCUCCACCCACAACAAACUUUUCUAAUGUUCGAAGACUGGUUAAUUUGGAAAUCCCUAUUGGCAUGUACUUCAACGAACGAGUUUCACCAUUCAGUAAACUCCUCAUGUUCAUUAACUUCCCAAUCCCCUCUGGCAAUUCUCUAAGAUUUCGGCACAGCCUAAUAUCUAGCUUUUGUAAAUUAUAUAAUUCACACAAAGUCUCAGGUAGUCUCUCUAUGACUAAUUCAGACAAAUUAAGAUAUUUUAAAUGUAUCAAUUUUCCAACAUUUUCUGGAAUUUCUCUAAUCCAAUUUGCCUCAGGAUGCGAACCUAAAAGGUAAUAUUGCCUUAUAACUAAUGCCCUUAAACAUGCCAAUUUACUAAAUAACUCCGAAAGGAUGCUAUUAUUAAGAGAUGGGUUGAAAAGAUUUUCAUCAUAAAUUAAUAGGGUAUGCAAUCUAUUAAGUCCAUGAAUGGACAUAGGAAAUGAAGUGCCUCCUUGAAAAUUUAACCCUAAGUGACGGACUUUGUCACCAAAAGAGUUUAUGACUGAUUCCUUGGUACCAUUAAUUUCUAGCCACAAACAUUCUUUGCUACUUACAAAUUGAGCAAAAUCAUGUACGAUGUCAUGCAUCUUGCAACUCAUAAUAUCAUCGUCAUUUUUCUGAAAUUCUUGAAAGAAAGAGCGUGUAGUUAAGAUGUUGAAAUACUCUUCUCCAAUCAUCUCCAUUUCUUCGUCUUCAUCUGCAUUAAGGUAACCUUGAGCCAUCCAUAGAUUAAUCAAUUCCCUUUUGUUCAUAUUGUAGUCUUUUGGAAAGACAGCACAAUAUGAGAAGCACCGUUUUACCAUAGAAUUGGAGGGCAAAUCAUUAUAACUCAACAACAAAGGAGCCAAAAUACCUUGUCCAAUCUCUUCUACUUUCCACAUUUCACUCUCUAAAAUUCUUUGCCACUCUUUUACUGUACUUUUAGAGCGCAAGAGAUUCCCUAUUACCUUUGCAGCAAGAGGCAGGCCUUUGCACUUACAUGCAAUUUUUCGCCCGAUUGGUUCUAAUUUUUCACAAUCCUCAAAGGACCUACGUAGAAAUGCUAUCUGCUUAAACAGUAACCAACAUUCCCCUUCACCCAACUCCUUGACAGGGAUAAUAUCUAUUGAUCCCAACUGCAGUGCAACUGACCUAUCACGUGUGGUAAUUAGAAUUUUACUUUCAUGGUGGCCAUUCUUUAGACAAGAAAAGAAUGGGUCCCAUUUUUUGUAAUCUCCAUCCCACACAUCAUCUAAAACAAGAAAAAUUUUCUUCCCUGUAAUAUAUUCCUGAAUCUGUUUCAUAAGAGAUUCGAAUUCGCUUAAACCAGAAGCUGACACGCCUAGACCUUCAAUGAUUGCUUUGGCGACCCUAAUCUCCUCAAAAGUGUAUGAUACACACACCCAUAUAACUUUGCCAAAAUUUCUUUUCACCUCAUCAUUAUUAUACGCCAAUUGUGCAAGAGUGGUUUUACCUAUACCCCCCAACCCAACUAGUGAAAUGACAUGAAGGCCUUUUUGUUGUUCACUACUUUCACACAACAACUUGCUUAAGAGCUCAUUUUUCUCCUCAACUCUACCGCAAACCUCUCCCUCAUCAAUCAAGGAGAUGGUUCGCACUCGCUCUGGAUUCCUAACAUUGUUACUCACAUUCUCAACAAAAUUAAACCUAUCUUUUCGAGUGGCAAUUUCAUCUAGCCUUUUACUGAUUUCUCUAAUCUUGACAGCAAUAUGAUGACGAAGACUGAGUUGUUUGAAACCACCAAAGCAGUUUGAGGCAGCAGGAAAGAAGGAACAUACCUUCGUCAAAAAAGUAACAAAAGCACUGUCGUUAUCAUCAUCAUCAUCAUCAUCGCCUCCCUCAUCAAGCUGCAAUUUCCGUGUUUCAGUGAUCCACUCGUCCAACACAUCUUCCAUGUCGUAGGAUGCGUCUCUGAGCUGAUCCAGCCAAAAAGUAACAGCUUUGUCCUGCUUCAUUUGCCUCUGCUCUGCAUCUUCCACCACAGCUUGAAUGGCUUGAAGAUUGGUGGUAAGCUUUCCCACUUCUUGUUCGACACCCGUCACAAGCCUCCACUUUUCUUUCACCUGAUCUUGAGCAAUGGAUUUCAGCUGGUCCAAGAGAGAGGAAACGAUCGCAUGAGCCAUUCUGAUAUUAGAUCAAAUGGUAAAUGCAGCAAUUGCUUUUCUUGCUAAAAUGCUCCGAGGAAUGGAUCCACUUUUCAAUAUAGCUUUAACGUAUGGAUCCAAUUUCUCAUCUAUAUGGCCUUUUAUUAUCAGGUAGGGCGAAGCCAUUUGGUCAUUUGAAAAAGUUGUGAUUCCGUUUUAGUCCAUUAUGUCACGACAAAAAGAGAAUUGUUAAAUAUAACAUUCUCAAAUUAUUUUGUGGUAGUCGGGGCCCAUGCCCGUGGAAACGAGAAAAAAUAAAACAAAAGUUGGAAAAAUCAUGCAGCCGACCCUUUUUUCUAUCUGAUUGCGCAAUAUUAGGUAUAAAACAGAGAAUUAUUGCAAUUUUUUUGGAGUGUGGCCCCAAUUUGAAAUAGAAAUAUUGUCUAAUUGCUCUUCAGAUGUGAAAAGUGCAGGCGUCGAACAGCUACUUGUCUUCAAUAAUUCAUAAGAUGAAAUGGAUGAUUACUGUCUUGGCCGGCCUGCCAAUGAGAUAGAUGAAAGUCAUCUUGCAAAAAAUUAAAAUAUUGAAUUCCCCUAAUUGGAAUUGGGGCCAUGUAUGGUGUAUAAAAUAGCAUUAAACAACAAACACAGACAACAAUUAAUGCUAUUUUAUACACCAUACACGGCCCCCAUUCCAAAUUAAAAUAUUGACAUUAGUUGCGUUUUCAUCUUGUCUUCAAUAAUUAACAAGAUGAAAGGAAUCCAAACGCACGAUGAACGACCUGUUUUACUCUUUGGCCUUAUCUGUGAAUGACCUGUUUAGACUUCAAAUUUUUCCCGACGGUGGUUCACCGAUAUUAUUCCCUGAAAAUAAAAUCAGACUGUGCUUACAGUUACCCCCUUGCAAACAGAAAAUUGAGGGGGAAUUUUUUUUUUUUCUGGAUCCCAAAGAAAUUAGAAAGAGAAAACUGAAAUUUAGUUGUAUUUAGUCACUAAUUUUUCAUGACUAAAUUGCAGAUCCUCAGUCUCAUUAGUUCUUCACUAUCGUCAAGCAAGCUCUAAUUAUUAGGGGCGGAAAAAGGUAUAUGGUCAUCAGUCCCAACUCUCUCUCUACAAGUGACAUUAACAUUUCGUUUUGACAUUUUCUUUCUACACAUACAAAUCGCAACUCUCUUUUCCUCUUAGAUUCUAAUAAAACAGGUAAUAAAUUGCUGAGAGUAUCCAUCUCAAGCUUAAUUAAACUUUGAGGACCAAUUCUGUCAUAGAACAAGCAUUAAAAAAAAAAAAUCUAAUUGGGUUAAAAUAAUUAUAAAUAAAUUACUUUAAACAAUAAAAAAGAAUUAAAUUUUAACUCAAGUAUAAUUUGAAAUUUUUUAUUCUUUAUUGUGUAGUUAUUGAUCUAAUUGCAGAUUAAAUUCAUUUAAAAUUUCAGAAUUUAUCUGAUUGCGCAAUAUUAGAUAUAGGCAAAUGCGACUUCAUCGAUCAUCGGGUCAUUUUAAACAGCAGUGGUUCUGUGAUUAAUAUUUUUCUUUUAUUUAAUUAAGAAAAGGAAGAAAAGAUAGCACAUGUUAUGAUUAUUAUGAAUUUUCCAUCCCUUAUAUAAAUUCUCAAAUUUAUUUAAAUUGUGAGUCAUAGAAGGAUAUUACCUAAAUUAUUUUAUCAGGCCAUGUUCAUAUACUAGGAUUAAGUACGAAAUUGGACUAAUUUUGUGAUUAAAUAUUUAUCUCAUGUUUGUUAAACUUAAUUGAAUUGGACUCAGGGACUAAAUUUAAGUUUAAUCCUAAAAUUAUGGGAUUAAUAAUUCUAAUUUACACAUGGUUUUAGUUGGGAUAAAAUUAAAGAAAAAAAGUUAUCUAUUUAUGAGACUUUAAUUCCUAUCAUUACUGUUUAUUUAUACUUAAUAUUAAUUAAUUUUUUAAUUUAUAAUUUACUUAAAAAUUAUUUUUAUUUAUUAUCUAUCAUCUGAUUAAAUUGGAACUUUACUUGUACCAACUCUUGAGAUUAAUUUUUCAUUAUUUGCAUAUUUGAUAAUUUGUGAAUAAAAUUAACCAUUUAAUAAUUUAUAGCAUUAUUGAUUGUAUUAAAUUUAAUAAUCACUAAUAUAAUAUUAAAAAUAUCAUGAAAAUUAACAACACCAUCAAUUAAUUGAUUUUAUAUAUUUUUUAAAUAUUUGAUAAGAAUUUGAUAAAAAUUAAUUAAGUAUUUAAAUUUUUAUUCAUUUUUUAUUUGUUUAUUUUAUUAUGAAUACCCAAUAACUUACAAUAUAAUUAAUUUUCUUAUUCAGACUACUCAGAAUCAACUCCUAUAAAAUUUCUCACAUUAUAAGCAACAAAAUAUUUAUAAACUACUACAAAAGGCUUAGAUCAAUACACCGAUGAGCCUUCUGAAGUUAUAUAUAAUAUAUUAAUUGUUGAUCUAGAAUAGUCUUAGUAGAUAGAUUUUUUUAAUUAUAAAUAAUCAAUAAAUUUUUUAUCGUUUAAUAGGUAUUGAUGUAAUUUCGCCGGAUCAUAUGAAUCCAUUAUGAAUUUCAGCGGAAAUUUGAAUGUAUUCUGGACCGUGCAAGUGAAAUUUCAGAUAAAAUCAUCUCCUGACAAUUUAUUUAUUAUUUUCGGGUGCUGCUCCUGUAACUUUAUUAUGUCAUGACAAACUUCAAAAUCUAAUUUAGAGUGCAACUCAAAUAAUUGUAAUUAGUAAUUUAUUACAUCUGCAGUCGGAUUUUUGUUGAUAAAAAAAAAAAAGAGAAUAAAAUCAAUCCCAUAAUGAUUUUAAUAAAUAUCAUACUACAAAGAAAAUAUGCGAAAGAUAUCUAAGGAAUAAAGCUUUUCCACAAUGAUUUAUAAAAUUGCUUUUGGAGAACGGUUAUGAAAUUAUAUCAAAUUACUAAAAUUUAGUUAACCUCUCAAGAAGUCUAUUUCUCAAGUUUAAAAUUCGAAUGUCAAAAAAGAUAAAAUGUUAAAAAAAUAUUUUAAAUAUUAUCCACCCUUUCACUAUUUUAAUAUACAAAAAGAAGAAUUACUUAUUUUUAACAUAGCAACCGGGGGCAUAAUAUAUCUGAUGGAUUUUUCUAUAGAACAAAGCUUAUUAUAUCUCCUAUUAAAAAUGUCAUUUUUUUGUUAGGAAAAAGACAUUUAUAUCCCCAAAGUUAGGAGAAAUGGAUACCAACGCUCCUAAGUUUUCAAGAAAAGAUACUAAAACUUCUUUCUUACUACAAUACCCUUUACCUUUAUUAUCCCAAAAAUUAACUUUAAUUUUUUUAUAGUAAAGAGAAAUAUAAUAUUAAAAUAAAUGUAAUAAUUUAUACAUUUUAAAAUAAUUUCAAUAUUUAAAAAUAUUUUAAUAUUUUACAAUCUAUUAAUAUAUUUUAUUAUGUUAUAGUAAAUUUUAUGAUAAAUGUAAACAUAAUAUUAAAAUAAAUGUAUUAAAAUUUAAAUUAUUAUGUAAAAUAAUAAUUUUAACAUUAUUAGUAUGUGAGAGUUUUUUAAUUGUAAAAUGUAUUUAAUGCAAAUAUUUAUUUAAAAUCUCUACAAUAAAUACAAAUAUAUUAUUAAAUAAAUAUAUUAAUUUACAUAUUUAAAUUUAUUUAAAUAUUUUAAUCUUAUUAAUCUACAACAUAGAUUACAUUAUUUAUAUAAUAUUUGUAUUUAUUCAUUUGCAAGUUAAAUUUUUCGGGAUACUAAAGGUAAAGGGUAUUAUGGUCAAAAAGGAGUCUUGAUGUCCUUUUUAGAAAACUUGUAGUAUUGGUGACUAUUUCUCCAAACCUUAGAGAUAUAAAUACCCUUUUCCCUUUUUCAUUUUAAGCAAGUGGCAAACUAAAGAUUAAACUGUCAUAAAUUCACAAAAUAUUCACCACAAUAGUUGUAGGAAAUUUCUUCUUCCCUAAGUGGAAAAUACAAAAAAAAAAACAUAAUUGGCAAUUUCACUAGCAAAACUAAUAUUUUAUUCCAUAUCAGGGGCGGAGCUCAGGGUAAAUCUUCAUGAGGCCCAAGUUCAAAUUUCAAGUGUUAGUUGGGGAUUAAUUUUAUUCAGUUUUUUCUAUUUAUAGCUAGUAUGUAGGGUAUUCCAAAAUUUGAGAAUUUUGUGACUGAUAAUUGAAACUAUUGUUGCAAGAGAAAACAAAAUGAACAAAAUAAAAAUCAAAGAGGUAGGCCCAAACUUACAAACUUUUAAAAAAGGCUAUGAAAAAUAAUUAACAAAUAAAAAUCAAACAAUCAGGUUUAAUUGAUUUUAUUUCACAAAAUAUACAAUUAAAGUUUCAUUAUAUGUAUCAAGUUUAUGUAUCAAGUAUUCAAGGGCAAAUUAGUCAUUUUAUACCUAAUUUUGAAUAUUUCAUUUAAAAACCUCAAAAAAAAUUUCAAAGCUUAUAGGGUGAUGGUCCCCUCUAGGAGUGCACAAAUUUGGGUUUGGAUCAACUUGAUUGGGUUUUAGGUUGAUUGGCUUGGAAUAUUCGAAUUGGAUUAGAUCAAAUCAAAACUUUGGAGUUGAGUCUAGAUCGGAUCAGGUUAUAAUUAUAUGAGGCCGAGGUUGGGUUUGAGUUAAAUUUGAAUUUGGGUCAAUUAUGAUGGAUUCAGAUAAUGUUCGGAACAAGGGUAAUUUUGGGCCUUUUUUUGUUUUGAUUCUUUUUCAAAAUUAUCUCAUUUUAGUUCAUUUUUACAAAUUUUAAACUAAAAAAAUGAAAACUACUACUAUGAAAUCAAAUGUACAAAAAUUAAAAUAAACCAAAAAUAAUAUUGUUAAAUUAUGCUAUCCAGGGGUUAUUGGUUAUUAUAAAAAAGUAGGACGUAAAUGAUAUAUAUUGAUUACAGUAUGGGGGAAAAUUGUCAUUCUCCCUCUAUAUAUAUAUAUAUAAAGAGUGGAUAUGGGGCCUUUUAAUGCUUUAGCUUAAGAGCAAAAGUAAAAGAUUAUAAAGAAAAGGAUGUAUAUGUCAGCAAGAGACUUCGUAUUACCUUUGCAUUAAGAGGCAAGCCUUUAAACUUGUAUGAAAUUUUUUUUUUUUGAUUGGUUCUAAAUUUUCAAGAUCCUCAAAGGACCGCCAAAAGCAUACUUGCUUAAACAGUGACCAACAUUCUCUUUUAGCCAAUUCUUUUACUGGGGCUGAGAGAUCAAAGGCAACAUUAUUGGGGCCGAGCGAUUACUUAAUUUGACAUAAAUUAAGAGUAGACGCCGGCUAAUGAAAAUUACAUGCCAACUAAAGAUAUUGUCUUGAACAAAUUGGCAUAAUAAUUUAUGCCAACGCUUGAUAUGAAAGCUUUGUUGGAACAAAUUGGCAUGAAUUAUAUUUUAUCUCUCUUUCUUCAAGGUAUUAGGUAAUUGCCCUAUCCCAAAAACAAAGAAAAAAGAAAACAAGUAUUAGGUAAAUGCAUGUGAAUUAGACAUUUGGCCUCCGGGAUCAUAUAUUUAUAUUAAAGACAACCAUAUAACCACAAAGACAAUGAAAAGUCUAAAAAUUAUUGUUCAAUUUCUAAUUCCUCGCAAGUGCGAAAGGAAACAUUUUCCAAGAAUAAAACUAAGAUGCAUUUCUAGGAAUAGUUUUCCAACUGAUCUAUAUUUUAUAAUAUUUUAAGAUUUCUUCAUUUUUUUUCAAAAGAAAAAUUUAAUUUAAGAUUAAGCUCAUUAAAAAAUUAACAUCAUUAUAGAUUCAUUCAAAAUAUUAUAUGUGCAUAAAUACAGAAAUUCAUGUGACAAUUGCGAGGGGUACUCGGGUUUUAAUGAUCUUUUUUAUCUCAAUUAAUUAUUGGAAAAUUUUAUUCAUUUUUUUUUAAAUCCUGAGCAAGGUCAACUCCUAUAUGCUUUUGUGCGUAUGUACGUGUGCUUGUGUGUAUGUGUAAUAAUUACAAUAUUGUCUGGUUAAUCCACAAUUUCAUCAGCAUCAUUAAUCCAUAGUGAGUUGAGAAAUAAGCCAUGAAUAAGUGCUUGAGAAGUUCAAAGAUAAAAUAUUUAUUCUGACACAAAACGUCGAAUGAUAUAAAAUGUUGAGAACUAAUAAUAGUUUAGUGUUUGGUUUAAGUUUCAUGAAUUUUGUGCCAAAUAUGACGUUGUAAGGUACAAGAAUGUCAGGCGUACUUCGCCGAAGAAUGGAUUAGGAGGGACGACGGAUAGGAACUUGAUUUACAAACUCAAAGCUACCAAAGUCUCUUCGGCGGGGAAGUUUUACCACAUUUUGUGCGGUGAGUCGAUAGACCCAAUAGGAUAAUGAUUGAUAAAAUGAAAUAAAAUUAAUGUUUAUACCUAGAUUGAGAUAUAAAUUUAUUAUCCAACUUAUGUAUUAUAUAGAGAGAGAAAUGACGGGUUGGCCGACAUCGAUUGUGGAAGAGGCUGAUAAUGACUUCAUAAAUGUGAGGGAAUAUCUCUCUCUUUGAGCUAGCUUUUGAAGUCGAGAGAAGCCCAAGACCAUCUAACAUUAGUAUCAAAGCUCAGGUUCACCAACAACUCAACCAACAAUCUAAUAGGGAGAAUGGAUGUUUAUGCUUCCAACCCAAGGCCCGAUGAGUGAGGGGAGAUUGUUGGAUUUAUCCCACAUUGGUUGUGGGAGGAGUUCGUGGUGAUUUCAUAAGUGUGAGAAAAAAAAUCUCACUUAUUGAGCUAACUUUUGACUUUUGAGGUUGAGAUAAGCCCAAGACCACCUCACACGAAAAUUGUAUAGUGUUGGAAUAAAAAUUCUACUACCAAUAGUGGGCCGAUUAUUGACCAUUAAGCUUAAAUAUUAAAAUAUUCAUCCUAAAUAUCGAGAUUCGUCAUGAAAAAAAAAAAAAAAACUUCUCAGUUUUGGUAACAACUCAAAUAGUCUAGGAGUGGAAAUUUUUUUGAAUGAAAUACUUAAGCACAAAUAUUCUCUAAUCACUUGAUGUUUUAGACUUUAUAAAAAAUACACGACCACAUUUUUUUUAUAACAAUUCCACCUGAUGUUUACAAAAUAUAUCAUUUCUACACUAUUGUCAUCACGCCGUUAGAAUUUUACUGAUGUCAGAAUGAUAAACUUGUCAUUGGACUCUUAACGGACAAAAACGACGUCGUAUUUAAAGAAGAAUUAUAUAAUCCCAUCUGCUUGAAACUUUCUACAAUGACAAGACAUAACUAGUAACGGACAACCUGCUGUGCCAGUCAUUUUUCUCCUUCGAUUGGGAUCGUCGAUUUCUUUACUAAAAUCAACGAGUGAAUGAUUAUCAGCAUCAGGAGCCAAAGAAGGCAAACCGCCACAUUUUUUUUCGCUGUGGUCCUAUAAUUUAGGGGUCGGCAUGGGUUGGUUUGGGUUAGAUUUUAAGUCAACCCAAACCAAACUAUAAAAAUUUAGAUCCAACCCAAACCAACGCAAAUAUUUUUAACUCAACGCAAACCAAACCAUUUAGCUUUGGUUUGGGUUUGGUUUGAAUUUUAUUAUCAAAAUAAUUUUUAUUUUAAUAAAAUUUAAUUAUAUCAAAAUUAUAAUAAUUAUUAAUUGUUAUUAAUUAUUAAAUUGAUAUUAAAAUAUAAAAAAUAUAGUGGAUAAAAAUUAUAAAUUUUACAAUAACUUAAUCCUUAAAUUAAAGAAUACUAGAAAAUCAAAAUAAAUUUUAAUCACAAAAAUUAUUAUUUCUCAAUAAAUAAGAACGUACACUUUAAUAAUAAACUUUCACAAACAUGACAUUAACAAUCAAAUAAUAAAUUUUGCCACUUGUUGUUUAUUUAAGGGUAAAAGCUCAUUUAGUCCUUAUAUUUUAAGAUUAGUAUCCAUUUAGUCCUUGUAUUUUAAAAAUACCUCAAAACAUCCAUGUCGUUAAAGUAUUGAUACCCCUACCGUUACUUUUUAUUUCUUUUGGCUUACUUUUACAAUAUUACCCUUUUAUAAUAAUUUUUUUAGACAUUAAUAAAAAGAAAAUAAUUAAAUUACCAAUUUAACCCUAAAAAAUAAAAAAAAUUAUAUUAAUUUUUAAUUGUCAAAAAUUGUAUGCAAACUACCAAGUGUGCAAAUGGUGCUUGCAAAAAAAUUAAUAUAAUUUUUUUAUUUUCUAGGGUUAAAUUGAUAUUUAAUUAUUUUCUUUUUAUUAAUAUCCAAACAAAAAAAUUAUUAUAAAAGGGUAAUAUUGUAAAAGUAAGCCAAAAGAAAUAAAAAGUAACGGUAGGGGUAUCAAUACUUUAACAGCAGGAAUAUUUCGAGGUAUUUUUUAAAAUAUAGGGACCAAAUAGACACUAAUCUUAAAAUACAUGGGCUAAAUGAGCUUUUACCCUUUAUUUAAUUAUGCAAUAUUUAUUUUUAUUUAUCGUUUUGGUAAUUUUGCGUUAUGUUGUCUACUUAUAUGCUUAAUUUUAGGGAGAUUGCCACUUUCCUCCCUACAGUAAUCAACAUAUAUCAUUUUUCCCCCUUCUGUUUUUAUAAUGGCCAAAAACCCCCCUAAUAGUAUAAGUUUACAAUAUUACCCUUAUUUUCAACUACUUUUUUAUUUAUAUUUAUUAUAAAUUAAAUAAAUCACAUGAAUAAAAACUAAAUAAAAAAUAAAACAUUAAAAUAAGAAAUAUAUGUUUUGAUAUGAACAAAAAAAUUAAUAAUAAAAUUUUUUUAUACUUAUUUAUUUUGUGAAAAUUUUCUUAUAAUAAAUAUAUAAGAAAAUUAUUAGUAAAAUGAUAAAAAAAAUUAUUAUAAGAAAACUUGAAUGACAAAUAAAAAUUUAUUUUAAGAUAAAUAAUAAAAUAUUUUACCUAUUUGUGUUCAUUUAUUUUGUUUUCAUUUGAAAAUUUUGAGUGUUAGGGUUUUGUUCAUAACCCAUGGGUAAACCAUACCCAACCCAUAAUGAAAUUGUUUUUUAUAUAAAACCUACAUCUAACCCAUUUUCAUGAUUUACCCAACCCAAACCAUAAUUUGGUUUGGGUUUGGGUAAACCCAUGGGUUGUGGGUUUAUGCCCACCCCUACUAUAAUUUAUUGAAAAAAUCAACGAUUGCCCCAAAAUAACAAAGCUAAAUUAACACAACAUACAACACAGUAUCAAACUACCACCAAAUUUUAUCACUUAACCAAUAAACUAAAAAAUUCAAGGUUUAAAAAAAAUUUGAAAGUUUAAAAUUCUUAAACGACUUGAUAAUAAGCCCCAAUCCGCCAUCGCCACGAUCCACGGGUACAGGUACCAGAUUAAAGUGCGUUUUCCCUUGAGCUCUCUUUUAAUUAUUUUAGUUUUAAUUCUGAUUUUUUAUUUUAUUUAUUAUUUAAUAUCUAUAUUGCAGUCAUCUAUUUUUUUUCGUUAUUAAAUUAGGGCAAAUUAGUUAUUUUAUGUUAAGGGUAGAAUAAUCAUUUACAUUUAGGGUAAAAUAAUCAUUUUCUCAGUAUUUUGUUAAAUUCUCUUACGCUGGUAUGACGGAAGUAGAGCAAUGAUGCACUUUAAACAUUAGGAACUGUGGGAACGAGAACAUUUUUUAAUGAAAUACUUAAUAAUUAGCAACUCAAAAUAUAUCAUUUGUAAUGAACUAUUUAAUUUGCAAUUUCUUUAGUUUUGGAUGGCAACUCGGGAUUCUUCAUUUAAACUAUGACGAUUUAUAACUUGCGGGUACACAAGACAUUGCUCCCACCACUUUUCACAGAAGUAAAAAUCAAGCCAAUCGCUUCCAUUUGUGGCAAUUUUAUCGGAGAAAGAAAAAGGAAAAAAAAAAUAAAAAGAAUUUUGUAACUACUUAACUUUGCCGAAGCAGAGUUAAGUAGUUACAAAAUUGCAUUCUUGAAUGUACAGAAAUGAUAUGCAGCAAAACCAAGCAUAAAGAAAUAAGAAGAUAAUGUUAUAUGGUACGGCUAUUAGCCUAUGUCAUAGUAAAAGACAUGAAGAAAAUUUUACUAAGAAAUGGGUGUGUACAAAUAUUAAAGGAAAACAUUCACCGACGACCCAAAUCGCAGAUAUGUGCUUAAUUUUCUUACUCACUCUAAGAACAUUCAAUCUCCGAAAAUUCAUUCAAAUGAAACUUUCAGAAAGACUUAAUAUUAAGGCUUUAGCAUCACUUCAUAUGCUCAACAAUUCAAAUUUGAGUAUGAUAUUUCUCAAAAUGGAGGGCUCUACUUGGCUUGUGAACAAUCUUCCUCACCAUCAUCAUCCUUGCCAUACCAGCAGCACUGAACAAUCUUUGUUCUGACAUUUGCCCUAUUUAUCUGAUUACACAAGAAUCCGAAACAACUGUUAGAAAUUUUAAUCUUUAUAUAUAUCCAAAAUGGUGAAUAAGAUGAUGUGGUUGAUGAUAAAAACCUGAGUUAAAUAAUUAAGGGUCCGGUAACAAUCACAGCAUCUCAUCAUGUGGGGAAAGCCUUCGCAACAGAAGACGGUGCUUGCAUUCAAGCAAUAAUAACUUUCCAAUUUCAUAAGGUAGCUUAACGCCCUUUCAAGAAUAAGUGCACCAGCCUAACAAUUAUUCAUGGAAAUUCAAAUUCAGAAUCAUGUUAGUAUGAGAGAUGAAGUAUAAUAAGCGACUUGGCCACUAUAUAUGCACUUAUCACCUUCAAUUUGCUCAUCUUCGUCUAGAGUAUUGUUUCUGCUUUAACUUAAUCAGCUUGCAAGCCACAUAAAAAUGGUUUUAAAUAAUAAGUGAGAGUGUGAAUUCGAACAAUUAAUCAAAUAUGAUGACCGAAGAGACAAAAGUAAAAUAGCCACAAGAAGUAGAAAUAUACUUUUGUUAUAUUUAGAGCAUCUUCUACUGGCAAGUUCUUUUCCUUUAGCUCUGUUUCUGUGUGCGCUCAAACGCAAUGCCUCAAGGCUCAAGAUAAUUUUAUGACCAUCAAUCAUUUGCAGCCACAUGCAGACUUGAAAAACUAGUCGUGGCCCUAAGGAACUUGAAAAUUAGAAAAGAUUCAGAAUGAGUGACUAAAAUAACUUAAUCGAGACUACUUAAACAUGCACGCCUUGAAAAUCUGAAACUGAAUUACUCAAAUGAAUGUGGUUGAAACUUUACUGCAAAGACUUCUUGAAACCCAUGAAGAUGAUACUCUACCUGAUAACACAAGGAAACACAAUCAAUACAAGAAGAUGAUUUUACAAACAAAUGAGAGCCUAUAAUUAUUGGGAGAGCUCUACUCAAAUUUGAUGAGAUAUCUCUCAAAAGGGAGAGCUCCAAUACUAUAUAAAGCCAAAAAUCUAACACUCAUCAAACUGGCUUGUGAACAAUUAAUCUUCCUCGCCAUCAUACAUGCCAGGUGUAGUGAACAAUCUUCAUUCUAACAUUUGCCUUAAUAAGCUGCUUAGCAUCCUUAACCUGAUAAAUUGCACAAACAAAAACAACUUUACUAAAGUUUAUUCUUUAAAGGCAUAGCAGUAAAGAAGAUGAUAUCUGUUUAUGCUAAAAAUUGACCUGAGUUAUCCGAAUGUCAAGAAUCACAGCGUCUCAUGUGGGCAAAAUCAUCGCAAUACAACAUGCUGAUUUCAAGCAACAUCUUAUCACCUGUAAUUUAAUUAAGACAAUAACUUUCCUCAACCAUUACCCUACUCAAUUUCAAUGUAUUAUUGGCAACUAAAUUCAUAGGGUAAGUAGCUAAUCAAAUGCUCUUUUAACAAUAUUUCUCCAAAUAACAAAUAUUCGGAAAAUCUAAAUGACAAUCAUGCAUUUAUGGCAUCAAAAUUUGGCUGCAAAGCUGCCUGGAAAAGGCUUUAAAUUCUUAAUGAGGGCAUGAAUUCGAACAAAUAUGGUGAAUAAAGAAACAAAGGCAUAAUACCGCAAGAAGUAAACCUUUUCCUCAGACUUCUGUUUCUGUUUGUGCUGAAACCAAUGGAAACCGAUGGAAAUGAAUUUCUAUGAAUUAGACACAUCAGCCAAAACAGGUACUCUGUACAAAGAAAGUAAAAGAGAGUCAUAGAAAAAUUUUAAGAUAAUUAAACUUUCAGUCACCAUAUCAUUAAUAGAAACUUUGUGCACUACGAUCUAUUGCAGAUUAAGAUUUGUAUACCUAAGUUUUAAUUGCAAACUAAAUAUACACAACAUUAUACCAGCAUUAGGAGGCCGUACCAAAAUGUACCGAAUUUAGUGUGCCUCUUCACAGCCAUUGUACAAGCAUCGAAGACUUUACCGCGAAAGCUGUUUCAAACGUGAUGCACGUUAGAGAUGCAAGAUAUGAAAUUGUCAUUACAAGAAGCAUUGAAACAUGUGUGAAAACUGUUUAUGGACCUAAAAUAACUUGAAAAUCAGAAAGAUUAGGAAUAAGUGACUAAGCAUUUUAAUUAAAACUGAGCAUACAAACCUUGAAAAUCCAAAAUUGUACUCCGAUGAAUGAGCAAUUGCACGAGCAGCUAAAUUUACUGCAAAGGCUCUUACAACCCUUGAAGAUGAUACUCUACAUACCUACACAAAGAAACACAGUGAAUAUGAAGGGUAUUCUGACAAUGCAAAUUUGUGAAAAUUAUCAACUCUGGUUACCUGCAUAAUAGUGCUAACAUCGAAUUGCUUCGUCAAUUGAAAUAUAUGAUCAGCCCAAAGAUGCUUUGCUUUGAGGCUUUUGAGAACCUGAAAUGGUUAUUACAACCAACAGUGAAAAUUGGGUGAAGAACUGAUAUUACUAGCAUAAUUCCAUAUGCUUACAGAGGAUAAACCGAUCAAAGAAAGAAACAAGAUAGAAAUGAUGAUCUCAGCACCUUAAUAUCAUGCAAUAAUAAUCAUCAUGUCUUCCAGGCAGCUAUCCAUCCUCAACUGAAACAGAGCAGACCCAGCCACCACUUAGUUUUCAACAUUGCUACAAAGUACCCCAGAAAUUCAGUCCUCAAGAAGUUUCACGUAACAAAUUAUCGUACACUGAAGUAAAUAGUUAUAUUCAAUACAAAAAUCAAAAUAUUAGAAAAUAUUGCACAUUCCUAUGAGACAUUGGCAAAAUAUAGAAAUUUAAUUCAAAAUUUAAUUAUUAUCAUUAUUAUUAUUAAUUUCAUUACAAGUAACAAUGAAGCAAAACAGAGGAGGAGGAGAAAUUACCGGCGGGUUAUAGUAAGUGCAACCGUUCGAGAAUUUAAAACUCGAUGUGGGGAAUGUGAGAUAACUUAUGCCAGUCUUCUAGAAUAGGACAUCCCCCAAUACUAAAUUCCUGCAGUGUCGUCGUUUGAAGGUGGUCAUCUGGCAACACCUUUAAUUUGUGGCAAUUCAUAAUUUGCAAGGAAGAAAGACGUGGCAUGAUGGAGAUGUUUUCCUUCCUCGUAACCAUGUAAUCCCAACCUCCCAAUUCUUCCAUGUCCUAAAUUUUGAGUGAUUUCAAUUUGGGGAAGGCAAUAACUGAUGAUGAUGAUGAAGAUGAAGCUGGGUCAUCAUCACUACUUUCCUCUAUUCCCAAAACCUCAUUACCCACUCUUUUUACACUAUUCAAAUUUUGCAGGGCGAGUUUUUCCAGAGGCAAUUUUCCCAGAGGAGGCAAAUGCUCACAGUUAAGACACCCGUGAAGAAAUAAGUUCCUUAGAUUGGUUAGCGAAGUCACCCAUUUGGGAAAAAUGUUGCCUCCAUAUAAUAAAAUCCAUAAUUCCUCUACAUUCAAAGGCGGCUGUAAGGCUUCAAGAAGUUGUUCAUCUUUCUCAUUCUUCCUCCUCCUUUCUUCAUCUUCCCCAUUUACAACUUCACCUCCUUCUUCUUCUUCAUAUCCCCCAUCCUCACCUUCAUCUUCAUCCUCUUCUUUAUCUUCCCAAUCUACAACUUCAAACAAAAGAUACAAACAAAGGAGGUUUUCCAUAUUUUUGAGUUCUAAUCUCUCAGCCUCAUCUAUAUGUGACAAAUUACUCAGCCCUUCUAUUCCACAUUCUCGAAGGAGUUGAAGAUUUUCCACCAUCAACACCUCCACCCACAGCAAACUUGUCUAAUGUUCGAAGAUCGGUUAAUUUGGAAAUCCCUAUUGGCAUGUACUUCAACGAACAAGUAAGACCAUUUAGCAAACUCCUCAUGUUCUUUAUCUUCCCAAUCCCUGCAGGCAAUUCUCUUAGAUUUCGACACCCCCUAAUAUCUAGCUUUUGUAAAUUAUGUAAUUCACACAAAGUCUCAGGCAGUCUCUCUAUGUGUAAUUCAGACAAAUUAAGAUAUUUUAAAUGCAUCAAUUUUCUGACAUCUUCUGGAAUUUCCUAAUCAAAUUUGGGUCAGGACGAAAAAGCAAGAACGAUUGCCUUAUAACUAAUGCUCUUAAACACGCCAAUUUACUAAAUAACUCAGGAAGGAUGCUACUAUCAAGAGACGAAUUGUAAGGACUUUCAUCAUCAAUUAGGAGGGUACGCAAUCUAUUAAGUCCAUGAAUGGACAUAAGAAAUGAAGCGCCUCCUUUAAACUUUAACCCUAAGGGACGGACUUUCCCACCAAAAGAGUUUAUGACUGAUUCUUUGGUACCAUUAAUUUCCAGCCACAAACAUUCUUUGCUACUUACAAAUUGAGCAAAAUCAUGUACUAUGUCAUGCAUCUUGCAACUCAUAAUAUCAUCAUCAUCAUUUUUCUCAAACUCUUGAAAGAAAGAGCGUGCUGCUAAAAUGUUGAAACACUCUUCCCCGGUCAUCUCCAUCUCUUUAUAUUCUUCUACAUUAAGGUAACCUUGAGCCAUCCAUAGUGAAAUUAGCUCCUCUUUAUACAUAUUGUAGUCUUUUGGAAAGACAGCUCAAAAUGAAAAAUAUCGUUUUACCAUAGAAUUGGACGACAAAUCAUUAUAACUCAACAAUAAAGGAGUCAAAAGACCUUUCCCAAUCUCUUCUGCCUUCCACAUUUCACUAUCUAAAAUUCUUUGCCAGUCGUUUAUUGCACUUUUAGAACGCAAGAGAUUCCCUAUUACCUUUGCAGCAAGAGGCAGGCCUUUGCACUUGCGUGCAAUUUUUCACUCGAUUGGUUCUAAUCUUUCACAAUCCUCGAAAGAGUGACUGAAAAAUGCUAAUCGUUUGAACAACGACUAGCAAUCCUCUUCAGUCAAUUGCUCAAUGAAGAUAAUAUUUGUUGAUCUCAUCAUACUUGCAACUAACUCAUUAUGUGUAGUAACCAAAAUUUUACUUCCGUGGAGACCAUGAUUUAAAUAAAGGAAGAAUGGUGCCCAUUUCUGAAUUUAUUUUUAUGCUGUAAAAGGAUCAAAUUACUCACAAAGUGAUUUUAGCUUUCAUGAUAUAAACAAAUAAUCAUCAUUUAAUUUCAAUAGAAAGAAGUAUUCUAGGUAGAAUAUUGACUUCUUUAGCAGGGACUUCUUACUCUAUUAGGUUAAUAAUGCAUCAAUUGUCACGUCAUUAAUUUUAGAUUUUAAACUUUUUUUUUAAUGGAAAGUACCUUCAUUUCAACUCAAACAAGAAAAUAAGUACAACAAGUGGGGAGGGUAUGAACCCAUCCAAACAAUAGUUUCGAGCAUCUCUAGAGCUAGCUUAGCUAAAGAGUGGGCUAUCGCAUUACAAGAUCAAUGAGCAUAUUGGACACAAACUGAGCUAAAGCUCUUCGAAAUUCUCUGCACAUCUGAAAUGGUCCAGAAGAUCUCGGAUCUGCAGCCCCGCUUGUUGUUAACUAACUUAACAACCUCUUGAGCAUCUGAUUCCUCAAUCAAAGACUCUAUACAAGCAUUCCUUGCAACUUGAAGCCCCCAUUUGAUUGCUUCUGCCUCUGCAAAACACACAUCACCAUAGACCUUGGAAACUUUGACUACAACUGCAAUCACAUUCCCAGCUUCAUCACGAAUUACAGCCCCUAGACCUGCAAUUUGCUUCUCCGAAUUGGUGGCAGCAUCUACAUUAACCUUAAAAAAUCCUUUUUGGGGAGGAUUCCAGGCCUUUAGCAUCAGAGAUCUUUGGUUGCCUAUAUGAGUAGCAGCUGGAAGCUGGGUUCUUCGGUAGGCUUCCAGCACAGCUUCAACCUUAGAGACUAUCACUUGGGGUCUUUCUUUUACUCUUUUGAAAAUCCAUUUGUUUCGAGCAUUCCAUAUCAUCCAUAAGAUCGAAACCAGUAGCUUAAUAUCAUCAUUACUCCUUCUCAGCUUCAGCCCAAUCAACAAGCUUAGAAUGUCUUGAUCAACACAAUCCUUCAAAUCAUUCUCAAAUCUGGUAAUUUUCUAGAUUUUCUUCACCAUCUUACAGCCCACUAAAGUAUGCAAAACUGUUUCCAGCUUGUUGUUACAAAUCUGACACACAACCUCCUAAAUCACCUUCCUUUUCCAUAGAUUUUCGGUUGAAGGAAGAAGAUUUUUUACAGCCCUCCAAGCAAAAAUCCUGAUCUUCUCCGGUAAGGUGAGAAACCAUAUUGUAUUCCAUUGGUUUUGCUCAGUUGCUGAACUUGUCGGCCUAGCUGGAAAAUUCAUAUUUAAAGUAAUCUGAUAGCCACUCUUAACUGAGUACUGGCCUUUUCUAUCAUAGUGCCACAUUACUUCAUCCUUCAUUGGUCUCCUUGGCAAGGGAAUUUUAAUUAUUACUUCCACAUCUAUUUUGGCAAAGUGCCUGUGAAUCAGCCCUUCAUUCCACCCAUGCUUUGCAUUUAUUAACUCAGCAACUAAAGCAUCAUCUGGCAAGCUUGGUUUAUAAAUCGGUUUGAAGGUCAGGGGUCUGAGCAGCCAAUUCUCUUUAUGAAGCAGGAUGCUUUGGCCAUUUCCAAUCCUCCAUCUUGAACCCUUGGAUAUGACUUACCGUCCCCAUAAAAUGCUUCUCCAAAUAAAAGAGGGGUUUGAGCCAAGUCUUGCCUUCAUAAAAUCUUUGUGCUGGAAAUAUCUCGCCUGCAGAGUUCUUGCCACGAGGGAGUCUGGAAAUUGCAGGAUCUUCCAACCUUGUUUGGCUACUAGUGCUUGGUUGAAACUUGAGAACUCUCUGAACCCUAUUCCUCCUCUGCACUUAGCCAGACUUAGGUUGUUCCAUCUCGACCAGUGGAUGGCCUUCUUAUCGUUCCCUGAUCCCCACCAGAAUUUUGCUAUUAUUCGCUGAAUGUCAUCACAUAUGCCCAUGGGAAUCUUGAAAACGCUCAUUGCAUAUGCGGGAAUAGCUUGAGCAGCCGCCUUAAUCAAAACCUCUUUGCCUCCUAUUGAGAAAAUUUUGUUCUACCAACUAGAAACUUUAUUAUGGAUCUUUAGCUUGAUAUCAGUAAAAAAACUACUUCUCUUUCUCCCGAUCAUAGAUGGCAAGCCUAAGUAUUUUUCGUGUCUUGAAACAAUGUUGAGCUGGAAGAUGUCUUUGAUUGUUGCCGCUUGCCCAGCCUGAAUAUUGCCGCUGAGAAACAUUGAAGAUUUGUCGAGAUUGAACAACUGGCCUGAGGCUGCAGAGUAGCAGUCGAAGAUUCUCUUCAGAUUUUGGCAAUCAGUAAUUGAGGCUCUAGUGAAUACUAGGCUAUCAUCCGCAAAUAAGAGGUGAGAGAUUUUAAGCUCCUUCCCAAAUGACAGCCCAUGAAUAAGCCUCUGGUGCUCUGCUUGUUGGAGAAGAAAGGAGAAGGCUUCAGCCCCAAUAAUGAAUAAAUAUGGAGAUAAGGGGCACCCUUGUCUGAGGCCGAAUCACCCUGCUUACAGCACCAUUUAUAAUCACUGAGGAUGUGACUGAGCUUAUACACCUCAUGAUUAGGCUGAUCCAAUUCUGCAAGAACCCGAGGGACUUCAUUGUUUGUUCAAAAAACUCUCAUUCCAGCCUAUCAUAUGUUUUGCUCACAUCAAACUUCAAUGCCACCAUGCCUUUUUUUCUUCCUUUACAAUGUCUUAUCUUAUGGAGGCACUCAUAUCCUGCAAUAAUAUUAUCGGUGAUUAGCCGAUUAGGAAUAAAAGCACUUUGCAUUGGCAAGAUAAUUUUGGGUAGUACAUGUUAAGCCUAUUAGCUAUUGCUUUAGCAACAAUCCUAUAAAUAACAUUGCAUAGACUAAUAGGCCUAAAAUCGGUAACUUUUCUAGGCUUUUUUUUUUUUAGAAUUAAAGCGAUAUAGGUGUGAUUGAGUUGGGCUACAUCACCUUGCUUAUUAAGGAUGUGGAGGCAUGUUGAGAGGACUCCUUGCUUGACCGUUUGCCAGUGCUUUUAGUAGAACACUGCUGGCAAGCCAUCCGAACCCGGUGCCUUUGUUGGGCAAAUUUGUGUCAAUGCUUCCACAACUUCUUUGGGUGUGAAUGGCAUCUCCAAGAAAUCAUUCAUCUCACUAGAAACUCUUUGAGAUAUUCCUAACAGCACAGCUGCUAUUUGAGCUUGAUUAGGCUUGGAUGUAAUGAACAAAUUUGUGAAGUAUUUGUUGAACUCAUGCUCCACUUCUUCGGCAUUUUCAAUCCAACUUCCAGCUACAUUUUCGAUCCCCCAGAUUUGGUUCUUCUUUUUCCUUGAGGAUGCCUUGUGAUGGAAAAAUUUUGUGUUCUUGUCCCUUCCCUUGAGCCAAUCCGCCCUUAGCGUUGUUUCCAGAAAAUUUCCUCGUCGGCUAACAUGUUUUGGAUUUGUCUUUCCACCUCUUUAAUCUUAUUCCCAUUGACAUACUGAACCCGAUUAAGCUUGAGGCUUCGGAGUUGUUUCGUUAGUUUCUCAAGCUUUUUUGGUCUCCCUCGGAAUUCUUUUUUGCUCCACCGAAUUAGCCUGGCCAUAGAUAUCUUUGCCACUUUUUGAAACAACGAAACAGGAUUCUCAAUAUUCCAGCUUCCCUGCAAGCUCCACUCUUCCUCAACGAUUUCCGUACAAGCAUCGUAAGGGCUGUUAACAUAAAUUAUUCUUUAUUGAUUUUGAUGAUAACAAACAUGAUUAAGAUUGAUUAAUCGUUUUAAAAGCUCAACAUAAUUUUCAUCUAUUUUGACAAGUUUCAUAAAGUAUUUUUAUAAAGAUUUGGAGACAAAACAGUCAUCUUGCAAAAUAGUUCACUGCAGCAGUUUUUGUGGAUAACGGCGAUCCGACAUGUGUAGUAAACGGCUCACCGAUUUCAAGCAGAAAUGGAGAUUAGCCUCUGGACCAAAACGGCGAACCGACAUAUGUGAUAAACGGCUCGCCGAUAUCAACCAGUAGCCUCUGGACCAAAACGGCGAACCGACAUAUGUGAUAAACGGCUCGCCGAUAUCAAUCAGUAGCCUCUGGACCUAAACGGCGAUCCGAUAUCUAGAUAACGGCGAUCCGACAAUUUGAAAAAUCAGCCCAACGGUCAUAUUGACCAGUCAAACGGCAAUCCGACAUCUAGCUAACUCAAUAACGGCUAGUUUUCAGCAGCAGCUAUAAAUAAGCUCAUUCAAAUUCAAACAAAGAUUGAUCACAACACAGCCAUUGAGCAAAUAUUCGAGAAUACAAUCUUCAUAGAGCUUAAAACACAUUCUCUCUUCAUCUAUUCACAAAUUGGGCAUUGAUUUGUAAUCUUUUACUUUGAGUGAUUGUAAGUGUUGGGAUACACUUGGGUUAAGAGAUUGGGGAUAAUCUCUUGUUGUAAAGGUUUAUUGACACCUUGGAAGUCAAGUGUAAGCAUUUGAAGCCUUGGAGGCUUGCUUAGUGGAAUCCUCAAGCCCGGAAAGCUUGGAGGCGUGGACGUAGGCGAGGUUAGCCGAACCACGUAAAAAUCUCGGUGUUUGAAUCCCUCUUCCCUUAUCUUUUUAUAUUGUGAUCAUCUUAAUUGUCAUUGCUUUGAAUUUGAUUUAUAAUUGUAUUAAGUUUUUCUUCAAUAAAUUGAAUAAUUUUUUUUGAAACCCGAUUCACCCCCCCUCUUCGGUUGCAUACUUGUAUUUCAAGGGCUCCACAUAUCUUCGUAGUGGAUCCGAGUGGCUCGUCUUUGGUUAAAAUUCAUCUCACGGCCCCUUAUUUGAACUUCCAUCACCAUCGGGCAAUGAUCAGAGGUCGAAGUGUCAAUAUUAGUAGCUACAACAUCCAAAAAAAUGUCUCUCCAUGAGCUAUUACAAACAAAUCUAUCUAGCCGUUCCUCCACAAAAGUGGGGCUGAACCUUCCAUUACUCCACAUAAAAGGGUACCCCUUGUAACUAAUUCUCUUGUUAUCAGAGCCUCAAUUGGUAUCAGAGCCUCAUUCUCUUGUUAAGACUUAAUCGUCUAGAGUAAAAGAUCCAUGGCAACCCUAAAUGACUCAACCUUUAGAGAAGGGCAAUCCACAACUAGACCACCAUUUUUCGAUGGUAAUGACUAUGCUUAUUGAAAAACUAGAAUGAGAAUCUAUUUGCAAGCAUUAGAUUAUGAAAUUUGGGAAGUUGUUUGUGAUGGUCCAUUUAUGCCUAUGUUCAAAGAUGAAGUAGGAGAUGAUAUUCCUAAACCAUCGAGUCAAUGGAGUGAGUUAGAAAAGAGAAAGAUGUCUCUAAACUCCAAGGCUAUGAAUGCUUUGUUUUGUGCCCUUGAUAAGAAAGAAUUCCAUAGAGUAUCUAGUUGUGAAAGUGCACAAGAAAUAUGGAAUAAACUUGAAGUUGUCUAUGAAGGGACAAGUCAAGUUAAAGAGUCUAAAAUCAGUAGAUACACUCGUCAAUAUGAGCUGUUCCAAAUGGAACAAAAUGAGAAUGUGUAUUCUAUGUAUACUAGAUUCAUAGACAUAGUGAACACUCUAGGUGCCUUGGGGAAGACCUUCUCAAAUAGUGAGAAAGUUAAGAAAAUCAUUAGGUCACUUCCAAAAGAAUGGAGACCUAAAAGAACUGCCAUUGAAGAGGCUAAAGAUUUAAAUAUUUUACCUCUUGAUGAUUUAAUUGGUUCUCUCAUUUCAUAUGAAGAGGAUUUAGCUACAGAAAAAGGACAUGAGGAGAAGAAGAAAAGCAUUGCUCUCAAAGCUUUAAAAUAUGAGAGUGAUGGGGAGAGUGAACCGGAUGAUGAAGAGCUAGCCAUGCUAGCAAGGAGGUUCAGAAAAUUCUUCAAGAAAACCGGAGAGCGAAGAAAUUUCAGAAACUUCAAGAACCAUAGGGAGAAGAAGGAGGCAAUAGGGAGAAGAAGGAGGCAAUCACAUGCUAUGAAUGCAAGAAGCCUGGACAUAUAAGAUCGGAGUGCCCACUUAUCAACAAACUCAAGAAGAAAGCAAUGGUUGCAACUUGGGAUGAUAGUGAGGAAGAAUCAAGUGAUGAAGAAGGAUCGCAAGAAGUAUCAAACCUAGCACUCAUGGCAAUAGGAGGGAAUGAUGAUCUCAAUGAGGUAAGUGAUCCCACCUAUGAUGAAUUGUAUGAUGCUUUUAAAGAUUUGCAUGAUGAGUUGAUGAAGAUUGGUAAAAAGAAUGUAUGUCUUAAAAAGGAAAUGGCAAAGCUUAAAAAUGAAAAUGAAUCUCUAAAUGCAAGAAUUGUAUGCCUAGAAGUAGGGAACAAAACAUUGCAUGAUGAAAUUGCAUUAUCAAAUGAGAAACCUAGCAUCUUGCAUGAGCAUUUAGAAUCACACAUAGAUGAGUUGAAAAAUGAGAAUGAAAUGCUUAAGAAAAAGAGUAAUGAAAUGAAAUUGUUUUGAAAUUUACAAAUGGGCAAAAGAUGUUGGAAAAUAUGCUUAACUCACAAAAAUGUGUUUUUGAUAAAGGAGGACUUGGAUAUAAGCCUAACUUGAAGCAAAAGUAUUAUAAGAAUUAUUUUGUUAAAGCUACCUCCACAAAUGAUCAUAAGAUUGUAUGUCACUAUUGUAAUCAAAAUGGUCACAUGAAAUAUAGAUGUCCCGUGAAAAGGAAUGCAUAUUAUGGUGUCAAAUGCAUUUGGGUUCCAAAAGGAACCGUUGCUAACUCUCAAGGACCCAAAAAGCUUUGGGUACCUAAAACUUGAGAUUUUUUUUCUUGUAGGGAUUGAAGAAGAAGAAAAAUAAAUGGUACUUGGACAACGGUUGUUCAAGGCACAUGACCAGAAACUAUGCAUGGUUCUCAAGCUUCACCAAAGUUGAAAAUGGUGGAGACGUAUCUUUUGGAGACAACUCAAAAGGAAAAAUUCUUGGAAUUGGAAAUGUUGGUAAAGUCUCUUCAACUCUAAUUGAGAAUGUAUGUUUGGUUAAGAACUUGAAACACAACUUAAUUAGCAUUAGUCAAUUAUGUGACAAAGGUUAUAAAGUUAUCUUUGAUAAAUUUAGUUGUGUUAUUGAGAACUCAUGUGAUGGCAAAACCUUAUUUGUUGGAAAUAGAUGUGGUAAUGUUUAUAUCAUUGACAUAGAAUGUGCAUCUACUCUUGAUAAAUGUUUUUCGGCAUUGCAUGAUGAUUGUUGGUUAUGGCAUAGAAGGUUAGGACAUGCAAGUAUGGAUUUGAUUUCAAAAAUUUCGAAAGAUGAUUUGGUUAAAGGUCUUCCGAAAAUUGGUUUUCAAAAGGAUAAGAUUUGUGAAGCUUGUCAAUUUGGAAAACAAAUUAAAACUUCUUUCAAGAAUAAAAACCAUAUUUCUACUUCAAAACCACUUGAACUUCUUCACAUAGAUCUUUUUGGGCCAUCUAGAUAUGCAAGUCUAAAUGGCAAAUAUUAUGCAUUUGUGAUAGUGGAUGAUUAUUCUAGAUAUACAUAGGUAUUAUUCUUAGCCAAUAAGGAUGAUGCUCUUGAUGCUUUUAAAGUGCUUUGUAAGAAAUUACAAAAUGAAAAAGGGCAUGGUAUUGUAUGCAUUAGGAGUAAUCAUGGAGGAGAAUUUGAAAAUCAUGCAUUUGAGAGUUUUUGCAAUAAUCUAGGCAUUGAGCAUCAAUUUUCAUCACCUAGAACUCCACAACAAAAUGGAGUUGUUGAGAGAAAGAAUAGGUCUAUUCAAGAAAUGGCUAGGACCAUGUUAAAUGAAAAUGCAUUACCAAAAUAUUUUUGGGCCGAAGCCGUCAACACCGCUUGUUAUGUUUUAAAUCGGGUGUUGAUUAGACCUAAUCUUAAUAAAACUCCAUAUGAGCUUUGGAAAGAUAGAAAACCCAACAUUGGCUAUUUUAAAGUUUUUGGAUGCAAAUGUUUUGUUUUGAACACAAAAGAUAAUCUUGGUAAAUUUGAUCCAAAAUCUGAUGUUGGUAUUUUUCUUGGUUAUUCAAUUUCAAGCAAAGCUUAUAGAGUCUAUAACAAAAGAACUUUAGUUGUGGAGGAGUCCAUGCAUGUUACGUUUGAUGAAUCUAACCCCUCUUCUGCGGAGAAAGGAGUUGCUAAUGAUGAUGCAGAUGGAGAGUUACAAGAAGAAUCAUCAAAAGAGAAUCAAGAGAAUGCACCACAAGAAAAUCAAGAGGAUAGGCAAGAAGAACAAACCAAUACGGAGCUGGAGCAACAAGAAGGUAUUUCUCAAACACUCCCCAAGGAGUGGAGGUAUGUCUCUUCUCAUCCUAAAGAUGUAAUUUUAGGAGAUCCUUCACGAGGUGUUACAACUAGAUCAUCUCUUAAGAAUACUUGUGAGCAUAAUGCAUUUAUCUCUCAAAUUGAACCCAAAUCCUUUGCGGAUGCGGAAAAUGAUGAAUCUUGGAUUAUGGUAAUGUAAGAGGAGUUAAAUCAAUUUGAAAGAAACAAUGUGUGGGAAUUAGUUCCUAAACCGGAACAUCAAUCUGUCAUAGGCACUAAAUGGGUAUUUAGAAAUAAGAUGGAUGAAUCCGGGGUGGUUGUAAGAAAUAAAGCUAGAUUAGUGGCUCAAGGUUACAACCAAGAAGAAGGAAUUGAUUUUGAUGAAACUUUUGCACCCGUUGCUAGACUAGAAUCAAUUAGAAUGUUGUUGGCAUUUGCAUGUCAUAAAGAUUUCAUCUUAUUUCAAAUGGAUGUGAAAAGUGCUUUCCUAAAUGGGUAUAUUAUGGAAGAAGUGUAUGUAAAACAACCCCCUGGUUUUGAAAAUGAAAAGUUUCCAAAUCAUGUUUAUAAGUUGCUUAAAGCCUUGUAUGGAUUAAAACAAGCACCUAGAGCAUGGUAUGAUAGACUUAAAAAUUUCUUGCUAGAAAAUGAUUUUUCUAUGGGUAAAGCAGAUACUACUCUAUUUGUUAAGCAUAAGAACCAAGACAUACUUAUUGUUCAAAUUUAUGUUGAUGAUAUUAUUUUUGGUUCUACUAAUGAGUUGUUGUGUAAAGAAUUUUCAUCGUGUAUGAGCAAAGAAUUUGAGAUGAGUAUGAUGGGAGAGUUGAAGUACUUCCUUGGACUUCAAAUCAAACAAAACGAGGAAGGAAUUUUCAUAAAUCAAGCCAAGUACGUAAAAGAUCUACUCAAACGAUUCGGCAUUGAUGACUCAAAGACCAAAAAUACACCAAUGAGCACAACAACCAAGCUGGACAAAGAUUAAAAAGGCAAAGAAGUGGAUAUCAAAAUGUAUCGAGGUAUGAUCGGAUCCCUACUUUAUUUGACUGUAAGUAGACCCGAUAUCAUGUUUAGUGUAUGUUUGUGUGCAAGAUUUCAGUCUUGUCCCAAGGAAUCUCAUUUGCUUGCUGUUAAAAGAAUUUUCCGUUAUUUGAGUGGAACCAUAGAUUUUUGCCUUUGGUAUCUUAGGGGAACUCAUAUAGAUUUAACAUGUUAUUCGGAUGCGGACUUUACCGGUUAUAAAGUGGAUAGGAAGAGCACUAGUGGUACUUGCUAUAUUCUAGGACACUCUCUUGUUUCAUGGUUUAGCAAAAAACAAAAUUCUGUCGCACUUUCAACUACCGAGGCUGAAUAUAUAGCUGCCGGAAGUUGUUGUGCACAAGCACUUUGGAUGAAACAAACACUUAGAGAUUAUGGCAUUAAUCUUGAACAAAUUCCUAUUAAGUGUGAUAAUACUAGUGCUAUUAAUCUUUCAAAGAAUCCCAUUCAACACUCUCGAACCAAGCAUAUAGAAAUAAGACAUCAUUUCUUGAGAGAUCAUGUUCUAAAGAGAGACAUUGCAUUAGAGUUUAUUUCUACGGAAAAAUAACUUGCCGAUAUUUUUACAAAACCACUUUGCGAAGAACAAUUUUCCAAAAUUCGGCAUGAACUUGGGAUAAUGAUUUUUUCACAUUAACAUCUUUAUUCAUGCUAUUGAGUCUAUUAACAUUGAUUGAUCUAUGACUUGAUGCUUUAAUAUCUAUGGAAUGCUCAAUCGUAAUAUACAUGAGAUGUGUAUGGAUAUUUGAAAAUGUAUGAAUUAAUUGUUGCAAUACAUAUAUAUAUUCAAGAAUUAUGCAUUGAACUGGCACUCAAAUCAUUUUGGAUCAAUAAAAUGAUCUUGAAAUGUAUUGAUAAGUAGCCAAAUAUCAAAAUACAUGUGCGAAAUCAUAAGUUGUAGAAAACGGAUUGCCGUUAUUUCAAUAAACGGCUAACCGUUUUGGGCAGAAACAAUGGAAAAUUUUCUAUACGCUAUCGGUUCGCCGAUAACUAUCUAUCGGCUCGCCGUCCUGAUACAAAAAAAUUUGAGGAGACUCCCUGGACCCUAUCGGCUCGCCGUUAUGUAUAUAAACGGCUCGCCGUUUUAAUGAAAUUUUUGGAGGACUCUCUGGACUCUGUCGGCUCGCCGUUUUCUCUAUAACGGCUCGCCGUUAUCACGCGUAAAUUGAACAGUCCUUCGUCUUCCUCCUCAUUUCGGCUUCUCUUUCUCUCUCUCUCUCACUUCAACUCGCGGCUGCACCAGUUCUCUCCUCUCAAAUCCAUCACUUUUCUUGUCAUUUUUCACCAAAUUGAAGCAUUACAAACCACUUCUAUCAUCUCUAGCACCUUUUAACCGAUUCAAAUCCUUCUUUUUCUUCAAAUUUUGAAAAAUCUCAUCUUGAAACCCUAGAACCAGCCGAAUCUCAUUCGUUCACUUUGACCCAAAUUUCUUCAUCUUUCCAACUACUUUUCCAUCCACAAUCACUAUCUCCUCUCUCACACUUCGUUUCCACCGAUUUUUUUUUUCUCUAUGGCGGAACGACCCCAAAGGCGUGCUCGAACCAAGCACACUGCUCAGCGACGCUCUAGUCCCCCCAGGUCUCCUCCUCAAGACUUUGAGAGUCUUCAUUUUCCCGAUGCUACCUCUGCUCAGCGAUUUCGUGAGAAAUUCAUGGGUAAACCCGUAACUCCCUCUUUUUCUCUUAACAUCUCGGAGUUUUCGGAUAUUACUGUUUGUGGUAACUCCAUUACUCAAAUGCUUAAUCAUUGGCAGCAAGCAUUAAGUAUUGAAGAACCUAUUUAUGAAAAUCUAGUUCGAGUCUUUUAUUCUAGGGAAAUUUACACUCGUCCGCCUGUUUGUUUUGCCUUUUUCAAAAAUACACAAACACUUUUUUUUUUUUCAGUGCGCCACCUGAAGUUUGCUUUUUGUUGCAUUUUUCCACUUCCGUCUAAUUUUCGUUAGUGGAUUUAACGGAAUGUUAACGAAAUGACCUUUUUACCCCUCAAAAUUACAAUUUAACCCAAAAUAAAUGGAAAUUGGAGAUAAAUUGGAUGUAUUUAAAUUUUUUCAAAGGUGGAUGCUAGAAAUUAGAGGAAAAUAGUGUUUGUUGCUUGCUAAAUUUAGAAAAUUUGUAUUUAUUUUUUUGAAAGAGAAAAAAUAAAUACAAAUUUUCUAAAUCUAGCAAGUAACAAAUACUAUUUUCCUCCAAAAAAAUAAAUACAAAUUUUCUAAAUUUAGCAAGCAACAAACAUUAUUUUCCUCCAAUUUCUAGCAUCCACCUUUGAAAAAAAAUUAAAUCCAUCCAAUUUAUCUCCAAUUUCUAUUUAUUUUGGGUUAAAUUGUAAUUUUGAGGGGUAAAAAGGUCAUUCUGUUAAAUUUGCUAACGGAAAUUAGACGGAAGUGGAAGAAUGCAACAAAAAGUGAACUUCAGGUGGCGCGCUGAAAAAAAAAAAGUGUUUGUGUAUUUUUGAAAAAGACAAAACAAACAGGUGGACGGUUGUAAAUUUCCCUUUAUUCUAACAUAGAAUUCUCCUCUACUCGUCGUGACGAGCUUCAUACAUUUGUAGGAGGAAUUCGUAUUGAACUAGAUGAACCCGAAUUAUGUAGUAUUCUCGGAAUUGCUUAUGGAGGGUUAGAUCUGUACACCGCUAGGAAAGAACUUUCUUUUAGUAAUUUUCGUCAUGUGGAUGGUGUACGGAACAUUUGUCGUCGUCGGGAUCUUUCCGAUGACAUCUGCUCUCUGUCCUUCAGGUCUCAACUCCUCCCUUUUCAGAUUCGAAUUCUUCACAUUAUUCUCCAACACAUGGUCACUCCUAGACAGGGUCACACUGAUGAGGUCACUAGGCUUGAUAUUGGUCUAUUAGAUUCUCUUAUCCGUCGACGCCAUGUGAGCCUAUCCUACACUAUUAUGUGCCAUAUGUUGUCCACCCCUAAAGUCUCCAAUCGAUCUCUUCCUUAUGGCAGCAUCAUUACUAAAAUCUUGAACCACUUUCAUGUUCCUAUCGUCGAGCCUGUUUUUCUCGAGACUCGUAAGCUCGGACGAGAAAUUAUUUCUGCCAUCGGAUUCUUUAAGAAGCGUGGGAAAUGGGAUAAGACCACAUCCUCUAAAAACGAAGACACACUGCUUGCACCAGAGGAUGAUCGCAUGUUGAAUGACGUCUACUCUGAGGAUGAGCUACCUGAUUUCCGUCUUGGGGCUAGACCGCGUGUUCCACGCCGGGCAGCUGCACCAGCAGCACCUGCAACACCUGUAGCACCAGCAGCACCUGCAGCACCAGCAGCAGCUGCAUCUCAGGAUGACGAGCCUACCGAGACUGUCGUCCCUCCUGCGGCAUCAGCUGUUCCUGAGGAUCGCUUCCAGCAGCUUCUCGACCGAGUGGAUGCCCUGUCCCAGUAGCAGCAGCAGCUUCGAUCUAAUUUUGCAACCUUUCGGGAGCAAAUUUCUGAUCAGCAGAUAGAGUUAAUUGCAGGACAGCGUCGCAUUCUCGGCUAUUUUGGAUAUGACCCCGGCAGCUCGUCUUCCCAGCCCCCAUCUUAGAUUUCUCUGCCCCUCUGACAUUCGCACAGACAUCUUUCAUUUCAUUUUCCAUAUGUGUAUGAUAUUAUUUGUGUUCUGUGUGUUAUGUGUUUUGUGAUUAUGCUUUUGAUAUUUCUUGUUGGACAUAUGCACUUAAUUUCUGUUUGGGUUGUUUUUGGUGUUAUAUUGAUUAUAUUGCUCAUUCUAGAAGUGUGAAUUUGUUGGUAUGGAGGUUGGUUGAUAUGGUGGUAUAUUUAUAUGGAAGUAUUUUUCUUUUUAACUCUGUGUGUUGUUGAGGAACUGCUCAUAUUUCAGAGGAGACUCUGCCCAAAUUUCUCCAAACAUAAGUCAUUCGUCGCGUAUCUUUCUUUUUGAUGAUGAAGGGGGAGAGAAAUUGGCAAAAUGCAAAAUUGGUUUUGGCAAAAUAGUAUUGGCAUGCAUGUGUUUACUGGCAUAAUUUUUUUUUUUUUCAAUCUGUCGUGUUUAAAAUUUUGAGAUUAACAGUUGAAUUUUUUUUAACAAGGGAGUUAACAAGUCUUUCAAAAUUUCACUUAGGGGGAGCACAUAUUUAGGGGGAGCAAAAAUUGCACAAGUAUUUUCUUGAAAAGUUUGUCAUCAUCAAAAAGGGGGAGAUUGUUAACAUAAAUUAUUCUUUAUUGAUUUUGAUGAUAACAAACAUGAUUAAGAUUGAUUAAUCGUUUUAAAAGCUCAACAUAAUUUUCAUCUAUUUUGACAAGUUUCAUAAAGUAUUUUUUUAAAGAUUUGGAGACAAAACAGUCAUCAUGCAAAAUAGUUCACUGCAGCAGUUUUUGUGGAAAACGGCGAUCCGACAUGUGUAGUAAACGGCUCACCGAUUUCAAGCAGAAAUGGAGAUUAGCCUCUGGACCAAAACGGCGAACCGACAUAUGUGAUAAACGGCUCGCCGAUAUCAACCAGUAGCCUCUGGACCAAAACGGCGAACCGACAUAUGUGAUAAACGGCUCGCCGAUAUCAACCAGUAGCCUCUGGACCAAAACGGCGAACCGACAUAUGUGAUAAACGGCUCGCCGAUAUCAACCAGUAGCCUCUGGACCAAAACGGCGAACCGACAUAUGUGAUAAACGGCUCGCCGAUAUCAAUCAGUAGCCUCUGGACCUAAACGGCGAUCCGAUAUCUAGAUAACGGCGAUCCGACAAUUUGACAAAUCAGCCCAACGAUCAUAUUGACCAGUCAAACGGCGAUCCGACAUCUAGCUAACGGCGAUCCGACAGUAUGCAGAAAGUCAAUAACGGCUAGUUUUCAGCAGCAGCUAUAAAUAAGCUCAUUCAAAUUCAAACAAAGAUUGAUCACAACACAGCCAUUGAGCAAAUAUUCGAGAAUACAAUCUUCAUAGAGCUUAAAACACAUUCUCUCUUCAUCUAUUCACAAAUUGGGCAUUGAUUUGUAAUCUUUUACUUUGAGUGAUUGUAAGUGUUGGGAUACACUUGGGUUAAGAGAUUGGGGAUAAUCUCUUGUUGUAAAGGUUUAUUGACACCUUGGAAGUCAAGUGUAAGCAUUUGAAGCCUUGGAGGCUUGCUUAGUGGAAUCCUCAAGCCCGGAAAGCUUGGAGGCGUGGACGUAGGCGAGGUUAGCCGAACCACGUAAAAAUCUCGGUGUUUGAAUCCCUCUUCCCUUAUCUUUUUAUAUUGUGAUCAUCUUAAUUGUCAUUGCUUUGAAUUUGAUUUAUAAUUGUAUUAAGUUUUUCUUCAAUAAAUUGAAUAAUUUUUUUUGAAACCCGAUUCACCCCCCCUCUUCGGUUGCAUACUUGUAUUUCAAGGGCUCCACAUAUCUUCGUAGUGGAUCCGAGUGGCUCGUCUUUGGUUAAAAUUCAUCUCACGGCCCCUUAUUUGAACUUCCAUCACCAUCGGGCAAUGAUCAGAGGUCCAAGUGUCAAUAUUAGUAGCUACAACAUCUGAAAAAAUGUCUCUCCAUGAGCUAUUACAAACAAAUCUAUCUAGCCGUUCCUCCACAAAAGUGGGGCUGAACCUUCCAUUACUCCACAUAAAAGGGUACCCCUUGUAACUAAUAUCUAAACGAUCACAGUCUCGGAGAGCUUCUCUAAAAUCAGUAAUUAAGCUUAACUGCCUCUCAUUUCCCCUACUCUUCUCCAACGGAUGAAGGAUCUCAUUAAAGUCUCCGAAGCAUGACCAAGGGGUGGAAGAUAAACCCGAUAACCGCCUCAAUAAUGUCCAUGUAUGCUUUCUCUGUCUCAUGUCUGGGUGACCAUAAACCCCCGUACAUCGAAUAAGCUUCCCAUUUUCCAUCACUAUCUUAGCAUCAAUGUGAUGCUAAUUGAAAGAUUUAAUUUGCACUUUUAUUUCAGACUUCCAAAGUAAGGCUAGACCACCUCCUUUUCCGAUACUACUCACAGCAAAGCAAUUUUCAUAAUUUAGUUUUCUACUGACCUCAUUCAUAUGCAUAGUCUUCAGCUUCGUUUCACAUAAAAAAAAACUAGGCGAAGACCGUGCACUUGGAGAAUUUUCUUGAGAGCUAGAUACAUUCGGGGAUUCCCCAGACCCCGAAUGUUCCAACUGAGUAUUUUCAUGGCUUCCGGCGGGGGCUGGUAGCCAACCCCGCCGAUAUCUCCUCUAAGCUUAAAGCUGUAAGCUCCAUUUCCUCUGUUGCUAACAGCUCCCAGUGCAACUUGGUUUGUUCUGCUAUCAAAGAAAGUUUCUUCAUUUCCGAAUGGCUUGGGUCAUCCACUUUAGUUUUCUUUAGCUUCGAGUUUGGCCCUGCUGCCUCGCUAUUUGGCCUUUUAUGAGUUCUUAGGCCCAAGCUUGCUCCCCCUUCAUUUUUUGUGGCACGUGCCUGCCUCUUCCAUUUGUUUUUGUUUAACUGAGUUUGGGAUUUAUCGGCCUCGGCAUAUAUUUUCGUUUCCUCAGCUUCCUCUUGGGCUGCAUUUGAGCCCAAAUUCUCCUUGUGUUUCUCGGCCCUGACUACUUCCAUUUUUUCCCCCUCAAUUGAGUUUACAUUUCCCGCCUCAAUUCUCAAAUCUCUAGGGACUGUUACAUUGCCAGUACUGCCUCCCUGCAUUUCGCCGUUAGCCUGCUUCGUAGCCAUCAUUUCUGUCACGCUCUUCAUUAAAUGUUGUUCACCCACCCACUCCACCUCUCUAGUCCUAUCAAUCUCCUUAGUUUGACCCAUUUCCUCCUCCCUGGAUCCUAACCUAUUUUUGUCAGCUGGUUUCACUUGCUCCUGCUGGAGCUGUUGGGACUUAUCAUGGAAUUUUGAACUUGUCGAUUUUUCAGUUCUUUCACCUCUGUUCUACCAUCUUUCUUUGCCUCGGUAUUUCCUUGAGCGUCCCCUGAUUAUGAGUGCUUUCAUCCACAUCCCAAAUGAGAGAUCUUCUUUUGGUUGGCCUUGGUAUUGAGCACACUCCUUGAAUUGAUGACCGAUAAUGCCACAGCAGAAGCAAAAAUUUGGCAAGCAUUCAUACACCACUAGCAUUGGAAUAUCUGUCUUGCCCUCUUGUUUUAGGAAUAAGAUUUUCUUCAAUGGCUGUGUUAUGUUGAUGAAAAUCCUGAUUCUUGCAAAUUCCCCAAAGCAAUCCCCAUUCUCAUCUGUUUCAAUUUCUUCCACUUUUCCUAUCAUUCCCCCGAGCUCUUGCAGAAAGUCCCUCUCCAUACACGCAAUUGGAAUAUUGCGUAUCUGCACCCAGAAGGGGACGUGAGUAAAAUUUUGCUUUGAAACCUCUCCAAUAUCUGUUGGCUCGGUGAGGACAAUCAACGCCCUAUCAAAAUGCCACGAGCCUCUAGCUAGAACUCUUCUUUUAUCAGCUUCUUCCGCGAAUUUGAACAUAAAUAUAUUAUUUCCCAGACUCUCGAUCUUAACCUCUUUAAAAGUUCGCCAUACCUGCUGUAAAGCAACUUUAAGCCCUUCUCUGUUAACACCUCUUGAUAGGAGUACCUUACCCAUCAGGCAUCCUGCUAACACUUGCCCUCUUUGUUCUUUCAUGUUUACUCCCAAUGACAUUUUGCUUUUGUCUUCCUCUCUAAUCGUGAUUGCUUUGCACUUACGGAUUAAUUCUUCAGUGUCCAUGGAGUUAUUACAAGGGAGAGAUUUGAUAAUAAUAAUCACCUAACAAGAAGACCCUGCGAAAUAAACCCCUCACCUACUCUGCUCUAGCCUUUACUGCACUUCAACUGGAAAAACUUACGUAACGUAACUAAUCUAACUUCAAACUAGAAAACAACACUCACUCUCGGAGUGACCAUGUGGGUCAUACAGGCCCCUCAAAGUACUUCCAUUCAUGAGGCUGUAUCGGAGAGAGAGAGCUCUCGUGAAGGAAGAUUCUAAGUGAUCUGACAUUCUAAACUUUAUAUUCAAACUUUGUAAGAUCAUCAUUUCUCCUUUUUUAUUUAACAAAAAAAUUAACUUCUUGCAUGAUCUAAUUGGUCUCGUUUCCUCUCAACAACGUUUUCUUUAAAACACACUUUUAAAGCCAAUCUCUACAUCUCUCGGAAAACUUUUCCUCCCCAAACUCCUCAUCUCUUCCUCACCAAAUCUUUGGAGGCAAAAAUCUUUCUUGCCUUCUCCAGUGGAUUCUUGGUUUUUUUUUUUUGGUUGCACCCACCUCUUCCUUAUGAUUUGAGGAUGGGUGUCUUGUUCUGGCCUUCUUCACCCUAAGCUGGUUGUUCUAGUUCAAUUUUCUCCUCCUUUGGUUUUGAGGAUGGCUGCUAUGCGUCCAUUCAGAUCUUGAUCUGUGAUGGUAAUAAUGUACCUGUUAUGGUGAUAAUGUUGGUUUAAUUUCUAAUUUCCAGUACAUAACCCUUCAACUUUUAGAUCUCGAGUCUAUGUUUCUCAUGUUUGUAAAGUUAGAGGGUGUGAAUCAAUUUUAACGAUAAAUCUAUUUUGCUACUAGCUGGAAAGCAUAAAUAUGGUGGUGGAGAUUAUUUCGAAAGAGCCAUGGAAUCCCAAAUGGAGCUUGAAUUAUAUGUGCAGUACGAAUGGAAGUGUUUCUUCCUAUUCUUUAAUAAAAUUUUAGGGGUUAAUUCAAUUGAUUACUGUAAUAGAUCUCUGUAACUAAACAGAUCUCUGUAUUUUGAUCUUUAUAAUGUGAACUAGUGAUGUACUGCAAGUAGUUGUAUUGUUGUUAUUUUUUUAAUGAAAUAUUAAUACUUUCCUAUCAGAAAAAUCUUAAAAUUUUAGCUUUAAUUCAGACAAAAUAAAGGAAAAAGAAAAAACCAGCAAUGUACUUUAAAAGGGAGCAAAAAGGGAAUAACAAGAAGAGCUUGUUAAAGAAAGAAGCUGAGAGAGUCAGUGGGUUGGUGAAUGAUGAUAUUGUUGUUGUUGUUGUUGUUACUAUUAUUUAUGUCGUAAAAGCAUAUGCAGAGAGAGGCAGAGCAACCCAAUAAAAUCGCAUGGUUAAUAUUAGUUGGUUUUAUGUUGGAGUUGAUCCAACCUAGCCAAAGCCUUAUUUAAAUCCGAACAAAUGGUGGGACUUGGACUUAAGACUUGUUUCUACAAACAUUGAGUGUUUAGCUGCUGCAAAAUUUCAUAACUUAAUUUUAGUUGAUGUGGCAUGUGUCCUAUCACAUAAAUGUAGAUAAUAAUUAUUAAUACAUUAACAAAAUGAAAAUUAUUAGUUUACAAAUUACAAAUCUGAAUUUUUUGUUUGUGAGAGGGAAUUCAAAAGGGAGAGACUAAACAAAUGUGGUGACAAACGACAUGUAUUACCAAAACUGAAAAUACGAAAUCUAGGCAACUGAAAACAUCUCUAUCAAUUGCAAUGAACCGAUCAAAACCAUUUAUAAUUAACCAAAAUCAAACUAAAAAAAAAAUCAAAACUACUAUUUGUUUUGAUCAUCCCUGCUUCUUCUUCUUAGCAUAGCUCUUGGAAUAAAAAUUAACAAAACGUGCCAAAAGGGAAGCAUUAAACACAGCAUUAAACCCAAAAUCCCUGCGCAACCAAAUCCCGUAAAAUGAUAAUACAGACUGCUUCGUCUGUAGCAGUCUGUGUUAUCAUUGGUUAUUGAUAAUACAUUGGUUAUUGAUAUUUUGAGGUUUUAAUCUUAAAUAAUAAUAACAAAAGAAUAAAAUUUUAUCAAGAUUUAACGAAAUAAGUUGUAGCUUAAUAAUUGGUAAAUUAGGAAUGUCAACCAAAUAUCGUCAAAAUAAAUAAUAAAUUGUCGAGUUGAGAAAAUUUAUUUGAAUAAUUUUUAUUUUUUUUUUGUCUAUCAUUGUAAAUUUAAAUAGGGACAAACUUGUGGGGUGCCAAUAUUACCACUCUUAAUACUAUACAUAACAUUCUAAAAAAGAAAUUAGAGCGGUGAUAACCCUUUUUUUUCAAUUAACUACAUCCUUUUUUUCUGAAAUAUCCUUUUUUUUGCAUUGGUCACAAACAAAGACUGCUUCGUCUGCAGCCAAAGGUAGCACAUUACGACGACGGUUGCAUGGUGGUAGACGUGGAGGAACCUGAGGCGCUGGAUGGAGUUUGACAAAACGAUCAAAAGGGUGUCUAGGAAUUCCAGUAUUUCGAAAAAGGUAGAAGAUGUAAGCGUAGAAGAAGAGGGGGCCGGAGGGAGAAAUGGUGGGGGGGAAACAGAGGGUGUAACGGAGGUGGGGUCAGGGACGGAGCCAGCAUGGGACGAGGUUGGGCACAGGCCCCAGCUGGCUUUUAAUUUUUUUUUAUAAUUAUAGUAAAAAAUUGUAUUUUAUUGUUAUUUAUGAAAAAUGCCCCAGCUGAAUUGUAAAAUUUGAAAUUGACUCCAAUAAUUUUAAAAUAUUUCAUAUUGUCCCUAGUUUAAAUUUCUAAUUAUAAAUAAUUUAAUUAGUUAUUAAAAUUUCAUGAAACUUGAUUAAAGAUACGAGAACAAAUAUUAAAAUAAAAAACAAUCAUAAGAAAAUGUUAGUAUAAUGAUUAAUGGACCAAUCUUUAAUCUUGUUAGUAUAAUGAUUAAUGGACCAAUCUUUAAUCUUUUUUAUUUUUUAUUCAAGUAAAAUCAAUUAUUUAAUCUUUCAACACUGAACCAUAAGUUGUCAAUCUACCUAAUUCUAAUUUUUAAUUUUCUAAUUAAUCUUUUGUCUAGUUUUAAAAUUUAUAAUUUUAUCAUGCAUUUCAUAUUUGUUCUGUGUUGCAAUAUAUGAAUAUUUUUGUUAUUAUUAAAAGAUUUUAAGAGCAAAACAAGUAAUAACCUAGUCUUGUAUAUUGAAAAAUAUUUUUUUGCUUAUAUUGAUAAUGCAUUAUUUUCAACUCAUAAAAUUUUAUUGAGGAGUUUUCACGGAGAACCAUUGUAAUAAGUAAAUUUAUUAUCAAUGAAUAUUAUAGUUGUAAUGUUAUGUAUUGCUAUCUAAAUUUUUAGAAAUGUAUUAUACUUUAAAUAUAGUUUCAAUUAGAUUCAUACAGAUGCACUUUAUAAGGAGCACAAUUGUACAUGUAGCAAGCUCCCAUUUGGAGUUUAUGGGGUCCAUAAUACAGUUUCCUAAAUAAAGACUUAUCGCAUGAGCAAUCCCACAUUCGAGUCAUGUUUAAUUUUAAAUGUGCCCUGGCUCGAUCAAAAUCCUAGCUACGUCCGUGGGUGGGGUGAGUGGAGGAUGAUGGAGAGGGUGCAACCAACAGCCAUGAUGAGGGAGAGGAGGAGGAGGGUGAGGUUAUGGACGGCUGUGAUGGGCUUGAGGACGUGGGGUCCAAUGAGAGGUGAUGAUGAUGGUGAUGUUGACGUUAAUGUGUGGUAGAGGAUGGAUGUGAGGGAGAGGUAAGUGAGGAUGGAGAGAAUGAGGAAGUUUAGGGAGGAAGCUGGGGUUUGGUUUUCAGUCCAUGUGAAGUUGAGGAUUUGUGGGUGGUUUACAAGCCAAUGUUGGAGAGUUGAGGUGAUUGAAUUUGAAGCCAUGGCUGGUGUGUUUUUUUUUUUUUUUUUUGGUGGGGGGGGGGGGGGGGGGGGGAGAUUUGGAAGAGAUGAUGUUGAGAGGAGCGGGGGAGUUUAGAAAGUUAGGGAUAAUAUGAGGGUAUUUUGGGCAUAUACUGAUGUCUUAGCUUAAAUUUUGAAAAAGAAAAUAAUAAUAAACUCUUUUUUCACAUGAAUUUAAUACUCCGAGUGUGUUUCCAAGAAUUGUUCUUCUUUUUCUAUUUUUGGAUUUUGAAUCAUAAUUUUUCAAUUUAUUAAUGGCUCUUCAAUUACAAAAUAUGGAAAGAGGGGAUGGGGUGUAGUGCCUAGGCAUCUGUGACAACGGCACUUCUGGACGUGGGUUUCAUUAUUAUUAUUAUUAUUAUUAUUAUUUGGCUAUUUCUGCUCAAUCAAACUUGUGGAUUGCAUGCACUCAACGUGGAAUGGACGCAAUGGAUUUGCUGGGAUCACCCAAGCCGAAGAAGCAUGAACCUGGGACCAAUUUGUUGACAAAAAUUUAGGCAUAAAAUAUACAAAUCAAAGUCGAGUAAGAUUUAAGUAUAAUUGGGGAAUGUCUUCUACGGUGAAGUACAUCGAGUAAGGACUUCUACAAUCGCGCUAGAAAGUACAACUAAAAUCCGGUAAGUGUUUCGUAGAGCAUAAUUUUUAGGGUCCAACGUUAAGAGUAUUUUGUAAACAUUUAUAAUUAUUACUUAAAUUGAUCUAAUCUCAUACUCCAUUAUAGAAAAAAAAACUAAAAUAUCUCUAAUAAUUUUAUCAAAAUUAUUAUUUAACAAUCAUAUUUACUCUAUAAUAUCAACGUUUAUAUUAUAAUUAGAGCUAAUACUAAACAAGGACUCGAAUACGAUCAAGUAAUUAAAAGUUUUAGCUUUUUGGUAUUGCAAGAUGAUUCAAACUUAAACUAGCGAUCAAAAGUCUAUCAAAGAAAUCACAAAGACGCUUUUUUUGACAAAUCCGCAUUAGAAUUUGCAAAAUUUAACAAAGAGAGUGAAUAAGAUUCCAAAGUAAAUCAACUUUAUUAAGAAUUUUACUGGAGAAAAAUUGGAAUAUACGAAGUUGUAUCACAUAUGAUAUUUAGACAUCAAGAAAAGAAUCCAUCUAUCAGUGAACUAUACUUGCCAGGAAACACAGUGAAUACCACCACCUCCCUACUAGUUCUUCCCCUUCAACAGAGUCGACAUUCCCUUGUUUGAUGCCAAGGAGCCCAAGCCCGGAGACAAUGGCAUUCUUUGAUAUCAACCGCUUUGGGGACUUUUGAGUUGAGCUAUUGACAUCCUGAGACAGCCUGUGCCUUCUUCAAAAGGUCAUCUGACUGAAGUAGCGGAUCCGCUUCCACUCCUAGCCAAGCAAGCUUUGAUCUUUCUCCUAAUUGGACAUUAAAAACCCUGCAUGGAAUCCAUUUGAGAAGUUGAACAAUAGACAAAGUCCAACAUAUGUAGGUAGUAAAGAAGAAUUUGGACGGCAAUUACUGAUUGUUUACGCACAGGGCUGAACAAAUGGGUAUAUUAAGGCACUUAAAAGUUAGAACAAUAUUCACCACUUGUAUUUCCUUAGAGAACUAUCUCAGAGUUCAGUUAAUUUAAAACCUUCGAGAUAUAAUUAUCAUCAUCAAUCUUUUGCAGCCACAUGCGGUACUUGGAAAACUGUUUAUGGCCCCUAAAGAACUGGAAAAUCAGAGAACAUUAAGAACAAGAGACUACUAAUUUUGAUCGCGACCAAGCGUACACACUAUGAAAAUCUAAAAUUGAAUUACUCCGAAUGAAUGUGCCUCUUAACAGGAAUUGCACAAGCUAAUCCUUGCAGCCUGCGUCAUGGAGCUUCUCGCAAUGAGUAAGUGAGCCUUGAACAGUUAGCUCAAACUAAAAUGAAAUUGCUGUGGACAUGUGAAUUAAAAAUAGAUGUAAAAGCAGUUUUCUCAAAGCAAGGACAAGAUAAGAGAUUAACUCUGCUUCUUAGUUACAUUAAAAAUAACAAACAAUGAAAAAACAGAGCUAGAGAAGAACUUACCUGUGCGUUGAGACCACGUGGGGAAUGUGAGAUAUCUUCUUAGAUUUGGUUUGAGAAACUCCAUCUUCUUCUGAAAGUUCUGACAGUUCCCUAAACCCAGGCCAAUACAAUUGCAACAGAAACUGCAUGCUUUAACCAGCAUCUGAUCAUCUCCUGUUAUUUCAAGACAAUAAAAACUUAAUUGCAACACUGCAUGCUUCAACCAUUAACCUUCUCAAUUUCAACACUUCUUUUGUCCCCCGCCCAAUGCCCUUAUUAGAGUGAGUGAGAAAUUAAGUACAUAUCAGUGAUUUGGGUUGUUAGUGAAUGUUUUUCUUUAAUAUUGUUAGUGAAUGUUAGUGAAAGGUGAUGAUGGUGGUGAUGUUGAUGUUGAUGUGUGGUAGAGGAUGAAUGUGAGGGAGAGGUAAGUGAGGAUGGAGAGAAUGAGGAAGUGAGGGGAGGAAGCUAGUGUUUGGUUCUGAGUCCAUGUGAAGUUGAGGAUUUGGGGGUGGUUUACAAGCCACUAUUGGAGUGUUGCGGUAAUUGAAUAUGAAGCCAUGGCUGGUUUUUUGGGGGAGAAAGAUUUGGAAGAGAUGAUGUUCAGAGGAACGGGGGAGUUAAAGUUUUGGGAUAAUGCGGAGGGUAUUUUGGACAUAUUGUUAUCUUAGCUUAAAUUUUAAGAAAAAGAUAAUCAAUAAUAGGCUUUUUUUUCAUGUCAAUUUAAAACUCCGAGUGUGAUUCCAAAAAUUGUUUUCGUUUUUCUAUUUUGGAUUUUAAAUCGUAAAUUUAGUAAAGGAAGUUAAAUCAAGUGAUCACUUAUUAUUAUUAUUAUUUUAAUGUAAAGCAAUUUUUUUUUUUUUUGUGAUUUAAGCAAAUAUUGAGUUGCGUACUUUGACAAUAUUAAUAUUUGAUUCGAAAUUUCAUCUAUUGAAACUACAAAAAUUAAUAUUUUCUAAUAAAUCAAAACUAAAAUUAAAAGAUGACUCAUUAUCUGCCGACUGUCAUUAAACGAAGCCAUCACUCACGCAAAAAAAAAAAAUGAUAUAUUUAUUUUAACGUAAUUUCAUACCAACAAAUCAUUCUUUUCUUUCGAACAAUGACCUCUUUAAUUAUCCAGGGCUUUGUGAUAACAGCAUCUUUGGACGUGAGUGUCAUUAGACUUUUGGGUCAAUCAGACUUGUGGAUUACAUGCACUCAACGUCGAUAAUAUAGAAAUGGGAGAAAAUUAUGUCAGUAAAAUCAAGUCAGUCAAAUAAAAAUUGUGUAUUUUUGAAAAAGUUGAAAAAACCAGGUUGACAGUGCAUAAUUUUCUAACUCAGUAGAAUUUCCUAAAGUUGGAGUAAAUAAGACUCCAAAGGAACAUGGCAAUUAUUAUUAUCUAAGAAAUAAUUCAUAGCUAAAACAAAAUUAAAUUUCCUAACUCACUAGAAUUUAACUGGAGAAGAAUUGGAAUAUACAACGUUGUAUCACAUAUAGUAUUUAGACAUCAAGAAAAGAAUCCCUGUAUCAGUGAACCAUACUUGCCAGAAAACACCAGGCGAAUACCACCACCUCCUACUAGUUCUUAGGUGUCUCAGAGUUUGAGGACGACUUCCAUGCUAUGUCUCUUCGACAGGCAGCAAAAUUGGGCAAUUGACUGCAUCAACUCCAAGAAAUUUAUGCAGUCACCUUCCUCCGGACUAUCUUGUUUGACGCCAAGGAGCCCAAGCCCAGAAACAAUGGCACUCUUUGGCAUCAACCACCUGGGGACUUUUGAGCUGAACCAUGACAUCCUGAGAUGGGCUGUUGUGUAAGCCUUCUUCAAAAGGUCAUCCGUUGAUCUUUCUCCUAAUUAGACCAUCAAAACCCUGCAUGGAAUCCAUUGGAGAAGUUGGACAAUAGACAAACUCCAACACACACAGACAGUAAAGAAGAAUUUAGACCGCAAUCACUGUGGCUGAACAAAUGGGCCUAUUAAAAGUGGGAACCAUAUUCACCACCCGCAUUUCCUUAGAGAACUAUAUCAGAAUUCUGUAAAUUUGAAACUAUUCUUACAUAUUUAACUGUAAAACAAGAGAAAUUGUACUUCCGUAGCAAAGUCUCACUAUUGGUAAGUAUCUGGACUUGGAAAGGAUGCUAGUUGAUUAAGUAAAGGAAAAUUGAAAUCAGACUUUGAGGUGAUAGAUCUAUAUCCACUUUUAUAGGAACCGCAUUAACAUCAUAUGAGACAAUUAAACAAAUAACCCAGUCAAAGUUCAACAAACAAAACAUUAAAACAAGAGUAAUUUGGUCUAUCAAUGUAUAUUUAGAGAUGUCGAUCAAUAGACAAAUACGUAAACGAGAGACGGAGAGACCUCAAAGCCGUGCUUAAGAACAGUGCUACUCCAAUAACAUCAAAAUGGUUGGUGACCGCUCUAUCAAAUCCACACAAUAGCUGAUAUCUCAUGUUUUCAUAUAGUCCAAUGAAAGCACCAUAACCAGGCGCUUUAGUACUUACAGAUGGGAUUGUCACAGGUUGUUAACAUAUAUGUUUCCAUAAUAUUGAUUUUGAUGAUAACAAACAAGAUUAAGAAUGAUUAAUCUUUUAAGCUCAAAUUAUUGAAAAAUAUAUUUUAAAUAAAUCAUUAUUUUUACAUUAUAAAUGUUUUAUAUUUAAUGGAAAAAUGAUUUUAUGAAAUUGAUUAUUUUUAUUCUUUUUAAAUAAAUCAUUAUUUUCACAUUAUAAAUGUUUCAUAUUAAUGGAAAAAUGAUUUUAUAAAAUUGGUUGUUUUUCAAAGUUUAUGGUUUAAUUAAAAGAAUUUUAAAAACUUUGAAAUAAAGAAGUAUUGCUUGAAAUUUUGGUAAAAGACUUAUUUGAAAAGUGUCAUUGUAUUGUGGGCUAUAUCAUAAUUUCAUAAAGUUUUGGAAAUAGUAAGUAUUAUUUAGAAAUUCUGAAAUUAGAUUUAUUUGCAAAGUUUUAUAACGUUUUGGGCCAUAGUACAGUUAUAUAAAAUUUGAGGGUCAAACUGUUAUUUUACAAAAUAGUUCACUGUAGCAGUCACUGUAGAAAACGGCGAUCCGACAUUUGGUUAACGGCUCGCCGACUUCGAACAUAAUUGAAGAUUAGUCUCUGGACACUAACGGUGAUCCGACAUCAGUUAACGGCGAUCCGACAAUUUGAAAAAUCAGCCCAACGGUCAUAUUGACCAGUCAAACAGCGAUCCGACAUCUAGCUAACGGCGAUCCGACAGUGUGCAGAAAGUCAAUAACGGCUAGUUUUCAGCUCCAACUAGAAAUAAGCUCAAUCCAAUUCAAACAAGAAGAAUUCCAACGAUCAUCAUUGAGCAAAAUAUUGAGAAUACAACUUUCAUUGAGCUUUAAAUCUUUGUAUUCAUCUCAUUCAUUCACACAUUGAGCUUUCACUUGUGAUCAAACACAUUGUGUGAGAGAGAUUCAUUUGUAAUCCUUUUUGUAAAAUCAAGUUAAAAGAUUGUAAGUGUUGGGAUACACUUGGGAUAAGAGAUUGGGGAUAAUCUCUUGUUGUAAAGGUCCAUUGACACCUUGGAAGUCAAUUGUAAGCGUUUGAAGCCUUGGGAGGCUAGCUUAGUGAAAUCCUCAAGCCCGGUGUGCUUGGAGGCGUGGACGUAGGCGGGGAUUGCCGAACCACGUAAAAAUCCUUGAGUUUGCUUUCUCUUCCCUUACUCAUUUAUUAUUGUGCUUUUAUUGAAUUUAUUGUUUUCGAAUUUGUUAAGGCAUUAGAUUGGAUUUGUGUGUGGUUUGCCUAGGAUAAUUUUUAAAAUCCCAAUUCACCCCCCCUCUUGGGUUGCCUAGUUAGUAUUUCACAGGUAACCUGUCAGACAUCAAAUAUGGCCCAAAUUUACAAAUGGGAUUGUCGCGUUAGUGCUUAGACAGUAAACAUUUGCUCUAGUAGCCUGAUUAAACAAGAAAUCGAGACAAGUGUUCAAAAUUUUAAUCUUUAUAUAUAGCCAAAAUGAUAAUGUAGUUGAUAAUACUGACCUGAGUUAAUAAAUACGGGGCUGGUAACAAUCACAGCAUCUCAUCAUGUGGGGAAAGCCUUCACAACAGAAGACGCUGCUUGCUUUGAAGCAAUAAUAACUUUCCAAUUCCAUAAGGUAGCUUAAUGACCUUUUAGGAUAUCAGCACCAGCCUAACAAUUAUUCAUGGAAAUUCGAUUUGCAUUUAUCACCUUUAAUUUGCUCAUCUUUGCCUAGAGUAUUGUUUUUGCGUAAACUUAACAAGCUUGUAAGCCACCUACAAAUGGUUUUAAAUAUGUGCGAGAGUGUGAAUUCGAACGAAUUAAUCAAAUAUGAUGACAGAAGAAACAAAAGCAAAACAACCACAAGACGUAGAAAUAUAUUUUUGUUAUAUUUAGAGCAUCUUCUACGGUCUUCUUUUCCUUUAGCUCUGUUUCUGUGUGUGUUCAAACGCAAUGCCUCAAGGCUCAAGAUGUUAGGAAAUUAGUGGGUGAAGCAGGACCGCAGCUAAAGUAAAAUUGGAAGAAAAAUAAAGAACAAGCACAAUAGAGGACACUAGAAAUUACUUGGUUCGGCGUUUAGCCUACGUCCACGGGUGAAAACAAAAGGAAAAUAUUAUACUAGUGAAAAAGAGUUACAAGUACUGUAGUAUUUUAGCUCACUACCUAAAACCCCAAUACACCCAAACUCUCAAAUUACUAGACUCUUAAAAUCACUCUCUAAAUAAAGAAAAGAACUGAAGAACUCGAUGAUUUACAAAUGAAGGGAGCCAGCAUUUUUAUAGCCAAAAUUGGUUACUGUUUAUUUAAUAUUUUAUUAUUAUUAUUAUUAUAUUAAUUUUUCUUUUCUUUUCCUUCUUCGGCCUGACAUCUCUUUUUCUUCCCUCUUUCUUCUUUUUCCUUUUUUUCUUUGGUUUCUUUCUUUGGGCGGCACCUCUUUUUUUUUUUUCUUCUUCAAACUGCUUCUUUUUCCAUUUUCCUUUUCAAGCAUUUUGGCUGGCCCAUUUUCAACAUUUCUAGAAGAGUGGUGCCCCAUAUUCAACAUUUCUCUCACUUAGAGAUUUGAUUGAGAAUCAAUCAAUCUCCACACCAUCCUUUCUGUUUCGCCAUAGUCAUGUUACCUACGUUUCUGCUAGGCCACAAGACGAUCUACUCCAGACAAACUUGUCAGUAUUGAUUGGCUUGAUCAUAACAUCUGCUAGGUUCUCUUUCGUAUGGAUUUUCUAUAAAUCUACACUUCUGUCUUCCACUACUUCUCGAACGAAGUGAUACUUAACUCCUAUGUGCUUUGUCCUGGAAUGAAAGGCUGGAUUCCUUGCAAUGUGCAAGGCACUCUGACUGUCACAAAACACAUGAAUUUUCUGUUGUUUCUGCCUGACCUCCUCCAAUAAUCUUUGUAUCCAAAUAGCUUCCUUGCAAGCUUGUAUAGCUGCCAUGUACUCUGCUUCUAUUGUAGAUAAAGCCACAACGGUCUGCAGUUUUGAAACCCAGCUUACAGCUGCUCCUGCAAGUGCAAACACAUAAUCAGUAGUGGAUUUCCUUUUAUCAAGGUCUCUUACAAAAUCUGAAUCCACAUAGCCCCUGACAGUAAACUCUGAUCUUCCAUAACAUAAUGUAACAUCUGAGGUUCCUCUGAUGUAUCUCAAAAUCCUCUUCGCAGUUAUCCAAUGCUUUCCACCAGGAUUCGUCAUGUAUCGACUAAUUGCUCCCACUGCUUGUGCAAUGUCUGGUCUUGUACAUAUCAUAGCGAACAUCAAACUUCCCACUGCUGAUGCAUACGGUACUCAAGACAUCUCCUUCCUCUCUGCUUCAUUGCUAGGACACAUACUUGAGGAUAAUUUGAAAUUAACAGGAAGUGGGGUAGAAAUUGACUUACAAUCUUGCAUGUUGAAGCGCCGCAAGAUUUUCUUCAAGUAAUUCUUCUGUGAAAUUCAAAUCUUCAUGUUAUUUCUGUCUCGGUGAAUUUGCAUCCCUAGAAUCUUGUUUGUUGGUCCCAAGUCCUUCAUUUCAAACUCCUUAGCCAAUUAUGCCUUCAAUUCUUAGAUUCGAUCUUUAUUGGGGCCUGCUACCAACAUGUCAUCCACAUACAAUAGCAAAAUAAUGAAAUCAUUAUCUUCAAACCUUUUGUAAUAUGCACAAUGGUCUGAACUGAGUUUGUUGUAUCCAAGGCUCAUGAUGAAGGAAUCAAAUCUCUUAUACCAACACCUCGGCGCCUGUUUGAGACCGUAUAGAGAUUUGUUCAACCUGCAAACCAAGUUCUCGUUUCCUGUUUCUGCAAAACCUUCUGGUUGUAGCAUAUAUAUUUCUUCUUCAAGUUCUCUAUGAAGAAAUGCAGUUUUCACAUCUAACUGCUCUAGAUGUAAGUCAAAUGUAGCACACAUCGCCAAGACUACUCUGACUGUCGUGAGUCGAACCACCGGCGAAAAUAUCUCGUUAAAGUCAAUACCUUCUUUCUGAGCAUAUCCUUUCACCACCAAUCUCACACGAUACCACUCCGCUUGGUCAUUGCCAUCACGUUUGAUCUUGUAGACCCAUUUGUUUCCAAUGGCUUUUCUUCCAUGUGGUAGUGGUACAAGUUCUCAUGUUUUAUUCUUGUGUAGAGCUUCAAUUUCUUCCUGCAUUACUAUCAUCCACAAAGUAACAUCUGAGCUUUCUAAAGUUUCAUGAAAAGUUGAAGGCUCUCCAUCCUCUGUUAGAAGACAGUACGCAACAUUAAUCUCUGUGACAUACUCUGAGUGCCACGCCGGUAGUCGUCUCUCACGAGUUAACCUACGAACUUCUAGAGCCUCGGACUCGACCGGUUCUUGUUAUUCGUGCUCUGGUGCUGUUUCAGAAGAAUCUGAAUCUUCUGGAUUAUUUUCCACAUAUACUGGCACAAUCUCUGACUUUUCUUUUGCAGUGCCAUCAUCCUUAUCUCUCCUUUGCAAUUGAUCUUCUAUAAAGAUAACAUCUCUGCUGAUGAUGAUCUUGUGGGUAGUGGGGUCCUACAGAUGAUACCCCUUUACUCCAUCAGCAUACCUCAAGAAGAUACAUCUUCUAGAUUUUGCAUCCAACUUUGUUCUUUCUUGGGCAUUGUACAUCACGUACACAUGACAUCCAAAUGCAUGUAGGUAGGAAUAAUCAGCUGACUUUCCAGUCCACAUCUCCAUCGCUGUCUUCAGCCCAAUUGUUGUAGAUGGCGACAGAUUUACUAUAUAACAAGCAGUUUUGGUUGCUUCUGCCCAGAAUGAAUUGGGUAGACCAGCAGUCCUCAACAUAGCUCUUAUUCUAUCUGUAAGAGUUCUGUUCAUCCGCCCUGCCACUCCAUUUUGUUGAGGAGUGUAUGCCACUGUGAACUACCUCUGAAUACCUUCUUGCUUACAGAAAGUAAGAAACUCGCCGUCUGUAUACUCUCCACCAUUAUCUGUCUUGAAGCACUUGAUCUUUUUACCAAAUUCAAGUUCCACCCGCGCUUUAUAUUCUUUAAAUACUAGAAAUACAUCUGACUUUUUCUUAAUUGGAUACACCCAACAUCUUCUGGAAUAAUCAUCAAUGAAAGUCACCAUCCCCUGGAUAUAUCCGGUGAUUCCCAAACAUCAGAAUGAAUCAAGUCUAAAAUGCAUUUACUUCUAACAACGGAUCUACUGAAUUUUAAUCUAUGUUGCUAACUGUUGUGCAAAUUUUAAUGUACUCGCAAGCGCACGAAUCUAUUGUAGUAUAGACUAAUGGUGACGAGUGUCGAUCCCACGAGGAGGUGGAUUUCAAUUGUAUAUAGAAUUAAUUUUGUAAAUGGGUGGUUGGAUUUGUGGUGGAAAUGAUUUGGAAUAUGCUAAAACUUAAAUUAAAAUGGCGAGAAUAAAUUCUGAAAUUGAAAUUGAAAUGACGAGAAUAAAUUGAAGCGAAGAUCUAUUGAAAUGACGUACUUGGGUAUCUGGAUCCGUAUCAACAUGCAUCAUGGGCUAAAUAAUCCGUAUUAAUGCCAAUUAAAUCAUGAGGGGGGAAUCCACACCUCAUGAACCACGCUCUAAUCAAUAUGGUGCUAAGGGCUUAUCGUGCCAAAUAAUAAUAACCUUUGUACUAGAGGGCCGGUGAAACCAAGGCGGUACUAGACAAGAUUAGUAUUAUUUGUCGACGAGAAGUCAAAACAUCCACAAAAAUUAGAGGGGAAGAGAAAGUAAAUUUACCAAAUAAAGCCCAUGACACAUGUUGAGACUUCACCUUCAACCCAAGCUUGAAAGAAAAUUAGCCACUCAUAAUUGAACUAGGGGCAAAAUGAAAAUUUAUUAAAAUACGAAGAAAAUACAAGAUGGAGAGAGAAUUACAGAAAAUGGAUCCCAAAAAUGGAUUCAGAGAUAUCAAAUUAGGGGGGGAAGGCCCCCUUUUUAUAGAUACAUGGAGUAAAUCAUGGCCAUCGGAUUAAAAACAGUUUGGACGCUCAGGAUUGCGCCACGUCAUCAGUCAACAGUCCACGGUUUGACCACGCGGAUGAACAGUAACACGGUUUUGACCCGGAUGAACAGUAACGCGGUUUGGUUGAAAAUAAUCCUGUGUAAUGCAUGCACCGUACGCGAGAUUUUUCGUCCACUGAUAUGCUGCCACGUCACCAUCAACAGUACAUAAGAAUUUUAGUCCAACAGGAUCGUGACACCUCAUCAGUCAAUGCCACAUCAUCGGUCAAUGCCACGUCAUCGAUCCGUCUAUGUGAACAGUGUCGUGAAAAGUAACAUAUACAGUACCGUAUACGUGAAUAGUACCGUACAUGUGAAUAGUGCCAUUUUUCCUUUUAUGCUCCUCCUAAGGUUUUCGACCGUCCUGAGUUCAAAAGUGAUGUCCGUUUUACCGUCUGAUCUCUCCUUUAUUGUGAAAUGACUAUAAUGCCCCUAAAAUACAUAAAAUACUUAAUUAAAAUAAAACACAUGUAAUUAAAUCACAAGAAGGUUAAAUACAUAAAAGUAAGGGUUGUUAGUAAGACUUGAAAUGUAAAAUGACAGAUUUCUCCUUUAUAAAUAUGCAUUUUCUAACACUCAACACACCCCCCAACCAGCUUAUUGCUAGUCCCUAGCAAAUAAAGCGAAAAUAAAAUUCAAAUCCAAAAUGAUUUUUUUUUUUUUAAUAAAAACACUCAUAUUUAUUCAAUCAGAUUAAUGAUAGCACUCAAAUAAAAGUAUAAGCAUUAUCUCCAGUCUAAAGCAACAUCACACCCACAUCAACCAUUCACAUGAAUCAGCCUAGUAGACUUUGUUAUAGCUACUUUCAAGAAUGACAUGUCAAACCCCAAAAUCUCACUGGAAGUAGUGACACUCUCACAAAGAAAUUAAAACCCAAUAAAAAUAGUCACUCCAAUGAAUGGUAAUUGAGAGAGAAAAUAAUAAAGAAGUGAUAUCACAUGCUCUCACCAAGAUGAAAUAAAUAUGCCCUCAGCUUAGAAAUAAUACGAUCUCAAGUCAAAUAAAAUGUUAGUCAACCCACUUUAUUUAUCUUUUUUUUUUUCUUUUUUUUUUUAUUAUGCAUCAUUACAUCUUUUUAGCCCAUUUAACUAGCUUCUACUUCAAACUAUAGUUCCCUAAAAUCAAGAAGGACUUUUAUUAGGACGUAACGUAGGCUAGGAAUAUGGCUAACAAAGAAAGGAAAUAAGGAAAAUAAAGUGUAUGUUUGAGAAAAAUGCAGAAUUAUUUUUUUUUUUUGGAAGUUGCAAGGUGGAUUUCACCUAUUAUUGUUAUUUUUAUUCUUUUGAAACAACAACUUUUGUUUUUGUUUUUUUUUUCUUUUUGCUUUUAUUUGGCAUAACUUCACUGAACAACAUAAUUAUUUACAUUUUCUCAAACAUAAAUAGGUGAUGGAACUUAAAAGACAUUGGGUAAUACUCCAAAUCGGAGUGGGUCAAGAUGAUAAGUUGACAAAGAAAAGGUUUUUGUUCUUUUUUUUUUUUUUUUUUUUUAAAGGCUCAAAAGGGGUAACUAUGGAUAUUUAAUAAAAGGGAUGGCUAGAAAGGCUCAAACGGAUCAAAGAUGGCCUUUCCAUCGUCUUUUAGGGCUCUAAAUAAUCAUCCAUAUCUACUAGUUAGAUGGGCCUCCCAAUGUAGCAACACAUAAUUUUUUUUUUAUUUUACAAUUUUUUUUUUUAAGGGUUAACUCAAAAGAAAUCUAGAGAUCGUAUAUACAAUAAUAAACUGCUAAGCUGUAUAAAGAAUGGGCAAAAGGGUUACUCUCCAAGAAAAAUGAUAGGCUCAAAAGCUCACUUGGUACUUAUUAUGACAUGUUCAUUCCUUCAAGCAACUCAUAUUUGUCUCCGACAUCAACAUGUAAAGUAGCAAACAUAGUGUAACAUCACUUCAGACUAAAGAUAAUACAAAUACUAAAAUUUGAAAUUCAUCAUGUCAUCCAAUGUUAACACAAAUCACAAUUUUUUUUUUUAAAUUUGAAACAACAUUCUACCCCCCAACCUAUUCUAAACAUGAAAGGAAAAUAUGCAUGCAAAAAUGUGAAAAUGAUGUAGAAAAAUUAAUUAGAAAAAAAAAUUUUUUUUUUUUUUAACUAAGAAGAUGCGUUUCUAGAGGCACGACACUCCAUAUUCAGCCAUCUUCGACUCAAAAAUUGGAAAAUAUAUAUUUAUAAAGGAGAAAGAGGAAGAAAACAAUUUUUUUUUAAACGAUGAAGAUGCGUUUCUAGAGUAACUACACUCCAUAUUCAGCCAUCUUCAACACAAAACGUUAGCAACAGUUAGUUUCUACAACAAAAAAUCAGUAAAAACUUAACCAAGAUUCCACAAUUGUCGACUAUUCCCUCCCCCCAACCAGAACGAAACAUUGUCCUCAAUGUUUGAAAGGAACGAAGUAGAGUUUAGAAGACAUCACCUGGGUGGUGCAACACAGAAGAAAAUAUUUACAGGCGGAGAGUUAAAUCUAAUUUGUACUUCUUACUGCGGCUACUGUUACCAUCAUUAUUUGGUCGCUCCAACACAAAGGUCCAGGGGUCUGGCUCCGGUUUAUAAGCUUGUAACAUAUCAAGUAGCUCAUUAGCAGUGUGAGCACAAAUAAAGAGUUUUUUCACAUUAGAAGGAAUGAAAUAGUUUUUUAUUGCAUGGUUAAGAAAUGCGAUAAAGCCAUCAUAAAAGUUAUUGACAUUUAACAAACCGAUGGGUUUCUGGUGAAUGUACAGAUGGGCCCAAGAUGAUAGUGUGAUAAGUGCCUCUAGUGUUGCAAGAUCUCCUGGAAGGAAAAUAAAAGCAUCAGCGUGAUUAAGCAUUUCGGUUAUUCUUUCUUGCAUACCUGAGACGACUAACUCUUCUCCAGUUGAUGAGUUAGACGAACUGCCCAAUGGUUUUAGGACUCUUGGGAUGAUGCCUAAUGUUGAGUGUUAGAAAAUGCAUAUUUAUAAAGGAGAAAACCGUCAUUUUACAUUUCAAGUCUUACUAACAACCCUUACUUUUAUGUAUUUAACCUUCUUGUGAUGUAAUUACGUGUGUGUUAUUUUAAUUAAGUAUUUUAUGUAUUUUAGGGGCAUUAUAGUCAUUUCACAAUAAAGGAGAGAUCAGACGGCAAAACGGACAUCACUUUUGAACUCAGGACGGUCGAAAACCUUAGGAGGAGCAUAAAAGGAAAAAUGGCACUAUUCACAUGUACGGUACUAUUCACGUAUACGGUACUGUAUAUGUUACUGUUCACGGCACUGUUCACAUAGACGGAUCGAUGACGUGGCAUUGACCGAUGAUGUGGCAUUGACUGAUGAGGUGUCACGAUCCUGUUGGACUAAAAUUCUUAUGUACUGUUGAUGGUGACGUGGCAGCAUAUCAGUGGACGAAAAAUCUCGCGUACGGUGCAUGCAUCACACAGGAUUAUUUUCAAUCAAACCGUGUUACUGUUCAUCCGCGUGGUCAAACCGUGGACUGUUGACUGAUGACGUGGCGCAAUCCUGAGCGUCCAAACUGUUUUUAAUCCGAUGGCCAUGAUUUACUCCAUGUAUCUAUAAAAAGGGGGCCUCCCCCCCCUAAUUUGAUAUCUCUGAAUCCAUUUUUGGGAUCCAUUUUCUGUAAUUCCCUCUCCAUCUUGUAUUUUCUUUGUAUUUUAAUAAAUUCCCAUUUUGCCCCUAGUUCAAUUAUGAGUAGCUAAUUUCCUUUCAAGCUUGGGUUGAAGGUGAAGUCUCAACAUGUGUCAUGGGCUUUAUUUGGUAAAUUUAUUUUCUUUUCCCCUCUAGUUUUUGUGGAUGAUUUGACUUAUCGUCGACAAAUAAUACUGAUCUUGUCUAGAUACCGCCUUGGUUACACCGGCUCUCUAGUAUAAGGUUAUUAUUAUUUGGCACGAUAAGCCCUUAACACCAUAUUGAUUAGAGCGUGGUUCAUGAGGUGUGGAUUCCCCCCUCAUGAUUUAAUUGGCAUUAAUACGGAUUAUUUAGCCCAUGAUGCAUGUUGAUACGGAUCCAGAUACCCAAGUACGUCAUUUCAAUAGAAUUCUCUUCAAUUUAUUCUCGCCAUUUCAAUUCCAAUUUCAGAAUUUAUUCUCACCAUUUUAAUUUAAGUUUUAGCAUAUUCCAAAUCAUUUCCACCACAGAUCCAAUCAACCAUUUGCAAAAUUAAUUCUAUACACAAUUAAAAUCCACCUCCUCGUGGGAUCGACACUCGUCACCAUUGAUCUAUACUACAAUAGAUUCGUGCACUUGCGAGUACAUUAAAAUUUGCACAACAAGUUUUUGGCGCCGUUGCCGGGGAGGUAAGUAAUUUUAAUUCAUAGAAUUAAUUUUUGUGAAUAAUUCCAUUUAAUUGUUUUCUUGUAUUUUUUAUUAUUUAAAAAAAAAAGAAAAAAAAAGUAAAUCUAUAUUUAAAGGUUAGUAUUUCUUUUCUUUUUCUCUUCUUUAAAAUUCUGUAAUUUAAUUUUCAAUUUAUUUUUUCUUUGUAAGUUUUGUUUAUUUUAUUAAUUUAAUUUUUAGUUAAUUUAUUUCACGUAUUUAUUUUUGUGUAUUUUUAUAGAAAGGUUGUAACAGCGUAAUAAGGUUAGUAUCGUAAUUUCUCCCUCUUCUUUAUUUUUAUUUGUUUUGUUCUCAUCUUUAUUUUUUAUUUGUUUUGUUCCCAUCUUUAUUUUUUUUGUUUUGUUUGCAUCUUUAUUUUUAUUUUAUUUAUUUUGCAUGCAUGGUCGUAGGUCAUUAUUACCUAAUCUUGAACCUAUAGACCUUGAACUAGAAAAAACACUUCGCACACAAAAACACAUUAAAAAUAAAUUUGGAAUGGAUUUACAAGCACCACAGGAGAGGCCAUUUAAGGACUAUUUUAGUCCCUUAGCUAAUUUGAGCACAUCAUGCAUAAGAUACCCAAAUGUAGCUGCUAGGAGUUUUGAAUUAAAACCUAGUGUGCUAAAUUGUCUCCCCACAUUCUAUGGCCUAGAAAAUGAGGACCCAUAUAAUCAUCUGAAUGAUUUUCAUGCCAUUUGUCAAACUUUUAAAUAUGAAAAUUUUUCAGACGAUGAUGUUAAACUUAGAUUAUUCCCAUUUUCUUUAAAGGAUAGAGCUCGUUCAUGGUUAAAUACUUUGCCUGCUAAUAGCAUUGCAUCAUGGGAACAAAUGGUUACAAAAUUUCUAAAUAAAUAUUUCCCAGUGCAUAAAACCAAUUCUAUUCGCAGGGAAAUUUCAGAGUUUAAACAAAGAGAGGACGAGCAGUUUUUCGAAACUUGGGAGCGAUUCAAUGGGCUACUCUUGAAGUGUCCACAUCAUGGGUACGAGAAAUGGCACCAAUGCCAAUACUUUUUGGAAGGGUUAUUGCCAAAUGUGCAAGAAUGGCUAAUGGCAACAAGUGGAGGAGAGCUAAUGUCAAAAAGCGCAACAGAGAUUUGGGAAUUCUUCCAGCGACAAGCGGAUAAUUCCCAACAACGGAGUCGAUCACUCAGGAAUACUAGAAGAAUUAAAGGAGUGAAUGAGGUUCAAAUUGGCGAGUCAACUUCGGGAAUCAAAGAAGUCAAGGAGAUGGUUGAAGGUCUUGCUCGACAAAUAGCAUCGUUGUCGACUGCUAAAUCAACAGAGCCACAUGACCAUGACUCAUACUCAGAUCAAGCCAAUGCCAUAGGUGUAAUGAGAAAGCCAUCUAAUUACAACCCAUACUCCAACACAUAUAACCCUGGAUGGAGAGACCACCCCAAUUUUUCAUGGUCUCAAGGAUUUCAACAGAAUGGACCAGCAGCUCCAGCUCCACCAAUGCAACAAAUUUCUCAAAAUCCUCAAGCCUCUCAGCCACCAUUCAGACCAUACAAUCAGAACCAGAACUACUCUCAACCCAGACCAUGGGAGGAUGCAUUCCAGAAUUUCAAGAAUGUUACUCACUCCACGAUUGAGCAACAGAACCGCACCAUUGAUGGAUUACGAAAUGAGUUGAGAGCAGGCUUCAACUCACAAGCCCAAUCAGUUUCAAGCCUUGAGAAGAUGGUGGGACAACUUGCUUCUUCAGUUCAGACCUUGGCAAUGACUGUUGAGAAAGGCAAGUUUCCAAGUCAACCAGUGCCUAAUCCUAAAGGAGUACAUGAAGCAAGUACCAGUUCACCACAGCAGCAUGGAGAGGUCAAAGCAGUCAUGACCUUGCGAAAAGGAAAGGAAGUCGACAACAAAGUGGAGAUGCCGGUGACAAAAGAAAAUCAAAUUGUACCUGUGAAUGUUGAGGACUCACCACCGGAGGAAAAAGAAGAAACCAACCCACGAGAAUAUGUUCCUAAAGCUCCAUUUCCUCAGAGGUUAGCGAAAGGAAAGAAGGGAAAAUCCACAGGUGAGAUUCUCGAAAUCUUCAAACAUGUAAGUGUUAACAUCCCUUUACUUGAUGCUAUUAAACAAGUUCCAUCUUAUGCCAAGUUUCUUAAAGACCUUUGUACUAAAAAGAGAAAUAUGCAUGUUCAAAAGAAGGCCUUUUUAACAGAAAACGUUAGUUCUAUACUCCAAUAUAAAAUUCCUCUAAAAUGCAAAGACCCAGGCUCCCCCACUAUCUCAUGUAGUAUAGGGAACCACACAAUUGAGAAUGCUUUGUUGGAUUUAGGAGCUAGUGUAAAUCUGUUGCCUUAUUCAGUAUUCGUGAAACUUGGACUGGGAGAAUUACACCCAACUCCAGUGGUGUUACAGCUUGCAGAUCGGUCCACAAAAAUACCUCGUGGUAUUGUGGAGGACGUGCUUAUCCAGGUAGACAAGUUUUAUUUUCCUGUUGAUUUCAUUGUAAUUGACACUCAACCAAUACAGGAUUCAAGGAAGCACAUCCCCAUUAUCCUAGGCCGACCUUUCUUGGCAACUGCGGAUGCUCACAUUCAAUGCAGGACUGGAAAUAUGCAGUUGUCCUUCGGCAACAUGACUAUGGAGCUAAAUAUUUUCAACAUUGCCAAACAACCUCACAGUGCAGAUGAUGGAAUUGUUGAUGUGGAUUUAAUAGAAACAAUAGUCGAUAAUACUUUUAUUUCAAAUCUUAGUGAUGACCCUUUACAGACAUGCUUAACUCACUUUGGUUUGGAUUUUGAUAUUGACAGAUCAGUUGAUGAGGUCAACGCUCUACUUGACUCAGCACCAUCCAUGGACACUAAUAAAUGGAAGUCAAGAGUUGAACAACUAGCACCAUCAGAGAAGAAACUCAUCCCAUCAUCAGAAUCACCACCGAAACUCGAGCUCAAACCAUUGCCCAACACAUUGGAAUAUGCAUUUUUGGGAGAAGAAAGUACUCUACCGGUAAUCAUCUCAUCAUCCUUAAAUGACGAACAAAAAGGUAAGUUGUUGGAUGUUUUAAAAGAGCACAAAGGAGCAUUAGGAUGGACCAUAGCAGACAUUAAAGGUAUAAACCCAGUAGACUGCAUGCAUUACAUUCACCUUGAUGAAAAUGCUAAAACUACUAGGGAGAUGCAACGUCGGUUAAAUCCUAAUAUGAAAGAAGUUGUUAGAACAGAAGUCCUUAAGCUAUUAGACGCAGGUAUCAUUUACCCAAUUUCUGAUAGUUCAUGAGUCAGUCCUGUACAAGUUGUCCCCAAAAAGUCAGGAGUCACAGUAGUUACCAAUGCUGAUAAUGAAUUGAUACCAACUAGAGUAACUACAGGAUGGCGUGUAUGCAUUGAUUAUAGAAAGUUGAAUUCUGUCACACGUAAAGACCAUUUUCCUUUACCAUUUAUUGAUCAAAUGCUCGAUAGAUUAGCAGGCCAUGAAUUUUAUUGCUUUCUAGAUGGCUACUCAGGAUAUAAUCAGAUUCCCAUAGCACCAAAAGAUCAAGAGAAAACUACUUUCACUUGCCCUUUUGGCACUUUUGCAUAUAGGAGAAUGCCAUUUGGAUUAUGUAAUGCACCUGCUACAUUCCAACGAUGCAUGUUGAGCAUUUUUUCUGAUAUGGUUGAACGAUUCCUUGAAGUCUUUAUGGAUGAUUUUUCUGUCUUUGGUGACUCGUUUGAUCAAUGUUUACAUCAUCUAAUGCUAGUUCUGCAGAGAUGUAUCGAGAAGAACUUAAUCUUAAAUUGGGAGAAGUGCCAUUUUAUGGUAAAACAAGGUAUUGUUCUCGGUCACAUCAUUUCGAGCAAAGGUAUUGAGGUUGACAAAGCCAAGGUGGAUCUCAUUUCUAAUCUUCCUCCACCUAAAACAGUCAGAGAAGUAAGAUCUUUCCUUGGACAUGCUGGUUUUUUAUAGACGUUUCAUUAAAGAUUUUAGCAAAGUUUCUAGACCCUUAUGCAAUUUACUUGCUAAGGAUGUACCUUUUAUCUUUAAUGAUUCAUGUCUUAUGGCUUUUGAAAAAUUAAAGCAAUUGUUGACAUCAUCACCCAUCAUUCAGGCCCCAAACUGGAGCUUACCAUUUGAGCUUAUGUGUGAUGCAUCUGAUUAUGCAGUAGGAGCAGUUUUAGGACAAAGAGUUGAUCGAAUUCCUCAUGUUAUUUACUAUGCUAGUAUGACAUUGAAUGAUGCACAGUUGAACUAUUCAACUACUGAAAAAGAAAUGCUAGCAGUAGUGUUUGCAUUGGAAAAAUUUCGAUCUUAUCUCAUUGGUUGUAAAAUAAUUGUGUUCACAGAUCAUGCUGCUCUUAAAUAUCUUCUCACAAAGAAAGAUGCAAAAGCUAGACUAAUUCGUUGGGUGUUACUUUUGCAGGAAUUUGACUUGGAAUUCAAAGAUAAGAAAGGGACAGAAAAUGUUGUGGCGGACCAUCUCUCUCGUCUCCACUUUGACACAAUUACAGAACCAUUACCAUUGAAUGAGUCAUUUCCAGAUGAACAAUUAAUGAAUGUGGAAGUAUUACCUUGGUAUGCUGAUAUAGUUAAUUAUCUUGUUACAGGUAAACUUCCAGAGCAUUGGACCAAGCAAGACAAGGCUAAAUUCUUUGCGGAAAUAAAGAAUUUCUUUUGGGAUGACCCGUAUUUGUUCAAGUAUUGUGCAGAUCAAAUUGUUAGGCGAUGUGUCCCAGAAAGUGAAAUUCAGAAUAUCCUGUCAUUCUGCCAUGCACAAGCUUGUGGAGGCCACUUCAGUGCUAAGAAAACAGCGACUAAAGUUUUACAAUGUGGUUUCUAUUGGCCAACUAUAUUUCGAGAUGCUUACACUUUCUGUUCUUCAUGUGAUAGGUGUCAACGAAUGGGGAGUAUUACACGAAGGAACAUGAUGCCACUAAAUCCAAUUUUAGUGGUUGAGAUUUUUGACGUAUGGGGUAUCGACUUCAUGGGACCCUUUCCCCCUUCUUUUGGCCAUCAAUACAUAUUGGUUGGUGUUGACUACGUCUCGAAAUGGGUAGAAGCAAUUCCAUGUAGGACCAAUGAUCACAAAGUGGUGAUAGGAUUUUUGAAAAGCAACAUUGUUUCACGCUUUGGAUUCCCUCGAGCGAUAAUCAGUGAUGGUGGUGCCCACUUUUGUAACAAAACAUUCAAAGUUCUUUUGACAAAGUAUUCAAUCACACACAAAGUGGCGACCCCGUAUCAUCCGCAAACCAGUGGCCAAGUUGAGAUCUCCAAUCGAGAAAUCAAGCACAUAUUAGAAAAAAACGGUGAGGCCAGACAGAAAAGAUUGGUCAUUAAGACUUGAUGAUGCAUUAUGGGCAUAUAGAACGGCUUUCAAGACCCGAUUGGGAUGUCACCUACAGGCUAGUGUAUGGAAAAGCUUGCCACCUACCUGUGGAACCGAGCAUCGUGCAUAUUGGGCCAUCAAGAAAUUCAAUUUUGACAUGCAGCAAGCCAGCUCAGAAAGAAGAUUACAACUGGCAGAACUUGAAGAAAAUUCGCAAUGAUGCAUACGAAAAUGCCAAGAUUUACAAGCAACGAAUGAAAGUCUUUCAUGACAAGCACAUUAUGAGAAAAUCGUUCACUCCAGGUCAGAAAGUGCUUUUUAUUCAAAUUCUCGUUUGCACCUAUUCCAGGUAAGUUACGCUCCUCGAUGGUCUGUCCCUUUAUUGUUCAUACUAUUUUUCCACAUGGGGCAAUUGAAAUUAAAGACCCAAAGAACGGUGUCACGUUUAAAGUUAAUGGUCAAAGAUUAAAGCCAUAUCUAGAGUACCAACCACAUGGAGAAGACACCGAAAUAAAUUUGAGUGACCCACCAGAUUUGAAUUGAUUUUUUUCUUUUUGUUGAUUUGAUUUUUCUUUCUUUCUUUUUAUUAUUCUUUUGCUAAUUGAAAUUAUUUUUGCAUAAGUGUGUUUGUUUUACCAUUAAGUUUUCUUUUUUCUUAUCAUUGUUAAUCAUGAGUACCAUACUUAGACCGUUCCUCCUGAACAUUCUUAAACCACUUCAACGUGUCAAAACUCAUCUCAAAAAGCAGAUUCAAUUUUGUAAAACACAACGCAUUUGGGCUCUACAACCACCAGAGUUAGUAGCCUAUGUUGAGGGUUUAGAACGCCAACUCAGAGACAUUGAAGAAGUGUUUACGACAUCCAGUUGGAGCUUGAGGUAAAUUCAAUAAGAGGACGAUUUUAAUUUUCUUUGUGUGUUUUUAAUUUGUUUUUUCUGUUGUGUGCUUUAGUUUGUUACCCCGGUGAAAUGGCGGAUAACGGUACUCCGUGACAAUCAAGUCGGUUACUUCAGUUUCCCACAAUAACUGACAUUCUGAGGUGAAAGUAUGGACAGAAACGAGAUUCUAGCGAAGCUUCACAAGCGAUUCCCUUCACUUCCUCAGAAUGCCCUCCUUACAAUCUAUAAAGCCCGGUCUGAACGCAUGCGAUUGCUCAUGAAGAAUAACAUACCUGCUGACAUCCGUUGGUUAAUCGAGGCUAAAGUACGAUCGGCAGGUGAGUUACCUCCAAAAUUUAUUGCAUUCAUGCUUGGUUGUGGUAAAGGAAAUUAUGCAAAAGAAAACGACGAGCUCGAAGAAUUUCUGUUGCUUGUCAUAAGUGUGCCAGAAUGAGUUGCGAUAGAAACCCAUGUUCUUUAGGAAUGGUGUCUGAUAACAGGGAAGAUAAGAUUCAAUUCAUUAGGGAUGGCUUGAAUAAGGAGUCAUUGGAUGAUAUCCUUUUGUCUCUUGAAACGCAUCCCAGUGGAUAUGUGCAAGGAGCGAUUCUCCAGUUAUGGCCAUUAUUCCAGAAAGAGCAUACACGAUAUAGUCUCGGGAAUCUGACUAUAAACGACCCUGUUUGCCAGUUUAUAAGAAAACUGGAUGGGAAGCCCAUCCUCGACCCAUAGAGGCGUUUCAAGCCGUUUCUGGACGUAAAACCAGAGGAAGAUGUGAGCCACAGUCGCAACUACGUGUAAAUAUCCUUUUACUUUACUGUUAUUUAUUUCAUUUCACUAUUGUUUAUCGUUUGCAUUAUUGCCUUUAAUAAUUUUAUUACUGUUUGCUUUUUCCUUUUUACUGUUCCUUUUUGACUCGCGAGCCACGUGCUUUACGCGUUAUUUGACACUGACAUUCAAAAGAAGGCCUUUUUAACAGAAAACGUUAGUUCUAUACUCCAAUAUAAAAUUCCUCUAAAAUGCAAAGACCCAGGCUCCCCCACUAUCUCAUGUAGUAUAGGGAACCACACAAUUGAGAAUGCUUUGUUGGAUUUAGGAGCUAGUGUAAAUCUGUUGCUUUAUUCAGUAUUCGUGAAACUUGGACUGGGAGAAUUACACCCAACUCCAGUGGUGUUACAGCUUGCAGAUCGGUCCACAAAAAUACCUCGUGGUAUUGUGGAGGACGUGCUUAUCCAGGUAGACAAGUUUUAUUUUCCUGUUGAUUUCAUUGUAAUUGACACUCAACCAAUACAGGAUUCAAGGAAGCACAUCCCCAUUAUCCUAGGCCGACCUUUCUUGGCAACUGCGGAUGCUCACAUUCAAUGCAGGACUGGAAAUAUGCAGUUGUCCUUCGGCAACAUGACUAUGGAGCUAAAUAUUUUCAACAUUGCCAAACAACCUCACAGUGCAGAUGAUGGAAUUGUUUGAUGUGGAUUUAAUAGAAACAAUAGUCGAUAAUACUUUUAUUUCAAAUCUUUAGUGAUGACCUUUACAGACAUGCUUAACUCACUUUGGUUUGGAUUUUUGAUAUUGACAGAUCAGUUGAUGAGGUCAACGCUCUACUUGACUCAGCACCAUCCAUGGACACUAAUAAAUGGAAGUCAAGAGUUGAACAACUAGCACCAUCAGAGAAGAAACUCAUCCCAUCAUCAGAAUCACCACCGAAACUCGAGCUCAAACCAUUGCCCAACACAUUGGAAUAUGCAUUUUUGGGAGAAGAAAGUACUCUACCGGUAAUCAUCUCAUCAUCCUUAAAUGACGAACAAAAAGGUAAGUUGUUGGAUGUUUUAAAAGAGCACAAAGGAGCAUUAGGAUGGACCAUAGCAGACAUUAAAGGUAUAAACCCAGUAGACUGCAUGCAUUACAUUCACCUUGAUGAAAAUGCUAAAACUACUAGGGAGAUGCAACGUCGGGUUAAAUCCUAAUAUGAAAGAAGUUGUUAGAACAGAAGUCCUUAAGCUAUUAGACGCAGGUAUCAUUUACCCAAUUUUGAUAGUUCAUGGAGUCAGUCCUGUACAAGUUGUCCCCAAAAGGUCAGGAGUCACAGUAGUUACCAAUGCUGAUAAUGAAUUGAUACCAACUAGAGUAACUACAGGAUGGCGUGUAUGCAUUGAUUAUAGAAAGUUGAAUUCUGUCACACGUAAAGACCAUUUUCCUUUACCAUUUAUUGAUCAAUGCUCGAUAGAUUAGCAGGCCAUGAAUUUUAUUGCUUUCUAGAUGGCUACUCAGGAUAUAAUCAGAUUCCCAUAGCACCAAAAGAUCAAGAGAAAAUACUUUCACUUGCCCUUUUGGCACUUUUGCAUAUAGGAGAAUGCCAUUUGGAUUAUGUAAUGCACCUGCUACAUUCCAACGAUGCAUGUUGAGCAUUUUUUCUGAUAUGGUUGAACGAUUCCUUGAAGUCUUUAUGGAUGAUUUUUCUGUCUUUGGUGACUCGUUUGAUCAAUGUUUACAUCAUCUAAUGCUAGUUCUGCAGAGAUGUAUCGAGAAGAACUUAAUCUUAAAUUGGGAGAAGUGCCAUUUUAUGGUAAAACAAGGUAUUGUUCUCGGUCACAUCAUUUCGAGCAAAGGUAUUGAGGUUGACAAAGCCAAGGUGGAUCUCAUUUCUAAUCUUCCUCCACCUAAAACAGUCAGAGAAGUAAGAUCUUUCCUUGGACAUGCUGGUUUUUAUAGACGUUUCAUUAAAGAUUUUAGCAAAGUUUCUAGACCCUUAUGCAAUUUACUUGCUAAGGAUGUACCUUUUAUCUUUAAUGAUUCAUGUCUUAUGGCUUUUGAAAAAUUAAAGCAAUUGUUGACAUCAUCACCCAUCAUUCAGGCCCAAACUGGAGCUUACCAUUUGAGCUUAUGUGUGAUGCAUCUGAUUAUGCAGUAGGAGCAGUUUAGGACAAAGAGUUGAUCGAAUUCCUCAUGUUAUUUACUAUGCUAGUAUGACAUUGAAUGAUGCACAGUUGAACUAUUCAACUACUGAAAAAGAAAUGCUAGCAGUAGUGUUUGCAUUGGAAAAAUUUCGAUCUUAUCUCAUUGGUUGUAAAAUAAUUGUGUUCACAGAUCAUGCUGCUCUUAAAUAUCUUCUCACAAAGAAAGAUGCAAAAGCUAGACUAAUUCGUUGGGUGUUACUUUUGCAGGAAUUUGACUUGGAAUUCAAAGAUAAGAAAGGGACAGAAAAUGUUGUGGCGGACCAUCUCUCUCGUCUCCACUUUGACACAAUUACAGAACCAUUACCAUUGAAUGAGUCAUUUCCAGAUGAACAAUUAAUGAAUGUGGAAGUAUUACCUUGGUAUGCUGAUAUAGUUAAUUAUCUUGUUACAGGUAAACUUCCAGAGCAUUGGACCAAGCAAGACAAGGCUAAAUUCUUUGCGGAAAUAAAGAAUUUCUUUUGGGAUGACCCGUAUUUGUUCAAGUAUUGUGCAGAUCAAAUUGUUAGGCGAUGUGUCCCAGAAAGUGAAAUUCAGAAUAUCCUGUCAUUCUGCCAUGCACAAGCUUGUGGAGGCCACUUCAGUGCUAAGAAAACAGCGACUAAAGUUUUACAAUGUGGUUUCUAUUGGCCAACUAUAUUUCGAGAUGCUUACACUUUCUGUUCUUCAUGUGAUAGGUGUCAACGAAUGGGGAGUAUUACACGAAGGAACAUGAUGCCACUAAAUCCAAUUUUAGUGGUUGAGAUUUUUGACGUAUGGGGUAUCGACUUCAUGGGACCCUUUCCCCCUUCUUUUGGCCAUCAAUACAUAUUGGUUGGUGUUGACUACGUCUCGAAAUGGGUAGAAGCAAUUCCAUGUAGGACCAAUGAUCACAAAGUGGUGAUAGGAUUUUUGAAAAGCAACAUUGUUUCACGCUUUGGAUUCCCUCGAGCGAUAAUCAGUGAUGGUGGUGCCCACUUUUGUAACAAAACAUUCAAAGUUCUUUUGACAAAGUAUUCAAUCACACACAAAGUGGCGACCCCGUAUCAUCCGCAAACCAGUGGCCAAGUUGAGAUCUCCAAUCGAGAAAUCAAGCACAUAUUAGAAAAAACGGUGAGGCCAGACAGAAAAGAUUGGUCAUUAAGACUUGAUGAUGCAUUAUGGGCAUAUAGAACGGCUUUCAAGACCCCGAUUGGGAUGUCACCCUACAGGCUAGUGUAUGGAAAAGCUUGCCACCUACCUGUGGAACUCGAGCAUCGUGCAUAUUGGGCCAUCAAGAAAUUCAAUUUUGACAUGCAGCAAGCCAGCUCAGAAAGAAGAUUACAACUGGCAGAACUUGAAGAAAUUCGCAAUGAUGCAUACGAAAAUGCCAAGAUUUACAAGCAACGAAUGAAAGUCUUUCAUGACAAGCACAUUAUGAGAAAAUCGUUCACUCCAGGUCAGAAAGUGCUUUUAUUCAAUUCUCGUUUGCACCUAUUCCCAGGUAAGUUACGCUCUCGAUGGUCUGGUCCCUUUAUUGUUCAUACUAUUUUUCCACAUGGGGCAAUUGAAAUUAAAGACCCAAAGAACGGUGUCACGUUUAAAGUUAAUGGUCAAAGAUUAAAGCCAUAUCUAGAGUACCAACCACAUGGAGAAGACACCGAAAUAAAUUUGAGUGACCCACCAGAUUUGAAUUGAUUUUUUUCUUUUUGUUGAUUUGAUUUUUCUUUCUUUCUUUUUAUUAUUCUUUUGCUAAUUGAAAUUAUUUUUGCAUAAGUGUGUUUGUUUUACCAUUAAGUUUUCUUUUUUCUUAUCAUUGUUAAUCAUGAGUACCAUACUUAGACCGUUCCUCCUGAACAUUCUUAAACCACUUCAACGUGUCAAAACUCAUCUCAAAAAGCAGAUUCAAUUUUGUAAAACACAACGCAUUUGGGCUCUACAACCACCAGAGUUAGUAGCCUAUGUUGAGGGUUUAGAACGCCAACUCAGAGACAUUGAGAGAAGUGUUUACGACAUCCAGUUGGAGCUUGAGGUAAAUUCAAUAAGAGGACGAUUUUAAUUUUCUUUGUGUGUUUUAAUUUGUUUUUCUGUUUGUGUGCUUUAGUUUGUUACCCCGGUGAAAUGGCGGAUAACGGUACUCCGUGACAAUCAAGUCGGUUACUUCAGUUUCCCACAAUAACUGACAUUCUGAGGUGAAAGUAUGGACAGAAACGAGAUUCUAGCGAAGCUUCACAAGCGAUUCCCUUCACUUCCUCAGAAUGCCCUCCUUACAAUCUAUAAAGCCCGGUCUGAACGCAUGCGAUUGCUCAUGAAGAAUAACAUACCUGCUGACAUCCGUUGGUUAAUCGAGGCUAAAGUACGAUCGGCAGGUGAGUUACCUCCAAAAUUUAUUGCAUUCAUGCUUGGUUGUGGUAAAGGAAAUUAUGCAAGAAAACGACGAGCUCGAAGAAUUUCUGUUGCUUGUCAUAAGUGUGCCAGAAUGAGUUGCGAUAGAAACCCAUGUUCUUUAGGAAUGGUGUCUGAUAACAGGGAAGAUAAGAUUCAAUUCAUUAGGGAUGGCUUGAAUAAGGAGUCAUUGGAUGAUAUCCUUUUGUCUCUUGAAACGCAUCCCAGUGGAUAUGUGCAAGGAGCGAUUCUCCAGUUAUGGCCAUUAUUCCAGAAAGAGCAUACACGAUAUAGUCUCGGGAAUCUGACUAUAAACGACCCUGUUUGCCAGUUUAUAAGAAAACUGGAUGGGAAGCCCAUCCUCGACCCAUAGAGGGCGUUCAAGCCGUUUCUGGACGUAAAACCAGAGGAAGAUGUGAGCCACAGUCGCAACUACGUGUAAAUAUCCUUUUACUUUACUGUUAUUUUAUUUCAUUUCACUAUUGUUUUAUCGUUUGCAUUAUUGCCUUUAAUAAUUUUAUUACUGUUUGCUUUUUCCUUUUUACUGUUUCCUUUUUGACUCGCGAGCCACGUGCUUUACGCGUUAUUUGACACUGACAUGUUACCUCAUUCACAGCUGUGAUCCACUGUCACCAAGAUUCUUAAAUGUGAUUUACUUUUUGUCAAGCACUCACAAAUUGUUUUUGAGAAAUAUUCCAAUGGCAGCUACUCCCAAUAGACAAUUCAAGAACAUUUGUGUGCUUUCUGGAUUUACCUAUGGCAAACAUAAAGAGUUCGUGGAGGCAGCCAUAGAUCUUGGUCGAAGCAUAGCAGCGAGAAAAUUACACUUGGUGUAUGGAGGAGGUAACCGAGGGUUAUCAAAAAUGGUUUCAGAAGCAGCUUUUAUCAGAGGAAGUCAAGUGUUAGGCAUCAUCCCAAGAGUCUUAAAACCAUUGGGCAGUUCGUCUGACUCAUCAACUGGAGAAGAGUUAGUCGUCUCAGGUAUGCAAGAAAGAAUAACUGAAAUGCUUAAUCAUGCUGAUGCUUUUAUUUUCCUUCCAGGAGAUCUUGCAACACUAGAGGCACUUAUGACACUAGCAUCUUGGGCCCAUCUACACAUUCACCAGAAACCCAUCGGUUUGUUAAAUGUCAAUAACUUUUAUGAUGGCUUUAUCGCAUUUCUUAACCAUGCAAUAAAAAACUAUUUCAUUCCUUCUAAUGUGAAAAAACUCUUUAUUUGUGCUCACACUGCUAAUGAGCUACUUGAUAUGUUACAAGCUUAUAAACCGGAGCCAGACCCCUGGACCUUUGUGUUGGAGCGACCAAAUAAUGAUGGUAACAGUAGCCGCAGUAAGAAGUACAAAUUAGAUUUAACUCUCCGCCUGUAAAUAUUUUCUUCUGUGUUGCACCACCCAGGUGAUGUCUUCUAAACUCUACUUAUUUCCUUUCAAACAUUGAGGACAAUGUUUCGUUCUGGUUGGGGGGAGGGAAUAGUCGACAAUUGUGGAAUCUUGGUUAAGUUUUUACUAAUUUUUUGUUGUAGAAACUAACUGUUGCUAACUUUUUGUGUUGAAGAUGGCUGAAUAUGGAGUGUAGUUACUCUAGAAACGCAUCUUCAUUGUUCGAAAAAAAAUAAAAAUUCUUUUUCUUUAUUAAGUUUUGAUGUUCAUUUUUCUUCUUCUUUUUAUUUUCUCCUCUAUAAAUAUACAUUUUCCAACUUUUGAGUCGAAGAUGGCUGAAUAUGGAGUGUAGUGCCUCUAGAAACGCAUCUUUAAAAAAAAAAAAAAAAAAAAAAACCAUUUUCUUUUCCUAUCAUUUUAAGUGUAACUUUUCUAAUUAGUUUUUCUACAUCAUUUUCGCAUUUCUGCAUGCAUAUUUUCCUUUCAUGCUUAGAAUAGGUUGGGGGUAGAAUGUUGUUAAAAAAAAAAAAAAAAAAAAAAAAAAUUUGUGUUAUUUGUUUUAACAUUGGAUGACAUGAUUAAUUUCAAAUUUUAGUAUUUGUAUUAUCUUUGGUCUUAAGUGAUGUUACGCUAUGUUUGCUACUUUACAUGUUGAUGUCGGAGACAAAUAUGAGUUGCUUGAAGGAAUGAACAUGUCAUAAAUAAGUGCCAAGUGAGUUGUUGAGCCUAUCAUUUUCUUGGAGAGUAACCCUUUUGCCCAUUCUCUAUACAGCUUAGCAGUUUAUUAUUUUAUACACGAUCUCUAGAUUUCUUUUGAGUUAACCCUUUAAAAAAAAAAUGGUAAAAUUAAAAAAAAAAGAAAAAAGAAAAAAAAUGUGUGUUACUACAUUGGGAGGCCCAUCUAACUAGUAGAUAUGGAUAAUUAUUUAGAGCCCUAAAAGACGAUGGAAAGGCCAUCUUUGAUCCGUUUGAGCCUUUCUAGCCAUCCCUGUUAUUAAAUAUCCAUAGUUACCCCUUUUGAGCCUUUAAAAAAAAAAAAAAAAAAAAAAAACCUUUUCUUUGUCAACUUAUCAUCUUGACCCACUCUGAUUUGGAGUAUUACCCAAUGUCUUUUAAGUUCCAUCACCUAUUUAUGUUUGAGAAAAUGUAAAUAAUUUUGUUGUUCAGUGAAGUUAUGCCAAAUAAAAGCAAAAAGAACAAAAAAAAACAAAAACAAAAUUUGUUGUUUCAAAAGAAUAAGAAUAACAAUAAUAGGUGAAAUCCACCUUGCAACUUCCAAAAAAAAAAAAAAAAAAAAAAAUUUGCAUUUUUCUCAAACAUACACUUUGUUUUCCUUAUUUCCUUUCUUUGUUAGCCAUAUCCCUAGCCUACGUUACGUCCUAAUAAAAGUCCUUCUUGAUUUUAGGGAACUAUAGUUUGAAGUAGAAGCUAGUUAUAUGGGCUAAAAAGAUGUAGUGAUGCAUAAUAAAAAAAAAAAAGAUAAAUAAAGUGGGUUGACUAACAUUUUAUUUGACUUGAGAUCGUAUUAUUUCUAAGCUGAGGGCAUAUUUAUUUCAUCUUGGUGAGAGCAUGUGAUAUCAUUUCUUUAUUAUUUUCUCUCUCAAUUACCAUUCAUUGGAGUGACUAUGUUUAUUGGGUUUUAAUUUCUUUGUGAGAGUGUCACUACUUCCAGUGAGAUUUUGGGGUUUGACAUGUCAUUCUUGAAAGUAGCUAUAACAAAGUCUACUGGGCUAAUUCAUGUGGAUGGUUGAUGUGGGUGUGAUGUUGCUUUAGACUGGAGAUAAUGCUUAUACUUUUAUUUGAUUGCUAUCAUUAAUCUGACGGAAUAAAUACGAGUGUUUCUAUUAAAAAAAAUAUAUAUAUAUUUUAAAUUUGAAUUUUGUUUUCGCUUUAUUUGCUAGGGACUAGCAAUAAGCUGGUUGGGGGGUGUGUUGAGUGUUAGAAAAUGCAUAUUUAUAAAGGAGAAAACCGUCAUUUUACAUUUCAAGUCUUACUAACAACCCUUACUUUUAUGUAUUUAACCUUCUUGUGAUGUAAUUACGUGUGUGUUAUUUUAAUUAAGUAUUUUAUGUAUUUUAGGGGCAUUAUAGUCAUUUCACAAUAAAGGAGAGAUCAGACGGCAAAACGGACAUCACUUUUGAACUCAGGACGGUCGAAAACCUUAGGAGGAGCAUAAAAGGAAAAAUGGCACUAUUCACAUGUACGGUACUAUUCACGUAUACGGUACUGUAUAUGUUACUGUUCACGGCACUGUUCACAUAGACGGAUCGAUGACGUGGCAUUGACCGAUGAUGUGGCAUUGACUGAUGAGGUGUCACGAUCCUGUUGGACUAAAAUUCUUAUGUACUGUUGAUGGUGACGUGGCAGCAUAUCAGUGGACGAAAAAUCUCGCGUACGGUGCAUGCAUCACACAGGAUUAUUUUCAAUCAAACCGUGUUACUGUUCAUCCGCGUGGUCAAACCGUGGACUGUUGACUGAUGACGUGGCGCAAUCCUGAGCGUCCAAACUGUUUUUAAUCCGAUGGCCAUGAUUUACUCCAUGUAUCUAUAAAAAGGGGGCCUCCCCCCCCUAAUUUGAUAUCUCUGAAUCCAUUUUUGGGAUCCAUUUUCUGUAAUUCCCUCUCCAUCUUGUAUUUUCUUUGUAUUUUAAUAAAUUCCCAUUUUGCCCCUAGUUCAAUUAUGAGUAGCUAAUUUCCUUUCAAGCUUGGGUUGAAGGUGAAGUCUCAACAUGUGUCAUGGGCUUUAUUUGGUAAAUUUAUUUUCUUUUCCCCUCUAGUUUUUGUGGAUGAUUUGACUUAUCGUCGACAAAUAAUACUGAUCUUGUCUAGAUACCGCCUUGGUUACACCGGCUCUCUAGUAUAAGGUUAUUAUUAUUUGGCACGAUAAGCCCUUAACACCAUAUUGAUUAGAGCGUGGUUCAUGAGGUGUGGAUUCCCCCCUCAUGAUUUAAUUGGCAUUAAUACGGAUUAUUUAGCCCAUGAUGCAUGUUGAUACGGAUCCAGAUACCCAAGUACGUCAUUUCAAUAGAAUUCUCUUCAAUUUAUUCUCGCCAUUUCAAUUCCAAUUUCAGAAUUUAUUCUCACCAUUUUAAUUUAAGUUUUAGCAUAUUCCAAAUCAUUUCCACCACAGAUCCAAUCAACCAUUUGCAAAAUUAAUUCUAUACACAAUUAAAAUCCACCUCCUCGUGGGAUCGACACUCGUCACCAUUGAUCUAUACUACAAUAGAUUCGUGCACUUGCGAGUACAUUAAAAUUUGCACAACACCUAACACUUGACUUCCUCUGAUAAAAGCUGCUUCUGAGACCAUUUUUGAUAACCCUCGGUUACCUCCUCCAUACACCAAGUGUAAUUUUCUCGCUGCUAUGCUUCGACCAAGAUCUAUGGCUGCCUCCACGAACUCUUUAUGUUUGCCAUAGGUAAAUCCAGAAAGCACACAAAUGUUCUUGAAUUGUCUAUUGGGAGUAGCUGCCAUUGUGAUACUUCUCAAAAACAAUUUGUGAGUGCUUGACAAAAGAUAAAUCACAUUUAAGAAUUUUGGUGACAGUGGAUCACAGCUGUGAAUGAGGUAACAUGUCAGUGUCAAAUAACGCGUAAAGCACGUGGCUCGCGAGUCAAAAAGGAAACAGUAAAAAGGAAAAAGCAAACAGUAAUAAAAUUAUUAAAGACAAUAAUGCAAACAAUAAAACAACAGUGAAAUGAAAUAAAAUAACUGUAAAAUAAAAGGAUAUUUACACGUAGUUGCGACUGUGGCUCACAUCUUCCUCUGGUUUUACGUCCAGAAACGGCUUGAACGCCCUCUAUGGGUCGAGGAUAGGCUUCCCAUCCAGUUUUCUUAUAAACUGACAAACAGGGUCGUUUAUAGUCAGAUUCCCGAGACUAUAUCGUGCAUGCUCUUUCUGGAAUAAUGGCCAUAACUGGAGAAUCGCUCCUUGCACAUAUCCACUGGGAUGCGUUUCAAGAGACAAAAGGAUAUCAUCCAAUGACUCCUUAUUCAAGCCAUCCCUAAUGAAUUGAAUCUUAUCUUCUCUGUUAUCAGACAUCAUUCCUAAAGAACAUGGGUUUCUAUCGCAACUCAUUCUGGCACACUUGUGACAAGCAACAGAAAUUCUUCGAGCUCGUCAUUUUCUUGCAUAAUUUCCUUUACCACAACCAGGCAUGUAUGCAAUAAAUUUAGGAGGUAACUCACCUGCUAAUCGUACUUUAGCCUCGAUUAACCAACGGAUGUCUGCAGGUAUGUUAUUCCUCAUGAGCAAUCGCAUGCGUUCAGACCGGGCUUUAUAGAUUGUAAGGAGGGCAUUCUGAGGAAGUGAAGGAAAUCGCUUGUGAAGCUUUGCUAAAAUCUCAUUUCUAUCCAUACCUUCUCCUCAGAAUAUCAGUUAUUAUGGGAAACUGAAGUUAACCGACUUGAUUGUCACGGAGUACCGUUAUCCGCCACUUUACCGGGGUAACAAACUAAAACACACCAAAAAGAAAAACAAAUUAAAACACACAAGGAAAAUUAAAAUCGUCCUCUUAUUGAAUUUACCUCAAGCUCCAACUGGAUGUCGUAAACACUUCUCUCAAUAUCUCGGAGUUGGCUUUCUAGAUUCUCAACAUAGGCUACUAACUCUGGUGGUUGUAAAGCCCAAAUGCGAUGUGUUUUACAAAAUUGAAUCUGCCUUUUGAGAUGAGUUUUGACACAUUGAAGUGGUUUAAGAAUGUUCAGGAGGAACGGUCUAAGUAUGAUACUCAUGAUUAAAAAUGAUAAGAGAAAACUUAAUAGUUAAACAAACAAACACACUUAUGCAAAAAUAAUUUCAUUUAGCAAAAGAAUAAUAGAAAGAAAGAAAGAAAAAUCAAAUCAGCGAAAAGAAAAAAAAAUCAAUUCAAUUCUGGUGGGUCACUCAAAUUUAUUUCGGUGUUUUCUCCAUGUGCUUGGUACUCUAAAUAUGGCUUUAAUCUUUGACCAUUGACUUUAAACGUGACACCGUUCUUUGGGUCCUUAAUUUCAAUUGCCCCAUGUGGAAAAACAGUAUGAACAAUAAAUGGACCAGACCAACGAGAGCGUAACUUACCUGGGAAUAGGUGCAAACGAGAAUUGAAUAAAAGCACUUUCUGACCUGGAGUGAACGAUUUUCUCAUAAUGUGCUUGUCAUGAAAGACUUUCAUUCAUUGCUUGUAGAUCUUGGCAUUUUCGUAUGCAUUAUUGCGAAUUUCUUCAAGUUCUACCAGUUGUAAUCUUCUUUCUGAGCUGGCAUGCUGCAUAUCAAAGUUGAACUUCUUGAUAGCCCAAUAUGCACGAUGCUCGAAUUCCACAGGUAGGUGGCAAGCUUUUCCAUACACUAGCCUGUAGGGUGACAUCCCAAUCGGGGUCUUGAAAGCCGUUCUAUAUGCCCAUAAUGCAUCAUCAAGUCUUAAUGACCAAUCUUUUCUGUCCGGCCUCACCGUCUUUUCUAAUAUGUGCUUUAUUUCUCGAUUGGAGAUUUCAACUUGGCCACUGGUUUGCGGAUGAUUAGGGGUGGCCACUUUGUGAGUGAUUGAAUACUUUGUCAAAAGUGCUUUAAAUGCUUUGUUACAAAAGUGGGCACCACCAUCACUGAUUAUUGCUCGAGGGAAUCCAAAGCUUGAGACAAUGUUGCUUUUCAAAAAUCCUAUCACCACUUUGUGAUCAUUGGUCCUACAUGGAAUUGCUUCUACCCAUUUCGAUACAUAGUCAACAGCAACCAAUAUGUAUUGAUGGCCAAAAGAAGGGGGAAAGGGUCCCAUGAAGUCGAUACCCCAUACGUCAAAAGUCUCAACCACUAAAAUUGGAUUUAGUGGCAUCAUGUUCCUUCGUGUAAUGCUCCCCAUUCGUUGACACCUAUCACAUGAAGAACAGAAAGUGUAAGCGUCUCGAAAUAUAGUUGACCAAUAAAAACCACAUUGUAAAACUUUAGUCGCUGUUUUCUUAGCACUGAAAUGGCCUCCACAAGCUUGUUCAUGACAAAAUGAAAGGAUAUUCUGAAUUUCACUUUCUGGGACACAUCGUCUAACAAUUUGGUCUGCACAAUACUUGAACAAAUACGGGUCAUCCCAAAAGAAAUUCUUUAUUUCUGCAAAGAAUUUAGCCUUGUCUUGCUUGGUCCAAUGCUCUGGAAAUUUACCUGUAACAAGAUAAUUAACUAUAUCAGCAUACCAAGGUAAUACUUCCACAUUCAUCAAUUGUUCAUCUGGGAAUGACUCAUUUAAUGGUAAUGGCUCUGUAAUUGUGUCAAAAUAGAGACGAGAGAGAUGGUCCGCCACGACAUUUUCUAUGCCUUUCUUAUCUUUGAAUUCCAAGUCAAAUUCCUGCAAAAGUAAUACCCAACGAAUUAGUCUAGCUUUUGCAUCUUUCUUUGUGAGAAGAUAUUUAAGAGCAGCAUGAUCUGUGAAUAUAAUUAUUUUACAACCAAUGAGAUAAGAUCGAAAUUUUUCCAAUGCAAACACUACUGCUAGCAUUUCUUUUUCAGUAGUUGAAUAGUUCAACUGUGCAUCAUUCAAUGUCAUACUAGCAUAGUAAAUAACAUGAGGAAUUCGAUCAACUCUUUGUCCUAAAACUGCUCCUACUGCAUAAUCAGAUGCAUCACACAUGAGCUCAAAUGGUAAGCUCCAGUUUGGGGGCUGAAUGAUGGGUGAUGAUGUCAACAAAUGCUUUAAUUUUUCAAAUGCAACAAGACAUGAAUCAUUAAAGACAAAAGGUACAUCCUUAGCAAGUAGAUUGCAUAAGGGUCUAGAAACUUUACUAAAAUCUUUAAUGAAACGUCUAUAAAAACCAGCAUGCCCAAGGAAAGAUCUUACUUCUCUGACUGUUUUGGGUGGAGGAAGAUUAGAAAUGAGAUCCACCUUGGCUUUGUCAACCUCAAUACCUUUGCUUGAAAUGAUGUGACCGAGAACAAUACCUUGUUUUACCAUAAAAUGACACUUCUCCCAAUUUAAGACUAAGCUCUUCUCGAUACAUCUCUGCAGAACUAAUGUUAGAUGAUGUAAACAUUGAUCAAACGAGUCACCAAAGACAGAAAAAUCAUCCAUAAAGACUUCAAGGAAUCGUUCAACCAUAUCAGAAAAAAUGCUCAACAUGCAUCGUUGGAAUGUAGCAGGUGCAUUACAUAAUCCAAAUGGCAUUCUCCUAUAUGCAAAAGUGCCAAAAGGGCAAGUGAAAGUAGUUUUCUCCUGAUCUUUUGGUGCUAUGGGAAUCUGAUUAUAUCCUGACUAGCCAUCUAGAAAGCAAUAAAAUUCAUGGCCUGCUAUCUAUCAAGCAUUUGAUCAAUAAAUGGUAAAGGAAAAUGGUCUUUACGUGUGACAGAAUUCAACUUUCUAUAAUCAAUGCAUACACGCCAUCCUGUAGUCACUCUAGUUGGUAUCAAUUCAUUAUCGGCAUUCGUAACUACUGUGACUCCUGACUUUUUGGGGACAACUUGUACAGGACUGACCCAUGAACUAUCAGAAAUUGGGUAAAUGAUACAUGCGUCUAAUAGCUUAAGGACUUCUGUUCUAACAACUUCUUUCAUAUUAGGAUUUAACCGACGUUGCAUUUCCCUAGUAGAUUUAGCAUUUUCAUCAAGGUGAAUGUAAUGCAUGCAAUCUACAGGGUCUAUACCUUUUAUGUCUGCUAUGGUCCAUCCUAAUGCCCCUUUGUGCUCUUUUAAAACAUCCAACAACUUACCUUUUUGUUCAUCAUUGAGGGAUGAUGAAAUGAUUACCGGCAAAGUACUUUCUUCCCCCAAAAAUGCAUAUUCCAAAGUGUUGGGUAAUGGUUUGAGCUCGAGUUUCGGUGGUGAUUCUGAUGAUGGGAUGAGUUUCUUCUCUGAUGGUGCUAGUUGUUCAACUCUUGACUUCCAUUUAUUAGUGUCCAUAGAUGGUGCUGAGUCAAGUAGGGCAUUGACCUCUUCGACCGAUCUGUCAAUAUCAAAAUCAAAACCAAAGUGAGUUAAGCAUGUCUGUAAAGGAUCAUCACUAAGGUUUGAAACAAAAGUGUCAUCAACUAAUGCUUCUAUUAAAUCCACAUCAACAAUUCCAUCAUCUGCAUUGUGAGGUUGUUUGGCAAUGUUGAAGAUGUUCAGCUCCAUAGUCAUGUUGCCGAAGGACAACUGCAUAUUUCCAGUCCUACAUUGAAUGUGAGCAUCCGCAGUUGCCAAGAAAGGUCGGCCUAAAAUAAUGGGGAUGUGCUUCCUUGAAUCCUGUAUAGGUUGAGUGUCAAUUACAAUGAAAUCAACAGGAAAAUAAAACUUGUCUACCUGGAUAAGCACGUCCUCCACAAUACCACGAGGUAUUUUCGUGGACCGAUCUGCAAGUUGUAACACCACUGGAGUUGGGUGUAAUUCUCCAAGUCCAAGUUUCACAAACACAGAGUAAGGCAACAAAUUUACACUAGCUCCUAAAUCCAACAAAGCAUUCUCAAUUGUGUGGUUCCCUAUACUACAUGAGAUAGUGGGGGAGCCUGGGUCUUUGCAUUUUAAAGGAAUUUUAUGUUGGAGUAUAGAACUAACGUUUUCUGUUAAAAAUGCCUUCUUUUGAACAUGCAUAUUUCUCUUUUUAGUACACAGGUCUUUAAGAAACUUAGCAUAAGAUGGAACUUGUUUAAUAGCAUCAAGCAAAGGGAUGUUAACACUUACCUGUUUGAAGAUUUCAAGAAUCUCACCUGUCGAUUUUCCCUUCUUUCCUUUAGCUAACCUCUGAGGAAAUGGAGCUUUCGGAACAUAUUCUCGUGGGUUGGUUUCUUUUUUCUCCUCUGGUGAUGAGUCCUCAACAUUCACAGGUACAAUUUGAUUUUCUUUGGUCACCGGCAUCUCCACUUUGUUGUCGACUUCUUUACCUUUUCGCAAGGUCAUGACUGCUUUGACCUCUCCAUGCUGCUGUGGUGAACUGGUACUUGCUUCAUGUACUCCUUUAGGAUUAGGCACUGGUUGACUUGGAAACUUGCCUUUCUCAACAGUCAUUGCCAAGGUCUAAACUGAAGAAGCGAGUUGUCCCACCAUCUUCUCCAGGCUUGAAACUGAUUGAGCUUGUGAGUUGAAGCCUGCUCUCAACUCAUUUCGUAGUCCAUCAAUGGUGCGGUUCUGUUGCUCAAUCGUAGAGUGAGUAACAUUCUUGAAAUUUUGGAAUGCAUCCUCCCAUGGUUUAGGUUGAGAGUAAUUCUGGUUUUGAUUGUAUUGUCUAAAUGGGGGCUGAGAGGCUUGAGGAAUUUGAGGAAUUUGUUGCAUUGGUGGAGCUGGAGCUGCUGGUCCAUUCUGUUGGAAUCCUUGAGACCAUGAAAAAUUGGGGUGGUCUCUCCAUCCAGGGUUAUAUGUGUUGGAGUACGGGUUGUAAUUUGAUGGUUUUCUCAUUACACCUAUAACAUUGGCUUGAUCUGAGUAUGAGUCAGGGUCAUGUGGUUCUGUUGAUUUAGCAGUCGAUAACGAUGCUAUUUGUCGAGCAAGACCCUCAACCAUCUCCUUGACUUCUUUGAUUCCCGAAGUUGACUCGCCAAUUUGAACCUCAUUUACUCCCUUAAUUCUUCUAGUAUUCCUGAGUGAUCGACUCCGUUGUUGGGAAUUAUCCGCUUGUCGCUGGAAGAAUUCCCAAAUCUCUGAUGCACUUUUUGACAUUAGCUCUCCUCCACUUGUUGCCAUUAGCCAUUCUUGCACAUUCGGCAAUAAUCCCUCCAAAAAGUAUUGGUAUUGGUGCCAUUUCUCGUACCCAUGAUGUGGACACUUCAAGAGUAGCCCAUUGAAUCGCUCCCAUGUUUCGAAAAACUGCUCGUCCUCUCUUUGGGUAAACUCUGAAAUUUCCCUGCGAAUAGAAUUAGUUUUAUGCACUGGGAAAUAUUUAUUUAGAAAUUUUGUAACCAUUUGUUCCCAUGAUGCAAUGCUAUUAGCAGGCAAAGUAUUUAACCAUGAACGAGCUCUAUCCUUUAAAGAAAAUGGGAAUAAUCUAAGUUUAACAUCAUCGUCUGAAAAAUUUUCAUAUUUAAAAGUUUGACAAAUGGCAUUAAAAUCAUUCAGAUGAUUAUAUGGGUCCUCAUUUUCUAGGCCAUAGAAUGUGGGGAGACAAUUUAGCACACUAGGUUUUAAUUCAAAACUUCUAGCAGCUACAUUUGGGUAUCUUAUGCAUGAUGUACUCAAAUUAGCUAAGGGACUAAAAUAGUCCUUAAAUGGCCUCUCCUGUGGUGCUUGUAAAUCCAUUCCAAAUUUAUUUUUAAUGUGCUUUUGUGUGCGAAGUGUUUUUUCUAAUUCAAGGUCUAUAGGUUCAAGAUUAGGUAAUAAUGACCUACGACCAUGCAUGCAAAACAAAUAAAAUAAAAAUAAAGAUGGGAACAAAACAAAUAAAAAUAAAGAAGAUGGAGAAAUUACGAUACUAACCUUAUUGCGCUAUUACAACCUUUCUAUAAAAAUACACAAAAAUAAAUACGUGAAAUAAAUUAACUAAAAAUUAAAUUAAUAAAAUAAACAAAAAUUACAAAGAAAAAAUAAAUAAAUUGAAAAUUAAAUUACAGAAUUUUAAAGAAGAGAAAAAGAAAAGAAAUACUAACCUUUAAAUGUAGAUUCACUUUUUUUUUUUAAUAAAAAAUACAAGAAAACAAAUAAAAGAAAUUAUUCACAAAAAUUAAUUCUAUGAAUUAAAAUUACUUACCUUCCCGGCAACGGCGCCAAAAACUUGUUGUGCAAAUUUUAAUGUACUCGCAAGCGCACGAAUCUAUUGUAGUAUAGACUAAUGGUGACGAGUGUCGAUCCCACGAGGAGAUGGAUUUUAAUUGUAUAUAGAAUUAAUUUUGUAAAUGGGUGGUUGGAUUUGUGGUGGAAAUGAUUUGGAAUAUGCUAAAACUUAAAUUAAAAUGGCGAGAAUAAAUUCUGAAAUUGAAAUUGAAAUGACGAGAAUAAAUUGAAGCGAAGAUCUAUUGAAAUGACGUACUUGGGUAUCUGGAUCCGUAUCAACAUGCAUCAUGGGCUAAAUAAUCCGUAUUAAUGCCAAUUAAAUCAUGAGGGGGGAAUCCACACCUCAUGAACCACGCUCUAAUCAAUAUGGUGCUAAGGGCUUAUCGUGCCAAAUAAUAAUAACCUUUGUACUAGAGGGCCGGUGAAACCAAGGCGGUACUAGACAAGAUUAGUAUUAUUUGUCGACGAGAAGUCAAAACAUCCACAAAAAUUAGAGGGGAAGAGAAAGUAAAUUUACCAAAUAAAGCCCAUGACACAUGUUGAGACUUCACCUUCAACCCAAGCUUGAAAGAAAAUUAGCCACUCAUAAUUGAACUAGGGGCAAAAUGGAAAUUUAUUAAAAUACGAAGAAAAUACAAGAUGGAGAGAGAAUUACAGAAAAUGGAUCCCAAAACUGGAUUCAGAGAUAUCAAAUUAGGGGGGGAAGGCCCCCUUUUUAUAGAUACAUGGAGUAAAUCAUGGCCAUCGGAUUAAAAACAGUUUGGACGCUCAGGAUUGCGCCACGUCAUCAGUCAACAGUCCACGGUUUGACCACGCGGAUGAACAGUAACACGGUUUGGUUGAAAAUAAUCCUGUGUGAUGCAUGCACCGUACGCGAGAUUUUUCGUCCACUGAUAUGCUGCCACGUCACCAUCAACAGUACAUAAGAAUUUUAGUCCAACAGGAUCGUGACACCUCAUCAGUCAAUGCCACAUCAUCGGUUAAUGCCACGUCAUCGAUCCGUCUAUGUGAACAGUGUCGUGAAAAGUAACAUAUACAGUACCGUAUACGUGAAUAGUACCGUACAUGUGAAUAGUGCUAUUUUUCCUUUUAUGCUCCUCCUAAGGUUUUCGACCGUCCUGAGUUCAAAAGUGAUGUCCGUUUUGCCGUAUGAUCUCUCCUUUUUUGUGAAAUGACUAUAAUGCCCCUAAAAUACAUAAAAUACUUAAUUAAAAUAAAACACAUGUAAUUAAAUCACAAGAAGGUUAAAUACAUAAAAGUAAGGGUUGUUAGUAAGACUUGAAAUGUAAAAUGACAGAUUUCUCCUUUAUAAAUAUGCAUUUUCUAACACUCAACACUAACUUGUAACACAAUACUCGCAAAAUGGUAAACUUACCAAUUUGAGCCCUGGAAGCAAUUUUCGCUCAGAGAGAAUCCUCAAACCUUGUUAUGACAUGUGGCGAAGUUUGAGAUGCCAUAUUAUCAUUGACUCUUCUCCAUUUGAUGCGACACACGCAUCAGCCUCCUGUAGUGUUUCUCCUUUAAACAUGAAUAGAUUAGCACCGAUCUUUUCUGCCUUCAUCAAUACAAGCACGCCUUUAACGAUCUUCAUAAUUCCAUUCUCCACAUGAGUUUUGUACCCAUGACUAUCCAUUUGUCCCAAAGACAAUAGAUUUUUCUUCAGGUCGUUGACAUGUCGUACCCCCCCCCCCCCAAUUGUGCGAAUUAUACCAUCAAACAUUUUUAUUUUGAUAGUACCAAUAUCAGCGAUCUCCAAGGCAUGAUCAUCUCCUAUAUAUACAAAUCCUCCUGAGAUAGGUUCAUAUGUGUGGAACCAUUCUCUCCGAGAGGUCAUGUGCCAGGUAGCUCCUGAGUUUAUAAGCCAGACAUCAGAUGUCGUUUUCUGCCUUUUGAAAUAGUUGUUGCCUCGCUGUAGAGAAUUUCACCAUCAUCUGAGGUACUUGCUACACACCCUUGAGCAUUUGAUGACUCAGGUUCUUUGCCAUCUCUUCUCUUCUGGUUACUCCAACACUCUUUCUUGAUGUGCCAUUUCUUGCCACAGUUAUAGCAUUUAACAUUCUUCUUACUUCUGGAUUUUGAUCUACCAUGAUUGUGAAUCCCACUAGGGCCACAUUCCGUUGAUCUCCCUCUUGUCACCGAUAGCGCCUUCGCUUGCUGCGAACUUGCUUGUUUGUUUUCCUUAUUUUUCUGCCUGCUCUCCUCAUUUAAUACGGAGGCUGCAACAUCGUCGAAAACUAGAUUGUCUGCUGGAUUGUUGUUCGUCAGGUUGAUGAUGAGUUGAUCAUACGAAUCUGGUAGACUUUGAAGUAGAAGCUCUGCACGUUCAUUUUCCUCUAUAUUAUGACCCAUCGUUGUGAGUUGUGAAAAUAGAGUUUUCAAGGUGUUAAUGUGGUCGGUCACCAUUGUAGAUUCCGCCAUUCAAAGAGCAUAGAGUUUCCUCUUCAAGAAGAUUUUGUUGUGUAGUAACUUGACCUCGUACAAUUUUGUAAGAGUAUCCCAUAUUUCCUUCGCUGUAUUUUUCUCUGCCACACUGGAUAAUACUCCAUCUGCAAGUGCCAAGUGUAGAUCAGAAAUGGCGUUACCAUCUACCUCAUUCCACUUGUCAUCAGUUAUCUCCAUGGGCCUUUCUACAAUUACUGCCAAGCAAUUAUUUUUCCUCAAUACAGCUUUCAUCUUCAUUUUUCACAACGAAAAAUUAUUUCCGUUAAACUUCUCAAUUUCAUACUUUGCCACCAUUUUGUUGAUAAAUACCGCACACAAGCUAGUGUACCACCUUGAAUAGUUGUGAGUAUGUGUGAGAAUGCACAGCAGGAAAGUUCCCAGGAAAGACUGGAGGGGUCACAAUGGUGCCACUUAAAACCCAGACUCCUUAAGCUCUUAUCGCCUUUGUGACAGAACUUUCUUAGACAUGUACAAAACCACACAAUUGUUUUACUCACACCACUAUUCCCUGCUUUGCACCGCAAAAUUAUUGGAUCGCUCCCACCGUUUCACGUGAAUAGUACCAUAUACGUGAACAGUACCAUAUACAUGAAUAGUACCCCUUAUGUGACAGUACCCGACUCUAAAAAUACAACCAAUAGCUUUGAUACCACUGUUAGGAAAUUGGUGGGUGAAGCAGGACUGCAGCUAAAGUAAAAUUGGAAGAAAAAUAAAGAACAAGCACAAUAGAGACACCAGAAAUUACGUGGUUUGCCUUUUAGUCUAUGUUCACGGGCGAAAACAGAAGGAAAAUAUUAUACUAGUGAAAAGGAAUUACAAGUACUGUAGUAUUUUAGCUCACUACCUAAAACCCCAAUACACCCAAACUCUCAAAUCACUAGACUCUUAAAAUCACUCUCUAAAUAAAUAAAAGAACUGAAGAACUCAAUGAUUUACAAAUGAAGGGAGACAACAUUUUUAUAGCCAAAAUUGGCUACUGUUCAUUUAAUAUUUAAUUAUUAUUAUUAUUUUAUUAAUUUUUCUUUUCUUUUCCUUCUUCGGCCUAGCAUCUCUUUUUCUUCUCUCUUUUUUCUUUUUCCUUAUUUUCUUUGGUUUCUUUCUUUGGGCGGUACCUCUCAUUUUUUUUUCUUCUUCAAACUGCUUCGUUUUCCAUUUUCCUUUUCAAGCAUUUCGGUUGGCCCAUUUUCAACAUUUCCAGAAGAGUGGUACCCCAUAUUCAACACAAGAUAAUUUUAUGACCAUCAAUCUUUUGCAGCCAUAUGCAGACUUGAAACACUGUAGUGUCCCUAAGGAACUUGAAAAUUAGAAAGUUUCAGAAUGAGUGACUAAAUAUGAUAAUCGAAACUAAUUUAAUAUACACGCCUUGUAAAUCUGAAACUAAAUUACUCAAAUGUAUAUGCCUCUUCACAGCAAUUGCUCGUGGUGGAAAGUUUACUGCAAAGACUUCCUCAAACCCUUGAAGAUCACACUCUUCCUGGCAACAAAGAAACAGAGUCAAUAUACGAAGAUGAUUUUAUUAACAAGUGAGAGCUUGCAAAUAUUGGAAGGAUAACGAUUAGUCAUAACCCAAAUCCCCAAUGCCUUCUAAUAUCUCACUCACUUGAGUUCAAGCUCCCAAAAUUCACUACAGUGAAACCCUCACAACAAAAUUCUCUUCAAAGAUUCUCUACUCAAAUUUGAUUAAGUUGAUUAGAAUCCUUAACCUGAUAACUUAAACAAAAACAACUUGCCUAAAGUUUAAUAUUUAGAGGCUGAACAGUAAAGAAGAAGAUAUAUAUUGAUACUAAAAUUUGACCUGUAUUAUUCUGACGUAAAAAAUCACGACAUCUCAUAUGGGCAAAAUCUUCACAAUACGAGAUGCUUGCAAAAUUGAAGCAGCAUCUUAUCACCUGUAAUUUAAUUAAGACAAUAACUUUCCCCAACUAUUUCAAUGCAUUAUUGGCAACUAAAUUCAGAGGGCGCUAAUUAAAUAUCCUUUUAAUAAUAUCUUCUUAUUCUUCUCCAAUCUAACAGUUAUUUGGAAAUCUGAAAAGAGGUUCAACAUUUUACAACCAAUAAAAAAUCACUGAACCAUUGGAAAGUGAUUUACGUAUAAUUUUUUUUUUCCAAAUUUUGUCCAAAGUGAUGAAUGAGAUAGGAUGACACAAGAAACAAAUUUAAAUUGACCGCAAGUAGAAAUAUACUUCUGUUAUAUUUGCAACAUCUUCUAGGGUCAAUUGCUUUUCCUUGAGCUCUGUUUCUGCAUGUGCUCAAAUGCAACACACAUACCACAAGAUAUAAUUAUCAACAUGAAUCUUUUGCCGCCAUAUGCAGCACUUAGAAAACUGUUUAUGGCCAUAAAGAACGGGAAAAUCAGAAAUCAUUAACAACGAGAGAAAUCAUUUUAAUCACAGGCAAACAUACACACUAAGAAAAUCUAGAAUUGAAUUUCUCCUAAUGAAUGUGCCUCUUCACAGCAAUUGCACAAGCUAAUCCCAGCAGCCUGCAUCAUCGAGCUUCUCCCAAUGAGUGAGUGAGCCUUGAACAGUUAUCACUUAGCUCAAACUAAAAUGAAAUUAUUGUGGACAUCUGAAUUAAAUAUACAUGUAAAAGGAGUUUUCUCAAAGCAAGGUCAAGAUAAGAGAUUAACUCUGCUCCUUAUUUACAGUAAAAAUAACAAACAAUGAAAAACAGAGCUAGAGAAGAACUUACCUGUGCAUUGAGACCAUGUGGAGAAUGUGAGAUAUCUUCUUAUAUUUGGUUUGAGAAACUCCAUCUUCUUCUGAAAGUUCUGGCAGUUCCCUAAACCCAGGCCAAUACAAUUGCAACAGAAACUGCAUGCUUUAACCAGCAUCUUAUCAUCUCUUCUUAUUUCAAGACAAGAAUAACUUAAUUGCAAGUUUACAACAUUGCGUGAUUCCACCAUUAACCUUUUCAAUUUCAACACUUCUUUUGUCCCCCGCCCGAUGCCCUUUUAAAAAUUCUAUGAAUCAGAUAAAUCAUUCUUCAACCCCAAAUUCCUUCCGAAUCCGUGGAAGCAUUUCAGCCCACAGACGGUUUGCUUUGUCAAUAUACAGCAACUCAGGAUUCUAUAUUUAAACUAUGAUGUUUGAUGACUUGCUGAUGCAAAAAACAUUGCCCCAAGCACUUUUUUACAGGAAUUAAAAUCAAGCCAGUCACUUCCAUUUGUUGCAGUUUUAAUGCAGAAAGAAAAAGGGGCAAAAAAAUCCGCAAGAUGCCACUUGUAAUACCGCAUGUUCGCAAAAGCAGAGUUAAAUAAUUACAAAAUUACAUUCUUGAUUGCACAGAAAUAAUAUAUAGCAAAACAAGCAUAAGGAAAUAACAAUAUAAUUUUACAUUUUUCAGCUUUUGGACUACGUCACAGUCAGAGACGUGAAGAGAAUUUUACUAAGAAAUAAGAGUGUACUAAUAUUAAAGAAAACAUUCACUAAUCGCUAAUAUAUGCUUAAUUUCUCACCCACUAAGAAUGUUCAAUUCACUCAAAUGAAACUUUCACAAGAAAGUCUCAUUAUUAAGGCUUUAGCUUUACUUCACAUGCUCAACAAUUCAAAUUUGAGGAUGAUAUUUCUCAAAAUGGAGGGCUCUAUUUGGCUUGCCAACAAUCUUCCUCACUACUAUCAUCCUUGCUAUACCGGUUGCACUGGACAAUCUUCAUUCUGACAUUUGCCCUGUUAACCUGAGUACACAAGAAUCCAAAACAACUGUUAGAAAUUUUAAUCUUUAUACAUAGCCAAAAUGGUGAAUAAAAUGAUGUACUUGAUAACAAAAACCUGAUUUAAUAAAUAAUUAAGCGGCCGAUAACAAGCACAGAAUCUCAUCGUGUGGGGAAAGCCUUGACAACAGAAGAUGGUGCUUUCAUUCAAGCAAUGAUAACUUUCCAAUUUCAUAAGGUAGCUUAAUGCCCUUUUAAGAAUAUCUGCACCAGCCUGACAAUUAUUGAUGAAAAUUCAAAUUCAGAAUCAUGUUCGUAUGAGAGAUGAAAUGUAAUGAGCAACUUGGCCACCAUGUAUGCAUUUAUCACUUCAAUUUGCUCAUCUUUGUCUAGAUUAUUGCUUAUGCGUUAACUGAAUUAGCGUGCAAGCCACCUGAAAAUGGUUUUAAAUAAUGAGAGUCUGGAUUCGAAUGAAUUAAUCAAAUAUGAUGACAGAAAAUACAAAUGUAAAAUAACCACAAGAAGUAGAAAUAUACUUUUGUUAGAUUUAGAGCAUAAUUCUUCUGUCAAGUUCUUUUCCAUUAGCCUUGUUUCUGUGUGUGCUCAAACGCAAUUCCUCAACACUUAAGAUAGUUUCUGCAGACCUGAAAAACUGGUUGUGGCCCUAAGGAACUUGAAAAUUAGAAAAGAUUCAGAAUGAGUGAAAAUCUAAUUAAACAUACACGCCCUGAAAAUCUGAAACUGAAUUACUCAAAUGAAUAUGCCUCUUCACAGCAAUUGGUUGAAACUUUACUGCAAAGACUUUUUGAAACCCUUGAAGAUAAUACACUACCUGAUAACACAAGGAAACACAAUCAAUAUAAGAAGAUGAUUUUACAAACAAAUGAAAGCUUGCAAUUAUUGAGAGAGCUCUACUCAAAUUUAAUGAGAUAUCUCUCAGAAUGGAGAGCUCUAAUAAUAUAUAAAGCCAAAAAUCUAACACUCAUCAAAUUGGCUUGUGAACAAUUAAUCUUCCUUGCCAUCAUAAAUGCCAGGUAUGGUGAACAAUCUUCAUUCUGACAUUUGCCUUAAUAAGCUGCUUAGUAUCCUUAACCUGAUAACUUACACAAACAAAAACAACUUCACUAAAGUUUAUUCUUUAAAGGCAAAACUGUAAACAAGAUGAUAUAUGCUGAUACAAAAAAAUGACCUAAGUUAUCCUGAUGUCAAGAAUCACAGAACCUCAUGUGGGCAAAAUCAUCGCAAUACAAGAUGCUGAAUUCAAGCAACAUCUUAUCACCUAUAAUUUAAUUAAGACAAUAACUUUCCUCAACUAUUAGCCUUCUCAAUUUCAAUGUAUUAUUGGCAACUAAAUUUAUAGGGGACGUAGCUAAUUAAAUGCCCUUUUAACAAUAUCUUCCCCACCUAACAAUUAUUUGGAAAAUCUAAAUGACAAUCAUGCAUUGAUGGCAUAAAAAAUUGGCCACAAAGCUGCCUAGAAAAAGGCUUUAAAUUCUUAAUGAGACAACGUAUUCGAACAAAUAUGCUGAAUGAAGAGACAAAGGCAUAACACCUCAGGAAGUAAAGCUCUGUUUCUGUAUGUGCUCAAACCAAUGGAAACCCAUGGAAAUGAAUUUCUACAAAUUAGAUAUGUCAGCCAAAACAGGUACUCUAUACAAGCAAAGUAAAAGAGAGUUAACAAAAAAUUUUAAGAUAAUUAAACUUUUAGUCACCAUAUAAUUAAUAGAAAACUUUGUACACAAUGAUUUAUAUGAGAUUAAGAUUGUAUACCUAAGUUUUAAUUGCAAACUAAAUACACACAAAAUGAUAUUAGCAUUAGAAGACUGCACCAAAACGUACCGAAUUGAAUGUACCUCUCAACGGCCAUUUUACAUGCAUUGAAAGUUUACCGCAAAAGCUGUUUCAAACGUGAUGCAUCUUAGAGAUGCAAGAUGAGAAAUUGUUAGUACAACUAGCAUUGAAACAUGUGUGAAAACUGUUAAUGGACCUAAAUAACUUGAAAAUCAGAAAAGAUUAGGAAUGAGUGACUAAGCCUGCUAAUCGCAACUGAGCAAAUUAUUGAAGAAAUAUAUAUCUCAUUUUCUCUUCUUUUAUAAUAGGAUUACAUAAUACAUUUAUAGAUUCUAAACUACAUAACGUGCAAGAGUAGGAAAGUAAACAACUGCAGACCAAGAAACUAGGAAACAAACUCUAUCAAAAAACUGAAAUUCUAUCCCUAUCUUUUUUCUUUUCUAUCCCUAUCUUUUUUCCUUAAAAAUAGGAUAGAAAACAUGUGACUUUUCCACACUCCCCCUCAAGCUGGUUCGAAAAUAUCAAUCAUUCCUAGCUUGCUAGUUAGUGACUCAAAGCUUGAUUUAUGGAGUCCUUUAGUAAGAAUAUCGGCUAGCUGCUUUAUUGUUGGAAUAAAGGUCAUGCAUAUCAAACCACUUUCUAUUUUCUCCUUGAUAAAAUGACGAUCCACUUCAACAUGUUUAGUUUUGUCAUGAUGAACAGGGUUAUGAGCAAUGUUUAUUGCUGCCUUGUUGUCACAAUACAACUUCAUAGGAACAUCAAUAAUAAUCUUUAAUUCUUCAAGUAGCUUCUUUAACCAAAAAAGUUCAAAAAUACCAUGUGCUACUGCUCUAAAUUCAACUUCGGCACUACUUCUUGCAACCACUGAUUGCUUCUUACUCCUCUAAGUUACCAAGUUUCCUCCCACAAAUGUGCAAUACCCUGAAGUUGACCUUCUAUCAAUAACAGAUCCAGCCCAAUCUGCAUCAGUAGAUACUUCAACUUGCAGAUCGUUAUUUUUCUUGAAUAGCAGACCUUUUCCUGGAGUUUUUUUCAGGUACUUAAGAACCUUGUAAAUAGCUUCCAAGUGCUCUUUACAUGGAGAGUGCAUAAAUUGACUAAUAACACUUACUGCAAAGGCUAUGUCUGGCCUAGUAUGAGACAAGUAUAUCAACUUACCAACCAACCUUUGGUAACUUUCUCUAUCCACUGAUUUUCCUUCAAUUGCAUAUCCCAAUUUGUGAUAAGGAUCAAUAGGAGUGUCUCCAGGUUUGCAUCCCAACAUGCCAGUUUCCUUGAGCAAGUCUAAAGUAUAUUUCCUUUGAGAAACAAAAAUGCCUUUACUGGAUCUUGCAAUUUCCAUGCCCAAAAAGUAUCUUAAGGGUCCAAGAUCCUUUAUCUCAAAUUCUCUAGCAAGAACCUUCUUGAGAUUUUCCAUUUCUAUUACAUUGCUUCCAGUCAAGAUGACACCGUCUAUAUAUACAAUGACGAUCACAACACUACCAUCAGUGAAGUGUUUAAAAAACAUUGUAUGAUCUGCUUGACUCUGUAAAUAUCCAAAGCUACAAACAGAUUUGGUAAAUCUAUCAAACCAAGCUCGAGGAGAUUGUUUUAAGCCGUAAAGUGAUCUCUUCAGCUUGCAAACUUUUUCAAUACCAUAUUCAUUCUCAAAACCUGGUGGUAGAUCCAUAUAUACCUCCUCUUCAAGCUCUCCAUUAAGGAAUGCAUUCUUAACAUCUAACUAUUGUAAUUGCCAUCCUAGGCUUGCUGCAAGAGACAACAAAACCCGAAUGGAAUUCAUCUUUGCCACGGGAGCAAAUGUUUCUUGGUAGUCAAUGCCGUAUGUUUGUGUAAAACUUUUCGUGACGAGCCUAGCUUUGUACCGCUCAAGUGACCCAUCUGCUCUGUAUUUAACUGUAAAAAUCCAUUUGCAACCCACUGGUUUUUUUCCUUCUGGUAACUUGACUAGUUCCUAAGUUUUUUUUUUUCUAGAGCUCUCAUCUCUGCAUACACAGCAUCUCUCCAUUCUGGAAUAGAAAGAGCAUCUUGUACAGAUUUUGGAAUUACUAUAACAGACAGGUUAGCUGUAAAAGCUCUAAAAAAUGGAGAUAAUCUAUGAUAUGACACAUACUUAGAAAUUGGAUGAAGAGUACAAGACCUAGUUCCUUUCUGUUGUGCAAUUGGAACAUCUAGAUCAUUUGUAGUUUCUAAAACAGAUUCUAAAAUGUUACCGGCAAGUUCCAAGUUGCCUGUGUUUGGAUCCGAGUCUUGGCAGUGAGGAGAGGAAUGAUGAUUUGACCUUUUCGAAUUUCGUCGUGUGUAGACUUAAAGCUCUGGUUCUAGAACUCUCUCUAAUGAUUUUUCAUUAUUCACAAUUGAUGGCAUUGUAGAAGGAACACGAGUUACACAAGACAUAAUAGGCAUUGGAAGAGAAAAUUCCCAAAAAUGAUCUUCCUGAGUAUGAUCCUCCCCCUGAAGAGAAGUGUUGAGUGUUAGAAAAUGUAUAUUUAUAAGGAGAAAAUCAUCAUUUUACACUUCAAGUUUUACUAACACCCUUACUUUUAUGUAUUUAACUUUCUUUUGAUUUAAUUCCGUGUGUUUUAUUUUAAUUAAGUAUUUUAUAUAUUUUAGGGGCAUCAUAUAUAUUUCACAAUGAACGAGAGAUCAGACUGCAAAACAGACAUCAAUUUUGAAUUCAGGACGGUCAAAAACCUUAGGAGGAGCAUAAAAGGAAAAAUGGCACUAUUCACAUGUACGGUACUAUCUACGUUACUGUUAACGAUAUUGUUCAUAAAGACGGAUCGAUGACGUGACAUUAACCGAUGAUGUGGCAUUGACUGAUGAGGUGCCACGAUCCUGUUGGACUAAAAUUCUUAUGCACUGUUGAUCGAUGAUGUGGCAGCAUAUUAGUGGACCAGAAAUCUCGCGUACGGUACAUGCAUUACACGGGAUUAUUUUCAACCAAACCGCGUUACUGUUCAAGCCGGGUCAAACCGUGUUACUGUUCACCCGCGUGGUCAAACCGCGUACUGUUGACUGAUGACGUGGCGCAAUCUUGAGCGUCCAAACUGUUUUUAAUCUAAUGGCCAUUAUUUACUCCAUGUAUCUAUAAAAAGGAGGCCUCCCCCCCUAAUUUGAUAUCUCUGAAUCCAUUUUUGGGAUUCAUUUUCUGUAAUUCCUCCAUCUUGUAUUUUCUAUGUAUUUUAAUAAAUUCCUAUUUUGCCCCUAGUUCAAUUAUGAGUAGCUAAUUUUCUUUCAAGCUGGGGUUGAAGGUGAAGUCUUAACAUGUGUCAUGGCUUAAUUUCGUAAAUUUAUUUUCUUCUCCCCUCUAAUUUUUGUAGAUGAUUUGACUUUUCGUCGACAAAUAAUAAUAAUCUUGUCUAGAUACCGUCUUGGUUUCACCGGCUCUCUAGUAUAAGGUUAUUAUUAUUUGGCACGAUAAGCCCUUAAUACUAUAUUGAUUAGAGUGUGGUUCAUAAGGUGUAGAUUCCCCCCUCAUGAUUUAAUUGGUAUUAAUAAAGAAUAUUUAGCCCAUGGUGCAUGUUGAUACGGAUCUAGAUACCCAAGUACGUCAUUUCAAUAGAUUUCUCUUCAAUUUAUUCUCGCCAUUUCAAUUCCAAUUUUAGUAUAAUCUAAGUCAUUUUCACCCUAAAUCCAACCACCCAUUUAGAAAAUUAAUUCUACACACAAUUAAAAUCCACCUCCUCGUGGGAUCGACACUCGUCACCAUUAAUCUACACUACAAUAGAUUCGUGCACUUGCGAGUUCAAUAAAAUUUGCACAACAAGUUUUUGGUGCCGUUGCCGGGGAGGUAAGUUAUUUUAAUUUGUAGAAUUAAUUUUUGAGAAUAAUUUCUUUUAUUUGUUUUCUUGUAUUUUUUUCUUAUAAAAAAAAGAAAAAUAAAAAUGAAUCGACAUUUAGAGGUUAGUAUUUCUUUUCUUUUUCUCUUCUUUAAAAUUAUGUAAUUUAAUUUUCAAGUUAUUAUUUUUUUCUUCUUUGUAAUUUUUGUUUAUCUUACUAAUUCUUUUUAAUAAAUUUAUUUUACGUAUUUUUUUGUGUGUUUUUAUAGUAAGGUUGUAAUAGCGCAAUAAGGUUAGUAUCGUAAUUUCUCCUUCUUUUUUUAUUUUUAUUUGUUUUGUUCUCAUCUUUAUUUUUAUUUUAUUUGUUUUGCAUGCAUGGUCCAAGGUCAUUAUUACCUAAUCUUGAACCUAUAGACCUUGAACUUGAAAAAACACUUCGCACACACAAACAAGUCAAAAAUAAAAUGGAUUUGCAACCACAGGAGAGGCCAUUUUAGGACUAUUUUAGUCUCUUAGCUAAUUUGAGCACAUCAUACAUAAGAUACUCAAAUGUAGCUGCUAGGAGUUUUGAACUAAAAUUUAGUGUGCUAAAUUGUCUCCCAACAUUCUAUGGCUUAGAAAAUGAGGACCCAUGUAAUCAUUUGAAUGAUUUUCAUGCUAUUUGUCAAAAAUUUAAAUAUGAGAAUUUUUCAGAUGAUGAUGUAAAACUUAGACUAUUCCCAUUUUCUUUAAAGGAUAGAGCUCGUUUGGCUUAAUACAUUGUCUUCCAAUAGUAUUUCAUCAUGGGAACAAAUGGUACCAAAAUUUUUGAAUAAAUAUUUCUCAGUGCAUAAAACCAAUGCUAUUCGUAAGGAAAUUUCAGAGUUUACCCAGAGAGAAGACGAGCAGUUUUUCGAAACAUAGGAGAGAUUCAAUGGGCUACUCUUGAAGUGUCCACAUCAUGGGUACGAGAAAUGGCACCAAUGCCAAUACUUUUUGGAGGGAUUAUUGCCGAAUGUGCAAGAAUGACUAAUGGCAACAAGUGGAGGAGAGCUAAUGUCAAAAAGUGCAUCAGAGAUUUAGGAAUUCUUCCAGCGACAAGCGGAUAAUUCCCAACAACGGAGUCGAUCACUCAAGAAUACUAGAAGAAUUAAGGGAGUGAAUGAGGUUCACAUUGGCAAGUCAAGUUCAGAAAUCAAAGAAGUCAAGGAGAUGAUUGAAAGUCUCGCUCGACAAUAGCAUCGUUAUUGACUGUUAAAUCAACAAAGCCACAUGACCAUGACUCAUACUCAGAUCAAGCCAAUGCCAUAGGUGUAAUAAGAAAACCAUCAAAUUACAACCCAUACUCCAACACAUAUAAUCCUGGAUGGAGAGACCACCCCAAUUUUUCAUGGUCUCAAGGAUUCCAACAGAAUGGACCAGUAGCUCCAGCUCCACCAAUGCAACAAAUUCCUCAAGUUUCUCAAGCCUCUCAGCCACCAUUUAGACCAUACAAUCAAAACCAAAACUACUCUCAACCCAUACUAUGGGAGGAUACAUUCCAGAAUUUCAAGAAUGUUACUCACUCCACGAUUGAGUAACAGAACCGCACCAUUGAUGGACUACGAAAUGAGUUGAGAGCAGGCUUCAACCCACAAGCUCAAUCAGUUUCAAGCCUCGAGAAGAUGGUGGGACAACUUGCUUCUUCAGUUCAGACCUUGGCAAUGACUGUUGAGAAAGGCAAGUUUCCAAGUCAACCAGUGCCUAAUCCUAAAGGAGUACAUGAAGCAAGUACCAGUUCACCACAACAGCAUGGAGAGUAAAAGCAGUCAUGACCUUGCGAAAAGGAAAAGAAGUCAACAACAAAGUUGAGAUGCCGGUGACAAAAGAAAAUCAAAUUGUACCUGUGAGUGUUGAGGACUCAUCACCGAAUGAGAGAGAAGAAACCAAACCACGAGAAUACAUUCCGAAAGCUCCAUUUCCUCAGAGGUUAGGGAAGGAAAGAAGGGAAAAUCCACAGGUGAGAUUCUUGAAAUCUUCAAACAGAUAAGUGUUAACAUCCCUUUACUUGAUGUUAUAAAGCAAGUUCCAUCUUAUGCCAAAUUUCUUAAAGACCUUUGUACUAAAAAGAGAAACAUUCAUGUUCAAAAGAAUGCAUUUUUAACAGAAAACGUUAGUUCUAUACUCCAACAUAAAAUUCCUCUAAAAUGCAAAGACCCAGGCUCCCCCACUAUCUCAUGUAGCAUAUGGAACCACACAAUUGAGAAUUCUUUGUUGGAUUUAGGAGCUAGUGUAAAUCUGUUGCCUUAGUAUUUUUGAAACUUGGACUUGGAGAAUUACACCCAACUCCAGUGGUGUUACAGCUUGUAGAUCGGUCCACGAAAAUACCUCAUGGUAUUGUGGAGGACGUGCUUAUCCAAGUAGACAAGUUUUAUUUUUCUGUUGAUUUCAAUGCAAUUGACACUCAACCAAUCCAGGAUUCAAGGAAGCACAUCCCCAUUAUCCUCGGCCGACCUUUCUUGGCAACUGCGGAUGCUCACAUUCAAUGCAGAACUGGAAAUAUGCAGUUGUCCUUCGGCAACAGGACUAUGAAACUGAACUUCUUCAACAUUGCCAAACAACCUCACAAUGCAAAUGAUGAAAUUGUUGAUAUGAAUUUAAUUGAAGCAUUAGUUGAUAACACUUUUCUUUCAAACCUUAGUGAUGAUCCUUUACAAACAUGCUUAACUCACUUUGGUUUAGAUUUUUAUAUUGACAGAUCGGUCGAUGAGGUUAACGCCCUACUUGACUCAGCACCAUCCAUGGACACUAAUAAAUGGAAGUCAAGAGUUGAGCAACUAGCAUCAUCAGAGAAGAAACUCAUCCCAUCAUCAGAAUCACCACCGAAACUCGAGCUCAAACCAUUGCCCAACACUUUGGAAUAUGCAUUUUUGGGAGAAGAAAGCACUCUACCGGUAAUCAUCUCAUCAUCUCUCAACGAUGAACAAAAAGGUAAGUUGUUAGAUGUUUUAAAAGAGCACAAAGGAGCAUUAGGAUGGACUAUAGCAGACAUCAAAGGUUUUCAAGACCCCGAUUGGGAUGUCACCCUACAGGCUAGUGUAUGGAAAAGCUUGCCACCUACCUGUGGAACUCGAGCAUCGUGCAUAUUGGGCUAUCAAGAAAUUCAACUUUGACAUGCAGCAAGCCAGCUCAGAAAGAAGAUUACAGCUGGGAGAACUUGAAGAAAUUCACAAUGAUGCAUACGAAAAUGUCAAGCAACGAAUGAAAGUCUUCCAUGACAAGCAAAUUAUGAGAAAAUCAUUCACUCCAGGUCAGAAUAUUUGUGUGCUUUCUGGAUUUAACUAUGGCAAACAUAAAGAAUUCGUUGAGGCAGCCAUAGAUCUUGGCCGAAGCAUAGUAGAGAGAAAAUUACACUUGGUGUAUGGAGGAGAUAACCGAGGGUUAUCAAAAUUGGUCUCAGAAACUGCUUUUAUCAGAGGUAGCCAAGUGUUAGGCAUCAUCCCAAAAGCCCUAAAACUUUUGGGCAGUUUGAUUGACUCAUCGAUUGGAGAAGAGUUAGUCGUCUCAGAUAUGCAAGAACAAAUAACUAAAAUGCUUAAUCAUGCUUAUGCUUUUAUUUUCCUUCCAGAAGAUCCUGCAACACUAGAGGCACUUAUCACACUAGCAUUUUGGGCCCAUCUGCACAUUCACUAGAUACCCAUCGGUUUGUUAAAUGUCAAUAACUUUUAUGAUGGCUUCAUCGCAUUUCUUAGCCAUGCAAUAAAAAAUUAUUUCAUUCCUUCCAAUGUGAAAAAAUUUUUUAUUUGUGCUCACACUGCUAAUGAGCUACUUGAUCUGUUACAAGCUUAUAGACCGGAGCCAGACCCCUGGACCUUUGUGUUGGAGCGUCCAAAUAAUGAUGGUAACAGUAGCCGCAGUAAUUAGUAUUAAAAAUUGUUUAAUUAUCAAGCGAUAAUAUGUUAUUUUAUGCUUAUGUUAUAAUUUAUAUUUGUGUUUAUGUAAUAUAUUAUGAAUUAUUAAUUAUGUGUUCAAUAUAUUUAAUUUUGUGUAUUUUUAUGUGUUUAUUAGGAAAAUAUUAAUUUCACGUACUUCGAGGCUCCAAACAAAUAAACGGAGGUCAAAUUUAGAUUUCAGAGGUUCGAAAACCUUAAGAUCAGUCAAGAUCGGCUUAAAAUUGGGCUUGUGUAAAAAAAAGUUGACUUUUCCUGUUGACCGAGCACUGAUUGGAUGAUGAAAUGAGCUUACAAUAGAUAUGAGUGCAUGGGAUAGCUGGCAAUCUUGACUAAAUCUCAACCGUUCAUGAUUCAAUGGUCAUGAUUGUGCCCCGUGGCAAUGGUUGGUGAAGCAAGUUGGAGGAUCCGAAUCUUUGUAUUCGGGUCGACCCGAUCCACCCAUUAACCCGCCAAAUCUCAACCGUUCUUUGGGCAAAUCGGACGAGUCAAAUGAUACCACGUGUGAUGUUGACUUUUGAAGUUUGAGCAGCCAUUGGAUCUUGAUCUAAGGGUUGUGAGGAGCACAUGCAUGAAGCCUAUGAUGGACCGCAAAGCACUGGAUUAUGAAUUUAUUUUUCUAUAAAUAGAGCCUUAUUUUUAUGUUUUAAUCAUCUCUCUACAACUCUCUUCUUCUCAAAUUAUCUCCAUCUCCUUGUAAUCUUGAUUUCCAGGUGUGUUUUUAAUAUUUUAUAUAAUUAUUUUUAUAAAUAAAAUUAGUUUUAUUUCCAAUUUUAGUUGUUUUUAUUUCUUUUAAUUAUAAGUAAUUCAAUUUUAUUACUUCUUUUUAUUUUAAUUAUGCUUAACUAAAUAAUAUUAAUUAGGGGAAGGUGAAACUCUUAGGAAAUAAAUAUGAUUUAAGCAAAUUCUAUUCUUAAUUUUAUAAAUUAAAUUAUUUUCUAUUUAAUUUUAUACAUAUUUUAUAUUUUGAAAUUUUGAUUUAUUGUAGACAAACAAAUGAAUUUGGCACAAUAAAUUCUUAAUAUCUUAAUAUAAGGUAUGGUAAAAUGGUAUUUUGACUUAUUGUAGACAAAUUAAAUUUUGGCACAAUAAAUACUUAAUCCAUCAUAAAAUUAAAGGGAAAAUAACAAUAAUUUAUAUAAUUAAUCUUUUGGGCAAUAAUGUAAAAAAAAAGGGCAAAAAGAAUUUAUUAAGUUUUAUUUACUUCUAAGAGUUGAUCCAUAACCCUAACUAGUUCAAUUUCAUAGUUUCAUUUAAAUUAAGUUUUUUGUAUUUAAGUUUUAAUUUCAAUUUUUAGUUAAAAUAAAGUAAACUAAUUAAAUCUUUUCUCUGUGGAUCGACCUCGAACUCACCGAGUUAUAAUACAACAAGACACUUUUAUACUUGAGAGUUAAAAAUUACUUUUAAGUUGUGUCAAGUUUUUGGCGCCGUUGCCGGGAAAAGUUUUUAUUUUGCUUUAUUUUUUUGGUUUUUGAUUUUUCUCUUUAUGUAAAUUUUCGUUUGUCCCCUUUUUUUUUCUUAAAUUCUCUUUUGUCCUCAUAUCUUUCAUAAUUCUCGUUUCACCCCAACAAGCCCAUUUCUAGCCCAAUUUCUAGUAAUUACAUUCUGACCCCAACAUCUUUCAGUCGUUUCAUUUUCAUCCCAAAUUGCUAAUUCUAAACUUCUAAAAAUUACAAUUUGACCAUAAAAUUAAAAAUAAUUUGCAAUAGAAUCCCUAGACGAUUCCUCAAAAUAAUUAAGACUUGGACAUACUUUGGACAUAUUUGGACUUAUUUUGGACUUAAUUUGGACCAAACUAACUUUAACUACUAACUCUAAUUACUAACUCUUAACUUACUAACUGCUAACUCCUAACUUUUUUUUAAUUUCAUUUAUUUAAUUUUCUGCAUUUAUUUUAUUUCGUAUUUAUUUGUUUAUUUUUGCUUUAUUGGUGGGUUUAACCACCAAACUAACUACUAACUACUAACUCUUAACUUUUAUUUUCAGUUAUUUAAUUUUAAGAAUUUAUUUAAUUUUGCUUUUUUUUUAAUUGGUGGGUUCAACCACCAUUUUUUUUCUUUUUCUUUUUCUUUCUCUUGCAUUUAUUUUAUACGUAAUUUAUUGUUAAUUGGUGGGUUCAACCACCAAAAUUGUUAUUUAAUUUUCUUUUGUACACUUAUAUUAUUUGCUUAUUUUUUAUUUAUUUUUUUAUUUUAUUAUCAAUUUGUGUAAAUAUUAUCUUUAUAACAUAACCAUUGCAUGAGGCGUUGGUCUCGAUCUUCAAGUGAGAAUCAAGGAUGGAUGAGAAUCAAGGCGAAAACGUUUUGGGCAAACUUAAUCCUCAAAUUGAUCAGGGAGACAACCAAUCUCAACAUGGGCAUGAUCAGAAUCAACCAAGGACUCUGAGAGACUACAUGAAUCCAACCAGAACCGGAGCACCGUCGUGUAUAGUAUUUCCUCCAGAAGCAUCUCGAUUUAAUUUUAAACCAGGUAUUAUCCAACUUUUACCAACAUUUCAUGGUUUAGAAUCUGAGAAUCCGUACUUGCAUCUAAGAGAUUUUGAGGAAGUUUGUAAUACAUACACGGACCAAAAUUGUAGCAUGAACAUAAUUAAAUUAAAACUUUUUCCUUUUUCAUUAAAAGAUAAAGCUAAAACUUGGCUACAAAACCUUAGAUCUGGAUCAGUAAGAACUUGGAAUAACAUGUAAGAACAGUUUUUGAAAAAAUUCUUUCCACCUCAUAGAACAAAUUCUUUUAAAAGGCAAAUCACUUCUUUCACUCAAAAAAAUGGAGAAACAUUAUACCAAUGUUGGGAUAGGUUUAAAGAGUUGCUUAACAUAUGCCCACAUCAUGGUUUUGAAACUUGGCGAUUGGUCACUUACUUCUACGAGGGCUUAAUACCCCAAAGUAGACAGGUUGUUGAAAUGAUGUGUAAUGGUGAAUUUAGGGAUAAAAAUCCUGAAGAUGCACUAGAUUACCUUGACCAAUUAGUUGAAAAUGCACAACAUUGGGAUACUGUUGGAACUUUUGAAUUGACAAAUAAGCAACAAUUAUCUCCAUCUAGUGGAGGAAUCCAUAACCUUAGGGAAGAUCAUGAUUUACAAGCAAAAUUUGCAUCCCUAGUUAGGAAAGUUGAAGCUUUGGAGUAUAAAAAGAGUGAUCAAGUAAAAUAUGUUCAAGAAAUUAUAUGUAACAUAUGUAAUUCGAAUGAUCAUUUCACUCAAGAGUGUCCCACUUUGCCUGCACUUAAAGAAUGUCUAAAUGAUCAAGCUAAUGUCAUUAACACUUUCAAUAAACCAAACCCAUAUUCACAGACUUAUAAUCCUGGUUGGAGAAAUCAUCUGAAUUUCAGUUGGAGGAAUAAUAAUAAUGCACAAUCUUCACAAGCACCACCUCUACAAAAUUUUCAAAAUCCUCAGCCUUAUGCACCAUAUGUUCCACCACCCUGGAAAAAUCUGGAAGACACAAUACAUUUAUUCAUCAGAAAGCAAGAUGUUAUUAACAAUCAAAAUGCACAAACUUUUUCUGAUUUGAAAGAUACUCUUGCUAAAAUUGCUUCUGCACUCACCAUUCAAGAAAAAGGAAAAUUUCCAGCCCAACCACAACCAAAUCCUAAAAUUCAACAAAAUCCACUCACAGACCAAGUCAAGUCAGUUAUAACUCUUCGUAGUGGUAAGGUUGUUGAUAGACCUAUGCCUGAACCUUAUGAAAAUGAUGAAAAUUCAAAGGGUAAGGAAGGACUAAAUGAACUUACACCUAGUGAAGAAAUAACUAGUGUUCCAUCUGAACCACCAUUUCCGCAUGCAUUGAAUAAACCAAAGAAAUCAAACCACUCUUUUGAAAUUUAUGAAAUCUUUAAGCAAGUGAAAGCUAACAUUCCUCUAUUAGAUGCAAUCAAGCAGGUUCCUUCAUAUGCCAAAUUUUUAAAGGACUUGUGCACUAUUAAGAGGAAAUUGAAGGUAAGAAAGAGUGCUUUCAUGGCCGAACAGGUAAUUACAAUUUUGUUUACUAAUAAUAAGUUGAAAUAUAAAAGAUCCUGAUUGUCCUACUAUUUCUUGUAUUAUUGGUAACCACAUAAUUGAGCAUGCUUUACUAGAUCUUGGUGCUAGUGUUAAUUUACUUCCAUAUUCAGUUUAUCUUCAACUUAAUCUUGGUGAGUUAAAAUCAACUUCAACUACAUUUUUACUUGCCGAUAGAUCAGUUAAAGUACCAAAAGGAAUAGUGAAAGAUGUUUUAGUAUAAGCUGAUAAAUUUAUUUAUCCUGUGGAUUUUAUUAUCUUGGAAACUGAACCUGUUGUGAAUAAUUACAAACCAAUUCUUGUAAUUUUAGGUCGACCAUUUUUAGCAACUGCUAAUGCUUUGAUUAAUUGUAGGAAUGGUUUAAUGAAUUUAUCCUUUGGGAAUAUGACUUUGGAAUUGAAUGUUUUCAACAUGUGCAGGCAACCUAAUGAAGAAAAUAAGAAUGAAGAUGAUACUGAUGAACAAAAGGAAUUGUUUGAAUCUUGUAUCGAGGAAAAUAUUCAAAAAGGGGAUUUUUCUAAACUCUCAAAUGUUUGUUUAGUUAAUUCAAUUGAGUCAAAUAAGCAACUUGAACUUAAUAUUUCUAAUAUAAAUUCGUUGCUUGAUUCUGUGCAGACUUCACAAAAUUAUGAUGACGAGCCAAAAUUUGAGGAGCUUGGAAGUAUUGAAAAGACAGAACAACAAGAAGUGCCUAAAAUGGAAUUGAAACAUUUGCCUGAAGGAUUGAAAUAUGCUUUUCUUGGAGAAGAACAAACUUAUACUGUUGUGAUUUCUUCUAUUUUAACAAGCGACCAAGAAGGUAAGUUACUAAAUGUUCUUAAAAAGUAUAAAAAUGCAAUUGGAUGGACUUUAAAUGAUAUUAAAGGCAUUAAUCCCCUAAUCUGCACUCAUAGAAUUAAUUUGGAAGAAAAUGCUAAAACAUGUCAACAACCUCAAAGAAGAUUAAACCCACACAUGAAAGAGGUAGUCAAAACAGAAGUCUUUAAAUUGCUUGAUGUGGGAAUUAUCUACCCUAUUCUUGAUAGUAAGUGGGUAAGUCCUACACAAGUAGUGCCAAAAAAAUCUAGAAUCACUGUUGUUAAAAAUGAAAAAGGUGAAUUAAUUCCAAUACGAAUUACAUCUAGUUGGCGCAUGUGCAUUGACUAUAGAAAAUUAAAUGAAGCCACUAGAAAAGAUCAUUUUCCAUUACCAUUCCUUGACCAAAUCUUAGAAAGAGUAGCAGGACAUCCCUACUACUGUUUUUUAGAUGGAUAUUCGGGCUAUUAUCAAAUUCCUAUAGCACUCGAGGACCAAGAAAAGACCACAUUUACAUGUCCAUUUGGAACAUUUGCAUUUAAAAGAAUGCCAUUCGGGCUUUGUAAUGCUCCUGCAACAUUUCAAAGAUGUAUGUUAAGCAUUUUUUGUGAUAUGGUUGAACAUUGUUUAGAGGUCUUUAUGGAUGAUUUGAUUGUGUUUGGGAAUUCUUUUAAUGAUUGCCUCGAUAAUUUGGAUAAAGUUUUAAAAAGAUGUGUUGAAAAAGAACUCGUGUUGAAUUGGGAAAAAUGUCACUACAUGGUUACUUCUGGAAUUGUUUUGGGUCAUGUUGUUUCUAUUAAAGGAAUUGAAGUUGACAAAGCAAAAAUCGAAGUCAUAUCUAAAUUGCCACAACCAAAAACAGUUAGAUAUGUGCGAUCUUUUUAGGACAUGCAGGAUUUUAUAGGAGGUUUAUAAAAAACUUUAGUGCCAUAUCUAAACCACUUUAUAACCUCUUAUUAAAAGAUGCAUCGUUUGAAUGGAAUGAUGAUUGCCAAAAAUCUUUUGAAAAAAUAAUUUGUCUUUUAACAUUUGCACCUAUUAUGCAAUCUCCUAAUUGGUCUUUGCCAUUUGAAUUAAUGUGUGAUGCAAGUGAUUUUGCUGUUGGUGCUGUUUUAGGACAAAGAAGGGAUGGUAAGCUUUUUGUGAUUUAUUAUGCGAGUAAGACUUUGGAUAGUGCUCAAAUGAAUUAUUCUACAACUGAAAAAGAAUUACUUGCUGUGGUAUUUAUAUUAAACAAAUUCCGUUCAUAUUUGCUUGGCUCUAAAUCUGUUGUGUUUACUGACCACGCUGCUGUGAGAUAUUUGAUGAGUAAACAGGAUGCCAAACCGAGACUAAUUCGUUGGAUUUUGUUACUACAAGAAUUUGACCUUACCAUCAAAGAUAAAAAGGGUGCUAAAAAUGUUGUUGCUGAUCAUCUAUCAAGACUCGCAUAUGAAUUCUGCAAUGAUAUAACACCUAUAAAUGAUUCUUUCCUUGAUGAAUUUUUAUUUUCUGUUACUUCAAUGCCAUGGUAUGCUAAUAUUGUUAAUUUUCUUGUUAUAGGUAAAAUACCUUUGCAAUGGAAUGCUCAAGAGAAGAAGAAAUUUUUUGUUGAAGUAAAGAAAUUUUAUUGGGAUGACCCUUAUUUGUUCAAGUAUUGCCCAGAUCAAAUUUUUCGGCGAUGUAUUCCUGAUAAUGAGAUAAGUAGUGUCAUUAAUUUUUGUCAUUCUAAAGCAUGUGGUGGUCACUUUUCUUCAAGAAAAACUACUGCUAAAAUUUUACAGUGUGGAUUAUUAUUGGCCUACUAUGUUUAAAGACACAUAUGAAUUCUGCAAAAGUUGUGAAAAAUGUCAAAAAUUGGGAUCAAUUACAAAAAGAAACAUGAUGCCCUUAAAUCCCAUACUUGAAAUUGAAAUAUUUAACUGUUGGGGAAUUGAUUUCAUGGGUCCAUUUCCAUCAUCUUUUAGAUUUGUGUAUAUAUUAAUUGCAGUUGAUUAUGUCUCAAAAUGGAUUGAAGCAAUUUCUUGUCGAAAUAAUGAUAUUAAAACUGUGAUUAAAUUUUUAAGAGAAAACAUUUUAAGUCGAUUUGGAAUCCCUCAAGCCAUUAUCAGUGAUGGAGGUAAGCAUUUCUGUAAUAAGUCAUUUGAGUCUUUAAUGAAGAAAUAUGAAAUUACACAUAAAAUUGCUACCCCUUAUCAUCCUCAAACAAAUGGUCAAGUUGAAUUAGCAAAUAGGGAGAUAAAACAAAUUUUGGAAAAAACAGUUAACCCAAACCGAAAAGAUUGGUCUCUUAGACUUAAUGAUGCACUUUAGGCUUACCGUAUUGCAUUUAAAACGUCAUUAGUAAUGUCACCCUAUCAGUUAGUUUAUGGUAAACCUUGUCAUUUACCUGUUGAACUUGAACAUAAAUCACUUUGGGCUAUUAAAGCUUUUAAUUCAAAUUUGGAUGAUGCUGGUAAUGUGCGAAAAUUGCAAUUGAAUGAACUUGAGGAAUUAAGGAAUGAUGCAUAUGAAAAUUCAAGAAUUAUUAAGGCAAGAAUAAAAGCAUUUCAUGAUAAAAGAAUUUUUCGAAAAACAUUUGAGAUUGGUCAAAAAGUGUUGCUUUAUAAUUCUCGUCUUCAUUUAUUUCCAGGGAAGUUAAAGUCAAAAUGGAAUGGUUCAUUUGUUGUAAAAAAUGUAUAUUCACAUGGGGCCAUAGAAAUUGAGAAUCCAAAGAAUGGUGUCACAUUUAAAGUUAAUGGUCAAAGAUUAAAAUCAUAUCUGGAACAUCACCCACAUCACGAGGACACCGAAAUUAAUUUGGGUAACCCACCAGUUCUUGAUUAAGUCUUUAAUGAUUUAUUUUAUUUUAAUUUUUUUGUUUUACAUUCUUUUACUGUUUCAUUGUUUGAUUUUUUUUCUUUUUCUCUCGAUUGAUGCACUGUACAUAGUUUUUGUUUAACAUUAUUUUUCUUGUGUAAGCGUGUUUGUUUGACAGUUGUACAUUCUCUCAUCAAUUUUCAUUUUACAUCAUGAGCACCUCAAUGAGAAAAUUCUUGUUUGCACAUCUUAAAAGAUUUCUGCAUAUAAAAUUUCACUUAAGAGGCCUGAUACAAAGCUGUAAAUCACAUCCACUUUGGGAUCUGCAACCACCAGAAUUCGUGUCCUAUGUUGAGGAUCUAGAGGGACAACUUAGAACAUUAGAGAGUGGCAUAUAUGAAUUUUAAAUGGAGCUUGGGUUAACUCAAUGAGAGGACGAAUGUAAGUUCAUUUUCCUUUUAUAUUGUGUGCUUCUUUUUGCUCGCUUUCACGCUUGAUUUGAUUUUACAAAUUUGAUUUUGGUGUGUUUUGAUUUAUUUUCCCGUAUAAAUGGCGGAUAACGGUACUCUGUGACUUCUUAAGUCGGUAUCUUCAGUUUCCCACAAUAACUGAAACCCCAAAAUCAAACAUAGAAGAAAUACAACAUAAACUCCAUAAGCAUUUUCCCUCUCUCCCUCAGAAUGCCCUCAGGAAAAUUUACAAAGCUCGUUGUGAACGACUGCGUUUGUUAAUGAUCAAUGGCAUUCCUUCUGACAUUCGUUGGUUAAUUGAAGCAAAGGUCCAAUUAGCAGGUGAGUUUUCUGGUCCAUUUGUUUCUUACAUGGCUGGUUUUGGUAAAAGUACGUUUGCUAAGAAAAGGAGAGCUAAACGACUUGGCUCAAAAUGUCAUAACUGUGUAAGACUUGGUUGCAAACGACCAGAUUGUAAAUCUUUAGGAAUGGUUUCUGAUACUCGUGAAGAUAAAAUUAAAUUCGUUAAAAAUGGCAUGUGUAAAGAAUCGUUGGAUGAUAUCUUACGAUCUCUUGAGACGCAUCGAAGCAGAUUUGUGUAACGUGAGAUUUAUAAUUUGUGGAUACUAUUCUAAAAAUAAAGUGCACAGUUUAGUCUUGGGAAUCUGACUCAAAAAGACCAUGUUUGCCAGUUUAUAAGAAAACUGGAUGGGAAGCCGAUCCUUGACCCAUAGAGGGCGUUCAAGCCGUUACUGGACGUAAAACCAGAGAAAGAUGUGAGCCACAAUCACAACUACCAGUAAAUAUCCUUUCACUUCACUGUUAUUUUACUUUACUGUUAUUUUAUCAUUUGCAUUAUUGCAUUUAGUGAUGUGAUUUUGUAUUUAAUAAAUAUUUGGUUUCUUUUACUGUUUACUUUUUCUAAUUAUUAUUUUCUUUUCACCGUUUGUUUUUGAAUUAUUGAGCCACGAGCUUUACUCGUCAUUUGACAAAUAUGCCAACCCAUUUACAGCUAUUUCUUAUUAUUUAUAUCACCAAGAUCUUUAAAUAUGAGCUCAUUUUUCAAACACUCAUAACUUGUUUUUGAAAAAUUUGUCCAAUGGCAGCAUCUUCGAGUAAACAAUUCAAAAAUAUUUGUGUGCUUUCUGGGUUUCAUUAUGGAAAGUACAAAGAGUUUGUUCAGGCAACUGUAGAUCUUGGUCGUGUCAUAGCAGAGAGGAAACUGCAUAUUGUAUAUGGAGGAGGUGAACGAGGGUUAUCAAGACUUGUCUCAGAAGCUGUUUUUACCAGAGGAAGCCAAGUACUCGGCAUUAUCCCAAAACCCAUGAAACCGCUAGUGUGCAUGUCUGGUCUACCAAUUGGAGAAGAAUUAGUGGUAUCAAGUAUGCAAGAGAGAAUAUCUGAAAUGAUGAAUCAUGCUGAUACUUUUAUUUUCUUGCCAGGAGAUCUUGCAACUUUUGAGGCACUGAUUACAUUUGCAUCUUGGGCCCACUUGAACAUUCAUCAAAAACCCAUCGGUUUGUUAAAUGUUACUAAUUUUUAUGAUGGCUUGCUAACUUUUAUUAACCAUGCAAUAAAGAAUCAUUUUGUUCCACAUUCUUUGAAAAAACUCUUUAUCUCUGCUUCUACUGCUAAUGAGUUACUUGAUCUUUUACAAGCUUAUACACCAGAGCCAGAUCCAAAGACUUUUGCACUGAAUUGGUCGACUGAUGAUGGUAGCAGUAACAGUAGCAGUAAUAAGAAGUGCGAUUUAGAUUUAACUCUCCGUCUGUAAAUAUUUUCUGUUGUAGUGUUCAUGUGUUGUCUUCUAAACUCUUUCUCUUUCCUUUUAAAACAUUAAGGACAAUGUCUUUUUCAGGUUGGGGGGAGAGAAUAGUUGAUAAUUGUGGAAUGUCUUAGUCCUGGUGAUGUGUUUACAAAAAUAAAAAUAAAAAUUUUUUUUUCUGUAAAGACUAACUUAGGACAAAUUUGAGUCGAAGAUGGCAGGAUAUAGAGAAUGUAGUACCUCUAGAAACGCAUCUUCUUAAUCUUAAGGGUGUUAUUAAAAAAAAAAUUGAAUUUCUCUUCAUCUUUGUUAUCUGCUUGUAAGCUUCUGCAUCAAGUUCAGGUGAGAUCUCCUCUUCUUCUUCUUUUAUUAUUCUCUUUUAUUUUUAUUUUUUUUGCAUAUUUGUAAAAUUAUAAAAUGUUAAGAUAAUGUUUAGAUUAGGUUGUGGGGUGGGGAUAAUUGACGAAUGUUUUAAAUAUGUGGGGUGUGUUGUUUUUCACUUUUCUCUUUUCUUUUCUUUGUUGAAAAAAAAACAAAAAAAAAACAUUUUUAUUUUGUCUAGGAUGGCCGUGUAAAGAGUCACGACUUUUGAGACGCAUCCUAAUAGUCUUGUUGUAUUAUAUUUUGAUUUUGAGAUUCAUAGUAAAUUAUUUUUGUUCCCUUUUCUUUGAAUUACUCGAAUUUGUGAACUCUCCAAUUGGUUAUUAAGUUAUUUAAUUGUUUACUCAUUUAACAGGUAUUAUUGAAUCAUUCUUGAUGCAGCGGAAGUUUAAUGUUCAAAAUAUUCCGUUGAUUCUAGAGAAUACCAGAAUAAAAGAACAGCUAAAUUCACGUUGAUUCAAAAGAAUACCGCGAACUUAGGGAUUUAAGACUCAUUGAUUCCGCAGAAUACCGAGAAUUAACUGUUCAAAUACUCACAAAGAGAUUUGAAAAUUGAAAUAUUAUUGAACUCAAAAUUCUGCCUCUAUAGGCUACAAGAGGGAGCUAUUUAUAGUAGUAGUAAUUAUCCUAAUUUAUGAAGUAAAAACAAAAUCCUAAAUUGAAAGAGAAACAAAAUUCUAAAUUAGAAAGGAAUUUAAAAGUCUUAAACUUUAGUUAAUAAGGAAACUAAUCCUCGUAUAAUAUAGAUUCCUACUCUUCAUCAAUUCUUUACACACACACACUAUGACACAUACUAGUGGGUUGUAAGUUAAAAUUUUACAGCAUUUAGUUCUUUUGAUUUAUUAGGAAUAGUAUCUAAGGUAGUAGAAAGUGUAUAUUUCCAAAAAAAAAAAAAGUAGAAAAAAAUUGUUUUUAAUUUUUCCAUGUCUAGAACCCGAGUAAUUAAGUCCAUAGGGGUGCUUCAACACCUAGUGUCCUAAAGUCAACUGGUCUAGGAGUCACUGACCUAAAGCUCACUACAUGGGUAAUAGAUAUAUUGUUUGUUUAUUAGAAACCCGAGUAAUUAAGUCCGUAGGGGUGCUUCAACACGUAGUGCCAUAAGGCCAACUGGUCUGGGAGUCACUGACCUAAAGCUCGCUACACGGGUUAGAAAUGUAAUAUUUUAAAAAUAUGUGUGAAUAAUAUAUUGCUUAAAGAUAUAAUUUCUAAUGAAUUUUGGAACGAAAAUGUUGUUUUUCUUUUAAUGAAGCCUCAUAAGUAUUGUGUUAAUUACUUGAGCACAAAAGAAGGUUUAAUGAUAUUUUAGAUAAUGAGUGAACAUCAAUGUGGUAAAGAAAUCUGGGAGAGUUCAUUUAUUUAGUAAUUUGAAGGAUGGAUGAACAACUAUUAACUUGCAUGUGAAUUUUAUAAAUCUUAAUUUAAUAUAACGCUUUAAUUGCUAGAGGGCUAGCAAUAAGCUGGUUGGGGGGGUGUGAUUAGUAUUAAAAAUUGUUUAAUUAUCAAGCAAUAAUAUGUUAUUUUAUGCUUAUGUUAUAAUUUAUAUUUGUGUUUAUGUAAUAUAUUAUGAAUUAUUAAUUAUGUUUUCAAUAUAUUUAAUUGUGUAUUUUUAUAUGUUAUUAGGAAAAAUAUUAAUUUCACGUACUUCGAGACUCCAAACAGAUAAACGGAGGUCAAAUUUAGAUUUUAGAGGUCCGAAAACUUUAAGAUCAGUCAAGAUCGGCUUAAAAUUGGGCUUGUGUAAAAAAAAUUAACUUUUCCUGUUGACCGAGCACUGAUUGGAUGAUGAAAUGAGCUUACAAUAGAUAUGAGUGCAUGGGAUAGCCGGCAAUCUUGACUAAAUCUCAACUGUUCAUGAUUCAAUGGCCAUGAUUGUGCCAUGUGGCAAUGGUUGGUGAAGCAAGUUGGAGGAUCCGAAUCUUUAUAUUCGGGUCGACCCGAUCCACCCAUUAACCCGCCAAAUCUGAACCGUUCUUUGGGCAAAUCGGACGAGUCAAACGAUGCCAUGUGUGAUGUUGACUUUUGAAGUUUGACCAGCCAUUGGAUCUUGAUCUAAGGGUUGUGAGGAGCACAUGCAUGAAACCUACGAUGGACCGCAAAGCACUGGAUUAUGAAUUUAUUUUUCUAUAAAUAGAGCCUCAUUUUUAUGUUUUAAUCAUCUCUCUACAACUCUCUUCUUCUCAAAUUUUCUCCAUCUCCUUGUAAUCUUGAUUUCCAUGUGUGUUUUUAAUAUUUUGUAUAAUUAUUUUUAUAAAUAAAAUUAGUUUUAUUUCCAAUUUUAGUUGUUUUUAUUUCUUUUAAUUAUAAGUAAUUCAAUUUUACUACUUCUUUUUAUUUUAAUUAUGCUUAACUAAAUAAUAUUAGUUAGGGGAAGGUGAAACUCUUAGGAAAUAAAUAUGAUUUAAGCAAAUUCUAUUCUUAAUUUUAUAAAUUAAAUUAUUUUCUAUUUAAUUUUAUACAUAUUUUAUAUUUUGAAAUUUUGAUUUAUUGUAGACAAACAAAUGAAUUUGGCACAAUAAAUUCUUAAUAUCUUAAUAUAAGGUAUGGUAAAAUGGUAUUUUGACUUAUUGUAGACAAAUUAAAUUUUCGCACAAUAAAUACUUAAUCCAUCAUAAAAUUAAAGGGAAAAUAAUAAUAAUUUAUAUAAUUAAUCUUUUGGGCAAUAAUGUAAAAAAAAGAAGGGCAAAAAGAAUUUAUUAAGUUUUAUUUACUUCUAAGAGUGGAUCCAUAACCCUAACUAGUUCAAUUUCAUAGUUUCAUUUAAAUUAAGUUUUUUAUAUUUAAGUUUUAAUUUCAAUUUUUAGUUAAAAUAAAGUAAACUAAUUAAAUCUUUUCUCUGUGGAUCGACCUCGGACUCACCGAGUUAUAAUACAACAAGACACUCUUAUACUUGGGAGUUAAAAAUUACUUUUAAGUUGUGUCACGCAGUAAGAAGUACAAAUUAGAUUUAACUCUCCGCCUGUAAAUAUUUUCUUCUGUGUUACACCACCCAGGUGAUGUCCUCUAAACUCUACUUCUUUCCUUUCAAACAUUGACGACAAUGUUUCGUUCUGGUUGGGGGGAGGGAAUAGUCGACAAUUAGGGAAUCUUGGUUAAGUUUUUACUAAUUUUUUGUUGUAGAAACUAAUUGUUGCUAACUUUUUGUGUUGAAGAUGGCUGAAUAUGGAGUGUAGUGACUCUAGAAACGCAUCUUCAUCAUUUGAAAAAAACAAAACAAAAAAAAUUCAAAAAAAAUAAAAAAAAUUCAGACAUUUUCUUUUUCUUUAGUAAGUUUUGAUAUUCAUUUUUCUUGUUCUUUAAUUUCUCCUUUAUAAAUAUACAUUUUUAAAUAUUUGAGUUGAAGAUAGAUGAAUAUGAAGUGUAGUGCCUCUAAAAACGCAUCUUCUUAGUAAAAAAAAAAAAAAAACCAUUUUCUUUUUCUAUCAUUUUAAGUGUAACUUUUCUGAUUAGUUUUUCUACUUCAUUUUCACAUUUCUGCAUGCAUAUUUUCCUUUUAUGUUUAGAAUAGGUUGGGGGGUAGAAUAUUCUUUAAAAAAAAUUGUGUGAUUUGUUUUAACAUUGAAUGACAUGAUUAAUUUCAAAUUUUAGUAUUUAUUUUAUCUUUGGUCUUAAGUGAUGUUACACUAUGUUUGCUACUCUACAUGUUGAUGUCGGAGACAAAUAUGAGUUGCUUGAAAGAAUGAACAUGUCAUAAUAAGUACCAAGUGAGUUUUUAAGCCUAUUAUUUUUCUUGGAGAGUAACCCUUUUGCCCAUUCUUUAUACAGCUUAACAGUUUAUUAUUGUAUACACGAUCUCUAGAUUUCUUUUGAGUUAACCCUUAAAAAAAAUUGUAAAAUUAAAAAAAAAAAGAAAAAAAUGUGUGUUGCUACAUUUGAAUGCCCAUCUAACUAGUAGAUAUGGAAGGUUAUUUAGAGCCCUAAAAGACGAUGGAAAGGCCAUCUUUGAUCCGUUUGAGCCUUUCUAGCCAUCCAUUUUAUCAAAUAUCCAUAGUCAACCCUUUUGAGCCUUAAAAAAAAAAAAAAAUUUCUUUGUCAAACUUAUCAUCUUGACCCACUCCGAUUUGGAGUAUUACCCAAUAUCUUACAAGUUCCAUCACCUAUUUAUAUUUGAGAAAAAUGUAAAUAAAUAAUUUGUACAGUGAAGUUAUGCUAAAAAAAAAAAUUGUUAGUUCAAAAAAAAGAAGAAAAAAAUAACAAUAAUAGGUGAAAUCCACCUUGCAACUUCUGAAAAAAAAAAUUCCUCUGCAUUUUUCUCAAACAUACACUUUAUUUUCCUUAUUUCUCUUCUUUGUUAACCAUGUCCCUAGCCUACGUUACGUCAUAAUAAAAGUUCUUCUUGAUUUUACGGAAUUAUAGUCUGAAGUAGAAGCUAGUUAUAUGGGCUAAAAAGAUGUAGUGGUGUAUAAAAAAAUAAUAAUAAUAAAUAAAUUGGGCUGACUAGCAUUUUUAUUUGACUUGAGAUCGUAUUAUUUCUAAGCUGAGGGCAUAUUUCUUUCAUCUUGGUGAGAGCACGUGAUAUCAUUUCUUUAUUAUUUUCUCUCAAUUACCAUUCAUUGCAGUUACUAUUUUUAUUGGGUAUAAUUUCUUUGUGAGAGUGUCACUAUAUCCAGUGAGAUUUUGGGAUUUAACAUGUCAUUCUUGAAAGUAGCUGUGACAAAGUCUACUGGUCUGAUUCAUGUGGAUGGUUGAUGUGGGUGUGAUGUUUCUUUAGAUUGGAGAUAAUGCUUAUACUUUUAUUUGAUUACUAUCAUUAGUCUAAUUGAAUAAACAUGAGUGUUAAAAAAAAAUAUUAUUUUGGAUUUAAAUUUUGUUUUCGCUUUAUUUGCUAAGGACUAGCAAUAAGUUGGUUGGGAGGUGUGUUGAGUGUUAGAAAAUGUAUAUUUGUAAAGGAGAAAAUCGUCAUUUUACACUUUAAAUUUUACUAACACCCUUACUUUUAUGUAUUUAACUUUCUUUUGAUUUAAUUCCGUGUGUUUUAUUUUAAUUAAGUAUUUUAUGUAUUUUAGGGGCAUCAUAGUCAUUUCACAAUGAACGAGAGAUCAGACUGCAAAACGAACAUCAAUUUUGAACUCAGGACGGUCGAAAACCUUAGGAGGAGCAUAAAAGGAAAAAUAGUACUGUUCACAUGUACGGUACUAUUCACAUAUACGAUACUGUCUACGUUACUGUUCAUGACACUGUUCAUAUAGACGGAUCGAUGAUGUGGCAUUGACCGAUGAUGUGGCAUUGACUGAUGAGGUGUCACGAUCCUGUUGGACUAAAAUUCUUAUGUACUGUUGAUCGAUGACGUGGCAGCAUAUUAGUGGACCAGAAAUCUCGCGUACGGUACAUGCAUUACACAGGAUUAUUUUCAACCAAACCGCGUUACUGCUUAAGCCGGGUCAAACCGUGUUACUGUUCACCCACGUGGUCAAACCGCGUACUGUUGACUGGUAACGUGGCGCAAUCCUGAGCGUCCAAACUGUUUUUAAUCCGAUGGCCAUGAUUUACUCCAUGUAUCUAUAAAAAGGGGGCCUCCCCCCUAAUUUGAUAUCUCUGAAUCCAUUUUUGGAAUUCAUUUUCUGCAAUUCCUUCUCCAUCUUGUAUUUUCUACGUAUUUUAAUAAAUUUUCAUUUUGCCCCUAUUUCAAUUAUGAGUAGCUAAUUUUCUUUCAAGUUUAGGUUGAAGGUGAAGUCUCAACAUGUGUCAUUGGCUAAUUUGGUAAAUUUAUUUUCUUCUCUCCUCUAAUUUUUGUUGAAAAUUUGACUUUUCGUCGACAAAUAAUAAUAAUCUUGCCUAGAUACCGCCUUGGUUUUACUGGCUCCCUAGUACAAGGUUAUUAUUAUUUGGCACGAUAAGCCCUUAACACCAUAUUGAUUAGAGUGUGGUUUAUGAGGUGUGGAUUCCCCCCUCAUGAUUUAAUUGAUAUUAAUAAAGAAUAUUUAGCCCAUGACGCAUGUUGAUACGGAUCCAGAUACCCAAGUACGCCAUUUCAAUAGAUUUCUCUUCAAUUUAUUCUUGCCAUUUCAAUUCCAAUUUUAGUAUAAUCCAAGUCAUUUUCACCAUAAAUCCAACCACCCAUUUAGAAAAUUAAUUCUACACACAAUUAAAAUCCACCUCCUCGUGGGAUCGACACUCGUCACUAUUAAUCUACACUACAAUAUAUUUGUGCACUGAGUUCAAUAAAAUUUGCACAACAAGAAGUUUUGGGAAAGAAAGACCUAUUUUCAAAAAAUGUAACAUCCAUUGUGACGAAGAAUUUUUUAAACAAUGGAUCAUAACAUUUGUAGCCUUUUUGAGUAGGAGAAUAGCCAAGAAAUACACAUUUUAAAGCCCUAGGAUCAAGUUUGCUCCUGUUCUGUUUAUGAACGUGAACAAAAGCAAUGCACCCAAAAAUCUUUGGUGGUAAAGAUGUGAAAACCUUAGCGAAGGGAUAGAAUUUUGUGAAAACAUUUAAUGGAGACUGAAAAUUAAAGAUUCGGGUAGGCAUACGAUUUAUCAAGUAUGAUGCUGUGAGAAUGGCUUUACCCCAAAACUGUUUUGGCACUUUAUUUGUGAACAUAAGAGAGCGUGCAACUUCUAAUAGGUGUCGAUUUUUCCGUUCAGCAACACCAUUUUGCUGAGGAGUAUCUACACAAGAGAAUUGGUGCACAAUACCAUUUUCCAUGAAAUAAUGACCAAGGGCAGUAGCAAAAUACUCUCUCCCAUUAUCAAUUCUAAAGACUUGAAUUUUUGCUUGAAAUUGUGUUUGAAUCAUGGUAUGAAAGGUUUUAAAAACUGUUGCAGUUUCUGAUUUUUCUUUAAGCAAGUACACCCAACAAACACGAGUGAGGUCAUCAAUAAAAGUUAUGAACCAUUUAGCCCCCGAAAUGUUUGUAACACGAGAGGGUCCCCAAAUAUCAUUGUGUAUAAGAGAAAAAGGUGCAGAUUUUUUAUACGGCUGUGAAGGAAAAGAUGCACGAUGAUUUUUGGACAAUACACAAAUUUCACACUGAAACAAAGAAAGAUUUUUAUUCUUGAACAGUAAAGGAAACAAAUGUUGUAAAUAAGAAAAACUAGGAUGACCUAAUCGGAGAUGCCACAACAUUAUUUCAUCUUCAAUAGAGAAAGUUAGUUCAUUAUUUGCUGACUGAGCUUCUCCACACAAACUAACAUCCUCCUCGAAGUAGUACAAACCAUCUACCUCUCUAGCACUGCCAAUCUUCUUCCCCGAACACAGGUCCUGAAAUUCACAAUAGGAACGAGAAAAUUUAGCAAUGCAAUGAAGAUCCUUGGUAAUUUUGCUAACAGAUAAAAGGUUACAAGACAAAUUAGGAACAUGAAGAACAGAUGUUAACACCAAAUUUGUGGAGAUAGGAAUAGAUCCUUUUCCUGCUACGGAAGAUAGUGAACUGUUGAAUGUUAGAAAAUGUAUAUUUAUAAAGGAGAAAAUCGUCAUUUUACAUUUCAAGUCUUACUAACAACCCUUACUUUUAUGUAUUUAAGCUUCUUGUAAUUUAAUUAUGUGUGUUUGAUUUUAAUUAAGUAUUUUAUGUAUUUUAGGGGCAUCAUAGUCAUUUCACAAUAAACGAGGGAUCAAACGGUAAAACAGACAUGACUUUUGAACUCAAGACGGUCGAAAACCUUAGGAGGAGCAUAAAAGAAAAAAUGGUACUGUUCACAUGUGCGGUACUGUCUACCUUACUGUUCACAUAGACGGAUCGAUGACGUGGCAUUGACUGAUGAGGUGUCAUGAUCAUGUUGGACUAAAAUUCUUAUGUACUAUUGAUGGUGACGUGGCAGCAUAUUAGUGGACCAAAAAACGCACGUACGGUACAUGCAACAUAUGGGAUUAUUUUCAACCAAACCGCGUGGUCCAACUGUGUUACUGUUCAAACCGCGUGGUCAAACCGCAUACUGUUCACGCGUACUAUUGACGCGUACUGUUGACUGAUGACGUGGCACAAUCUUGAGUGUCCAAACUGUUUUUAAUCCGAUGGCCAUGAUUUACUCAAUGUAUCUAUCAAAAGGGGACCUCUCCCCCCUAAUUUGAUGCCUCUGAAUCCAUUUUUUGACUCUGUUUUCUAUAAUUCCUUCUCUAUCUUGUAUUUUCUAUGUAUUUUAAUAAAUUUCCAUUUUACCCCUAGUUCAAUUAUGAGUGACUAAUUUUCUUUCAAGCUUGGGUUGAAGGUGAAGUCUCAACAUGUGUCAUGGGCUUUAUUUGGUAAAUUUAUUUUCUCUUCCCCUCUAGUUUUUGUGGAUGAUUUGACUUCUCGUCGACAAAUAAUAAUAGUCUUGUCUAGAUACUGCCCUGGUUUCACCGGCACCCUAGUACAAGGUUAUUAUUAUUUGGCACGAUAAGCCCUUAGCACCAUAUUGAUUAGAGUGUGGUUCAUGAGGUGUGGAUUCCCGCACUCAUGAUUUAAUUGGCAUUAGUAAGGAUUAUUUAGCCCAUAACGCAUGUUGAUACAAAUGCAAAUACCCAAGUACGUCAUUUCAAUAGAUUUCUCUUCAAUUUAUUCUCGUCAUUGCAAUUCCAAUUUUAGAAUUUAUUAUCGCCAUUUCAAUUCCAAUUUUAGGAUAAUUUAAAUCACUUCCACUACAAUUACAACCACCCAUUUACAAAAUUAAUUCUACACAUAAUUAAAAUCCACCUCCUCGUGGGAUCGACACUCGUCACCAUUAGUCUAUUCUACAAUAGAUUCGUGCACUUGCGAUUCAAUAAAAUUUGCACAACAUGAACCAUCAGCAAUUUUAAUUUUUUGACUACCAGAACAUGGAAUAUAUGAAGAAAAUAAUUUAGAAUGGCUGGUCAUAUGAUCGGUUGCUCCUGAAUCGAUGAUCCAUGGAUCUUGUUUCUCAUAAACAACUCCUAAAGCAGUGAAAUUAUUACCUUUCUGGGCUAAAGAACUAAAGGACGAAGGAUUUGGGAGAGAUUGUGACUGAUUUAGAAACCUGUACAGUUGCUCUAACUGCUCUUUAGUGAAGAGUUGAGAUUUGGUUUCUCCAGUAUUGGUUGUCGGCCGAUUCUCCCCAACAACUUGGAAACCACGACUAUGUUUACCAGAGAAUUUAUUGUUUUUCAGAUUUGGAGGUUUUCCAUGAAACUUCCAACAUGCAUCUCUAGUAUGUCUUGGCUUAUGGCAAUAAUCACACCAAACUCUGUCCUUCUCAUCACUCUUCUUCAAGUUUUUUGUUCCACCAACCAGUGGAGCUUCUGGUGUAACAGAGAUCAAGGUUGAGUUCUCUGCUGAAGAACCUCCCAUCAUCACAUUCUUUCUACUUUCCUCUCUUCUUACAUAAGAAAACACUUCCCUGGUAGAAGGAAGAGGUUCCUUUCCAAGUACUCGCCCACGGACUUCAUCAAGGUCUAAACUCAAACCUGCUAAGAAUUCAAAUACACGCUCUUUUUAUAACAUCUUCUUGUAUUUAGCACUAUCAGCAGCACAUUCCCACUCGCCAUCAUAGUAUUGAUCUAACUCUUGCCAUAAGCCCUUCAAAAUAUUGUAGUAUUUAGUCACUCCUUGACUACCUUGUUUGGUUUCUCACAUUCUGGUUUUUAGAUCAUAAAUCUUAGCAGAAUUUCCCAAAUCAGAAUAGGUCUCGGUGACAGCAUCCCACAAAUCUUUUGCUGUUGGCAGAAACAAGUAAGUUUGACCUAUUUCUUGUUCCAUUGAAUUCACUAACCAUGACAUGAUCAUUGAGUUAUCAGCAUCCCAAGUUUGAAACUUUGGGUCGUCUUCAGUUGGUUCUUUAAUUGAACCAGUAAGGUAACCAAUCUUCCCUUUACCUCUGAUAAACAUCUUCACAGAUUGGGACCACUGAAGAAAAUUUUGACCAUUCAAUUUAUGGGUUGUGAUAUGAAGUGAUGGACUAUCAUUAGAAACAUAACUUGAUGGUCGUAGAUGCCAUUGCAACUGCUCUGAAGAUAACUCAGAAGUUUCUUGGUCGCUAUACUUUGACUUUGGUAUUCAAAUAGAAUUGAAAACUAAACCCAAGAAUCAAAGAGCGGCUAUGAUACCAUGAGAAAAUUAUUGAAGAAAUAUGUAUCUCAUUUUCUCUUCUUUUACAAUAGGAUUACAUGAUAAACAUAUAAAUUCUAAACUACAUAACGUGCAAGAGUAGGAAAGUAAACAACUAACUGUAGACUAAGAAACUAAGAAGCAAACUCUAUCAAAAAAUUGAAAUUCUAUCCCUAUCUUUUUUUCCUUAAAAAUAGGAUAGAAAACAUGUGACUUUUCCACAGCAACUAAACAUACAAACCUUGAAAUCCAAAAUUGUACUCGAUGAAUGUGCAAUUGCUCGAGCAGGUAAAUUUACUGCAAAGGCUCUUACAAACCCUCAAAGAUGAUACUCUGCAUACCAUGGUAACCUGAAUAACAAAAAGAAACACAGUGAAUAUUAAAGGGCAAUCUGACAAUGCAAAUUUGUGCAAAUUAACAACUGUGGUUACCUGCAUAAUAGUCUUAAUUCCGAAUUCCUUCCUCCAUGGAAGCAUAUGAUCAGCCCACAUGUGCUUUGCUCUGUAGCUUUUGAGUACCUGAAAUUGUUAUUACAACCAACGGUGAAAAUUGGGUGAAAAAAUGGUAAUAUUAGCAUAAUUGAAUUUGCUUAUAGAGGAUAAACCGAUCAAAGAAAAAAACAAGAUAGAAAUGAUUAUCUUAGUACCUUAAUAUCAUGCAAUAAAAAUCAUCAUGCCAUCCAGGCAGCUAUCCAUCCUCAAUUGAAACAGAGCAGACCUGGCCAUCACUUUCUUCUUCAAAGUCCAGCAACUGAACGUUGCACACAACACCACAGUGGAAGUAGUUACAUCACCAGCCUAAUCCUUGAUUACCCCAAUGUUCUCCAUAGGGUCUUCAAAGUCAACCUAAAAAUAAAAUGAAAAUGCAAUGCAUUAUUAUUAGGGAUCUAGUGCUUGAGCUUGCUUUGACAUCAUGGUAUUAGCAAAUUCUGAUAUUGCCAAAAUGGUAAACAAGAUGAUGUACUUGAUAAGAAAAACCUGAUUUAACAAAUAAUUAAGAAGCAGGUACCAAUCACAUAAUCUCAUCAUGUGGGGAAUGCCUUGGCAACAGAAGAUGGUGCUUUCAUUCAAGCAAUAGCAACUUUCCAAUUUCACAAGGUAGUUUAAUGGCCCUUUUAAGAACAUCUGUACCAGCCUAACAAUUAUUCAUGGAAAUUAAAAUUCAGAAUCAUAUUAGAUUAAGAGAUGAAAUAUAAUAAGCGAUUUGGCCACCAUAUAUGCAUUUAUCACCUUCAAUUCGCUCAUCUUUGUCUAGAGUAUUGCUUCUGCAUUAACUUAAUUAGCUUCCAAGCCACCUACAAAUGGUUUUAAAUAAUGUGUGAAAGUGUGAAUUCGAACGAAUUAAUCAAAUAUGCUGACAGGAGAAACAAAAGUAAAUAACCACAAGAAGUAGAAAUAUACUUUUGUUAUAUUCAGAGCAUCUUCUUGCGUCAAGUUCUUUUCCUUUAGCUCUGUUUCUGUUUGUGCUCAAACGCAAUGGCUCAAGGGUCCAGAUAAUUUUAUGACCGUCAAUCUUUUUGCAGCCACAGCAAACUUGAAAAAAUGAUCGUGGCCCUAAGGAACUUGAAAAUUAGAAAAGAUUCAGACUGAGUGACUAAAUAUUAUAAUCGAAACUAACUAAAUAUUAUAAUCGAAACUAAUUAAACGCCUAGAAAAUUUGAAACUGAGCAAUUGCUUCUGGUGGAAACUUUACUGCAAGGACUUUCUCAAACCCUUGAAGAUCACACUCUACCUGAUAACAAAGAAACAGUCAAUAUACGAAGCUGAUUUUACUAACAAGUGAGUGCUUACACAUAUUGGAAGGAUAAUGAUUACUCAUAACCCAAAUCCCCAAUACUCCCUAAUAUCUCACUCAAGUGAGUUCGAGCUCCCAGAAUUCACUACUGUGAAACUCUUACAACAAAAUUCCCUUCAAAGAUUCUCUACUCAAAUUUGAUGAUGAUGUCCCUCGAAAGGAGGCAAAAAAUCUAACACUGAUCAAAUUGGCUUGUGAACAAUUAAUCUUCCUGGCCAUCAUGCAUACCAGGUGUGGUGAGCAAUCUUCAUUCUGACAUUUGCCUUAAUAAGCGGCUUAGUAUCCUUAACCUGAUAACUUACACAAACAAAAACAACUUGAUUAAAGUUUAAUAUUUAGAGGCAGAACAGUAAAGAAGAUGAUAUAUAUUGAUACUAAAAUUUGACCUGCGUUAUCCUGUCGUCAAGAAUCACGGCAUCUCAUGUGGGCAGAAUCUUCGCAGUACAAAUGCUUGCAAAAUUGAAGCAACAACUUAUCACCUGUGAUUUAAUUCCAUGCAUAAUACGACCAAAAGUAAAACUUUUUGCCAGGGCUCUGUGUUUCUGUUUGUGCUAAAACCAAUGGAAACCGAUGGAAUGAAUUUCUAGGAAUUCGACAUAUCAGCCAAAACAGGUACUCUGUACAAGCAAAGUAAAAUAGGGUUACAAAAAAUUUUAAGAUUGAUAUGAUAAUUAAAAUUUCAGUCACCAUAUAAUUAAUAGAAAACUUUGGACACAAUGAUUUAUUGCAUAUUAAGAUUGCUAUACAAAAUAUAUUAUUAGCAUUAGGAGACCGCACCAAAGCAUACCGAAUUGAAUGUGCCUUUUUACAGCCAUUUUACAAGCUUUGAAGCUUUACCACAAAUGCUUUUUCCAACCCGUGAACAUGAUGCACCCGAAAGAUGCAAGCUAUGAAAUUGUUACUACAGCAAGCGUUGGAACAUUUGUUAACGAAGGAAGUUUAUGAAAAUACGCCUUUGGAUACCCGUCUUCAGGAAUCAAUUCAUCCGUAAUAACAAUUUUCAAGAAGUAUCAACUGCUUUAAGUUCAUCGACAUCACAGAGAUCUUCAACUAAAAUAGUGUAGAUCCGGCCAUCACUAUCCCUUCUACUGCUCUUUUCCUUUAGAGAAUGCUUGAAUUACAUAAUGCGUGUAAGGCAUUCUUAUUCAAGGUCCAAUGAUCAAACCUUGCACAAUAACAACUGAGGUAGUGGUUCCUUCGCCAGCCUAACCCUUGGUCUCAGGAAUGUCCUCAACAGGGUGCUCGAAAUCAACCUAAAAAUCAAGAAUGAGUUGGAAAACUGUUUAUGGCCCUAAAGAACUUGAAAAUCAGAAAAGAUUAAGAAUGAGUGACUAAACAUUUUAAUCGCAACUAAACAUACAAACCUUGAAAAUCUAACUUUGAAGUACUCUUGAAUGAAUGAGCAAUUGCACGAGCUGGUGACAACUAAGGUUACUGUGAAGUCUCUUACAAAUCCUUAAAGAUGAUACUUUACAUACCACGAUAACCUGAUAACACAUAGGAACACAAUGAACAUUAAAGUGUAUUCUGACAAUGCAAAUUUGUGGAAAUUAUCAGCUGUGGUUACCUGGACAAUAUUGCCAACACCAAGCUCUUUCCUCAAUUGAAACAUAUGAUCAGCCCACAAAUGCUUUGCUUUGUAGCUUUUGAGAGCCUGAAAUUGUUAUCACAACCAACAGUGAAAAUUGGGUGAAAAAAUUGAUAUUAGCAUAAUUCCGUAUGUUUAUAUAGGAUAAACCGAUCAAAGAAUAAAAAAAGAUAAAAACAGAGCAGACCCAGCCAUCACUUUCUUCUUCAAAGUCGCACAAUAACCACAAUGGUAGUCGUUCCACUGCUAGCCUAAUCCUUGGUCACCCCAAUGUUCACCAUGAAGUAUUCAAAGUCAACCUAAAAAUAAAUAAAAAUGCAAUGCAUGUGGAAAUGAAAAUUCUAUAAAUUAAAUAAAAUAAAAAUGCAAUGCUUGAGCUUGAGCUUGCUUUAGCAUCAUCGUAAUAGUAAAUUUUGAUAUAUCUUUACUUCUCUGUUCUUGUUUAUUCACAACAAGAUAUCAAUAGAAGAAGAUGGAAAUGAAAUUCUAUAAAAUAAAGCAAGUGAAUUACCAGCAGAACAUUUUAGCAAUCCUUUGGCUAAACUUUUCAUUUUCUUAGCAUACUCUCCUGCCUGCAUCAUUAAAACCAAAUUAGAUUGGACCUGUGAAUUGCUAGUGUGGUUCUGACAUUUCCUCGAGUCCCUGGUGAACAUAACUAAACUCGUAUGAAACAAUUACACAAUUACUUUAAAGAAUUAAUGUCACAUAAAUUAUAUAUAAAAAAAUACGAUUAUCAUUAUACAAGAUAAAAUUGAUAAUUUAGUUUUCAACAUUACUGCAAAUGUAUCACAGAGAUUUUUUCUCUCAGGAAGUUACACAUAACAACUUUUCGUACAUUAAAAAAUAAAUUACAUUGGGAUUUUCUAUUAUGUUGUAUCAAAUUUUAUAAAAGAGCACAAAUUUUUUAAAAGAAAAUAUAGAAAUUUCAACAUACUACGCUUGGUUUUUUUUUAAUUAUUUAAUCUUUAGAAAACAAGUUUAACAGAUUUGAUAACUAGGAAGUUUUACAUAUUUAUACCAUGAUUGAUUCUAUAUAGAAUUUUAAUUCAAAAUAUAAUUAUUUUUAUUAAUUUCAUUGUAAGCAACAACGAAGUAAAUCAGAGGAGGAGAAAUUACCAGCGAGUGAUAUCUUACGGCGACCACUUGAUGUGGGGAAUGUGGGAUAUCUUAUACCAGUCUUCUCCUUCCCCCUCUCUAUAACGGUUUUCCAGAAUGAGACAUCUCCAAAUUGUCAAUUCCUGCAGCGUCGUCGUCCGAAGAAGGUAAUCCGGCAGCACCUUUAAUUUGGGGCAAUCCCAAAUUCGCAAGGAAGAAAGACGUAGUAUGUCUGUUGUCCUGCGAUCUUCUAGAACGGGCAGUUCUUCUAGAAGAUAACAAGAAUAAAUACUCAGUUCCUGCAGUGUCGUCGAUUGAAGAAGGUAAUCCGGCAGCACUUUUAAUCUGGGGCAAUAAGAAAUCUCCAAGGAAGAAAGACGUGGCAUGAUGGAGAUGUUUUCCGUCCUCGUAAUCCUGUAAUUCCACUCUUCCACUUCAUCAAAUUCGCCAAUUUCGAGAGAUUUCAAUUUGGGGAAGGCAAUAACUGAUGAUGACGAUGAAGAUGAAGAUGGGUCGUCCUCACUGCUUUCUUUUAUUCCCAAAAACUCAUUACCUACUCUUUUUACACUUUCAAAGCCGCGUAGUUCGAGUUUUUCCAGAGGCAAUUUUCCCAAAGGAGGCAAAUGCUCACAGUUUACGCAGUAGAAAAGGCUUAAAUCCCUUAGAUUGGUUAGUGAAGUCAACCAUUUGGGAAAAAUGUUGCCUCCGUAGAAUAUAAUCCUUAACUCCUCUACAUUCAAAGGCGGUUGUAAGGCUUCAAGAAGUUGUUUAUCUUUCUCGUUCUUCCUCCUCCCUUCUUCGCCCUCCCCAUCUACGACUCCACCAAACUCAAGAUGCAAACGAAGGAGGUUUUUCUUAUUGUAAAGUUGUAACCUCUCAGCCUCAUCUACAUGCGAUACAUUACUCAGCCCUUCUACUCUACAUUCACGAAGGAGUUGAAGAUUUUUCAGAGAUUCAAGCCUACACGUAUUGCUACCAUCAACACCUCCACCCACCACAAACUUUUCUAAUGUUCGAAGGCUAGUCAAUUUGGAAAUCCCUAUUGGCAGGUACUUCAACGAACGAGUUUUAUCAUUCAGUAAACUCCUCAUGUUCAUUAACUUCCCAAUCCCUGCAGGCAAUUCUCUAAGAUAUUCGCACUGCCUAAUAUCUAGCUUUUGUAAAUUAUAUAAUUGACACAAAGUCUCAGGUAGUCUCUCUAACCUUAAUCCAGACAAAUUAAGAUAUUUUAAAUGUAUCAAUUUUCUAACUUUUUCUGGAAUUUCUAUAAUCAAAUUUGCCUCAGGAUGAAAACCUAAAAUGUGAUAUUGCCUCAUAACUAAUGCCCUCAAACACGCCAAUUUACUAAAUAACUCCGAAAGGAUGCUACUACUAAGAGGCCGACUGUAAGGACUUUCAUCAUAAAUUAAUAAGGUACGCAAUCUAUUAAGUCCAUGAAUGGACAUAGGAAAUGAAGUGCCUCUUUGAAAAUUUAACCCUAAGUGACGGACUUUGUCACCAAAAGAGUUUAUGACUGAUUCUUUGGUACCAUUAAUUUCUACCCACAAACAUUCUUUUCUACUUACAAAUUGGGCAAAAUCAUGUACUAUGUCAUGCAUCUUACACCCCAGAAUAUCAUCAUUGUCAUCAUCUUUUUCAAACUCUUGAAAGAAAGAGCGUGUUGCUAAGAUGUUGAAAUAUUCUUCUCCGAUCAUCUCCAUUUCUUCGUCUUCAUCUGCAUUAAGGUAACCUUGAGCCAUCCAUAGAUUAAUCAAUUCCCUUUUAUUCAUAUUGUAGUCUUUUGGAAAGACAGCACAAUAUGAGAAACACCGUUUUACCAUAGAAUUGGAGGGCAAAUCGUUAUAACUCAACAACAAAGGAGCCAAAAUACCUUGCCCAAUCUCUUCUACUUUCCACAUUUCACUCUCUAAAAUUCUUUGCCACUCUUUUAUUGUACUUUUAGAGCGCAAGAGAUUCCCUAUUACCUUUGCAGCAAGAGGUAGGCCUUUGCACUUACAUGCAAUUUUUCGCCCGAUUGGUUCUAAUUUUUCACAAUCCUCAAAGGACCUACGUAGAAAUGCUAUCUGCUUAAACAGUAACCAACAUUCCCCUUCACCCAACUCCUUGACAGGGAUAAUAUCUAUUGAUCCCAACUGCAGUGCAACUGACCUAUCACGUGUGGUAAUUAGAAUUUUACUUUCAUGGUGGCCAUUCUUUAGACAAGAAAAGAAUGGGUCCCAUUUUUUGUAAUCUCCAUCCCACACAUCAUCUAAAACAAGAAAAAAUUUCUUCCCCGUAAUAUAUUCCUGAAUCUGUUUCAUAAGAGAUUCGAAUUCGCUUAAACCAGAAGCUGACGCGCCUAGACUUUCAAUGAUUGCUUUGGCGACCCUAAUCUCCUCAAAAGUGUCUGAUACACACACCCAUAUAACUUUUUCAAAAUUUCUUUUCACCUCAUCAUUAUUAUAGGCCAGUUGUGCAAGAGUGGUUUUACCUAUACCCCCUAACCCAACUAGUGAGAUGACAUGAAGGCCUUUUUGUUGUUCACUACUUUCACACAACAACUUGCUUAAGAGCUCAUUUUUCUCAUCAACUCUACCGCAAACCUCUCCCUCAUCAAUCAAGGAGGUGGUUCGCACUCGCUCUGGUUUCUUAACAUUGCUGCUCACAUUCUCAACAAAUUUAAACGUAUCUUUUUGGGAGGCAAUAUCAUCUAGCUUUCCAUUGAUUUCCCUGAUCUUGACGGCAAUGUCAUGACGAAGACUAAGUUGUUUGAAACUACCAAAGCAGUUUGAUACAGCACAAAAGAAGGAGCGUACCUUCUUAUGAGGAGCAAGAGCAAAAGCAUUGUCAUCAUCAACGCCCUCAAUCUGCAAUUUGAGCCUUGCAGUGGUCCACUCCUCCAACACGUCUUCCAUGUCGUAAGAUGCGUCUUUGAGUUGAUCCAGCCAAAAAGUAACAGCAUUGUCGCGCUGCAUUUGCCUUUUCUCUGCAUCUUCCAGCACAGCUCGAAUGGCUCGAAGAUUGCUGGUAAGCUUUUUCACUUCUUCUCCGACACCAGUCACAAGCCUCACCUGUUGUUUCACUUCAUCAGCCGCAACGGAGAUCAGCUGCUCCAGGAGAGAGGAAACGAUCGCAUCAACCAUUCUGACAAAGAAAACGAGAAUUCUGAUGAGUUAUUAGAUGUGCUUUUGUUGCGAAGAUAUGAAAGAAAGGAGUUAUUGCAUUCUUUUAUACUGCAUAGAAAAGGUUUAUGCUUAUCCCCAACCCACACGUCAAUGAUUGUAGAAUGUUUAAUUUCCCUGAUUCUACUCCACUAGUUGUAAUAUUCUCAAGUUAUGUAUGAAAAUAGCACAAAUUUGGACCUACUGAUGAUUUUUAUGUAUUUUUUCAUAAUCUUCUAAAAUACUGUAUCUGCAUGUUAUUUCGUGCAGAAAUAUGGCAUUGGGUGAAAAAAGUUAUGCUUAUCCCCACCCACACGUUAGUAAUUGCAGUAGCAUCUUUAAUUUCCCUGAUUCUACUCCACGGACGAACACAUUUUUUGUACUAAUAUCUUUAAAUUCCCACACGUUAGGAAUUUGGCACAUAAUCUCAAACUCGUCCCAUCUUUAACGUAUGAGGUUGAUGAAUGAAUUCUUUUCUCAUGUGAAUUUAAAACUCCGAGAUUAUGUGCCAAAUUCCUAACGUGUGGGAAUUUUACCUCCUAAGUAAUCCGGCCCACUGCCAAGUGCCAACUUUUUCUCUGUCGAGUUAAUGAUGUUGUUUUGUUUUCCUUGUUUUAAUUAAUGUUGCGGUGAGAAAAAGAUCGAUGUAAAUGGCUAGCCAGGUUUUGCAGAAACCAUGAAUGGUCUUGCAUGCAUGGGUGGCUUUAAGUAUAGGCCAAAAAGAUGGUCGUCUAAGGCCCCAAAUUUUAAAAAAGCUACAAUUUUUUAAUAUUAAUAAUAAUUCUCUUAUUAAUAAAAUCUUUUAAAAAAAUUAUAUGUGUGGUAGAAAAGCCUAUUAGACAUAUCUCUAAUUAAUAAUUAUCCUAUAAUUAAUAUUUUUUUUAUAUAAAAACCUAUAAUUGGUUAUCUUAUUGUUAAAGAGAUAUAAUUAAUAAUAUUGUUUAACCAUUAAUUUAUUCAUUAUUAGUUUUUCUAAUAAAAAUAAGUAAAUUUUUUUAUCUUUUCAACUUCUUAAAAAAAAACUUAAUUAUUCAACAUUAGAAUAUUUGGCUUUGAGUAUUUCUUUUAAUUUCUACUAAAAAUCUUAUAAUCUAAAAAAUUAUAGAUGAAAAAUUUCUUAUUAUCUUCUCUACGAUGAAGAUUAUUACAUGCAUUAGUUCAUUCAAAAAAGAAAAAUAAAAAAUUAGUUACUUGAAAUACAAAGUCCAUAUCCAUUAUCUAAAAUCAGUUCAUAAUCUCAACUUUUUAUGUGCUACCAUUCUAAAUAUUCUAUUUGAAAAUAGUAUUGUUCUCAUUUAUUCGUUUGCUUCUUUUUGUAAAAUUUCUAAUGAUAAAUUUUAGAUUUUGUUUUCAAAAAUUUUUAGAAUCUUCUUGAUUAUUUGUUGAAAUUCAAGAAUAAAAACUGAAAUGGAUUUUCAGUUCUUUAUUGUUUUAUUGAAUAUUGAAAUUACUAAAUAAAAAGAGGUCUCAUAAAAAAAAAAAAAAAAAAAAGUUCGUCUAAGGCCCCUAAUACUAUAAGCCGGCCCUGCUUGCAUGUGACAUAAAGCUUUAUAGCUUAUUCCUCCAUCAACAUUUCAAUGGUUCCAUCUCACGUGCACUUGGCUAUGAAUAAGGUCCAUGCAUGGAUCGAUCGAUUUAGGAGUUUUGGACCAUCUCAUGCUGCAGAGUUAUGUGUCAUGUAUGUGUGUUGACACUUGCCAGUUCAUUUUUGUUAUAAAGAUUAUUGAUACUCAUAAAUGCACUACUUACAAAUCAUAAAUUUUGAGUUUGACACUUUAGUUUCAUUUUGUAAUCCCUACGCUCUUUAAAUAUUUGUAACAAUAUAUUUCAAACUUUAACUCAGACGUAAUGAAUGAAGGGGGAUCCUCUUCUUAUAUAAAUUUUUAUUUUUUAACGUUCAAGUUACAUUUGAUUACGUGUACUUAUUAUCUAGUUUUGACUAUCUAAUUACAUUUGAUUACGUGUACUUAUUAUAUAAAUUUUUUUAAAAAUGAUGGGUUUGGUGAGAUUUUUUACAUCUUGGAUCAGUAGGUCAAGAACAGGCAGGGCAGGGCCUUCUCUGAAGUCAAUCUUGUGAGCAACACCAGCUUUUUGGAUAAUUGGCAGCCCCAAUUCAUAAUUUUCUCUAUUGAUGUCCAUGGCCAAAAUCUGCAACCGAAGCUUAUUCUACUCUUAUUAAUCGAGAGAUAAUUUUACCUCUAAUUAAUUUAAUUGGGAGGAAAAUCGAGAGAGAUAUCCACUCUGUCCUUAUUAAUUGAGAGAUAAUUUUACCCUUACCCAAUUUAAUUGGAAAGGAAAUCGAAUUCCAACAAUAACUAGGACUUGAAUCCAUGCACUUAAGCUAACUUUAAGUUUUUGGACGCAUGGUUAUAAUGUUCUUUAUUUAAAUCCUAACAAAUGGUGGGACUUGAACUUGUGCCUACAAACAUUGAGUGCUUAGGGGCUGCAAAAUUUCAUAACUUAAUUUUAGUUGAUGUGGCAUAUGCCCUAUCACAUAAAUGUAGGUAAUAAUAAUUAAUACAUUAACAAAAUGAAAAAUAUUAGUUUACAAAACACAAAUCCAAAAUUUUUGUGUGACAGGGGAUUUAAAAGGGAGAGACUAAAUAAAUGUGGUGAAAAACGACAUGUAUUACUAAAAUUGAAAAUACGAAGUCUAGGCAAUUGAAAACAUCGGGUUUUUUAUUUAAAUAUCCCCAAUUUGUCCUUAAAUACCAAAUUUAUACUCUAUUAUAUACAUAUACCUUACGAAGAUAGGGAAGGUAAAAAAUAACCUUAAAAAAAUCAAGAAUCCACACAUUUCUUCCUCUCAGUGCAGGAAGAUGUCGAGUACGAAGUCGGGUAAGUCGAGAAUUUAGUUGAGCAAGAAUUGGAGAUAAGUAAGUCGAGUAUAUAAUCCAGUAGGAAAUUGAGUAAGCAUAUUAAAUGAGUCGAGUAUUAAGUGGUCGAGUAUUAAAUAAAAGUCAAGUGAAUUUUUUGAACAAGUCGAGUAAAAUUUAUGUAAUUUUUAAAAAGGUCAAGUAUUAAGUCGGGCAAGUACAUUGGGUCGAGUAUUAAUAUUUUUAAGGAAGUGAAGUCUAGUAAGUUGAGCAUUCAGUCGAGUGAGAAAUGAAGGCAAUUGAAUAAGUCGAGUAUCUAGUCGAGUACGAAGUCGGGUAUGAAGUAUGGUAAGUUGAGCAUUCAGUCGAGUGAGAAGUUAAGGCAAUUGAAUAAGUUGAGUAUCUAGUCGAGUACAAAGUCGGGUAUGAAGUUUGAUAAGUUGAGCAUUCAGUCGAGUGAGAAGUGAAGGCAAUUGAAUAAGUCGAGUAUCUAGUCGAGUACGAAGUCGGGUAUAAAGUAUGGUAAGUUGAGUAUUCAGUCGAGUGAGAAGUUAAGGCAAUUGAAUAAGUUGAGUAUCUAGUCGAGUACGAAGUCGGGUAUGAAGUUUGGUAAGUUGAGCAUUCAGUCGAAUAAGAAAUGAAGGUAAUUGAAUAAGUCGAGUAUCUAGUCGAGUACGAAGUCAAGUCUGAAGUCUGGUAAGUUAAGCAUUCAGUUGAGUAAGAAGUGAAAGCAAUUGAAUAAGUCUAGUAUCUAGUCGAGUAAGCAGAUUGAAUGAGUCGAGUAUUAAUUUUUUGUUGGCAUUUUGUUGAGGUUAUUUUUGUACUUUCUUCGGUUUUUUAAGUAUGUAUAUGUAAAGUUACAGAUUUUAAUAGAUUGAGAUAUAUUUUGGAUGGUACGAGAGAAACGGGGUAUAUCCCACGCAAUUCCUUCGAAAACAUAUCUGUCAAUUGCAAUGAAAAGAUCACAACCCUUCGUAAUUAAACAAAAUCAAACUUGAAAAAAAAAAAUCACACACACAAAACAAUCACAAAAACUAUUUGUUCUGAUCAUCCCUGCUUUUUUUUAGCGUAGCUCUUGGAAUGAAAAUUAACAAAAAGUGUCAAAAGAGAAGCAUUAAACACAGCAUUGAAGCACCAACCCAAAAUCCCAGAGCAACCAAAUCCCGUAAAAUGAUAAUACAGCAUCAAAACCGAAACAACAAAACUAAACACAAACUGAACAAUCUGACAAUCAGUGACCAAUCUCUUCCACUUUGGCCGCAACACCAUCACACACAAUAGAUAGUACCCGUACAUGAUCACAUGCACACUUGCAUUGGUCACAAGUGCAAUAGGAAACAAAGACUGCUUCGUCUGUAACCAAAGGUAGCACAUUACGACGACGGUUGCAUGGUGGUAGACGUGGAGGAACGUGAGCCGUUGGAUGGAGUUUGACAAAAUGAUCAAAAGGGUGUCUAGGAAUUCGAGUAUUUUGGAGAGGUAGAAGAUGUAAGCGUAGAAGAAGAGGGGACCGGAGGGAGAAAUGGUGGGGGGAAACAGAGGGUGUGACGGAGGUCGGGUGAAUGGAGGACGAUGGAGAGAGUGCAACCAACGGCCAUGACGAGGGAGAGGAGGAGGAGGGUAAGGUUAUGGACGGCUGUGAUGGGCUUGAGGAUGUGGGGUCCAAUGAGAGGUGAUGAUGAUGGUGAUGUUGGCGUUAAUUUGUGGUAGAGGAUGAAUGUGAGGGAGAGGAAAGUGAGGAUGGAGAGAAUGAGGAAGUGUGGGGAGGAAGCUGGGGUUUGGUUUUGAGUCCACGUGAAGUAGAGGAUUUGGGGAUGGUUUACAAGCCAAUAUUGGAGUGUUGAGGUGAUUGAAUUUGAAGCCAUGGCUGGUUUUUAGGGGGAGGAAAGAUUAGAAAGAGAUGAUGUUGAGAGGAGUGGGGGAGUUUAGAAAGUUUGGGAUAAUGUGAGGGGUAUUUUGGGCAUAUAAUGUUGUCUGAGCUUAAAUUUUUGUUAAAAAGAAAUAAUAAUAAUAAUAAUAAUAAUAAUAAUAAUAAUAAUAAAUUCUUUUCUCAUGUCAAUUUAAAACUCCGAGUGUGUUUCCAACAAUUGCUUUUCUUUUUCUAUUUUGGGAUUUUGAAUCAUUUUUUUUUCAAUUCAAUAAUGGCCUCUUCAAUUAUAAACUAUGGUCAAAGGGGAUGGGGUGUAGUGUCUAGGCCUCCGUGACAACGGCAUCUUUGAACGUGGGUUCCAUCAGUUUUUUUUUUUUUUUUUGACUAUUUCUGCUCAAAUCAAACUUGUGGAUUUCGUGCACUCAACGUGGAACCCUUUUGAAUGGACGCAAUGGUUUUGGUGGGAUCACACAAUCCGAAGAAGCAUGGAACUGCGACCAAUUUGUUGACAAAAAUUAGGCAUAAAAUUUACAAAUCGAAGUCAAGAGUAAGAUUUAAGUAAAAUUGAGUAACAUCUUGCACAUCGAGUAAGGAUUUCUACAAUCGGGCUAGAAAGUGCAACUAAAAUUUGGUAAGAGUUUCAUAGAGCAUAAUUUUUAAGAUACAACGUUAAGAGUAUUUAGUCGACAGUUAUAAUAUUACUUGAAUUGAUUUAAUUUCAUACUCUAAUAUAAAAAAUUUAAAACAUACUCUUAUAAUAUUACUUGAAUUGAUUUAAUCUCGUACUCUAAUAUAAAAAAAUUUAAAAUUUCUUUACUAAUUUUAUCGAAAGUAUUAUUUGACAAUCCUAUUUAUUACAUAAUAUCAACGUUUAUAUUAUAAUUACCGCUAAUACUAAAAGCUGAUCUCGUAAUUAAAAGUUAAACAAAAACUCGAGUACAAUCUAGUAAUUAAAAGCGCUAUGGUUUUUUGGCAUUACAAGAUGAUUCAAACUUGAACUUGCCAUCAAAAGUGUAUCAAAACAAUCACAGAGACUCUGUUUGACAAAUCUGCAGUAGAAUUUGCACAAUUUGACUGGGUUACAGAGAGUGAAUAAGAUUCCAAAGCAACAGGCCAUUAUUAUUAUUAAGAAAACAAUUCAUCGCUAGAACAAAAUUAACUUUUCUAACUUACUAGAAUUUAACUGGAGAAAAAUUGGAAUAUACGACGUUGUAUCACAUAUAGUAUUUAGACAUCAAGAAAAGAAUCCCUCUAUCAGUGAACUAUACUUGCCAGGAAACACGGUGAAAUACCACCACCUCCCUACUAGUUCUUAGAUGUCUCAAAAGAGUUUGAUGACGACUUCCGUGUUGUACCUCUUCGACAGGCAGCAAAAUUGGGCUAUUGACUAGGAUUAACUCCCAAGAAAUUUAUGCGGUCACCUUCUUCCGGACUAUCCUCUUUCUUCGCACUUUAGGAGCCCGUGCUUCCCCUUCAACAGAGCCGACAUUCCCUUGUUUGAUGCCAAGGAGCCCAAGCCCAGAGACAAUGGCAUUCUUUGAUAUCAACCACUUUGGGGACUUUUGAGUUGAGCCAUUGACAUCCUGAGCCGCCCCGUUGUAAGCCUUCUUCAAAAGGUCAUAUGAUUGAAGUAGCGGAUCCGCUUCCACUCCUAGCCAAGCAAGCCUUGAUCUUUCUCCUAAUUGGACAUUCAAAAAAUCCAUUUGAGAAGUUGAAGAAUAGUGUAAGUCCAACACAUAUAGGCAGUAAAGAAGAAUUUGGACGGCAAUUACUGAUUUUUUAUGCACAGGGCUGAACAAAUGGAGAUAUUAAGGCACUUAAAAGUUGGAACCGUAUUCACCACUUGUAUUUCCUUAGAGAACUAUCUCAGAGUUCAGUUAAUUUAAAACCAUUCUUAUGUAUUUAACUGUCAAACUAGAGAAAUUGUACUUCUGUAGCGAUGUCGCACUAUUGUUAAGGAUCUGGACUUGGAAAGGAUGCAAGUUGAUUAAGUCAAGAAAAAUUGAAAUAAUACUUGGUGAUAGAUCUGCACACUUCAAUAGAAACCACACUAACCUCUUAUCAGACAAAUAAACAGAUUCCCCAGUCAAAGUUUAACAAACAAAACAUUAAAACAAGGGUAAUUUGGUACGUCCAGAAUAGUCUAUCAAUGUAUAUAGAGGUGUAGAUCAAUAAACAAAUACGUAGAAGAGGGAGAGGGAGAGAUAACCUGGUAACAUCAAAAUGGUUGAAGACCGCUCUAUCAAAUCCACACAAUAGCUGAUAUCUCAUGUUUGCAUAUAGUCCAAGGAAAGCACCAAAACCAAGCUGAUCCCAUUCUUGCUUUAUCCCAUCCCGACAGAAACAAACAUUUAUUAGCUUAAUAUGUAAGAUGAAAAUAAAAAGGAAGGGAAGAGUUCCUUUGUUAUGAGAGAAAAAACACACCUCUCCUUAUGAUUCUCCAACUCCCACAAAACAGUGCAACCAAUUGUGGCAGCCUGCUCUAGUAGAAGUUUAUACAAAAAAGCAGGAUCUGCGAGCAUCCUGUGGCAACAGCAGUCAAUACAUAAGAAAUCUGAUGAGAGAUCCAACAUCUUUAAACCAAUCAAACAUCACCGAACCAUUGGAAAGUGUAUACCUAUAAUUUUUUUUUAUCCCCAAAAACUUUGUCCAAGAUAAAUGAAUGUAUAAAUCUCUUCUACUAGUCUAAGCUUUAACUGUUUUCAACUCCAAACUUCUAAAUCCAACACAGAUUCAAAACAGCCAAGAUUAAUGAGCGACAAAGCGAUAAUAACACAAAUCCCAAAGCAAUCAAAAAGCAAAACCCAAAAAAUGAUAAAUUAAAAGUAAUUCCAGGAGCUCAACAAGAAAGACUACCUGCCAAUGAAUGCCCUCGAGAUUCCCUGAGGAAGUGAACGAGAGAUGAACCUAGUAGUUGUUGGUCUGGCAUUAAUAAGACUUCAGAGGAACAUGGCAAUUAUUAUUAUUAAGAAAACAAUUCAUUGCUAAAACAAAAUUAACUUUUCUAACUUAUUAAAAUUUAACUAGAGAAAAAUUGGAAUACACGAUGUUGUAUCUCAUACGGUAUUUAGACAUCAAGAAAAGAACCCCUCUAUCUGUGAACUAUACUUGCCAGGAAAUUAACACCAGGCGAAUACCACCCCCUCCUACUAUUUAUUAGGUGUCUCAGAGCUUGAUGAGGACUUCCAUGCUGUGUAUCUUCGACAGGCAGCAAAAUUGGGCAAUUGACUACAUUAACUCCAAGAAAUUCAGAGGGCGUUAAUUAAAUACCCUUUUAACAGUAUCUUUUUAUUCUUCUCCAAUCUAACAGUUAUUUGGGAAAUCUAAAUGACAGUCAUGCAUCAAAGGCGUCAAAGUUUGGCUACAAAGCAGCCUGGAAAAGGCUUUACCCUCUGAAUGAGAGCAUGAAUUCGAAAAAUAUGAUGAAUGAAGAAACAAAGGCAUAAUACCACAAGAAGUAAAACUUUUCCCCAGAGCUCUGUUUCUGUUUAUGCUAAAGCCAAUGGAAACCGAUGGAAAUGAAUUUCUACGAAUUAGACAUAUCAGCCAAAACAGGUACUCUGUACAAGCAAAGUAAAAGAGAGUUACAAAAAAAUUUAAAUUGAUAUGAUAAUUAAAAUUUCAGUCACCAUAUAAUCAAUAGAAAACUUUGUAUACAAUGAUUUAUUGCAUAUUAAGAUUGUAUAGCUAAAUUUUAAUUGCUAUACAAAAUAUGAUAUUAGCAUUGGGAGACCGCACCAAAAAGUACCUAAUUGAAUGUGCCUUUUCACAGCCAUUGUACAAGCUUUGAAGCAUUACCACAAAUGCUUUUCAAACCCUUGAACAUGAUGCACCCAAGAGAUGCAAGAUAUGAAAUUGUUACUACAGCCAGCAUUGAAACAUAAUAUUAGCAUUAGGAGACCGCACCAAAGCAUACCGAAUUGAAUGUGCCUUUUCACAGCCAUUUUACAAGCUUUGAAGCUUUACCACAAGUGCUUUUUCCAACCCAUGAACAUGAUGCACCCGAGAGAUGCAAGCUACGAAAUUGUUACUACAGCAAGCAUUGGAGCAUUUGUUAAAAGAAGGAAGUUUAUGAAAAUAUGCCUUUGGAUGGAUACCCAUCUUCAGGAAUCAAUUCAUCCGUAACAACAAUUUUCAAGAAGUAUCAACUGCUUUAAGUUCAUCGACAUCACAGAGAACUUCAACUAAAAUAGAGCGGAUCUGGCCAUCACUAUCCCUUCUACUGCUCUUUUCCUUUAGAGAAUGCUUGAAGUACAGAAUGCGUGUAAGGGAUUCUUAUUCAAGGUCCAAUGAUCAAACCUUGCACAAUAACAACAGAGGUAGUAGUUCCUUCGCCAGCCUAAUCCUUGGUCUCAGGAAUGUCCUCAACAGGGUAUUCGAAAUCAACCUAAAAAUUAAGAAUGAGUUGGAAAACUGUUUAUGGCCCUAAAGAACUUGAAAAUCAGAAAAGAUUACGAAUGAGUGACUAAACAUUUUGAUCGCAACUAAACAUUCAAACCUUGAGAAUCUAAUUUUGAAGUACUCUUGAAUGAAUGAGCAAUUGCAGGAGAUGGUGACAACUAAGAUUACUGCGAAGUCUCUUACGAAUCCUUAAAGAUGAUACUUUACAUACCACGAUAACCUGAUAACACAGAGGAACACAAUGAACAUUAAAGUGUAUUCUGACAAUGCAAAUUUGUGGAAAUUAUCAGCUGUGGUUACCUGGACAAUAUUGCCAACACCAAGCUCCUUCCUCAAUUGAAACAUAUGAUCAGCCCACAAAUGCUUUGCUUUGUAGCUUUUGAGAGCCUGAAAUUGUUUUCACAACAACAGUGAAAAUUAGGUGAAAAAAUUGAUAAUAUUAGCAUAAUUCCAUAUGUUUAUAUAGGAUAAACCGAUCAAAGUAUGAAACAAGAUAGAAAUGAUGAUCUUAGCACCUUAACAUCAUGCAAUAAUAAUCAUCAUGUCUUUCAGGCAGCUAUCCAUCCUCAAUUGAAACAGAGCAGACCCGGCCAUCACUUCCUUCUUCAAAGUCCAGCAACCAAACGUUGCACAAUAACCACAGUGAUAAUCCUUGGUUACCCCAAUGUCCUCCAUAGAGUUUUCAAAGUCAACCUGAAAAUGAAAUAAAAAUGCAAUGCAGGUAGAAAUGAAAAUUCUAUAAAUUAAAUAAAAUAAAAAUGCAAUGCUUGAGCUUGAGCUUGCUUUAACAUCAUCAUAAUAGGGAAUUUAUAUAUAUAUAUUUACUUCUCUGUUCUUGUUUAUUCACAACAAGAUAUCAAUAGAAGAAGAUGGAAAUGAAAUUCUAUAAAAAAAAAGCAAGUGAAUUACCAGCAAAACAUUUUAGCAACCCUUUGGCUAAACUAUUCAUUUUCAUAAUCUUGCUCUCCUGGGUGCAUCAUUAGAACCAAAUUAGCGUGGACCUGCGAAUUGCUAGUGUAGUUCUGACAUUUCCUCGAAUCCCUGGUGAACAUAAUUAAACUCGUAUGAAAUAAAACAAAGUGGGCUCAUGUACUACUAAAAACAAUCACACAAUUACUUUAAAGAAUUAAUGUCACAUAAAUUAUGUAUAAAAAAACACGAUUAUCAUUAUACAAGAUAACAUUGAUAAUUUAGUUUUCAACAUUACUGCAAAUGUAUCACAGAGAUUUUGUCUCUCAGGAAGUUACACAACAAAUUUUUGUGCAUUAAAAAAUAAAAUUCGUUAGGAUUUUCUAUGAUGUUGUAUGAAAUUUUACAAAAGACUACAUAUUUUUUAAAAGAAAUUAUAGAAAUUUCAACAGACUGCACUUGUUUUUUAUUUUAUUAUUAUUUUAGCUUUAGAAAACAAGUUUAACAAAUUUGAUGACUAGGAAGUUUAAAUUUUAAAUAAUUGAAAUUAAAAUAUUAUCCUAACUAACCUUUAUGAACAAUUGAUUAAAUUUAACACUACAUAUUUAUACUAUGAUUGAUUCUGUAAUUUUUAUAAUAGCAUCAUAAAGUGACCCAUUAAAUUAAUGGUGGAAGUAAAUAGUUAAAUUCAAUACGCAAAUCAAAAUAUUAGAAAAUAUUGUAUAUUCCUGUUAGACAUUGGGCAAUAUAUAGAAUUUUAAUUCAAAAUAUGAUUAUUUUUAUUAAUUUUAUUGCAAGCAACAACAGAGUAAAUCAGUGGAGGAGGAGAAAUUACCGGCGAGUGAUAUCUUACGCCGACCGCAUGAUGUGGGGAAGGUGAGAUAUCUUAUGCCUGUCUUCUCCUUCCCCUUCUCUGUAACCCCAAAUUGUCAAUGUCUGCAGUGUCGUUGUUUGAAUUUACCACUCGAUGUGGGGAAUGUGAGAUAUCCUAUGCCAGUCUUCUCCUUUCCCCUCUCUAUAACGGUUUUCCAGAAGAGGACAUCCCUGAAUACUCAAUUGCUGCAGCGUCGUCGUCCGAAGAAGGUAAUCCGGCAGCACCUUUAAUUUGGGGCAAUACUCAAUUUCCAAGGAAGAAAGACGUGGUAUGUCUGUUGUCCUGUGAUCUUCUAGAAUGGGCAGUUCUUCCAUAAUUGGACAAUAAGAAAUACUCAAUUUCUGCAGUGUCGUCGAUUGAAAAAGGUAAUCCGGCAGCACCCUUAAUCUGGGGCAAUGCCAAAUCGUCAAGGAAGAAAGACGCGGCAUGAUGGAGAUGUUUUCCUUUCUUGUAAUCCUAUAAUUCCACUCUUCCAAUUCUUCCAUUGCCCCAACGUGGAGUGAUUUUAAUUUGGGGAAGGCAAUGACUGAUGAUGAUGAUGAAGAUGAAGAUGGGUCAUCCUCACUGCUUCCUUCGAUUCCCAAAAACUCAUUACCCACUCUUUUCACACCAUACAGGCCGUAAAGGGUGAGUUUUUGCAGCGGCAAUUUUCCCAAGGGAGGAAAAUGCUCACAGAUAACGCACGAUUUAAGUCUUAAAUCCCUUAGAUUGGUUAGUGAAGUCAACCAUUUGGGAAAUAUGUUGCCUCCGUAGGAUACAAUCCCUAAUUCUUUUACAUUCAAAGGCGGUUGUAAGGCUUCCAGAAGUUGUUGAUUCUUCCUCCUCCCUUCUUCACCUUCCACGUCAAACUCAAGAGAUAAACGAAGGAGGUUUUUCAUAUUGUGAAGUCCUAAUCUCUCAGCCUCAUCUAAAUGUGACACAUUACUCAGCCCUUCUAUUCCACAUUCUCGAAGGAGUUGAAGAUUUUUCAGAGAUUCAAGCCUACACGUACUGAUAUCAUUAACACCUCCGCCCACAGCAAACUUUUCUAAUGUUCGAAGACUGGUUAAUUUGGAAAUCCCUAUUGGCAUGUACUUCAGCGAAGGAGUGCCACCAUUCAGUAAACUCCUCAUGUUCUUUAACUUCCCAAUCCCCGCCGGCAAUUCUCUAAGAUCUUCGCACCACCUAAUAUCUAGCUUUUGUAAAUUAUAUAAUUCACACAAAGUCUCAGGCAGUAUCUCUAUACAUAAUUCAGAAAAAUUAAGAUAUUUUAAAUGUAUCAAUUUUCCGACAUUUUCUGGAAUUUCUCUAAUCAAAUUUGGGUAAGGAUCAAAUAUAAAAUUCCGUUGCCCUAUAACUAAUGCCCUUAAACACGCCAAUUUACUAAAUAACUCCGAAAGGAUGCUACUAUUAAGAGACGGAUUGGAACGACUUUGGAAAUAAAUUAGGAGGGUCCGCAAUCUAUUAAGUCCAUGAAUGGACAUAGGAAAUGAAGCUCCUCCUUCAAAAUUUAACCCUAAGUGACGGACUUUAUCACCAAAAGAGUUUAUGACUGAUUCCUUGGUACCAUUAAUUUCUACCCACAAACAUUCUUUUCUACUUACAAAUUGGGCAAAAUCAUGUACUAUGUCAUGCAUCUUGCAGCUCAUAAUAUCAUCAUCAUCAUCAUCAUCAUCAUCUUUUUUAAACUCUUGAAAGAAAGAGCGUGCUGCUAAAAUAUUGAAAUACUCUUCCCCAGUCAUCUCCAUCUCUUCGUCUUCUUCUGCAUUAAGGUAACCUUGAACCAUCCAUAGUGAAAUUAGUUCCUUUUUUUUUAUAUUGUAGUCUUUCGGAAAGACAGAACAAUAUGAAAAACAUCGUUUUACCAUAGAAUUGGAGGGCAAAUCAUUAUAACUCAACAACAAUGGAGCAAAAAGGCCUUGCCCAAUCUCUUCUACUUUCCACAUUUCACUAUCUAAAAUUUUUUGCCACUCUUUUAUUGUACUUUUAGAGCGUAAGAGAUUCCCUGUUACCUUUGCAGCAAGAGGCAGGCCUUUGCACUUGCGUGCAAUUUUUCGCCCGAUUGGUUCUAAUUUUUCACAAUCCUCGAAAGAGCGACCGGAAAAUGCUAACAUCUUGAACAACAACCAACAUUCCUCUUCAGUCAAUUGCUCAAUGAAGAUAAUAUUUGUUGAUCCCAUCAUACGUGCAACUGACUCAUUACGUGUGGUAACCAAAAUUUUACUUCCAUGGAGACCAUGCUUUAGACAAUGGAAGAAUGGUUCCCAUUUAUUAUAAUCCCCAUCCCAUACAUCAUCUAAGACAAGAAAAAAAAUUUUUCCUUCAAUUGAUCUAUGGAUAUGGCUUAGAAGAGAUUGGAAUUCGCUUAAACUAGAAGUUGACUCACCUAGACCUUCAAUGAUUGCAUUGGCAACCCUAAUCUCCUCAAAAGUGUCUGAUACACACACCCAUAUAACUUUUUCAAAAUUUCUUUUCACCUCAUCAUUAUUAUAGGCCAGUUGUGCAAGAGUGGUUUUACCUACGCCCCCUAACCCAACUAGUGAGAUGACAUGAAGGCCUUUUUGUUGUUCACUACUUUCAAACAACAACUUGCUUAAGAGCUCGUUUUUCUCGUCAACUCUACCACAGACCUCUCCCUCAUCAAUCAAGGAGGUGGUUGGCGCUUGUUUCGGUUUUUUAACACGGUUACUCACAUUCUCAACAAAUUUAAACCUAUCUUUUUGGGAGGCAAUAUCAUCUAGCUUUUCAUUGAUUUCCCUAAUCUUGACAGCAAUGUCAUGACGAAGACUGAGUUGUUUGAAACUACCAAAGCAGUUUGAUACAGCAGGAAAGAAGGAACGUACCUUCUUCUUGUGAGGAGCAAGGGAAAAAGCAUUGUCAUCAUCAACGCCCUCAAUUUGCAAUUUGAGCCUUGCAAAGACCCACUCGUCCAACACAUCUUCCAUGUCGUAGGACGCGUCUUUGAGCUGAUCCAGCCAAAAAGUAACAGCUUUGUCUUGCUGCAUUUGCCUUUGCUCGGCAUCGUCCAGCACAGCUCGAAUGGCUUGAAGAUUGCUGGUAAGCUUUUUCACUUCUUCUCGGACACCAGUCACAAGCCUCACCUGUUGUUUCACUUCAUCAGCCGCAACAGAGAUCAGCUGCUCCAGGAGAGAGGAAACGAUCGCAUCAACCAUUCUGACAAAGAAGACGAGAAUUCUGAAGAGUUAUUAGAUGUGCUUUUGUUGCGAUGAUACUGAAAGAAAAGGAGUUAUUGCAUUCUUUUAUACUGCAUAGAAAAAGCUUAUGCUUAUCCCCACCCCACACGUCAAUGAUUGUAGAACGUUUAAUUUCCCUGAUUCUACUCCACUAGUUUUCAUGCGUAAUUAUAAAUAUUCUCAAGUUAUGUAUGAAAUAGCACAAAUUUGGAUCUAAUAAUGAUUUUUAUGCUUUUUGUGUGUUCACUUUUUCAUAAUCUUCUACUUUAAAAAGUGAGCACAAAAAUAAUAUCAAGCAUUAACUCAAAUUCACAAAGGAAUAAAUGACGAAAAGAAAAAAGAUUGGAGAAAUCAUAUUGGUAAAUUAGCACAUUGUUUUUUUAAUAAUCUCGAUAAAAUUAGUAAUAUUCAUAUUAGUCCCUAAAAAAUAAAUAGAUAUGACUAAAGAAAACUCUUGGUAGUCUCCACGAUCAGAAUUUAUUGAAAUAUUUUUAGCCUAGGUAAAAAAGCAAGUUCCCAACUUCACCGUUAGGUAAAUCUGAAAUCCUUUCUCGCAGACUUUUGCACAAAAUAGAGUGUGAGUACUACAUUUUACGAUCUAACAAAAUGAUUUUUAUUAUUGUAAAACUAUUAACAAUAACCUAAAAUACUUUAUCUGCAUGUUAUUUUUAUUAUUAACAAUAAACUUUUAACAACUUUUAUGCAAAGGAGUCCCCACUCUCUACCUGGGGAAUUUGGCAUUGGAUGCAAAAAUUAUGCUUAUCUUUAAUUUCCCUGAUUCUACUCCACCGAUAAACACAUGUUCUGCACUAACAUUUUUAAAUUCCCACACAUUAGGAAUUUGGCACAUAAUAAUAAAUAUUCUCAAAUUCGUCGCAUCUUUACGUAUGAGCGAGUGUUCUGUCUAUUUCACUUUUCUAUCUUACUGCAAUUUCAAGGCGGCUCAAUCAUAUUUUAGGUCUUAAAUAAAUUGAUUUAAUUAGACUUUCUAAAAAAUUUGAGGUGAAAUAUGUGUAUUAAUUUUAUUAAAGUUUUAUUUAUUUAAAAUAAAUUUCUCUACCUUUCUGAGAUGCAAAAUUAUUAAUCAACUUUUUAUAUUCUAAUUUUGCUAAUAUAUCUUUCUCAAUAGAUAAUAUAGUUAACUUAUUUAAUCUUUCCUAUGACAUGGUUGAUCUUAAAUAAUUUUUUAUCAAUAGCACGUUUUUAGAUUAAGCUAACUUUUCUAUUCUUCUCCUUUUAUGAAGUUUUUUGUAUCAUGAUGCAUAGUUUUUAGUAGACAUUUUUUUUUUCUAAGGAAACAAGAGUAAUCAUGCAAACAAUUAUGCUAGAUAAUUAAAAGCAAACAACCUAUGAGCAGAAUAAUAUUUUUACAAAAAAACAAAAACACCUAAAUAACACAAUUAAUUAAUAAGAGAAUUGGAAGAUAAAACCUGAAAAUUUGAGAAAUUUAACUUUGAUGGAUUGAGGCUUUGAGCAACAAUGAUCAAAAGAAAGUAAAACAAUUAAUUUUCUUUUCUUCCUUAUGCAAAAAGUAAGGUAGAGAAAGUAGUUUUUUCACCAAAGCAAUGAAGGUUUUGUGUUUUUUUUAUUGGAAAAAGAUAUUAAUGGAUAAUAAUUUAAAAAAGGUGUGGCCUUUAUAGAGUUUUAAAUGAAAUAAAUGGAGGAAAUAAAUGGAUUAUAAUUGUUAAUUAUAUUGUUAAAAGGGGAUUUUGUAAGAAUCUAGUAGUUUGUUUAUGGAAAAUAUAGUUAUAAAUAAUAAAUAUAAAUCAAUAAUUAAUAACUAUAAUUUAGGAAUUAAAUUAGAAACCUUCAUUUAUAAUGGGGUCCUAGGUUAAAUGUGGGGUCCUGAACAACCACCUAAAUUAUCCUAAGUUGCCUGAGGUAAGAGCCGCUCCAAACUGUAAUGUCAGGUAGAGGAAUUCAGUUCCCCCAAGGGAUGGAAACGAUGGCAUCAACCAUUUGAUGUUCGAUUUAAAUGCUAAAUUUUACAUUUGCUUUUGUUGCGAAAGUGCUCAAGGGAAAGUAGCUUUUGUGUAUUCAGUCAGAAUGCUCAUUCAAGCAUUUUUGCAUUCUUCUUAUGCUACAUGAGAUAUUUAAUUUUUACCCUUGAGUCGAUGUCAAUGUAAAUGCUUUUAUGCUGCAAAUUAAAGAAAUCCCAAUAGCCGUCACCGUCUCGGGCUAACUUUCCGCUCCACCACAACAAUAAUUGUACAACAUCUGCCCUGUUUCUCUGAUUCAUAAUAAUUAUGCAGAUUACUCAGCACCAACAUUUGUAAAUUUCUUACAUUAUAAGUAACAAAAUAUUUGUAAACUACGACAAAAACUUAAAACAAUCUACCGAUGAACCUUCUGAAGUUAUAUAUAAUAGAUUAACUUAACCUAGAAUAAUCUUAGUGCUGUAACAAUUUCAAAAUAAAUGAUGUUUUAUUAUAAAAACAUGUCCAAGUAAUUGUCCCAUAUAAAAGGUAUCUUUCCACUUAAGAAUGUAUCAUUUCAUAUUGUCAUUUCAUUUGAAAUGGUGAUGGACCAAUUUAGACAAUUGAUUAAAAUCAAAUCUUGAUCCAAUGACCAUAAAUGAAUGGGUAUCAUGAAAAAUGACAAUCCAAAUGGAGGGCACAAGUAUAUUUAUAAAUAGAGGCCAUGUUUAGUGAAAUUCUAGUUAUGCAACCCAAGAGGGGGGGUGAAUUGGGAUUCUAAAAAUUAUUCAAUUUUUAAAGCAUGCAAAUAUAAAACGAAUUUAAAGCAAUAACAAAUAAAUUUAUCACAAUAUAAAAAGAUAAGGUAAGAGAGAUUCAAACAUAAGGAUUUUUAUGUGGUUCGGCCAACCUCGCUUACGUCCACGCCUCCAAGCUUUCUGAGCUUCAGGAUUCCACUAAGCAAGCUUCCAAGACUUCAAAUGCUUACACUUGACUUCUAAGGUGUCAAUAAACCUUUACAACAAGAGAUUAUCCCCAAUCUCUUAACCCAAGUGUAUCCCAACACUUACAAUCACUCAAUUUGAUUUUAAAGAAUGUUACAAAAUAAAUUUCUCUCACACUAUGUGUUUGAUUACAAAUGAAGACUCAAAGUGUGAGUAAAUGAGAUGAAUAUAGGAAUUUAAGGCUCAAUGAAUGUUGUAUGCUCAAGACUUUGCUCAAUAAUAAUUGUUGGAAUCGUUUUAGUUUGAAUUUGAUUGAGCAUAUUUAUUGCUGGAGCUGAAAACUAGCUAUUAUUGACUUUCUGCACACUGUCGGAUCACCGUUUUAAAUAGUCAAUAUGACCGUUGGGCUGAAUUCUUAAAUUGUUGGAUCGCCGUUAUCUAGAUGUCGGAUCGUCGUUAGUGUCCAGAGACUAAUCUUCAAUUCUGUGCAAUGUCGGUUAGCCGUUAUCAAGUUGUCGGAUCACCGCUAGUGUCCAGAGGCUAAUCUUUAGUUCUAUUCGAUGUCGGCGAGCCGUUAUCAAGAUGUCGGAUAGCCGUUUUCUACAGUAACUACUACAGGGAACUAUUUUGUAAAAUAAUAGUUUGACCCCAAAACUUCAGAAAAUUAUACUAUGACCCAACACUUUAUAAAACUUGUUAAAUAGAUCCAUUUAUAGGAUUUGAAACAAUAUUUGUUAUUAUCAAAAUUCUCAAAUCUUUUUCAAUUGAAACCAUUAACAUGAGAAUAACCAAAAAUAUUUCCAUAGAAUAUAAAGUCUUUAUAAAGUGAGAGUGAUGAUUUAAAAGUAUAUGAAAAUUAUUUUGAGCUUUUAAAAGAUUAAUCAAUCUUAAUUAAAUUUGUUAUCAUCAAAAUCAAUAAUAAAGAAAUAUUUAUGUUAGCAAUCUUCCCCUUUUUGAUGAUGACAAACUGUUCAAGAAAAUAUUUGUGCAAUUUUGCUCCCCCUAAAUAUGUGCUCCCCCUAAGUAAAAUAUUUAAGGAAUUUAACUUCCCCUAAAUAUGUGCCCAUCAAUUUUUAAUCUCAUAAAAAAAAAUUUAAAUAGAACAGAUUGAAUCGAUAAAUUAUAUCAUCAAUUUUUAAUCUCAUAAAAAAAUUUUAAACAGAACAUAUUGAAUUGAUCAAUUAUCUCCCCCCUUAAUCAUAAAAAAGAAAUGAGCACAAAAAGAGUAAAAAUGAGAAGUUCAGAGAGUACCCAUGUUGGAAAAAUUUUGGCAGAAUCUCCCCUUAAAAAUGAACAUAUCCUCAACAAUACAAAUAGUUAAAACACUCCCAUAUAUACAUUCCAACUUAUCAACCAACCUCCAUUCCAACGAAUUCAAUAUAAUCAUGAACAAUAACCAAACAUGUCAUCAAAAUCAACGAAAUCAUAAAUUGUAAUACCCCACACCCGAUUUUGACCCUGUUGACCACCCUUAUAAAUUGAGAGAGAGAGAGAGAGAGAGAAAGGAAAGAGAGAAUAGAAGAGAGAGAGAGAGAGGGGAGAAACCGAACCGGAUCCAACCCGACCCGCGAGCGCGACCCGGCCGGUUCUCCCAUUUCUGGCCACCAUUCCGGUCAAGGUUGGUACCGAUUUGAAGCUUGAGAGACGAGCAACGUAUCCAUGCCGUCCUUGCCGCCGGAAAUCGAUCGGAAAGCCACCGAUCGAAGCUUUGAAGUUCCGCGGAAUCGCCGCCUCGAUUCACUGUGAUUUCGCUGGUUUCUGGUGAAGGCAUCACUUGGGUUUUGUUCCUUCGACCAUUUCCGACUAACCACUCACGUUGGGGACGUCGUUUUGUCGUUGGUCGGCCGUUGAAGGAUUCAUGACUUCGGGAGCUCGAUCUGAAGCCAUCACCGCCCGUGGGAGGUCACCACCGCCACCAUUGGACUCAGCGUGGCUUGAACUUUCAGUUCUGAGCUUCCCGUUGCCGUCGGUUGAAUUCUGGUGACCGUUGACCAGCAAGGGUAUUUCAGUAAUUUCACAAUCUAAGGGCAAUUUUGUAAUUUCAAAUUUUGUGGGUAUUUUAGUAAUUGUUGAAAUUGAGGAUAAACUUGGUAAUUUAUGAUUUUGAGGUUAAUUUGGUAAUUUUGAUAUUUGAGGGUAUUUUGGUAAUAUUGAAUUCAAGGGCAUUUUGGUAAUUUUGAUCUUUGAGGGUAAUUUCAAAAUUUCAAGAAUUAUCAGUAUUUUGAUGAUUUAUGAUUUAAAUUAAGAUUAUUUGAGGUGAAGUAUGAAAUGUGAUUAUAUUGAGGAAUUUGAGAAUAUUGGAGUAUAUGAUUAUGGUUUAAUUUUAUUCUUAUGAGAGUAUUUUUAUUUAUUUUUAGGCCGAUGAUAUCGAUGUGCAUUUGUUACUCAAGGAUACCAGGAGGUAAGUAAACUAGAUUUCCAAACGAAUCACAAUAAACAAUAUAUAUGUUUGACAUGUUUGGAAAGCCUAUUUUUAUAUAAGUACGGAUAUUGAUUUAUAUGCUCUGCCCAUGUGUUUAUACGAUAUGUUGAUAUGAUGUGUUGUUAUGUGUGUUUAUGGACAUGGGCAUACGUAUGUGUGAAUAUUUCAUUGGCAUGAGCACGAAAUGCAUUAUGUUUUCUAUAAAAUGAGAAAGUGAAUUUUAGCCAAAUGGAAUUUGUAGAAAGAAAGAUUGUUUUACAGUUUUAGCUUGGAUGCUUGAAUUCGUUAUUGGCUUAGUGGAAGACACUCUAGAUGUUUAUAUAGUUAUGAGAUAAGUGGGCGAAGGACGCAUUGGCGAGAAGCCCAAAGAGUAUGAAAGUUAUGAAAAUUAUGAAAGUUAAGGGAGUGUCCUACUAAGCGGUAAUCGAAUAAAGGUAGCUCAAGUAAGUGGUUUGAAAGAGAAUGUGAAAGUUUGAGAAAGACAUAAUGAGAUUUCAAUUAUUUUUUUUACGAUGUUUUCGAAUAUCAUGGCACGUCAUUCAUUUGCACUAUCUAUAUGUAUGUAUGUAUUUUGGUAUAUGCAAAACUAGUUUACUUAUUGAGUUUCGUACUCAUUAUAGUUUAUUGUGAUUCAGUUUCCGUAAAUCAGGAUUGAUUCGUGAUGAUCGUCGAGAAGGACUUGAAUGGAGGAAUUAGAUGGUUUGGCAUGAAUUUUAAAUUCUUCCGCUGCAGUUUACGUUUUAUAUUUGUAUUUUCAAGGAUAUAAUUUUUAUGGAUUGUAAAAGGAUUAUUAUUAUUUAUUAUUAUUUUAUUUUUAAGCAUCUAUCAGUAAGAUUCGCCCUGUGGAGGUCGGGGUGGGUCGUUGCAUAAAUAAAAUUCACAUAUCCAAUAAAAACAUCAUAAAAGCAUCACAAGAACAAUAAAAAAAAAACAAAAAGUACCACAACAAACUACAUGAAAUGAGUAAUGUUUGUGCGAAAAUCAUAGGGGCAGAAAAUUAAGAUGGGGGCGGUGAAGAGGAACUUCCGGGAUCAUAGCCAAGGCGACCAAGAAUACGGCACUGUCCAGCAAGUAACUUCAUCUGCUGAUUUAAUAUCUGCCGCCGAAAAGUCACAAAAUCAGAUUGAAGCUGCUGCUGCUACUGGGAGAGUGUAUCCAUCUUGUCGAAGAGCUGCUAAAAGCGGUCCUCAGAAGCAGAAGAUGCUGCAAGAGGGAUGGCUGGCUCAGUUGGCUUGUCAUCCGAAGAGGAAGCUGCUGCGGAUGCUGCUGCUGUUGCUCGGCGAGGGGCACGCGGUCUAGCCCUAAGGCGGAAGUCGGGUAACUCACCCUUGAAAUAGACAUCAUUUAGCAUGCUAUCAUCCUCUGGAGCAAUAAAAGUGUCUUCAUUCUUAGAGGAUGUUGUCUUUUCCCACUUCCCAUUCUUCUUAAAAAAUCCGAUCGCAGACAUAAUCUCUCGACCGAGCUUUCGGGUCUCGAGAUAAACAGGCUUAGUGGUUAAUGGGCCAAGAGUGAAGCACUAUAUGGGAGAUGAGGUGAACAGCCUAAUGAAGGAUCGGUUCUUAAAGGAUCGAGGUUGAGGAAACAAGAAAGGUCAGGCUUAAAGACCUAAAAUCAAGCGCUAAUUGGGAGGCAACCCAAUAAGGGAAGUUGUUUUAACUUUUUAAAGCAUUAAAUUUAGUUUUUAAAUUAUUGAAUUUGUCUUGCUGUUAUUUUAAGUGUGCAUCCAAUUUUUUAUGUCUUUGUGUUAAAUUGCAGCAGGUAAAAAAAAAACAAAAAAAUGCGAAAAAAAGAGUAGCAAAGAAUUACUGCAGCAUCACUUACAGCAUGACAUAUAACAGAAGAUUCUCAAACAAUAGAGGCAUUUCUUGCUUUUGCAGCAGUAAAUGGAUUGAUCAGAUUUUAUGAUAAGGAGCGUUUGAGAAGUAUAUUAAAGAAAAAGUGACCUUUUACAGCCUAUGCUGCAACAGUGCUUCCAGUAACCGGGCAGUACCCCUAACCGCUAGUUUAUUUUACUUCUUGCUGCAAAACUUUUCUUUCAUUUAGUUUUAAUUUUCUAAUUCAUUCUGCAUGUCCUUUUAUUUAGUGUAUACAUGUCUGGUUUAUGUGGUUUUGUUUUGUGUGCUUGUGAGGACACAACAUCACUCAAGUUUGGGGGGGUUAUGUUUCUGAGUGCAUGUAUUUAUGCUUGUGUUGUAUGAAGCUUUGUUAUCUAAUAUUUGUGUAUGAAUUUGAAAACCUAAUGAAGAUAAAUUGAGUGCUAUUCAGUAUUUAUGAGAAAGCGAAGUAGAGAUAGUUAUAGAUGGGGGUUGAACUUCUGUCCCGACACUUAGACUUUGGUUGAGUUUUACGAGAAUGCAGUAGCAGAGCCAGGAAAACGAAAAAAGAGUAGAAAAUAUCUAAAGUUUGGGGGAAAAUUUUUGUUGAACUGUGCUUGUUAUGAAAUAAAUUUUGCUCCAAUGGCUUAAGUUGUUGAGUAACCAAGGUUGAGUGUGUACCCCAUAUGCAAACUUGAGUCCAAAGGUAGAAAGAGUUAUGAGCAAUGCUGCAGCAAUUAUAUAUUGAAACAAAAGAAAAAAUGGUGAUGAAGGAAUGAAAAAUAAAGAGGUCCGCUGUCUAGGAUACUGAGUAAUUUGGUCUGUUCAUGAGCCCCAUGUUCAGCCUUGAGUCAAAGGCGUCCAAAGGCAAGACCUAGAUAUAACAUCCUAAAUGUGUUGCUGCAGUAACUCUGACAUGUACUUUGAGUGAGUAAUUGGGUGUCGUCAUUACAAGUGAUGGGCACUCACAUGAAAGCUCAAUGUUGCAUUGAAGGGUUUAACUGAAAAAAAAAGUAUUAUUAUUGUAGCACAGUUUGAGUUUAUUUCUGAAUUUUACUCCCUCAUAUGUGAAUAUAUUUGUGUUCUAUCUCUGAAUUAUAUGCCUGUGUAAUGUUGUAGCACCUCUGAAACUUGAUCAAAGUGGCACACACACACUCUGCACAGAAUGAAGCCUAGUUCGAGAACUAAACUAUUAUGGUUAUUUUGCGUGAUUAAGAAUGUGAUAUGAGGGUUGAAGAAUCCUUACAAAUUUGAUGACAGAGCUAAGUUAUUUGUUGAAUGAUUGUGUGAUUGAAGUGUUAGUGUUAUUGUCAUUACUUGAGGACAAGUAAUGGUUUAAGUUUGGGUGUGUGAUAACUCUAUAAAAUGAGAGUUAUUAUGGCACUUUUAGACUUAAAUCAAUAUGGUUUAAAGAGUAAAUGAUGUGUUUCUAUUGUAUUUUGUUACAUUUUGCAUAAAUAUUCAUUUUAAUUUAGUCUUAAUAAGUUUUGCUCGAUUUAAAGUAAUUUGUGCUCAAAUUGUGUGCAAAAUUGUAGGUUUCCAGAAGUUUAUAAUUCAUGGAAGGAAUGCUAUGCAAUAAGGUUGCAAAAAUAAGGAAAGAACAUGGCUAAAAAAGAGUUGAAACAAAUCUGAAACAAUGCAGUUGCUGUAGAUAUUGCUGUAGCAACCAUUGCUGUAGCAAUCCUGGAACAACGACAGAGAAAAUUUCGCGCGGGAUACUUGCAGAAUUGCGAUCUGCAGUUUCCUAAUCAGACUUAUGCGCGCCCUAGGGUUCCGUUUACCCUAAUUUUCAACUAUAAAAGAAGCACACAUCAUAAGGAAAAGAGGGAGCCGUCACCCAAGGAGAAAAACACAAAGAAACAAAAGAAAAACAAGAUUCAAGAGAGAAAUUAAGGGCUGCACAAGAGGAGAAUUUACAGAAAUCAAUUGGGAGCUCAAUCCUUCUUAUUCUUCUCUUGUUUUCGUGUUUUCUAUUUAUACAUGGGGAUGCAUUUCAUGACUGAAACUUUGUUCUUUAUUUUUUUUUUUUUUUGCAAACCAUGAACUAAAUUUAUUUGUGGUUGAGUGAUAAACAAUCUUGAUGGUUUAUUGAUUGAAUACAUGUGUUGUUGCAUGUUUACUGUAGCAGUUUGUUUUGAUAGUAUUUAUUUUUAUUCAUUAUUUCGGUUGAUCACCCAUUUAAUAAUACAAGUUAGGAGAGAGCCGCAAAAGGGCCUAUCUUAGUGGAACAUAUCAGAGCAAUACUUGGUUUAGAUUGAGUUUCCUGGAUUGAGUUUAACUUAUUCCAAAAGGGCCAUGCUUCAUUUAAAAUUAGUGAUGAACUAGACAUAUGGAUUCACCUUGUAGGGUGAAUAGAAUCUAAGCGUGUAAUACUAUAUCUUAUGUUGGCAUAACAACUGAUCACUGUUAGGUUACAUAUAGAUAUAAGAUAUCCAACAUGCGACAGCUGAGGAUACAUAAGGAUUCUGCCCAGUGUUGUAGCAAAUACUGCAGCAACCGAGCCAACCAUUAGAAAAUAGUCAAGACCAUUAGGAGAGUUUAGUCACUCAACUACUAUAUAUUUCCAUUAGUUUUAUCAUUGAGCUUGAUGUGAUAGUUUACUUUGUUGCAUUUAUUUAUUGUGUUUUUAUUUUAAUUAGUACAUUAGUUUCAUUAAUUGUUUAUUUUAUUUUAGCACAAAAUCUGCACUGUUAAGAUUGUUGUAGCAAAUCUGAUAACAUCAAUCCUUGUGGAGACGAUCUUGAAUACUCAUCACUUUAUUACUUGUUGUGUACACUUACACAUUGACACCAAUAGCAUUAGUAUUUAUACACCAACAGUACCUAUGACAGAUUGAUGUUCCGGUUUAGGAACUAAUUCCCACACAUUGUUUCUUUUAAAUUGAUUUAACUCCUCUUGUAUUGUCAUAAUCUAAGAUUCAUCAUUUUCCGCAUCCUCAAAGGAUUUGGGUUCAAUUUGAGAAAUAAAUGCAUUAUGCUCACAAGUAUUCCUAAGUGAUGAUCUAGUUGUAAUACCUCGUGAGGGAUCUCCUAAAAUUACAUUCUUAAGGUGAGAAGAAACAUACCUCCACUCUUUUGGGAGUGAUUGAAAAGUACCUUCAUUUUACUCUACAUUUGUUUCUUUAUGUUGCUCAUCUUGAUUCCCAUGAGACGCAUCCUUUUGGUUAUCUUUUGAUGACUCUUUUUGUAAGUCUUCAUCUGCAUCAUUAUCAACAACAACUUUCUCCGUAGAGGAGGGGUUAGAUUCAUCAAAUAUAACAUGCAUCGAUUCUUCUACAACUAGAGUUCUUUUGUUAUAAACUCUAUAAGCUUCACUUGAGUUUGAAUAUCCAAGAAAAAUACCAACAUCGGAUUUUGAAUCAAAUUUGCCAAGAUUAUCUUUUGUGUUCAAAAUAAAACAUUUGCAUCCAAAAACUUUGAAAUAACCAAUAUUGGGUUUUCUAUCUUUCCAAAGCUCAUAUGGAGUUUUAUUAAGAUUAGGUCUAAUCAACACAUGAUUUAAAACAUAACAAACGGUGUUGACGGCCUCGGCCCAAAAAUACUUAAGCAAGGAAUUUUCAUUCAACAUAGUCCUAUCCAUUUCUUAAAUUGACAUAUUCUUUCUCUCAACAACUCCAUUUUGUUGUGGAAUUCUAGGUGAUGAAAAUUGAUGCACAAUGCCUAGAUUAUUGCAAAAGGUUUCAAAUGCAUAGUUUUCAAACUCUCCUCCAUGAUCACUUCUAAUGCAUGCAAUACCAUACCCUUUUUCAUUUUGAAUUUUCUUACAAAGUACUUUAAAAGCAUCAAGAGCAUCAUCCUUAUUAAUUAAGAAUAAUACCCAAGUGUAUCUUGAAAAAUCAUCAACAAUUACAAAAGCGUAAUAUUUUCCAUUCAAGCUAGCAUACCUUGAAGGUCCAAAUAAAUCUAUAUGAAGUAAUUGAAGCGGUUUUGAAGUAGAAAUAUAAUUUUUACUUUUAAAAGAGGUUUUGAUUUGUUUACCAAAUUGGUAUGCUUCACAAAUUUUAUCUUUUUGAAAACCAAUUUUUGGAAGACCUUCAACUAAAUCAUUUUUGGAAAUCUUUGAAAUUAAAUCCAUGCUUGCAUGUCCUAGUCUUCUAUGCCAUAACCAACUAUCAUCAUGCAAUGCCGAAAAACAUUUAUCAUUAGUGGAUGCACAUUCUAUGUCAAUGGUAUAAACAUUACCACAUCUAUUUCUAAUAAAUAAAAUCUUGUUAUCACAUGCAUUCUCAAUAAUACAUUUAGAUUUAUCAAAAGUAAUUUUAUAACCUUUGUCACACAAUUGACUAAUAUUAAUCAAAUUGUGUUUCAAGUUUUCAACUAAACAUACAUUUUCAAUUAAAGUUGACGAAAUUUUACCGACAUUUCCAACUUCGAGAAUCUUUCCUUUUGAGUUAUCUCCAAAAGAAACAUCUCCACCAUUUUUGAUUGUGGUGAAACUUGAAAACCAUGCAUAGUUUCUGGUCAUGUGCCUUGAGCAACCACUAUCCAAGAACCACUUAUUUUUCUUUUUCUUUAAUCCCUGCAGAAAAAGUUUCUAAGUUUUAGGUACCCAAAACUUCUUGGGUCCUUGUAUGUUAGCAAUGGUUCCUUUUGGAACCCAAAUACAUUUCACACCAUAAUAUGCAUUUCUUUUUACUGGACAUCUAUUUUUCAUGUGUCCAUCUUGAUUACAAUGAUGACAUACAAUUUGAUUGUUAAUAGAAGUACUUUUCACAAAGUAGUUUUUAUAAUAUUUUUGUUUUAAGUUUGGCUUAUAUCCAAUACCUCCUUUAUCAAACACACAUUUUUGUGAAUUGAGCAUGUUUUCCAACAUCUUUUGUCCAUUUGUAAACUUUAGCACAAUUUCAUUUAGUUCAUUAUUUUUCUUCUUAAGCACUUCAUUCUCUUUCAUUAACUCAUCCACAUGUGAUUUUUCAUGUUCAUAAGUGCUUUGUUUACCUUUAAGAGCUAAAGUUUUAUCAUGCAACAUUUUAUUCUCUAAUUCUAAUUCUUUUAUCUUCUCAUUAUUGCAUUUUUCCAGGGCAUCUUUUUCAUUUGUAAGUUCUAGCAUUUUCAUUUUAAGGCAUGCAUUCUUUUUACCAAUUUUCAUCAACUCAUCAUGUAAUUCUUUAAAAGCAUCAUACAACUCAUCAUAGGUAGGAUCACUUACCUCAUUGAGAUCAUCAUCAUCUCCUAUUGCCAUAAGUGUUAGGUUUGAUGCUUCAUGCAAUUCAUCUUCAUCACUUGAAUCUUCAUCGCUAUCAUCCUAAGUAGCAACCAUGGCUUUCUUCUUGAAUUUGUUGAGAAGUGGGCAUUCCGAUCUUAUAUGGCCGGGCUUUUAGCAUUCAUAGCAUAUGAUUGCCUCUUUCUUCUCCUUUUGAUUCUUGAAGUUUCUAAAUCUUCUUCGCUCACCGGUUUUCUUGAAGAAUUUUCUAAACCUCAUUUCUAGCAUGGCCAACUCCUCAUCAUCCGGUUCACUUUGCUCAUCACUCUCAAAUUUUGAAGCUUUGAGAACAAUACUUUUCCCUUUUUUCGGCUGCUAAGUCUUCUUCAUAUGAAAUAAAAGAGCCAAUUAAAUCAUCAAGAGGUAAAGUAUUUAAAUUUUUGGCCUCUUAAAUAGCAGUCCUCUUAGGUCUCCAUUCCUUAGGAAGUGACCUAAUGAUUUUCUUUACUUUCUCACUAUUUGAGAAAACUUUUCCCAAAGCUCCUAGGGUGUUCACCAUGUCCGUAAAUCUAGUAUACAUAGAAUACACAUUUUUAUUUUGUUCCAUUUGGAAUAAUUCAUAUUGACGAGUGUAUCUACUAAUUUUAAUCUCUUUAACUUGAUUUGUCCCUUCAUAAACAACUUCAAGUUUAUUCCAUAUUUCUUGUGCACUUUCACAACUAGAUACUCUAUGGAAUUCUUUCUUAUCAAGAGCACAAAACAAGGCAUUCAUUGCCUUGGAGUUUAAGGACAUCUUUCUCUUUUCUAACUCACUCCAUUGACUUGAUGGUUUAGGAAUAUCAUCUCCUUCAUUUUUAAACAUAGGCAUGAAUGGACCAUCAUAAACAACUUCCCAAAUUUCAUAAUCUAAAACUUGUAAAUAGAUUCUCAUCCUAGUUUUCCAAUAUGCAUAGUCAUUACCAUCAAAGAACGGUGGUCCAGUUGUGGAUUGUCCUUCUCUAAAGGUUGAGUCAUUUAGGGUUGCCAUUGAUCUUUUACUCUAGAUGAUUACGUCCUAACAAGAGAAUAAGGCUCUAAUACCAAAUGAAAUUCUAGUAAUGCAACCCAAGAGGGGGGUGAAUUGGGAUUCUAAAAAUUAUACAAUUUUUAAAGCAAAACUCAAUGCAAAUAUAAAACGAAUUUAAAGCAAUAACAAAUAAAUUUAUCACAAUAUAAAAAGAUAAGGUAAGAGAGAUUCAAACAUGAGGAUUUUUACGUGGUUUGGCCAACCUCGCCCACGUCCACGCCUCCAAGCUUUCCGGGCUUGAGGAUUCCGCUAAGCAAGCCACCAAGGCUUCAAAUGCUUACACUUGACUCCUAAGAUGUCAAUAAACCUUUACAACAAGAGAUUAUCCCCAAUCUCUUAACCCAAGUGUAUCCCAACACUUACAAUCACUCAAUUUGAUUUUAAAGAAUGUUACAAAAUAAAUUUCUCUCACACUGUGUUUGAUUACAAAUGAAGAUUCAAAGUGUGAGUAAAUGAGAUGAAUACAAGAAUUUAAGGCUCAAUGAAUGUUGUAUGCUCAAGACUUUAUUCAAUAAUAAUUGUUGCAAUCGUUUUAGUUUGAAUUUGAUUGAGCUUAUUUAUUGUUGGAGCUGAAAACUAGCCGUUAUUGACUUUCUGCACACUGUCGGAUUGCCGUUAUCUAGAUGUCGGAUCGCUGUUUUAAAUAGUCAAUAUGACCGUUGGGCUGAAUUUUCAAAUUGUCGGAUUGUCGUUAUAUCUAGAUGUUGAUCGCCGUUAGUGUCCAGAGACUAAUCUUCAAUUCUGUGCAAUGUCGGUUAGCCGUUAUCAAGUUGUCGGAUUGCCGUUAGUGUCCGGAGGCUAAUCUUCAGUUCUGUUCGAUGUCGGCGAGCCAUUAUCAAGAUGUCGGAUCGUCAUUUUCUACAGUAACUACUACAAUGAACUAUUUUACAAAAUAAUAGUUUGACCCCAAAACUUCAUAAAAUUAUACUAUGACCCAACACUUUAUAAAACUUGUCAAAUAGAUCCAUUUACAAGAUUUGAAACAAUAUUUAUAUCAAAAUUCUCAAAGCUUUUUCAAUUGAAACCAUUAACAUGAGAAUAACCAAAAAUAUUUCCAUAAAAUAUAAAGUCUUUAUAAAGUGAGAGUGAUGAUUUAAAAGUAUAUGAAAAUUAUUUUGAGCUUUUAAAAGAUUAAUCAAUCUUAAUCAAGUUUGUUAUCAUCAAAAUCAAUAGUAAAAAAAUAUUUAUGGUCACAACUUUUAUACGUUGGCAAAAAAUAUUACAUUUCUUGUUGACAAGCCUCAAUGUUGUUAAUGUUCUUACAAUAUCAAAGCCUGAAGAACGUGAGAAUGAGAAACUCGAGUGUGGCAAAAGUGGAAGCAAGAUGUCUACGUGUGCAUAAGACACAUUUACAAUGCCGUGUCUAGUACUUUGUUUUCAUAAGUACCACAACAAAAUCCACUGCAAAAGAAAUAUAAGACUUAUUGGAGUCUAAGUACAUGAUGGAAGACACCACAAGUAAGAAAUUCUUGACUUCUAAUUUUUUUUAGUUUUAAAAAGAUUGACAAUAGACUUGUGAUGGAACAAUAUAAUGAGAUUUUUUGCAUUCUUGAUCAAUUCAACCAACACAACAUGAAAAGUAAUAAGUUUAUUAUUAUUUCUUCAAUUAUUGAUAAACUUCCCCCCUCUUGAAAAGACCAUGAAAAAAGUCUUAAAUAUAACAAAGAGGAAGUUAGCCUGGAAGGCUUGGCAAAGUCUUCAUAUUGAAUAGAAACUUAAACUUAAUAGUCUUGAGGAACAGACUGCUAUGUCCUCUGAAAUUAAUGUUGUGGAGGAGGAGAAGGAGCUUAAGCAGUCUAAUACCCGCAUUAAUAACAAAAGCAAAAAUUUGAUUCGAAAUAGAAUCAAACCAACAAAAUAAAAAAAUAAAAAAAGAAGUGUACAUGCCACCAAUGUGAAAAGCCUAGCCACUUUAAAAAAGACUGACAAAGCAAAAGUUUGAUUCCAAAUAGAAUCAAACCAAUAGAAUAAAAAAAGAAGUGUACAUGUGACCAAUGUGAAAAGCCUAGCCACUUUAAAAAUGACUGUCAGCUUCUUAAGAAAGAAAAGAAGUGCUCGAACACAAAUUUUGUGGACAAAAUUUAUGGCCAUAAUAUCUUAGAUUAAUAUUCUCGAACAUGAUAAUGCAUGGUGAAUAGAUUCCGGUGCAAUCAAGUAUGUGUACAAGAAUCGUAGGCUUUUCACAUCUUACAAAGCAAUGGAUGAUUGAAGUGUUCUUUAGAUGGGAAAUUCCUCCAUUGCAACAAUUAGAGGGAAUGUGCAACUAGAGUUCACUUGUGGAAAAAUGUUAACUCAUAUUGAUGUUUAUCAUGUAUCUAAAGGUAGGAAAAAUCUUGUAUCUAUAUUAGGGUGGUACCGUAUUUGAGUCAAAGCAAUUUUGCAUUGUUUAAGGGUGGUACCUUUAUUGGGAAAGGAUACAUGUAUUUGGGAAUGUUCAAGCUCAAUAUUAAUAAAAUUAAUGUUUCUUCUUCUUACAUGAUUGACUCAUUAUCUUUGUAGCAUAUUCAUUUAGGACAUGUGAAUAUUAAAAGAUUGCAUGUUAUAGCUAAUUUAGAAUUAAUUUUUAAACAUGGAAAUAAUGAUACUACAUCACUCUCUUCUCAACCCUCUUUCCUGAAACAAAUUUUAUUGUAUAACAUCUAUACUAUAUCCAUCAAAUAUCUAAUAUAUUGUUUACUAUAGGAAUAAUAUAUUGAUUCUCGAAAAGCUUGCAACAUUCAAAAGUAUUCAAGUUUGCUUUCAUCGAUGAAAAACACAUGCAAACAAAUAAGUGAUUCAUUGUAUCCUGGAGGUAUAUAUGUUUAGCCUAUAUGCAUCACUUAAUUGGUGGGACAAAUGAUAUCUUUAGGAAAGCGACAUUUGUAAUGUGCCUUGAAGUACACAUUAAUUUUCUACAAUUUACCUAUUACUAUGAUUUUAUUAUACUCAGGGACGUAGCUGUUGUGCAAAUUUUAAUGUACUCGCAAGCGCACGAAUCUAUCGUAGUAUAGACUAAUGGUGACGAGUGUCGAUCCCACGAGGAGGUGGAUUUUAAUUAUAUGUAGAAUUAAUUUUGUAAAUGGGUGGUUGGAAUUGUGGUGGAAGUGAUUUAAAUUAUCCUAAAAUUGGAAUUGAAAUGGCGAUAAUAAAUUCUAAAAUUGGAAUUGCAAUGACGAGAGUAAAUUGAAGAGAAAUCUAUUGAAAUAACGUACUUGGGUAUCUGGAUCCGUAUCAACAUGCAUCAUGGGCUAAAUAAUCUGUAUUAAUGCCAAUUAAAUCAUGAGGGGGGAAUCCACACCUCAUGAACCACGCUCUAAUCAAUAUGGUGCUAAGGGCUUAUCGUGCCAAAUAAUAAUAACCUUAUACUAGAGAGCCGGUGUAACCAAGGCGGUAUCUAGACAAGAUCAGUAUUAUUUGUCAACGAUAAGUCAAAUCAUCCACAAAAACUAGAGGGGAAAAGAAAAUAAAUUUACCAAAUAAAGCCCAUGACACAUGUUGAGACUUCACCUUCAACCCAAGCUUGAAAGCAAACUAGCCACUCAUAAUUGAACUAGGGGCAAAAUAGGAAUUUAUUAAAAUACAAAGAAAAUACAAGAUGGAGAGAGAAUUACAGAAAAUGGAUCCCAAAAAUGGAUUCAGAGAUAUCCAAUUAGGGGGAGAGGCCCCCUUUUUAUAGAUACAUGGAGUAAAUCAUGGCCAUCGGAUUAAAAACAGUUUAGACGCUCAGGAUUGUGCCACGUCAUCAGUCAACAGUCCACGGUUUGACCACGCGGAUGAACAGUAACACGGUUUGACCGGACUUUGAACAGUAACGCGGUUUGACCCGGAUGAACAGUAACGCGGUUUGAUUGAAAAUAAUCCUGUGUGAUGCAUGUACCGUACGCGAGAUUUUUCAUCCACUGAUAUGCUGCCACGUCACCAUCAACAGUACAUAAGAAUUUUAGCCCAACAGGAUCGUGACACCUCAUCAGUCAAUGCCACAUCAUCGGUCAAUGCCACGUCAUCGAUCCGUCUAUGUGAACAGUGUUGUGAACAGUAACGUAGUUAGUACCGUACACGUGAAUAGUACCGUACAUAUGAAUAGUGCCAUUUUUCCUUUUAUGCUCCUCUUAAGGUUUUCGACUGUCCUGAGUUCAAAAGUGAUGUCCGUUUUGCCGUCUGAUCUCUCCUUUAUUGUGAAAUGACUAUAAUGCCCCUAAAAUACAUAAAUUACUUAAUUAAAAUAAAACACACGUAAUUAAAUCACAAGAAUGUUAAAUACAUAAAAGUAACGGUUGUUAGUAAGACUUGAAAUGUAAAAUGACGGUUUUCUCCUUUAUAAAUAUGCAUUUUAUAACACUCAACACACCCCCCAACCAGCUUAUUGUUAGUCCCUAGCAAAUAAAGCGAAAACAAAAUUCAAAUUCAAAAUGAUUUUUUUUUUUUUUUUGAAACACUCGUAUUUAUUCAAUCAUAUUAAUGAUAGCAAUCAAAUAAAAGUAUAAGCAUUAUCUCCAGUCUAAAGCAACAUCACACCCACAUCAACCAUCCACAUGAAUCGGCCCAGUAGACUUUGUUAUAGCUACUUUCAAGAAUGACAUGUCAAACCCCAAAAUCUCACUGGAAGUAGUGACACUCUCACAAAGAAAUUAAAACCCAAUAAACAUAGUCACUCCAAUGAAUGGUAAUUGAGAAAGAAAAUAAUAAAGAAAUGAUAUCACAUGCUCUCACCAAGAUGAAAUAAAUAUGCCCUCAGCUUAGAAAUAAUACGAUCUCAAGUCAAAUAAAAUGUUAGUCAACCCACUUUAUUUAUCUUUUUUUUUUUUUUUUUUAUGCAUCACUACAUCUUUUUAGCCCAUAUAACUAGCUUCUACUUCAAACUAUAGUUCCCUAAAAUCAAGAAGGACUUUUAUUAGGACGUAACGUAGGCUAGGGAUAUGGCUAACAAAGAAAGGAAAUAAGGAAAACAAAGUGUAUGUUUGAGAAAAAUGCAGAAUUUUUUUUUUUUUUUUUUUUUUUUGGAAGUUGCAAGGUGGAUUUCACCUAUUAUUGUUAUUUUUAUUCUUUUGAAACAACAACUUUUGUUUUGUUUUUUUUUUCUUUUUGCUUUUAUUUGGCAUAACUUCACUGAACAACAUAAUUAUUUACAUUUUCUCAAACAUAAAUAGGUGAUGGAACUUAAAAGACAUUGGGUAAUACUCCAAAUCGGAGUGGGUCAAGAUGAUAAGUUGACAAAGAAAAGGUUUUUGUUCUUUUUUUUUUUUUUUUUUUUUAAAGGCUCAAAAGGGGUAACUAUGGAUAUUUAAUAAAAUGGAUGGCUAGAAAGGCUCAAACGGAUCAAAGAUGGCCUUUCCAUCGUCUUCUAGGGCUCUAAAUAAUUAUCCAUAUCUACUAGUUAGAUGGGCCUCCCAAUGUAGCAACACACAUUUUUUUCUUUUUCUUUUUUUCUUUUUUUUUAAUUUUACCAUUUUUUUUUAAAGGGUUAACUUAAAAGAAAUCUAGAGAUCGUGUAUAAAAUAAUAAACUGCUAAGCUGUAUAGAGAAUGGGCAAAAGGGUUACUCUCCAAGAAAAUGAUAGGCUCAACAACUCACUUGGCACUUAUUUAUGACAUGUUCAUUCCUUCAAGCAACUCAUAUUUGUCUCCGACAUCAACAUGUAAAGUAGCAAACAUAGCGUAACAUCACUUAAGUCCAAAGAUAAUACAAAUACUAAAAUUUGAAAUUAAUCAUGUCAUCCAAUGUUAAAACAAAUAACACAAUUUUUUUUUUUUUUUUAAACAACAUUCUACCCCCCAACCUAUUCUAAGCAUGAAAGGAAAAUAUGCAUGCAGAAAUGUGAAAAUGAUGCAUAAAAACUAAUUAGAAAAGUUACACGUAAAAUGAUAGAAAACGAAAAUGAUUUUUUUUUUUUUUAAAGAAGAUGCGUUUCUAGAGGAACUACACUCCAUAUUCAGCCAUCUUCGACUCAAAAGUUGGAAAAUGUAUAUUUAUAGAGGAGAAAUUAAAAAGAAGAAAAAUAAACAUAAACACAUAAUAAAGAAAAAGAAAAUGUCUGAAAUUUUUUUUUUCUUUUUUUUUUUUAGUUAUUUUUUUAUUAUUAUUUUUUUUAAACGAUGAAGAUGCGUUUCUAGAGUCACUACACUCCAUAUUCAGCCAUCUUCAACACAAAAAGUUAGCAACAGUUAGUUUCUACAACAAAAAAUUAGUAAAAACUUAACCAAAAUUUCACAAUUGUCGACUAUUCCCUCCCCCCAACCAGAACGAAACAUUGUCCUCAAUGUUUUAAAGGAAAGAAGUAGAGUUUAGAAGACAUCACCUGGGUGGUGCAACACAGAAGAAAAUAUUUACAGGCGGAGAGUUAAAUCUAAUUUGUACUUCUUACUGCGGCUACUGUUAUCAUCAUUAUUUGGUCGCUCCAACACAAAGGUCCAGGGGUCUGGCUCCGGUUUAUAAGCUUGUAACAUAUCAAGUAGCUCAUUAGCAGUGUGAGCACAAAUAAAGAGUUUUUUCACAUUAGAAGGAAUGAAAUAGUUUUUUAUUGCAUGGUUAAGAAAUGCGAUAAAGCCAUCAUAAAAGUUAUUGACAUUUAACAAACCGAUGGGUUUCUGGUGAAUGUGUAGAUGGGCCCAAGAUGCUAGUGUCAUAAGUGCCUCUAGUGUUGCAAGAUCUCCUGGAAGGAAAAUAAAAGCAUCAGCAUGAUUAAGCAUUUCAGUUAUUCUUUCUUGCAUACCUGAGACGACUAACUCUUCUCCAGUUGAUGAGUCAGACGAACUGCCCAAUGGUUUUAGGACUCUUGGGAUGAUGCCUAACACUUGACUUCCUCUGAUAAAAGCUGCUUCUGAGACCAUUUUUGAUAACCCCCGGUUACCUCCUCCAUACACCAAAUGUAAUUUUCUCGCUGCUAUGCUUCGACCAAGAUCUAUGGCUGCCUCCACGAACUCUUUAUGUUUGCCAUAGGUAAAUCCAGAAAGCACACAAAUGUUCUUGAAUUGUCUAUUGGGAGUAGCUGCCAUUGUGAUACUUCUCAAAAAUAAUUUGUGAGUGCUUGACAAAAAGUAAAUCACAUUUAAGAAUCUUGGUGACAGUGGAUCACAGCUGUGAAUGAGGUAACAUGUCAGUGUCAAAUAACGCGUAAAGCACGUGGCUCGCGAGUCAAAAAGGAAAUAGUAAAAAGGAAACAGCAAACAGUAACCAAAUUAUUAAAGACAAUAAUGCAAACAAUAAAAAAACAGUGAAAUGAAAUAAAAUAACAGUAAAGUAAAAGGAUAUUUACACGUAGUUGCGACUGUGGCUCACAUCUUCCUCUGGUUUUACGUCCAGAAACGGCUUGAACGCCCUCUAUGGGUCGAGGAUGGGCUUCCCAUCCAGUUUUCUUAUAAACUGGCAAACAGGGUCGUUUAUAGUCAGAUUCCCGAGACUAUAUUGUGCAUGCUCUUUCUGGAAUAAUGGUCAUAACCGGAGAAUCGCUCCUUGCACAUAUCCACUGGGAUGCGUUUCAAGAGACAAAAGGAUAUCAUCCAAUGACUCCUUAUUCAAGCCAUCCCUAAUGAAUUGAAUCUUAUCUUCCCUGUUAUCAGACAUCAUUCCUAAAGAACAUGGGUUUUUAUUGCAACUCAUUCUGGCACACUUAUGACAAGCAACAGAAAUUCUUCGAGCUAGUCAUUUUCUUGCAUAAUUUCCUUUACCACAACCAGGCAUGUAUGCAAUAAAUUUUGGAGGUAACUCACCUGCCGAUCGUACUUUAGCCUCGAUUAACCAACGGAUGUCAGCAGGUAUGUUAUUCCUCAUGAGCAAUCGGAUGCGUUCAGACCGGGCUUUAUAGAUUGUAAGGAGGGCAUUCUGAGGAAGUGAAGGGAAUCGCUUGUGAAGUUUCGCUAGAAUCUCGUUUCUGUCCAUACCUUCGCCUCAGAAUAUCAGUUAUUAUGGGAAACUGAAGUAACCGACUUGAUUGUCACGGAGUACCGUUAUCCGCCACUUCACCAGGGUAACAAACUAAAGCACACAAACAGAAAAACAAAUUAAAACACACAAAGAAAAUUAAAAUCGUCCUCUUAUUGAAUUUACCUCAAGCUCCAACUAGAUGUCGUAAACACUUCUCUCAAUAUCUCGGAGUUGGCUUUCUAGAUUCUCAACAUAGGCUACUAACUCUGGUGGUUGUAGAGCCCAAAUGCGUUGUGUUUUACAAAACUGAAUCUGCUUUUUGAGAUGAGUUUUGACACGUUGAAGUGGUUUAAGAAUGUUCAGGAGGAACGGUCUAAGUAAGGUACUCAUGAUUAAAAAUGAUAAAAGAAAACUUAAUAGUUAAACAAACACACUUAUGCAAAAAUAAUUUCAAUUAGCAGAAGAAUAAUAAAAAGAAAGAAAGAAAAAUCAAAUCAACGAAAAGAAAAAACAAAUCAAUUCAAAUCUGGUGGGUCACUCAAAUUUAUUUCGGUGUCUUCUCCAUGUGGUUGGUAUUCUAGAUAUGGCUUUAAUCUUUGACCAUUAACUUUAAACGUGACACCGUUCUUUGGGUCCUUAAUUUCAAUUGCCCCAUGUGGAAAAACAGUAUGUACAAUAAAUGGGCCAGACCAACGAGAGCGUAACUUACCUGGGAAUAGGUGCAAGCGAGAAUUGAAUAAAAGCACUUUCUGACCUGGAGUGAUCGAUUUUCUCAUAAUUUGCUUAUCAUGGAAGACUUUCAUUCGUUGCUUGUAAAUCUUGGCAUUUUCGUAUGCAUCAUUGCGAAUUUCUUCAAGUUCUGCCAGCUGUAAUCUUCUUUCUGAGCUGGCUUGCUGCAUGUCAAAAUUGAAUUUCUUGAUGGCCCAAUAUGCACGAUGCUCUAGUUCCACAGGUAGGUGGCAAGCUUUUCCAUACACUAGCCUAUAGGGUGACAUCCCAAUCGGGGUCUUGAAAGUCGUUCUAUAUGCCCAUAAUGCAUCAUCAAGUCUUAAUGACCAAUCUUUUCUGUCUGGCCUCACCGUUUUUUCUAAUAUGUGCUUGAUUUCUCGAUUGGAGAUCUCAACUUGGCCACUGGUUUGCGGAUGAUAUGGGGUCGCCACUUUGUGUGUGAUUGAAUACUUUGUCAAAAGUGCUUUAAAUGCUUUGUUACAAAAGUGGGCACCACCAUCACUGAUUAUCGCUCGAGGGAAUCCAAAGCGUGAAACAAUGUUGCUUUUCAAAAAUCCUAUCACCACUUUGUGAUCAUUGGUCCUACAUGGAAUUGCUUCUACCCAUUUCGAUACAUAGUCAACAGCAACCAAUAUGUAUUGAUGGCCAAAAGAAGGGGGAAAGGGUCCCAUGAAGUCGAUACCCCAUACGUCAAAAAUCUCAACCACUAAAAUUGGAUUUAAUGGCAUCAUGUUCCUUCGUGUAAUGCUCCCCAUUCUUUGACACCUAUCACAUGAAGAACAAAAAGUGUAAGCAUCUCGAAAUAUAGUUGGCCAAUAGAAACCACAUUGUAAAACUUUAGUCGCUGUUUUCUUAGAACUAAAAUGGCCUCCACAAGCUUGUUCAUGGCAGAAUGAAAGGAUAUUCUGAAUUUCACUUUCUGGGACACAUCGUCUAACAAUUUGGUCUGCACAAUACUUGAACAAAUACGGGUCAUCCCAAAAGAAAUUCUUUAUUUCUGCAAAGAAUUUAGCCUUGUCUUGCUUGGUCCAAUGCUCUGGAAAUUUACCUGUAACAAGAUAAUUAACUAUAUCAGCAUACCAAGGUAAUACUUCCACAUUCAUCAAUUGUUCAUCUGGGAAUGACUCAUUUAAUGGUAAUGGCUCUGUAAUUGUGUCAAAAUGGAGACGAGAGAGAUGAUCCGCCACAACAUUUUCUGUGCCUUUUUUAUCUUUGAAUUCCAAGUCAAAUUCCUGCAAAAGUAACACCCAACGAAUUAGUCUAGCUUUUGCAUCUUUCUUUGUGAGAAGAUAUUUAAGAGCAGCAUGAUCUGUAAAUAUAAUUAUUUUACAACCAAUGAGAUAAGAUCGAAAUUUUUCCAAUGCAAACACUACUGCUAGCAUUUCUUUUUCAGUAGUUGAAUAGUUCAACUGUGCAUCAUUCAAUGUCAUACUAGCAUAGUAAAUAACAUGAGGAAUUCGAUCAACUCUUUGUCCUAAAACUGCUCCUACUGCAUAAUCAGAUGCAUCACACAUGAGCUCAAAUGGUAAGUUCCAGUUUGGGGCCUGAAUGAUGGGUGAUGAUGUCAACAACUGCUUUAAUUUUUCAAAAGCCAUAAGACAUGAAUCAUUAAAGAUAAAAGGUACAUCCUUAGCAAGUAAAUUGCAUAAGAGUCUAGAAACUUUGCUAAAAUCUUUAAUGAAACGUCUAUAGAAACCAGCAUGUCCAAGGAAGGAUCUUACUUCUCUGACUGUUUUAGGUGGAGGAAGAUUAGAAAUGAGAUCCACCUUGGCUUUGUCAACCUCAAUACCUUUGCUCGAAAUGAUGUGACCGAGAACAAUACCUUGUUUUACCAUAAAAUGACACUUCUCCCAAUUCAAGACUAAGUUCUUCUCGAUACAUCUCUGCAGAACUAGCGUUAGAUGAUGUAAACAUUGAUCAAACGAAUCACCAAAGACAGAAAAAUCAUCCAUAAAGACUUCAAGGAAUCGUUCAACCAUAUCAGAAAAAAUGCUCAACAUACAUCGUUGAAAUGUAGCAGGUGCAUUACAUAAUCCAAAUGGCAUUCUCCUAUAUGCAAAUGUGCCAAAAGGGCAAGUGAAAGUAGUUUUCUCUUGAUCUUUUGGUGCUAUGGGGAUCUGAUUAUAUCCUGAGUAGCCAUCUAGAAAGCAAUAAAAUUCAUGGCCUGCUAAUCUAUCAAGCAUUUGAUCAAUAAAUGGUAAAGGAAAAUGGUCUUUACGUGUGACAGAAUUCAACUUUCUAUAAUCAAUGCAUACACGUCAUCCUGUAGUUACUCUAGUUGGUAUCAAUUCAUUAUCAGCAUUGGUAACUACUGUGACUCCUGACUUUUUGGGGACAACUUGUACAGGACUGACCCAUGAACUAUCAGAAAUUGGGUAAAUGAUACCUGCGUCUAAUAGCUUAAGGACUUCUGUUCUAACAACUUCUUUCAUAUUAGGAUUUAACCGACGUUGCAUUUCCCUAGUAGAUUUAGCAUUUUCAUCAAGGUGAAUGUAAUGCAUGCAUUCUGCAGGGUUUAUACCUUUUAUGUCUGCUAUGGUCCAUCCUAAUGCUCCUUUGUGCUCUUUUAAAACAUCCAACAACUUACCUUUUUGUUCGUCGUUUAGGGAUGAUGAGAUGAUUACCGGUAGAGUGCUUUCUUCUCCCAAAAAUGCAUAUUCCAAUGUGUUGGGUAAUGGUUUGAGCUCGAGUUUCGGUGGUGAUUCUGAUGAUGGGAUGAGUUUCUUCUCUGAUGGUGCUAGUUGUUCAACUCUUGACUUCCAUUUAUUAGUGUCCAUGGAUGGUGUUGAGUCAAGCAGGGCGUUGACCUCAUCAACUGAUCUGUCAAUAUCAAAAUCAAAACCAAAGUGAGUUAAACAUGUUUUUAAAGGAUCAUCACUAAGGUUUGAAAGAAAAGUAUUAUCAACUAUUGUUUCUAUUAAAUCCACAUCAACAAUUCCAUCAUCUGCACUGUGAGGUUGUUUGGCAAUGUUGAAAAUGUUUAGCUCCAUAGUCAUGUUGCCAAAGGACAACUGCAUAUUUCCAGUCCUGCAUUGAAUAUGAGCAUCUGCAGUUGCCAAGAAAGGUCGGCCUAGAAUAAUGGGGAUGUGCUUCCUUGAGUCCUGUAUUGGUUGAGUGUCAAUUACAAUGAAAUCAACAGGAAAAUAAAACUUGUCUACCUGGAUAAGCACGUCCUCCACAAUACCACGAGGUAUUUUCGUGGACCGAUCUGCAAGCUGUAACACCACUGGAGUUGGGUGUAAUUCUCCCAGUCCAAGUUUCACAAACACAGAGUAAGGCAACAAAUUUACACUAGCUCCUAAAUCCAACAAAGCAUUCUCAAUUGUGUGGUUCCCUAUACUACAUGAGAUAGUGGGGGAGCCUGGGUCUUUGCAUUUUAGAGGAAUUUUAUGUUGGAGUAUAGAACUAACGUUUUCUGUUAAAAAUGCCUUCUUUUGAACAUGCAUGUUUCUCUUUUUAGUACACAAAUCUUUAAGAAACUUGGCAUAAGAUGGAACUUGUUUAAUAGCAUCAAGCAAAGGGAUAUUAACACUUACCUGUUUGAAGAUUUCGAGAAUCUCACCUGUGGAUUUUCCCUUCUUUCCUUUCGCUAACCUCUGAGGAAAUGGAGCUUUCGGAACAUAUUCUCGUGGGUUGGUUUCUUCUUUUUCCUCCGGUGGUGAGUCCUCAACAUUCACAGGUACAAUUUGAUUUUCUUUUGUCACCGGCAUCUCCACUUUGUUGUCGACUUCCUUUCCUUUUCGCAAGGUCAUGACUGCUUUGACCUCUCCAUGCUGUUGUGGUGAACUGGUACUUGCUUCAUGUACUCCUUUAGGAUUAGGCACUGGUUGACUUGGAAAUUUACCUUUCUCAACAGUAAUUGCCAAGGUCUGAACUGAAGAAGCGAGCUGUCCCACCAUCUUCUCGAGGCUUGAAACUGAUUGGGCUUGUGAAUUGAAGCCUGCUCUCAACUCAUUUCGUAGUCCAUCAAUGGUGCGAUUCUGUUGCUCAAUCGUGGAAUGAGUAAGAUUCUUGAGAUUCUGGAAUGAAUCCUCCCAUGGUCUGGGUUGAGAAUAGUUCUGGUUUUGAUUGUAUGGUCUAAAUGGUGGCUGAGAGGCUUGAGGAUUUUGUGGAAUUGGUGGAGCUGGAGCUGCUGGUCCAUUCUGUUGGAAUCCUUGAGACCAUGAAAAAUUGGGGUGGUCUCUCCAUCCAGGGUUAUAUGUGUUGGAGUAUGGGUUGUAAUUCGAUGGUUUUCUGAUUACACCUAUGGCAUUGGCUUGAUCGGAGUAUGAGUCAUGGUCAUGUGGUUCUGUUGAUUUAGCAGUCGACAACGAUGCUAUUUGUCGAGCAAGACCUUCAACCAUCUCCUUGACUUCUUUGAUUCCCGAAGUUGACUCGCCAAUUUGAACCUCAUUUACUCCCUUAAUUCUUCUAGUAUUCCUGAUUGAUCGACUCCGUUGUUGGGAAUUAUCCGCUUGUCGCUGGAAGAAUUCCCAAAUCUCUGUUGCGCUUUUUGACAUUAGCUCUCCUCCACUUGUUGCCAUUAGCCAUUCUUGCACAUUUGGCAAUAAUCCCUCCAAAAAGUAUUGGCAUUGGUGCCAUUUCUCAUACCCAUGAUGUGGACACUUCAAGAGUAGCCCAUUGAAUCGCUCCCAAGUUUCGAAAAACUGCUCGUCCUCUCUUUGUGUAAACUCUGAAAUUUCCCUAUGAAUAGAAUUGGUUUUAUGCACUGGGAAAUAUUUAUUUAGAAACUUUGUAACCGUUUGUUCCCAUGAUGCAAUGCUAUUAGCAGGCAAAGUAUUUAACCAUGAACGAGCUCUAUCCUUUAAAGAAAAUGGGAAUAAUCUAAGUUUAACAUCAUCGUCUGAAAAAUUUUCAUAUUUAAAAGUUUGACAAAUGGCAUGAAAAUCAUUCAGAUGAUUAUAUGGGUCCUCAUUUUCUAAGCCAUAGAAUGUGGGGAGACAAUUUAGCACACUAGGUUUUAGUUCAAAACUCCUAGCAGCUACAUUUGGGUAUCUUAUGCAUGAUGUGCUCAAAUUAGCUAAGGGACUAAAAUAGUCUUUAAAUGGCCUCUCCUGUGGUGCUUUUAAAUCCAUUUCAAAUUUAACGUGCUUGUGUGUGCGAAGUGUUUUUUCUAAUUCAAGGUCUAUAGGUUCAAGAUUAGGUAAUAAAGACCUACGACCAUGCAUACAAAAUAAAUAAAAUAAAAAUAAAGAUGGAAAAACAAAUAAAAAUAAAGAAGAGACAGAAAUUACAAUACUAACCUUAUUGCGCUAUUACAACCUUACUAUAAAAAUACACAAAAAUAAAUACGUGAAAUAAAUUAACUAAAAAUUAAAUUAAUAAAAUAAACAAAAAUUACAAAGAAAAAAAUAAAUUGAAAAUUAAAUUACAGAAUUUUAAAGAAGAGAAAAAGAAAAGAAAUACUAACCUUUAAAUGUAGAUUUACUUUUUUUUUUCUUUUUUUUCUUUUUAAUAAAAAAAAAUACAAGAAAACAAAUAAAAGAAAUUAUUCACAAAAAUUAAUUCUAUGAAUUAAAAUUACUUACCUCCCCGGCAACGGCGCCAAAAACUUGUUGUGCAAAUUUUAAUGUACUCGCAAGCGCACGAAUCUAUCGUAGUAUAGACUAAUGGUGACGAGUGUCGAUCCCACGAGGAGGUGGAUUUUAAUUAUAUGUAGAAUUAAUUUUGUAAAUGGGUGGUUGGAAUUGUGGUGGAAGUGAUUUAAAUUAUCCUAAAAUUGGAAUUGAAAUGGCGAUAAUAAAUUCUAAAAUUGGAAUUGCAAUGACGAGAGUAAAUUGAAGAGAAAUCUAUUGAAAUAACGUACUUGGGUAUCUGGAUCCGUAUCAACAUGCAUCAUGGGCUAAAUAAUCCGUAUUAAUGCCAAUUAAAUCAUGAGGGGGGAAUCCACACCUCAUGAACCACGCUCUAAUCAAUAUGGUGCUAAGGGCUUAUCGUGCCAAAUAAUAAUAACCUUAUACUAGAGAGCCGGUGUAACCAAGGCGGUAUCUAGACAAGAUCAGUAUUAUUUGUCGACGAUAAGUCAAAUCAUCCACAAAAACUAGAGGGGAAAAGAAAAUAAAUUUACCAAAUAAAGCCCAUGACACAUGUUGAGACUUCACCUUCAACCCAAGCUUGAAAGAAAACUAGCCACUCAUAAUUGAACUAGGGGCAAAAUAGGAAUUUAUUAAAAUACAAAGAAAAUACAAGAUGGAGAGAGAAUUACAGAAAAUGGAUCCCAAAAAUGGAUUCAGAGAUAUCCAAUUAGGGGGGAGAGGCCCCCUUUUUAUAGAUACAUGGAGUAAAUCAUGGCCAUCGGAUUAAAAACAGUUUAGACGCUCAGGAUUGUGCCGCGUCAUCAGUCAACAGUCCACGGUUUGACCACGCGGAUGAACAGUAACACGGUUUGACCCGACUUUGAACAGUAACGCGGUUUGACCCGGAUGAACAGUAACGCGGUUUGAUUGAAAAUAAUCCUGUGUGAUGCAUGUACCGUACGCGAUAUUUUUCAUCCACUGAUAUGCUGCCACGUCACCAUCAACAGUACAUAAGAAUUUUAGCCCAACAGGAUCGUGACACCUCAUCAGUCAAUGCCACAUCAUCGGUCAAUGCCACGUCAUCGAUCCGUCUAUGUGAACAGUGUUGUGAACAGUAACGUAGUUAGUACCGUACACGUGAAUAGUACCGUACAUAUGAAUAGUGCCAUUUUUCCUUUUAUGCUCCUCUUAAGGUUUUCGACUGUCCUGAGUUCAAAAGUAAUGUCCGUUUUGCCGUCUGAUCUCUCUUUUAUUGUGAAAUGACUAUAAUGCCCCUAAAAUACAUAAAUUACUUAAUUAAAAUAAAACACACGUAAUUAAAUCACAAGAAUGUUAAAUACAUAAAAGUAACGGUUGUUAGUAAGACUUGAAAUGUAAAAUGACGGUUUUCUCCUUUAUAAAUAUGCAUUUUCUAACACUCAACAGUAGCCAGGAUUUUGAUCGAGUCGGGGCAUAUUUGAAAUCAAAUAUGACUCAAAUGCGCGAUUGCUCAUAUGAUAAGUUCCUAUUUGAGAAACUGUAUUGUGGCCCCCAUAAACUCCAAAUGGGAACUUGCGACAUGUAUAAUUGUACUCCUUAUAGAGUGCGUCUGCAAGCAUCUAAUUGAAACCACAUUUAAAGUAUAAUACAUUUUUAAAAAUUUAGAUAGCAAUAUAUAACAUUACAACUAUAAUAUUCAUUGAUAAUAAAUUUAUUUAUUACAAUGGUUCUCCGUGAAAACUUCUCAAUGAGAUUUGAUGAGUUGAAAAUAAUGCAUUAUCAAUAUAAGCAAAAAUAUAUUUUUCAAUAUACAAGACUAGGCUAUUACUUAAUUUGCUCUUAAAAUCUUUUAAUAAUAACAAAAAUAUUCAUAUAUUGCAACACAAAGAAUAAAUAUGAAAUGCAUGAUAAAAUUAUAAAUUUUAAAAUUAGACAAAAGAUUAAUUAGAAAAUUAAAAAUUAAAAUUAGGUAGACUUACAACUUAUGGUUCAGUAUUGAAAGACUAAAUAAUUGAUUUUACUUGAAUAAAAAAUAAAAAGAUUAAAUACCAGUCCAUUAACCAUUAUACUAAUAUUUUGUUAUGAUUGUUUUUUAUUUUAAUAAUUGUUCUCGUGUAUUUAAUCAAGUUUCAUGAAAUGUUAAUAACUAAUUAAAUUAUUUAUAAUUAAAAAUUUAAACUGGGGAUAGUAUGAAAUAUUUUAAAAUUAUUGGAGUCGAUUUCAAAUUUUAAAAUUCAGUUGGGGCAUUUUUCAUAAAUAACAAAUAAAAUACAAAUUUUUAGUAUAAUUAUAAAAAAAAAUUUAAAAGCUAGCUGGGGCCUGUGCCCCACCUCGUCCCAUGCUGGCUCCGUCCCUGAUUAUACUUACAGAAUUGUAAACACAUUAAUUAAUUAUUAUAAAGUUUCACUUCCACCUUUAUUACUGCAAUUCUCUACAUUUGUCUUUCCCCACAAAUAUAUAUCCCAGCACUUAGUAGAUAUAUUAUUUUAUUAUAAAUAUCAAUAGAUUUUUAAUUGUAUAAUACAUACUUAUGAAAUUGUAUAGAGUAAUUUCGUUCAAUUAUAUUAAUCCGUUAUGAAUUUCAUCACAAAUUUAUAGGUGGCCAAUACCGUGCAAGUGAAAUUUCAGAUAAAAUCAUCUCCUAGCAAUUUUUUUUUUAUAUUUUUCAAUUUUGCUUUAACGUAUGGAUCCAUUUCUUGUCUAUAUGGCAGACAACUUUUAUUAUCAGGUAGGCAAAAUCAAAAGCCUUUAUGUCGUUAAUUUUAUUAUGCCAUGACAGACUCCAAGAUCUAAUUUAGAGAGCGACUCAAAUAAUGGUAAUUAGUAAUUCAUUAUAUCUGCGGCUAGCUAGAUACUUUGUUUGUGAAAAAAAAAAAAAAGAAUAAAAUCAGUUUCAUAAUGAUUUUAUUUACAAUAAAUACCAUACUAUGGUCCAUGACUUACCUCAUAUUACUAAGAAAAUAUGUGAAAGAUAAUUAAGGAUUAAAGCUUUCCACAAAGAUUUAUAAAAUUGCUUUUGAUAAAACUGUUCUGAUGAAAUGAAAUUAUAUGCAAUUACUAAGAAUUUAGUUAGCCUCUCAAUUAUCAGAACCCAGUAGUGCAUUUGAAAGGUGAGCAUCAGCAAAUGACUUGUCAAUUAAAAUGCUGAAAUUCACCCUAUAUGCAUUUGUGCUACUAGAUACGUCAUACGUUACCAUAAAUAGUGAUCAGCAUUUGUAAUAUCAAAUUUUUUGUUUUCAUGGUCUUACAAACAACAGGAAUAAAGAGCCAUGACACAAAAACUGGAAAAGAUAUAAUUAUUCUGCUUAUUGGCAGCUUGCGGUUCAUAAUUAAGACGUUCAGCAAGUUCAUGGGAGCCAUGUUUAUGAGCAUCCUCACGUGGAAGUUCUGUGACUGGAACAUGAUGCUUGCAAAUCUUUCCAAAUAUUCAGACAAACUAGAAAAGCCUAAUGUGCGAACCUCUUCGAAAGCUAUAUGUGGAAUUUGAUUCUUCCAUAUCUUUACAUAUUUCAGCUGGCAUGGAGCACCAUGCUUGCAAAUCCUUCUAUUUGAACAAUUACAUAGUUUGCUUUUGCUUCUUAGCUCAAACAACGCCGGAUCUUUGAUACCUGAGCAUCCUGGAUGGGCUGUGUUUGCAUGAAGCAACUGUUGGGGAAAAAUUAGGUUUUUAAAUUUUUUAUAAAACCUUAUGAAGAUCGCUCUCAUAUAAUACAUAAGAAUUUGUAUUCUAGAAAUCGUACCUUGAAAAUCUGAGUUGGCUUUUUCCGGUGAAGUGAUUUAGGCUCCUAGAUCACGAUCCGCCACCACCACUCCUGUUAGAUCACGAUCCGUCACCACCACGCUUGUUAGAUCACGAACUGUCACCAAUGAUCUUCCAGGUUAUGACUCAGGUUCGAUCUGCACUUGACGUGUGGGCGCCGUUAUCACUACCAAAGCAACUAGCACGAGAAAAUUUUUCUCUCAACAAUGGAGAGAAAAAUCUUUUUCUCUGAUUUGUAUAAAGUGGCUUCUUCUUUUCCUUUUUGGGAAAAUAAGCCUUAUAUAUCUCCCUUUAGUGAAAACCCUAGGCUCCAAGGAUUCCCCAAAAUAAAACUCACGUUACUUUUCAUUUAAUAGGAGACCCACCAUGUAAAAUAACAUAAGGCCCCUUACACAUAAGCUUAUUAAAUGGAGCCUCCCACUAAAUGAUAUAUUUAGGCUUUUGACCCAAAUAGCUAGUUAUCUUGCUUAUUAGUCCAGCAGUGGUGCAAUCAAUUAAAUGAGCUAACCCGGGGAUCAUUUGGGAACAUACAAUAGUGGCUACAAUAAUUAGGCCUGUAAUUAAACUAGCCUAAUUAUUUAAUUCCAAAUCUACUCCACUAAAAGAUUGGAACUGACUUCCAUAAUUGUAUGCUCGAAUAAUAAUUCGUCCCAAGCCACAUUGAUUUCUUUACUGCACAAUCCUUUGUACCACAUCGUUAAUUAAAUUGAUAUCUCAACUGUCCAAUCAAUUUAAUAACAUCUUAUUCCUUGAUCCUUACUGGUUUUCUCUAAUGAUCAUUUUCAACAUACUAAAUAUGUUGACACACUCUGGCCAGAGAAUUCUAUGAUCAAGUACCGAAAACCUAUCAAGAGAUGUGUUGUACAAAUUCUAUAUUGUUAAUCCAUAACUCCAAUACUCAUAAUUGCUCCCACCAAGAUACCGGGUAAUCUUGACCAUAAGGAUGUGUCGUGCCCAUUGGUAACUCAAAUGAAAUAACAAUUACAAUCAUGAAAUCAUAAUUAACUCAAGAUUAAGAUUACAGUAAAAUCAACGCCUAUGAGAUUUAAUAAGUCUGACAGUUAUUACAAAGUUAAUUAAAUCUCAUAUGUGAUCCUAUUCAAUGUAGUCGCACUACAUCAAUAAAUUCAUACAUGAUUAAGACAAAUCAUUCAAUGAAUUUAUUACAGUCUAUACCUAAAUAAAGUGUCCAACUUUAUUUAUCAACUGCGAACUAAAUUUAUUUAAUCAUAAGAUAACUUGUAUUUAUGUCUUAUGUGAAUCCACAUGGUGAUCACAUAAAUACAUAUAAUAUGAUUAAAUGGACUUUAAUACAAAUAUUAAUGCAAUUAAGAUAUUUGAAUAAAAUACCUCAUUUAUUUUAUUAAUCAGAAAAAUUGUUUAUUACAAUUAAAUAAACACAUAUGCUUUUAAAGAGCAUAUUUUCCCAACAAUCUCCCACUAGCUCUCAAAGCAUAUUUGGCAUCUCACGCAUGCCCAUGGAUUCUAAGUGCAAGUUAAAAGGUUUCCCAGGUAUGGCCUUAGUAAAAGGAUCUGCCAAGUUUUGCUGUGACGCAAUCUGAGUAACCUCCUCAUCACCUCUCUGCACUAUAUCCCUUAUAAGAUGAUACUUUCUCUCAAUAUGUUUUUGUUUCUUGUGGUUCCUUGGUUCCUUAGAUUGAGCUACCGCACCACUAUUAUCGCAAAAUAGUUUAAGGGGUGCAGUUACAGCAGGUACCACCUCAAGAUCUUGUAGGAACUUGCGGAGCCAUACAGCUUCUUUUGCAGCUUCGGAUGCAGCCACAUAUUCAGCUUCAGUUGUGGAGUCUGCGAUACAAGAUUGUUUCACACUCCUCCAACUAAUAGCUCCACUUCCCAAUGUAAACACAUAGCCGGAAGUUGAUUUUCUGGAAUCCUUAUCUGACAUAAAGUCAGAAUCAGUAUAACCCACUGGAAUGAGUUCAUCACCAGAAUACACAAGCAUAUAAUUUUUAGUUCUUUUCAGAUACUUCAUUAUAUGCUUGACCGCAGUCCAGUGUUCAGGUCCAGGAUUAGAUUGAUAUCUACUAACCAUCCCUACCGCAAAACAGAUGUCUGGCCUAGUGCAAAGCAUGGCAUACAUGAGACUUCCCACAGCUUCUGCAUAGGGAACUCGUCUCAUUCUCUCUAUCUCUUCAGAUGUUUUAGGUGAUUGAUCCUUAGAGAAUGUAAUUCCAUGUCUGAAUGGUAAUAAACCAGUCUUGGAAUUUUCCAUGCUAAAUCUAGCCAAUAUCUUAUCGAUAUAGACCGCUUGAGACAAGGCUAAAGUUUUAUUCUUCCGGUCUCGUAGUAACUUGAUACCAAGAAUAUAACUUGCCUCUCCUAGGUCUUUCAUAUCAAAUUGUUUUGCUAACCAACUCUUUAUUGUAGUCAAUACUCCUAUAUCGUUUCCAAUUAGGAGAAUAUCGUCUACAUAAAGAAUUAGGAAGGCUACAGAUUUUUCUUGAAUUUUCUUGUACACACAUGGUUCAUCAAUGUUCUGAAUGAAUCCAAACGAUUUAAUCGCUUGAUCAAAUCUGAUGUUCCAUGACCGGGAUGCUUGCUUCAAUCCAUAAAUGGAUUUCUGCAACUUACAUACCAUGUGUUCUUGGCCUUUUUGUAUAAAUCCAUCUGGUUGCUGCAUGUAGAUGUUUUCUUCAAGAUGCCCGUUAAGAAAGGCAGUCUUGACAUCCAUUUGCCAAAUUUCAUAAUCUAGCAUUGCAGCAAUUGAGAGCAGAAUCCUGAUGGAUUUAAGCAUAGCAACCGGAGAAAAAGUUUCCUCAUAAUCGAUUCCCUCUUUCUGAGUAAACCCUUUGGCUACUAAUCUUGCUUUAAAUGUUUCCACCCUUCCGUCUACUCCUCUUUUUCUCUUGUAGAUCCACUUGCAUCCUAUAGGUUUUACCCCAUUUGGUGCCUCUACAAGUUCCCAGACUUUAUUGGAAUACAUAGAUUCCAUUUCUUGAUUCAUGGCCUUUUUCCAAAAUUCAACAUCUCUAUCUAUUAGAGCUUCGUUGUAACUAGUGGGAUCUUGUACAUGUUCAUCUGAGAUAGCCGUAUAGGUUUCUCCCAAAAGCAUGUAUCUCGCAGGUAACCUAGUUACCCUCCCACUACGACGAGGUUCUAAAAGUGAUGGUUGUUCAGGGUUAAUCCUGUGUUGAUCAUCUGGUUGUUGCUGUUCUUUCUGUUCUGUAACAGGCAUUGAAAGCUGAGCAUCAACCUGAUCACCUGACAGUUCUUCAAGUAUUACCUUACUCUUAGGUUUGAAGUUAUUCAUAUAGUCUUCCUCAAGGGAAGUUAAAUGUGUGCUCACGAUCACUUUCCUAUCUUGAGGACUAUAAAAUAAACCUCCCCUUGUUCCUUUGGGAUACCCCACAAACAUACAAACCUCAGAACGUGAAUCCAUUUUGUCUGCCUUUGGUUUCAGCACAUGUGCUGAUGAUCCCCAAAUACGGACAUGUCGUAAACUUGGUUUGCGACCUGACCAUAAUUCUAUUGGGGUUUUAGGCACUGACUUAGAUGGAACUAAGUUCAAAAGGUAAACUGCAGUUUCCAGUGCUAGUCCCCAAAAAGAGAUUGGUAAUGACGAAUAACUAAGCAUAGAUCUCACCAUAUCCAAAAGAGUUCUAUUUCUUCUUUCAGCUACCCCAUUUUGUUGUGGUGUUCCCGGGGCAGUCAAUUGAGAUAUAAUCCCAUUUUCAACCAGAUACUCUUUGAAAUCUCCUGAGAGAAAUUCACCACCUCGAUCAGAUCGAAGUUUCUUUAUGUUCUUAUCUAAUUGCUUUUCUGUCUCAGCCCUAUACUCUUUGAAUUUCUCAAGAGCUUCAGACUUAUGACGCAUUAGAUAAACAUAACCGUAUCUUGAGUAAUCAUUAGUAAAAGUGAUGAAAUACUCAUAACCUCCUCGAGCUUGUACAUUGAUUGGUCCACAUACAUCUGUAUGUACCAAUUCAAGUGGUACUGUUGCACGUACUCCUUUGGCCGAGAAUGGCCUUUUGGUCAUUUUCCCUUCUAAACAGGAUUCACAGAGUGGCAAUGAUUCAUUUUCUAAUGGACCCAAGAGCCCAUCUUUGAUCAUUCUCUGUAUCCUAUUUUGGUUUAUAUGACCCAAGCGUAAAUGCCAGAGGUAACAUUGGUUGGAAGAAAUAUUUCUUUUCUUAGAUAAAUGUGCAUGCUCAUCAUUAUUUAUCACUGUGUCAUGCAUAUAAUGGAUCAUUGGACUUAAAUGAUAUAAAUUAUCUUCCAUUUUACCAGAACAAAUAAGUCUCUUAUUAUGAAAAAUAGAAACAGAGGAUCCAAAAUUUACAGUGUACCCUUGCUUUGACAAACAAGCUACUGAAAUUAAAUUCCUCUUAAUGUCUGGAACAUAAAGACAAUUAUUCAAAACUAAAGUCUCAUUAUUAAAAGAUAAUAAAACAGAUCCAGUCUUUACUGCUGACACGAACUGUCAUGUCCCUAACUGCAGCUUGACGCUUCCUUCACUUAUUUUCUUGGUUUCCUGAAACCAAUAAAGUGAAUUACAAAUAUGAUUAGUUGCUCCUGAAUCCAACACCCAAGUGUCAAUAGGAUUCUGAACUAAACAGGCCUCAAUUACAAAAAGAUUUCCCAUACCUGAUUUCACAAUCUUAGGGCAAUCCUUUUUCCAGUGACCUUUCUGUCCACACUUAAAGCAUUUGCCUUUCGGCUUGCCAUCUUGCUUGGUAGACGGUCUCUUUUUCCCAGCUUUCUUCUUACCUUUGCCUUUCGGUUUAGGCCCAGAAGAUGAACUUUUUUCAGUAAUAUUUAUGAUUCCCAGAGAUUUCUCAGCACGAUAGAUCUCUUCAGCAGAAUGGAGUUCGUUCAUCAAUUCAGUUAAGGUCAUGUUUCUUUUGUUCAUGUUAUAAUUGACCUUAAACUCCUUGAAUGUUUCUGGCAGAGAUUCUAGCACCAUGUCAAUCUUUGAGUUAUCAUCGAUUUGUGCUCCCUGAAUCUCAGCCUCAUUCAAAUAGUCCAUCAUUUUGAGGACAUGAUCACGAACUCUUGUGCCCUUCCCCAUUUUACUGUUCAUAAUUCCUUUCAGCGCUGCUUGUCUCGCAGAGCGAGUACUCUGCCCGAACAUCUGUUGGAGACUAUCCAUUAUUUCAGUGGCAGUCUCCAAGUUCUGAUGUUUGGUCUGCAGAAUAUUAGAAAUCGAGGCUAAAAUGUAACACUUUGCCAUUUCAUUGGCCUUUUGCCAUUUCUCAUAAAGCCUCCUCUGAUUUCUAUGAGCAUCAUCCGCUGGAACUGGGGGGCAUGGCUGGGUUAAGACAUAUUUAUAAUUUUCAGCAGUCAGGACAAUGAAUAGAUUUCUUUUCCAAUCUAUAUAGUUCUCUCCAGUGAGUUUGUUUUGACUCAGAAUAAUAGUAAGUGGGCUCAGGGAAGACAUUUUCUGAAAAAUAAAACAUCCAUGCAUAAAUAAUUUGAAAUAAUAUUCACAAUAAAUGACAAAAAUGCAUAAAACCAUAAAUGCAUUUUAAUUUAUUGUAACGAUAAUCUAGUUCCGUUUUGACAAGCUAUCCGGUGGGGAAGUCAUGUCUAUACUUACUAGACCCAAUUACCCAUUGGAUUAUUUACUUUCAUGUAGAGACAUGAUAAAUAAUUAUCGUUAUCCUUUUGGGCCUAAAUUUGUUAACAGAGCUUCGUUGGGAAGAUUAAUAACAAAUUUUAGUUGAGUGUAUAACCAUUGUUUCAAUCUAGAUAUUUUUCAUUUCAAUAGUCACCGUUGGGGUGAACAAUCGAUUGAAAAAUAUUUCAAUUUUAUCUUUGAAGAAGUUCAUCAAAUAAAAUAUCUAAUAAAUAUACCCUCCGAAGGGAGCAUCACCGUAUCAUGAAGUCGAGGUAUAUAUAUAAUUUUAUUAUUGAACUAACAAUGGAGCCCGUGGGAAAAUUAUCUUAAAUUUUCCCUCUCCCACUCAAUAUUUUAAAAUUGGUUUUUCCUUUUUAAAACAUACAUAUUGUUAAUUGCAUGCUUCCUAUAAUAUUAUCUAGAUGAUCUCAAAUAUUAUUAAGCAUAUGCAAAUUUCAAACAAUAUAAUGAAAUUCAUUAUUAAUGAAUGACAUGUAUCAUUAUGCAUAGAGUGGCACUACCUAUUCUAUAUGACAUGUCAUCAUGGCAUGUUAUCAUCCAAAACAUAAUAUAUAGAAAAACAAUUAAAUAAUCUUAAUUCAUGGCUUUCCUAAUAAUGAAAAAUACAUUAACCCUAAGCCUAAUCUUCAUUGGGCUUCUUGUCAAUGUCCAUCUUCCAUAAUCAUGUCUUUGUUAAUGGACUAGGAAAAAUUAGGCUUUUAAAUUUAUAAUUGGUCCAAUUUUAAUUUUGAAAGAAAAUAAAUAAAUAAUAAAAAAAAAAUUUUAUUAAAAUAAAACUUUUGGACCAAAAAUAAAUUUAAUGUGUUCAAUUUUAUCUAUGUAUUUUAAUCCAUUAAGCCCAAAUUUUAAUUGGGCCUAAAACUAGGAUUCUUUAAGUCCAAAACUGUUUUUGGAUUUAAACGCAAAAAAUUGAAACAUUUCUGCCCGAAAGAAAACUUAUGAAACCAUAGGGACCUUCAUGAUAAAAACCAUGAAACCCUAAAAUCAUAUUUUUCUUUCUUUCAUCUUCCCCAGCCGCCAUCUCCACAAAGGGCAGCGACUGUUCACGCAUCUCCGACGCCGAUUUGCUGCCGCCGUCACGCCAGAAACGCACCCAAACGACGCCCUCCACCAGCAGCCUGUGCACGCGCGUCACAAGUCCUCGCCCGCGCUGAUGGUAGCGGUGCUUGCAGCGUUGCAGCGCGCGCUGCAGCUGCAGCGUGUGCAGCGCCCGCUGCUAGCAGCGUGGCUGCUGGGCGCUGCGCGUGCAGCGCGCGCUGCUGGCAGCAUGUGCAGCGCGCGCUGCUGGCAGCAUGUGCUGCUGGCCGCGCGCUGCUCCCGCAGCAGCGUGUGCUGCUGGCCGCUCGCUGCUGCGUGCGCUGGUUCGUUGCUGCAGUUUCCAGCAAGUUUCCGCAAUUUUCCAGUGAUGAUUCUUCAUUGAUUUACAAAUUCUCAACGCAAAUUAUGGCUUACAAAAUUUCAAUUACAUUAAAAUAAAUCAAGAGGAAAACAUGGUGAUAAUAGACCACCCCUCUUGUUACAGAUCCAAACGAAAAAUACAGUAGAACAUCUAACCAUGAAUUAAGACAAACUAUAAACAUGCUUUAUUCAUAUAUUAAACAAAUAAUAUAUAUCUGAAUAAAAUGUGCCACUCUAAUACAUAAAUUUCAAGAAUGAUUUCAUACGAAAUUCUUAUAUAUUAAUAUGAGAGGGCUCUGAUACCAAUUGUUGGGGAAAAAUUAGGUUUUUAAAUUUUUUAUAAAACCUUAUGAAGAUCGCUCUCAUAUAAUACAUAAGAAUUUGUAUUCUAGAAAUCGUACCUUGAAAAUCUGAGUUGGCUUUUUCCGGUGAAGUGAUUUAGGCUCCUAGAUCACGAUCCGCCACCACCACUCCUGUUAGAUCACGAUCCGUCACCACCACGCUUGUUAGAUCACGAACUGUCACCAAUGAUCUUCCAGGUUAUGACUCAGGUUCGAUCUGCACUUGACGUGUGGGCGCCGUUAUCACUACCAAAGCAACUAGCACGAGAAAAUUUUUCUCUCAACAAUGGAGAGAAAAAUCUUUUUCUCUGAUUUGUAUAAAGUGGCUUCUUCUUUUCCUUUUUGGGAAAAUAAGCCUUAUAUAUCUCCCUUUAGUGAAAACCCUAGGCUCCAAGGAUUCCCCAAAAUAAAACUCACGUUACUUUUCAUUUAAUAGGAGACCCACCAUGUAAAAUAACAUAAGGCCCCUUACACAUAAGCUUAUUAAAUGGAGCCUCCCACUAAAUGAUAUAUUUAGGCUUUUGACCCAAAUAGCUAGUUAUCUUGCUUAUUAGUCCAGCAGUGGUGCAAUCAAUUAAAUGAGCUAACCCGGGGAUCAUUUGGGAACAUACAAUAGUGGCUACAAUAAUUAGGCCUGUAAUUAAACUAGCCUAAUUAUUUAAUUCCAAAUCUACUCCACUAAAAGAUUGGAACUGACUUCCAUAAUUGUAUGCUCGAAUAAUAAUUCGUCCCAAGCCACAUUGAUUUCUUUACUGCACAAUCCUUUGUACCACAUCGUUAAUUAAAUUGAUAUCUCAACUGUCCAAUCAAUUUAAUAACAUCUUAUUCCUUGAUCCUUACUGGUUUUCUCUAAUGAUCAUUUUCAACAUACUAAAUAUGUUGACACACUCUGGCCAGAGAAUUCUAUGAUCAAGUACCGAAAACCUAUCAAGAGAUGUGUUGUACAAAUUCUAUAUUGUUAAUCCAUAACUCCAAUACUCAUAAUUGCUCCCACCAAGAUACCGGGUAAUCUUGACCACAAGGAUGUGUCGUGCCCAUUGGUAACUCAAAUAAAAUAACAAUUACAAUCAUGAAAUCAUAAUUAACUCAAGAUUAAGAUUACAGUAAAAUCAACGCCUAUGAGAUUUAAUAAGUCUGACAGUUAUUACAAAGUUAAUUAAAUCUCAUAUGUGAUCCUGUUCAAUGUAGUCGCACUACAUCAAUAAAUUCAUACAUGAUUAAGACAAAUCAUUCAAUGAAUUUAUUACAGUCUAUACCUAAAUAAAGUGUCCAACUUUAUUUAUCAACUGCGAACUAAAUUUAUUUAAUCAUAAGAUAACUUGUAUUUAUGUCUUCUGUGAAUCCACAUGGUGAUCACAUAAAUACAUAUAAUAUGAUUAAAUGGACUUUAAUACAAAUAUUAAUGCAAUUAAGAUAUUUGAAUAAAAUACCUCAUUUAUUUUAUUAAUCAGAAAAAUUGUUUAUUACAAUUAAAUAAACACAUAUGCUUUUAAAGAGCAUAUUUUCCCAACAGCAACGACUAAAAUCUGUAAACCAGACUGUGUUUGCAUGAACAAUAUAAUGAGAUUUUUUGCAUUCUUAAUCAAUUCAACCAACACAACAUGAAAAGUAACAAGUUUAUUAUUAUUUCUUCAAUUAUUGAUAAACUUCCCCCCACUUGAAAAGACUAUGAAAAUAGUCUUAAAUAUAGCAAAGAGGAAAUUAGCCUGGAAGGCAUGGCAAAGUCUUCAUAUUGAAUAGAAACUUAGACUUAAUAGUCUUGAGGAACAAACUGCUAUGUCCUCUGAAAUUAAUGUUGUGGAGGAGGAGAAGGAGCUUAAGCAGUCUAAUGACCGCAUUAAUAACCAAAAGCAAAAGUUUGAUUUCAAAUAGAAUCAAACCAACAGAAUAAAAAAAGAAGUGUACAUGUGACCAAUGUGAAAAGCCUAGCCACUUUAAAAAAGACUGUCAACUUCUUAAGAAAUAAAAGAAGUGUUCGAACACAAAUUUUGUGGACAAAAUUUAUGGCCGUGAUAUCUGAGAUUAAUAUUCUCGAACAUGAUAAUGCAUGGUGAAUAGAUUCCGGUGCAAUCAAGUAUGUGUACAAGAAUCGUAGCUUUUUCAUAUCUUACAAAGCAAUGCAUGAUUGAAGUGUUCUUUAGAUGGGAAAUUCCUCCAGUGCAUCAAUUAGAGGGAAUGUGCAACUAGAGUUCACUUGUGGAAAAACUUUAACUCAUAUUGAUGUUUAUCAUGUAUCUAAAGGUAGGAAAAAUCUUGUAUCUAUAUUAGGGUGGUACCUUAUUUGAGUCAAAGCAAAUUUGCAUUGUUUAAGGGUGGUACCUUUAUUGGGAAAGGAUACAUGUAUUAGGGAAUGCUCAAGCUCAAUAUUAAUAAAAUUAAUGUUUCUUCUGCUUACAUGAUUGACUCAUUAUCUUUGUAGCAUAUUCAUUUAGGACAUGUGAAUAUUAAAAGAUUGCAUGUCAUGGCUAAUUUAGAAUUAAUUUUUAAACAAGGAAACAAUGAUACUGCAUCACUCUCUUUUCAGCCCUCUUUCCUGAAACAAAUUUUAUUGUAUAACAUCAAUACUAUAUGCAUCAAAUAUCUAAUAUAUUGUUUACUACAGGGAUAUUAUAUUGAUUCUUGGCAAGCUUGCAACAUUCAAGAGUAUUCAAGUUUGCUUCCAUCGAUGAACAAUGCAAGCAAACAAAUAAGUGAUUCAUUGUAUCCUGGAGGUGUAUUUGUUUAGCCUAUAUGCAUCACUUAAUUGGUGGGACAAAUAAUAUCUUUAGGAAAGCGACAUUUGUAAUGUGCCUUGAAGUACACAUUAAUUUUCUACAGAUUACCUAUUACUAUUAUUUUAUUAUACUUAUAGAAUUGUAAACACAUUAAUUAAUUAUAAUAAAGUUCCACUUCCACCUUUAUUACUGUAAUUCUCUACAUUUAUCAUUCCCCACAAAUAUAUAUCCCAGCACUUAGUAGAUAUAUUAUUUUAUUAUAAAUAUCAAUAGAUUUUUAAUUGUAUAAUACAUACUUAUGAAAUUGUAUAGAGUAAUUCCGUUCAAUUAUAUUAAUCCGUUAUGAAUUUCAUCACAAAUUUAUUUGUGGCCAAUACCGUGCAAGUGAAAUUUCAGAUAAAAUCAUCUCCUAGCAAUUUAUUUUUUUUAUAGUUUUCAAUUUUGCUUUAACGUAUGGAUCCAUUUCUUGUCUAUAUGGCAGACAACUUUUAUUAUCAGGUAGGCAAAAUCAAAAGCCAUUAUGUCGUUAAUUUUAUUAUGCCAUGACAGACUCCAAGAUCUAAUUUAGAGAGCGACUCAAAUAAUGGUAAUUAGUAAUUCAUUAUAUCUGCAGUUAGCUAGAUACUUUGUUUGUGAAAAAAAAGAAUAAAAUUAGUUUCAUAAUGAUUUUAUUUACAAUAAAUACCAUACUAUGGUCCAUGACUUACCUCAUAUUACAAAGAAAAUAUGUGAAAGAUAAUUAAGGAUUAAAGCUUUCCACAAAGAUUUAUAAAAUUGCUUUUGAGAAAACUGUUCUGAUGAAAUGAAAUUAUAUGAAAUUACUAAGAAUUUAGUUAGCCUCUCAAAAAGGUUUAUUUAUUGCUUGACUUCUCGAGCUUAAAAUUCGAAUGUCAAAAUAGAUAAAAAGUUAAAAAAUUAUUUUAAAUUUAUCCACCCGUUUACCAUUUUAAUAUAUAAAAAAGAAUUACUUACUUUUUAGUAAUUAUGACUAUUUUUAGCAAUAGCAACCGGGGGCAUAAUAUAUCUGAUAGAUUUUUUUUGGGGAACAAAGCUUAUUAUCUCUCUCUCCUAUUGCUUUAAAGUGUCAUCUCUUAUGUUAAACAAGUCUCAGCCAAAGAUUAAAUUGUCAUAUGUUCGUAAGAUAUUCACCACAAAAGUCUAGGGAAAUUUCUUCAUCCUUGAGCGGAAAUACAAAGAAAAACAUAGUUAGCAAUUUUACUAGCAAAACUAAUAUUUUGUUACGUAUGGAGUAAAUCUUCAGGGGGCUCAAGCUCAAACUUAGAAAAACAUAGUUAUUUUGGACGCUUUUUCUAUUUAUAGCUAUUAUGUAGUCAUAAGGAAUUUCGAAAUUUGAGAAGUUUGCUUGUAGCUGCAGGCUGCAGAGAUUUUGAUUUGGCGACUUUGAUUGAUAAUUGAAGUUACUGUUGCAAGAGAAAUGAAAAAAAUAAUUAGCAAAAUAAAAGUCAAAGAGCUAGGCACAAGGCUAUUUGUCAUUUUGUCAUAGUAGAAAAAUAAUUAACAAAAAAAAAAUUCAGUUACUUUGACUUUAUUUCACAAAAUAUAAAAUUAAAUUUCUAUUAUAUGUAUAAAGUUUCUAUAUGAAGUGUUUAGGGGUCAAAUCAGUCUUUUUAUACAUAAUUUUUAAUAUUCACUUAGAAAUCUCAAAAAACUUUCAAAGCUUGUAGGGUCAUGAUCCCCUCUGGGAGUGGACAAAUGUGGGUUUAGAUCAACGCGUUUCUGGUUGAUAGGGUUAGAAUAUUCAAAUUGGAUUAGAUCGGAUAAAAAAUUCAAGUUAAAUUCGGAUCGCAUUGGGUUAUAAUUAUAAGCAAGUUAGGUUGGGUUUGGGUUAAAAUCAUAUUCGGGCUAGUUAUGAUGGAUUCAAAUAAUGUUCGGAUUAGCAUUAUUUUUAAGCCUUUUUUGUUUAUUUUGAAUUUUUUUAAUCAUUUUAGUUCUUGAAGAUUGUUUUAAAGUAAUUAUCUCAUUUCAGUUUUUUUUUUACCAAUUUUCAACAAAAAAUGAAAACUAGUCCUAUGAAAUCAAAUUAAUAAAAAUUAAAAUAAACUACUACUAUCAGAUUGGAUUGGAUCUCCAUCUCUUCCUUCUUCUACAUUUAAGGUAAUUUUGAGCCAUCCAUAGUGUAAUUAGUUCCUCUUUACACAUAUUGUAACCUUUUGAAAAGAUAGCACAAUGUGAGAAAUAUUGUUUUACUAUGGAUGACAAAUCAUUAUAACUUAACGACAAAGGAGCCAAAAGACCUUUCCCAAACUCUUCUACCUUCCACAUUCCACUAUCUAAAAUUAUUUUCUAUUCUUCUAUUGGUCAUUUAUAGUGUAAGAAUUUCCCUAUUAUCUUUGCAACAAAAGGCAAGCCUUUGCACUUACAUGCAAUUUUUUGAUCGAUUGAUCACGAUCCUUGAAGAAUUGACCCAAAAAUGCUACUUGCUUAAACAAUGACCAACAUUCUGUUGGGAAAAUAUGCUCUUUAAAAGCAUAUGUGUUUAUUUAAUUGUAAUAAACAUUUUUUCUGAUUAAUAAAAUAAAUGAGGUAUUUUAUUCAAAUAUCUUAAUUGCAUUAAUAUUUGUAUUAAAGUCCAUUUAAUCAUAUUAUAUGUAUUUAUGUGAUCACUAUGUGGAUUCACAGAAGACAUAAAUACAAGUUAUCUUAUGAUUAAAUAAAUUUAGUUCGCAGUUGAUAAAUAAAGUUGGGCACUUUAUUUAGGUAUAGACUGUAAUAAAUUCAUUGAAUGAUUUGUCUUAAUCAUGUAUGAAUUUAUUGAUGUAGUACGACUACAUUGAACAGGAUCACAUAUGAGAUUUAAUUAACUUUGUAAUAACUGUCAGACUUAUUAAAUCUCAUAGGCGUUGAUUUUACUGUAAUCUUAAUCUUGAGUUAAUUAUGAUUUCAUGAUUGUGAUUGUUAUUUCAUUUGAGUUACCAAUGGGCACGACACAUCCUUGUGGUCAAGAUUACCCGGUAUCUUGGUGGGAGCAAUUAUGAGUAUUGGAGUUAUGGAUUAACAAUAUAGAAUUUGUACAACACAUCUCUUGAUAGGUUUUCGGUACUUGAUCAUAAAAUUCUCUGGCCAGAGUGUAUCAACAUAUUUAGUAUGUUGAAAAUGAUCAUUAGAGAAAACCAGUAAGGAUCAAGGAAUAAGAUGUUAUUAAAUUGAUUGGACAGUUGAGAUAUCAAUUUAAUUAACGAUGUGGUACAAAGGAUUGUGCAGUAAAGAAAUCAAUGUGGCUUGGGACGAAUUAUUAUUCGAGCAUACAAUUAUGGAAGUCAGUUCCAAUCUUUUAGUGGAGUAGAUUUGGAAUUAAAUAAUUGGGCUAGUUUAAUUACAGGCCUAAUUAUUGUAGCCACUAUUGUAUGUUCCCAAAUGAUCCCCGGGUUAGCUCAUUUAAUUGACUGCACCACUACUGGACUAAUAAGUAAGAUAACUAGCUAUUUGGGUCAAAAGCCUAAAUAUAUCAUUUAGUGGGAGGCUCCAUUUAAUUAGCUUUUGUAUAAGGGGCCUUAUGUUAUUUUACAAGGUGGGUCCUCUAUUGAAAAAGAAAAUAACGUGAGUUUUAUUUAGGGUAUUAUUUGGAGCCUAGGGUUUUCACUAAAGGGUGAUAUAAAAGGCUUAUUUUUCCCAAAAGAAAAAAGAUGAAGCCACUUUAUACAAAUUGGAGAAUAAGAUUUUUCUCUCUAUUGUUGAGAGAAAAAUUUUCUCAUGCUAGUUGCUUUGGUAGUGAUAAAGGCGCCCACACGUCAAGUGCAGAUCGAACCUGAGUCAUAACCUGGAAGAUCAUUGGAGACAGUUCGUGAUCUAACAAGCGUGGUGGUGACGGAUCGUGAUCUAACAGGAGUGGUGGUGGCGGAUCGUGAUCUAGGAGCCUAAAUCACUUCAGCGGAAAAAGCAAACUCAGAUUUUCAAGGUACGAUUUCUAGAAUACAAAUUCUUAUAUAUAUUAUAUGAGAGCGAUCUUCAAAAGGUUUUAUAAAAAUUUAAAAACCUAAUUUUUCCCCAACACAUUCUUCUUCAAUUAAUUCCUUAAGAAAUGUAAGAUUUGUUGAUCUCAUCAUGCUUGCUACUUACUGAUUACGUGCAGUAAUCAAAAUUUGACUAUCGUAGAGACCAUUCUUUAAACAAUAGAAGAAUGGUUCCCAUUAAUUGUAAUGUCCAUCCCACACAUCAUUUAAGACAAGAAAAAAGUAUCUUUCCCUCAAUACAUUUAUGAAUAUGGCUUACAAGAGAUAACCUAAUAUUUGAACAUCGUUUUCGGGAUGGUUGCUCCUUUGAUUGUGUGGUCGCACCAUGAUAACAAGUGAACUUGCUCUGAUACCAGCUGAUGAUGCAGAAACACUAAAAAGCUAUUAGAUAAUAUAAACUAGUAUUUGAAUAAUAAGUUUUAUUGAGAAUAAUUUGAAUGAACAAAAUUAGGGUUUUGAAUCCCAUUUAUAGGAGCCUAAAUAUAGCAAAUUUAACAAACUAAGCAAAUUCAAAAUAUUAUAUGAUAAUAAAAUUCUUCAAAUCUAAAUAAGAGAAAGAAAACAGAUGGCACUUAAAUCCAACAUCUAGAAAAAAUGAUAAAAAUCCUAGAAGAAUCAAGAAAAAUAAAAAAAUAUCUUAAAACUGAAAAACGACUAUAAAAGAAGUGAAACUUUUAGCUCAAUCGCAGGGCAUAACAGCCUAGGUCGUUCUGUAUUUGGUUCGACUCAUCGCAAGCUUGGAAACUAUAUUAUAUGUCCAAAACAAAUACUCGUAGCCCAAUUUCUAGCCUCGGAAGACACCAUGCUUAUUCCAUGCAACUAUCUUAUAUCAACUUGCCUUCUCUGCAUCUUCAAGCACAACUUGAAUGUCUUGAAGAUUUAUGGCAAGUCACAAGCAGCAAAGGAGUUCAGCUACUCCGGGAGAGGGGAAGCGAUCACAUCCAUUCUGGCAAAGAAAAGGAGAAAUAAUUUCAUAAGUUGUUCAACGUGCUUUUGUUGCGAAAAUACUUAAAGAAACGAGUUGUUGCAUUCUUCUUACACUACACGAAAAAUGUUUAUGGUUAUUGUCGCCCACCCCACGCGUCAAUAAUUUUAGCAUUUUUAAUUUCCCUGAUUCUACUCCACAGCUGUGAUACAUAAUUGUAAAUAUUCUCUAAUUAAUUUGUAGUGGUCGGGCCAGUGCCAUUUAAAACCAAAAAAAAAAAAAAAACCAAAAGAAAAAAAAGACAAAAGUUGGAAAAAAGCAUGCAUCACCGAUAAUUUAUUUAUUUGUCUGAGGACGGGGAUAUUUUCUACCCACUUCUUUUACAAAUCUACCCACUUCUUUUACAAAUCUACCUUGCUGUCAGAAAAUAAUUGUAAUACGUUCAUACUAUUUUUAAAAUAUAUAAAUCAAUAAAAUGUAUAGACAAUCAAUAAAUUAAAUCAUUCAUAUAAUUUUUUAUUUUUUUAACUUAGGUGUCUUUGACCAUUUAGGUUGCUUUAAGAUAAGUUUUAUUUGACUAAUUUACCAUGAUAAUAUAAAAUGACUAAAAUACCCCAAGAAUCAAGAGUUCUUGUAUAUAAUAGUUUAGGUAUUUUAUUUUUUUGAUUCAAUCUCCAAACUUAUUGUAAUUACAUCUUCUUUAUUUCAAUUUUUAAGAAAUAAUUUGAACUUAUUGUAAUUAUUUCUUGAGAGUGGGGUGGGUUUACAAAAAUUAUGGGCCUUUUCGUUUAUUAAUUCUUGGAAAUUAAUGGCUCCGUAAUCAAUUUCUUUUGUUCUUUUAUUUAAAUAGAAAAGAAAAAUUAAGAGGAGCUUUUGUCUAUUGAAUUGAGGUUCUGUGAAGAAAAAUACGUAUCAAAUGAUCGACGGAUUGUACUUUUCAAUUUUUACUUCACAGUACUUUUCUUUAUUUGCUGGGUCAUUUAUGUUGUUUUGGACGGAUUUAAGUGUUCUUAUACAUUUUAUUGAAUUUUAUUUUGAUAAAAUCACCAACGAUCAGUAGAGAUUUACACUACUUAUCUGAGUAUUUGGUUCUCUAAUGUAAGGAAGCAUGUAAUCUUUCGCCAAUAAUUUUUUAUUUCAUCAAAAUGUUAAAAUGUUGAAAGGAGAAUUAGUUUAUAUAUAUAUAUAUAUAUAUAUAAGAGAAUUAGAGUUCAUAUUGAAGAAACUUCUUUUUCCUACUAUAAGUCCAGUUCGAAUCUUUGAAGCAAAUGAUCUAAUCUCAAGCAUAGAAAGUAGGAAGAUCGAUUGAACAGCGGACACAUUAACAAAAAAUAAUUAAUUUAAAAAGUUAAUAUUGGAUAUCAUAAAAAUUUUAUUAUUAUUAUUGGAAGUUGGUAUGUUGAAAAAUAAACAAGCUUUAUAUGAACUUUAAACACAGAUAAUAAUUUGCAUGUAGUGAAAUUGCUUAAUACAUCCAUUAUUUUAUCAUUUUUAAUUUUAUCUAUCGGUUAUUUUCAUUUUGAAAAUAUAGGAUAAAUAAAAUAAUAACAAACACAUAUUUCAAUUGAAAAUUUAUCAACUUGAAAACACCAUUUUCAUUCUCAUAAUAUAAAUUUAAAAAUAAAAUACAGAACAUGCCCUAACAUUUUCUGAAUUUAUUUUUAUACUGUAAAAGAAUCAAAUUACUCACACAAUUAUUUUAGCUUUUAUGAUAUAAACAAAUAAUCAUCAUUUAAAUUCAAUAGAAAGAGGUAUUCUUGGUAGAAUUGACUUCUUUAGCAAAAUAUAAUCUAUUUGGGACUUCUUACUCCAUUAGGUUAAUUGUCACAUCAUUAAUUUUAGAUUAUAAACUUUAUAUUCGAACUUUGUAAGACCAUCAUUUCUCCAUUUUUAUUUAAAAAAAAAAAAUUAACUUCUUGCAUGAUCUAGUUGGUCUCCUUUCAAAAGAAACCAAAAAUAAAAGGAAAUAAAGCAUAUUAUUUAUCUUAAUUACUUUCAUUUGUUAUUGACAUGUACUCAUGCAUUGUGGUCUUUUGUAUACUUUAUCGAUAUGUUUUGCUUAAGGGAUAAAACUCAUUAUGUGGCAAAAUUUUAUUAGAGCUGGGAUUAUUUAUAUAUGUUCUAGUACUUUGAGCAUCUUACUAUACACUCGUCUAUAAAAUUUUAACAUUAAUUUUUACUACUCAUCGAAAUAUCAAAAUAGUUCUGUAACGUAUGUGAAAAAAAAAAAAAUAAUAAUAAGAGGAAGCUGGGUAAUGUUUUAUGGGCGAGAGGGAUAGAGGAAGCUGUCAACCCGACCCGGAAAACCCGACCCAAAACUGCGAACCCGACCCAGACAGAUCUCCGAUUUUCGGCCACAUCACCGGCCAUGGAUGGUAGCAACGAAAGCUCCUGAGCCAGCCAUCACUUUCCGACCGUCACUGUCGCCAAAAACCAACCGAAACGCCGCCGUUUGAAGCGCGAAUAGUCGCAGCCAAAACCUAUCACGACCGUCGUUGAUUCCGUCGGAAUUAGGCCAUGCCAGACGGAGAAAUGGUCGGCGGUAAACAGAGUUUGUAUCGGAGGUGGGGUAAAUGGAGGAUGAUGGAGAGAGGGCAACCAACGGUCAUGAUGAGGGAGAGGAGGAGGAGGGUGAGGUUAUGGACGGCUGUGAUGGGCUUGAGGAUGUGGGGUCAAUGAGAGGUGAUGAUGGUGGUGCUGUUGAUGUUGAUGUUGAUGCGUCGUGGAGGAUGAAUGUGAGGGAGAGGUAAGUGAGGGUGGAGAGAUAAGUAACUUAUAUAUAUAUAUAUAUAUAUAUAUAUAAGUAAUAUAUUAUUUAUUAAAAAUUAAUUCUUUGAACACUUAAAAUUAUUAAAAUAAAAAUUUAUUCUAUUGUUGUUAAUUCAUAAAAUUUUAAUUCAAUUAUAACAUUUUCAUUUUUUUUUAAGUUAAAUUAUAUCUUUUUUAUUAUUUUUUCCUAAAUUAAACUAAUUUUUCUCUUCUUUUAUUGUCUAAAGUUUUUCGAUAUAGUUUUAUUUCAAAAUAGAUAAAACAAGUACAAAAAAAAGUAGAUGAAUAAAAGAAUAUAUUAAAAAAAUAAGAACAAAUAGCAACACAACUAAUUAAGAGAAUAAUAAAAAGAUAAAAUCAUAAAUUUGAGAUGAAAUCAUAAAUUAACUUAUGUUUAUAUUAAGGCUAUUGUUUGAAAAUUUGAGUAACGACCAAUAGUCAUAGAAAAUAGAGAAAAUUAUUAGAUUUUUUCUUUUUCUUCUAGAGUAGAAAGUAGGGGUGUUCGCGGAUCGGAUUUUACGGAUUGGACAUCAAUCCAUAUCCGAUCCAUGAUUUUGCGGAUUAUAAUUUUUCAAUCAAAUCCAAUCCACGGAUUGAUAAAAUUCAAUCCAAAUCCAAUCCAUACAUCUGCGGAUUGGAUGCGGAUUUGACUCAAUCCAUAUCCAAUCCAUACGUCUGCGGAUCGGAUGUGGAUUUGACUCAAUCCAUAUGCAAUCCACCAUUUUGCGCAUUAGUUUUCAAAUUAAAAUUUUUUAGUUCUCUCCAACUAAUGAAAUAAAAAAAUCUAAUAUAAAAAUAAUUUUGCUACCAAUUAAAUUUAAAAUUGAAUAAAAUUUAAAUAAAUUAAUUGUUUAAAUAAAGCUAAAAUAAUACAUUUAAAGUUUCAAAAUAUAACACAUCAAGAUUAAUUAUUCAAAUAAAGCUACAAUAAUACGUUCAAAAUUUCAAAAUAUAACACACCAAGCUUAAUUGUUCAAAUAAAGUUACAAUAAUACGUUAAUAUAACACCGAAAUUAAUUGUUCAAAUAAAGCCACAAUUAAUUGAAAUGGCAAAGUUUCGGAAACCAAACACAGUCUGAUCAUUCACCAGGAUUGUUGCGCCUGUCAAAAAGUGGUGAUUACGGAGCCAUCCACGAUGGGAACCGUGAGAAGCCGUACGGGUGGCAAUCUUGAAGGUUGUGAUAGUGAAAUUGUUCAGCUAGAACCAGUGAAUGUGAAGUGGCUCGAUGGACUUGGGAAAGAAGAUGGCUUGCUCUCGCCGGAAUCGCGCAGCCAAUGUCUUUUAAAUCCGUGUCGAGAGUGUAUCCAACCAGUAUUGAGUGUUGCUAGUGUGUGUGACGGCGAGGAGCUUAAGGUUUUUUGUUGGCAAAUUAUUGGUGACUUGACGUUAUAUUACUUUGCUUUUGCUAGUGCGUGUGACUUUACUUUUAUUUUGUUUUACAAUUUUUACAAGCUAUAUUUGUAUAUUUGAUUAUUUAAUUAUUUUUCAUUUUAUAUUAUUAUUGGGUAAUGGCUAAGAUAUGUUAUAUUGCUUAGUAACUAUGCAAUGUCACAUUUAUAAUUUUUUUAAUUAAAUUUAUAAUAAUUUUUUAAUUAUAAUAUAUAUAUAUAUAUAUAUUUUUUUUUUUUUUUUUUUUGCGGAUUCACGGAUUUCCGCAGAUUUACAGAAGUAAAUCCAUAUCCAAUCCAUCGACUGCGGAUUUUUAAAUUUUCAAUCCAUAUCCAAUCCACGGAUCGGAUUUAUACGGAUCGGAUUGGAUUCUGAACACCCCUAGUAGAAAGUAGAGGAAGAAAUAUUUUUUUCCCUCUCUCUCUUUCUUUCUCUCAAACACCAAGAUGUCUUGAUUGUUAGAGGAAAAUUUUAAUGGAUAAGUAACAAAAUGUGGGGCUUUUAUAGAGGUUUAAAAUAAAUAUAAAACUUUUGAAAUAUAACUUAUUAAUUCUAACAAUGAAAUAGAGAAUUUUUAGGAUUGAAACUAUUAAUUUAUUGGUUUUGUAGAAAUUAAAACAAUUAAGUACUACAUUAAAUAAACUUUAUAAGAAUUUGAUAGUUUAUUUAGAAAAAGAUAAUUACAAAAUAAUAAUAAAUUAAAUGAAUAAUAAUGACUUUUAAAUUCAUUUUCCUCUUUUAUAUACAAAAUAAUCAUCUCGUAGGGCUUUCAUAUAAAGCGGAGUCCUAUACAACCGCCUAAGUUGCCUAGAGGUCGAACCACUACUAUUUACAAGCCAAUAUUGGAGUGUUGAGGUAACUAAAUAUGAAGCCAUGGCUGGUUUUUUGGGGGAGAAAGAUUUGGAAGAGAUGAUGUUGAGAGGAACGGGGGAGUUCAUAAAGUUUUAGGAUAACGUGGAGGGUAUUUUGGACAUAUUACUGUCUUAGCUUAAAUUUUGGGAAAAAGAUAAUCAAUAAUAAACUAUUUUUUUUAUUUUAGAUUUUAAAUCGUAAAUUUAGUAAAGGAAGUUAAAUCAAGUGAUCACUUGAUUGUUUUCCUAUCAAUAAUAAACUCUUUUUUCAUAUCAAUUUAAAACUCCGAGUGUGUCUCCAAAAAUUGUUUUCCUUUUUUUUAUUUUGGAUUUUAAAUCGUAAAUUUAGUAAAGGAAGUUAAAUCAAGUGAUCACUUUUUUUUUAUGCAAAGCAAUUAAUCUUUUUUGUAAUACCAAACUCCUAUUUCAUCUACCGAAACUACAAAAAUUAAUAUUUUCUAUCAAAUCAAAACCAAAAUUAAAAGAUAACUUAUUAUCUGCCAACUGUCAUUCAACGAAGUCAUCACUCACGCAAAAAAGGAAAAAAGAAAAAAAAAAGUGAUAUAUUGAUUUUAACAUAAUUUCAUACCUCUCUCAAAAAAAAAAAACAUAAUUUCAUACCAACAUAUCAUUCGAGGUUGAUGUGGAAAAGAACUAUUUUUAGUCCAAUUUCAUGUUUGGAUGUUGAGGUUGAUGUGGAAAGGAUGUGGCUCCCACGUAAAACCCAUCGCUUCGUUCUAAACUAAGUGAAUUUAUCUCGUGAGCUAAGUAGUUUAGGAGAUAACUCAAAUAAUUAAUUUUUUAUUAGUUCAUUAAUAAGAAUUUUUUAUUAUAUUUUAAAAAGUAUAAUUCAUUACCAAAAAAAUAUUCUUAAUAAAAAUAACUGUUAUUUAAGAUAUUACAUUUUGACAAUAAUAAAAUAAUUCAAAAUUAAUUAAUUUAAUUUGAUCUCAUACUUUAUUAUUAAAAAACUUAUAAUAUCUUUAUUAAUUUUAUUAAAUUAUUAUUUAAAAGUCAUACAUUUACUGCACACUGUCAACUUUCUGCUAUUUUUUUUGUUCUCACAACAACUAGUAAUAUCAAACAAGAGCUAAGUUAAGUAUGAUCAAUUAAUUAAAGUUUUCAUUUUUUGUAUAAAAUAAUCCUUAGAUAAUUAGUCUAUAAAGAGUAUUGGCUACUUCAAAUGGAAACUUGUGAUCAAAAGUGUAUUACAGAAGUGACAAAGGCACACUAUAUGAGAAAUCUGAAAUAGAAUUUGCAAACUUGAACUGGGUUACAGAGAGUUAAUAAGACUCCAAAGGAACAUGGAAACUAUUAUCUUUAUUAAAUAAUAGUAAUACAAGCUAUUAACUGACUAUUAUCUUUAUUAAUUUCCAUAGCGAAAACAAAAUUAACUUUCCUAACUGACUAGAAUUUAACUCAAGGAAAAUUAGAAUAUACGACGUUGUAUCACAUACGGUAUUUAGACAUCAAGAGAAGAUUCCCUCUAUCAGUGAACUAUACUUGCCAGGAAAUUAACCCCAGGCGAGUACCACCACCUCCUACUAUUUCUUAGGUGUCUCAGAGUUUGAUGAGGACUUCCAUGAUGUGUCUCUUCGACAGGCAGCGAAAUUGGGCAAUUGACUACAUUAACUCCAACAAAUUUAUGCAGUCACCUUCCUCCGGACUAUCCUCUUUCUUCGCGCUUUAGUUGCCCUUAUUUCCCCUUUAAUACAGUCAACAUUAUCUUGUUUGAUGCCAAGGAGACCAAGCCCAGAAACAAUGGCAUUCUUUGAUAUCAACCACCUGGGGACUUUUGAGCUGAGCCAUGACAUCCUGAGAUGGCCUGUUGUGUAAGCCUUCUUCAAAAGGUCAUCCGUUAAUCUUUCUCCUAAUUACACAUUCAAAACCCUGCAUGGAAUCGAUUUGAGAAGUUGGACAAUAGACAAACUCCAACACAUAUAGACAGUAAAGAAGAAUUUAGACCGCAAUCACUGUGGCUCAACAAAUGGGCCUAUUAAGCCUAUUAAAAGUUGGAACCAUAUUCACCGCUCGCAUUUCCUUAGAGAACUAUAUCAGAAUUCUGUAAAUGUAAAACUAUUCUUACAUAUUUAACUGUAAAACAAGAGAAAUUGUACUUCCGUAGCAAAGUCUCGCUAUUGGUAAGUAUUGGACUUGGAAAGGAUGCUAGUUGAUGAAGUAAAGGAAAAUUGAAAUCAGACUUUGAGGUGACAGAUCUAUACACUUCAAUAGGAACCACAUUGACAUCAUAUGAGACAAAUAAACAUUCCCCAGUCAAAGUUUAACAAACAAAACAUUAAAACAAGAGUAAGUUGGUCUAUCAAUGUAUAUAUAGACAUGUCGAUCAAUAGACAAAUACGUAAAAGAGGGAGGGAGAGACCUCAAAGCCGUGCUACUCCAAUAACUUCAAAAUUGUUGGUGACCACUCUAUCAAAUCCACCCAAUAGUUGCAUACACUCACCGAUGGGUUUGUCACAGAUAACCUGUUAGGCAUUAAAAAUUGCCCAAAUUAAACAAAUGUUAGACCAGCUUAGACAGUAAACGGAACAAUAUUCUAAUUUUACUUUAUUUAUAACGAAUAAGUGAACAAAGGAAUAAAAAGGAAUUUUGGCAAAGAAUCCUGCAGCUAAUCCCACCAUACACCGCUCUGCAGGCUUAUUUGGGAAUCAAAAUUCUCAAAAUGUACUAAGAAAUGACAUUUGUUUACUAGUCCCACCAACAAGGAGGAAGUGACGUGAAGAGAAUUUACUAAGAAAUGCCAGUGUAUUAAUAUUGAAGGAAAACAUUCACAGACGACCAAAAUCGCUGAUAUAUACUUAAUUUCUCACUCACUAAGAACGUUCAAUUCAUUCAAAUGAAACUUCCACAGGAAGGUCUCAUUAUUAAGGCUUUAGCUUCACCUCACAUGCUCAACAAUUCAAAUUUGAGGAUGAUAUUUCUCCGAAUGGAGGGCUCUAUUUGGCUUGCCAAUAAUCUUCCUCACAACUAUCAUCCUUGCUAUAUCGGUUGCACUGAGCAAUCUUCAUUCUGAUAUUUGCCCUAUUAAGCUGAGUACACAAGAAUCCGAAACAACUGUUAGAAAUUUUAAUCUUUAUAUAUAGCCAAAAUGGUGAAUAAGAUGAUGUAUUGAUAAUAAAUACCUGAGUUAAUAAAUAAUUAAGGGGCCGGUAACAAUCUCAGCAUUUUAUCAGGUGGGGAAAGCCUUCGCAACGAAGAUGCUGCUUGCUUUCAAGCAAUAAUAACUUUCCAAUUCCAUAAGAUAGCUUAAUGCCCUUUUAAGAAUAUCUCCACCAGCCUAACAAUUAUUCAUGGAAAUCCAAUUUGCAUUUGUCGCCUUCAAUUUGCUCAUCUUUGUCUAGAGUAUUGUUUUUGCAUUAACUUAGCUAGCUUGCAAACCACCUGCAGAUGGUUUUAAAUAAUGUGUGAGAGUGUGAAUUCAAACGAAUUAAUUAAAUAUGAUGACAGGAGAAACAAAAUUAAAAUAACCACAAGAAGUAGAACUAUACUUUUGUGAUAUUCAGAGCAUCUCCUACUGUCUUCAUUUCCCUUAGCUCUGUUUCCCUUUGUGCUCGAACACAAUGCCUCAAGGCUCAAGAUAAUUUGAUGACCAUCAAUCUUUUUGCAGCCACAUGUAGACUUGAAAAACUGUUGGCGGCCCUAAAGAACUUGAAAAUUAGAAAAGAUUCAGAAUGAGUGACUAAAUAUUAUAAUCGAAACUAAUUAAACAAACGCGCCUUGAAAAUCUGAAACUGAAUUACUCAAAUGUAUAUGCCCCUUCACAGCAAUUGCAUGCACGUGGUGGAAAUUUUACUGCGAAGACUUUCUCAAACCUUGAAGAUCACACUCGGCCUGACAACAAAGAAACAAAGUCAAUAUACGAAGAUGAUUUUACUAACAAGUGAGAGCUUACAAAUAUUUGAAGGAUAACGAUCACUCAUAACCCAAAUCCCCAGUAUUCCCUAAUAUUUCACUCAAGUGAGUUCAAGCUCCCAAAUUUCACUACAGUGAAAUGUCAAAACAAAACUCUCUUCUCAAAUUUGAUGAUGAUAUCUCUCGAAGGGAGGCAAAAGAAUCUAACACUGAUCAAAUUGGCUUGUGAACAAUUAAUCUUCCUCGCCAUCAUUCAUACCAGGUGCGGUGAAAAAUCUUCAUUCUGAUAUUUGCCUUAAUAAGCUGCUUAGUAACCUUAACCUGAUAACUCACACAAACAAAAACAACUUGCCUAAAGUUUAAUAUUUCGAGCAGAACAGUAAAGAAGAUGAUAUCUAUUGAUGCUAAAAUUUGACCUGUGUUACCCUGAUGUCAAAAAUCAUAGCAUCUCAUGUGGGCAAAAUCUUCGCAACACGAGAUGCUUGCAAAAUUGGAGCAGCAUCUUAUCACCUGUAAUUUAAUUGAGACAAUAACUUUCCCCAACCAUUUCAAUGCAUUAUUGGCAACUAAAUUCAGAGGGUGCUAAUUAAAUACCCUUUUAACAAUAUCUUCUUAUUCUUCUUCAAUCUAACAAUUAUUUGGAAAAUCUAAAUGACAAUCAUGCAUCGAUGGCAUGAAAAUUUGGCUAAAAAGUAGCCUGGAAAAGGCUGCUCUCUGAAUGAGAGCAUGAAUUCGAACAAAUAUGAUGAAUGAAUAAAUAAAGGCAUAAUACCACAAGAAGUAAAACUUUUACCCAGAUUUCUGUUUCUGUUUGUGCUAAAACCAAUGGAAACCGAUGGAAAUGAAUUUCUACGAAUUAGACAUAUCAGCCAAAACAGGUACUCUGUACAAGCAAAGUAAAAGAGGGUUACAAAAAAUUUUAAUAUUGAUAUGAUAAUUAUAAUUAUAAUGAAAAUUUCAGUUACCAUAUAAUUAAUAGAUAACUCUGUACAUAAUGAUUUAUUGCAUAUUAAGAUUGUAUACCUGAAUUUUAAUUGCUUUACAAAAUAUGGUAGUAGCAUUAGGAGACCGCACCAAACGUACCGAAUUGAAUGUGCCUUUUCACAGCCAUUGUACCAGCUUUGAAGCAUUACCACAAAUGCUUUUUCAAACCCGUGAACAUGAUGCACCCGAGAGAUGAUUAUCUUAGCACCUAAACAUCAUGCAAUAAUAAUCAUCAUGUCUUUCAGGCAGCUAUCCAUCCUCAAUUGAAACAGAGCAGACCCGGCCAUCACUUCCUUCUUCAAAUUCCAGCAACCAAACGUUGCACAAUAACCACAGUGAUAAUCCUUGGUUACCCCAAUGUUCUCCAUAGAGUCUUCAACGUCAACCUAAAAAUGAAAUAAAAAUGCAAUGCAGGUGGAAAUGAAAAUUCUAUAAACUAAAUAAAAUAAAAAAUGCAAUGCUUGAGCUUGAGCUUGCUUUAAUCAUCAUAAUAAUCGAAUUUGGAUAUAUCUUUACUUCUCUGUGGUUCAAUCAUUUACUUCCCUGUUCUUGUUUAUUCACAACAAGAUAUCAAUAGAAGAAGAUGGAAAUGAAAUUCUAUAAAAUAAAGCAAGUGAAUUACCAGCAGAACAUUUUAGCAAUCCUUUGGCUAAACUUUUCAUUUUCAUAGUCUUGCUCUCCUGCCUGCAUCAUCAAAACCAAAUUAGAUUGGACCGGACAUUUCCUCGAAUCUCUGGUGAACAUAAUUAAACUCGUAUGAAAUAAAACAAAGUGGGCUAAUGUACUACUAAAAAAAUUACACAAUUACUUUAAAGAAUUAAUGUCACAUAAAUUAUAUACAAAAAAAUACGAUUAUCAUUAUACAAGAUAAAAUUGAUAAUUUAGUUUUCAACGUUACUGCAAAUGUAUCACAGAGAUUUUGUCUCUCAGGAAGUUACACAUGAUAAAUUUUGGUACAUUAAAAAAUAAAUUACAUUAGGAUUUUCCAUGAUGUUGUAUGAAAUUUUAUAAAAGUCUACUUAUUUUUUAAAAGAAAAUAUAGGAAUUUCAACAGAUUACAGUUUUUUUAAUAAUUUAAUCUUUAGAAAAUUAGUUUAACAGAUUUGAUAACUAAGAAGUUUAAAUUUUAAAUAAUUAAAAUUAAAAUAUUAUCCUAACUAACUUUUAAAUUUAUGAACUAUUGAUUAAAUCUAACCGUACAUAUUUAUACCAUGAUUGGUUUUAUAAUUUUUAUAACAGCAUCAUAGAGUGACCCAUUAAAUUAUUGGCAAAUUAAUGGCUGAAGUAAAUAGAUAAAUUCAAUAUGCAAAUCAAAAUAUUAGAAAUAUAUAAUAUAUUCAUGUCACACAUUGGCAAUAUACAGAAUUUUAAUUCAUAAUAUAAUUAUUUUUAUUAAUUUCAUUGCAAGCAACAACGGAGUAAAUCAGAGGAGGAGAAGAAAUUACCGUUGGGUGAUAUCUCGAUGUGGGGAAUGUGAGAUAUCUUAUGCCAAUCUUCUCCUUUCGCCUCCCUAUAACGGUUUUCCAGAAGAGGACAUUGCUCAAUCCUCAAUUUCUGCAGUGUCGUCAAUUGAAGAAGGUAAUCCGGCAGCACCUUUAAUUUGGGGCAAUACUCAAUUUCCAAGGAAGAAAGACGUGGUAUGUCUGUUGUCCUGUGAUCUUCUAGAAUGGGCAGUUCUUCCAAAUUUUCACAAAAACUAAUACUCAGUUCCUGCAGUGCCGUCGUUUGAAGAAGGUAAUCCGGCAGCGCCUUUAAUUUGUUGAAACCAGAAACUGUUAAAGAAGAAAGACGUGGCAUGAUGGAGAUGUUUUCCUUCCUCGUAAUCCUGUAAUUCCACUCUUCCAAUUCUUCCAUGUCCCAAAUUAUGAGUGAUUUCAAUUUGGGGAAGGCAAUAACUGAUGGUGAUGAUGAAGAUGAAGACGGGCCAUCCUCACUGCUUUCUUCUAUUCCCAAAAACUCAUUACCCACUCUUUUUACACUUUUCAAGUGGAUGAUUACGAGUUUUUCCAGAGGCAAUUUUCCCAAAGGAGGCAAAUGCUCACACUUAACGCACGAGCGAAGAUAUAAAUUCCUUAGAUUGGUCAGUGAAGUCAACCAUUUGGGAAAAAUGUUGCGUCCAUAUAAUAUAAUCCCUAAUUUCUCUAAAUUCACAGGCGGUUGUAAGGCUUCAAGAAGUAGUUUAUCUUUCUCAUUCUUCCUCCUCCCUUCUUCGCCUUCCCCAGCUACGACUCUACCAAACGCAAGAUGCAAACGAAGGAGGUUUUUCUUAUUGUAAAGUUGUGACCUCUCAGCCUCAUCUACAUGCGAUACAUUACCCAGCCCUUCUAUUCCACAUUCACGAAGGAGUUGAAGAUUUUUCAGAGAUUCAAGCCUACACGUGCUGCCGCCAUCAACACCUCCACCCACAACAAACUUUUCUAAUGUUCGAAGACUCGUUAAUUUGGAAAUCCCUAUUGGCAGGUACUUCAACGAACGAGUUUUAUCAUUCAGUAAACUCCUCAUGUUCAUUAACUUCCCAAUCCCCGCUGGCAAUUCUCUAAGAUUCUGGCACCACCUAAUAUCUAGCUUUUGUAAAUUAUAUAAUUCACACAAAGUCUCAGGUAGUCUCUUUAUGCCUAAUUCAGAUAAAUUAAGAUAUUUUAAAUGUAUCAAUUUUUCAACAUUUUCUGGAAUUUUUCUAAUCC
Molecule: long non-coding RNA, 291543 nt
Filed under: Citrus maxima (pomelo)
Lineage: Eukaryota; Viridiplantae; Streptophyta; Magnoliopsida; Sapindales; Rutaceae
Description: long non-coding RNA (CMAX_LNC001275)
Rfam family: Plant small nucleolar RNA R71 (bases 174586-174689)
Source: RNAcentral